This 315200-nucleotide long non-coding RNA is filed under the name Triticum aestivum (bread wheat). RNAcentral describes it as "long non-coding RNA (TAES_LNC027878)". The stretch from base 58343 to 58477 matches the Rfam family "MIR1120/MIR1122 microRNA precursor family". The record is from RNAcentral. Lineage: Eukaryota; Viridiplantae; Streptophyta; Magnoliopsida; Poales; Poaceae.
CAGUAUCCCCCCAGGAAGGAUGAUGCGGUGAACUUGAUAUGGCGGCAGGUGAGGCACAAAAUCCCCGCAGUUAAUCUUGCGAUUCACAGGAGUAGGAGAUUAAAAGUCCCAGACUGGUGGUGAGGAUUUGGUGAAUCGUGUACAUAUUAUCAUAUUGAUGGCGAACCGGCAUCAUUCAUAUGGUUCACGACGAAGCCAUGGCGGUCAUUCCUUGUGCACCAUGACACUGGAUCCAGGAAGAUGUUCUAACAGGCACUAACAUUUUUGCCCCUUUUCGUUGAUCUUACGACACUGUAACCAUUACCCCCCUUGAGGUCAUGAUAUAGUGAGAACGUGUGCAUUAGAAAACACACUUACAAACAUGUGUACCAAUAGACUGGAUGUUGCAAUGUAUUCAAGUAGAUAUAAUUUUUCUUACUACUUCUUGAGCCCUUUAACAGCCAAGGUAUCUUUUUUUGUUGUUGGUUGUUUUUGAGAUAGCUAACCACUCAUUUCAAGUGGUAACAGCCAAGGUAUCUUUUGAUACGUUCGUUCUGUGUUGUUUCCUGUGAGAAAUGCUCUGGGUGGCUGGGAUCAACUGUUGGCCUGCUUAUCUCAUUGACUUGUUAGUAGUGGUAGCACAGUAGGUUUUCAGGAAGUGAAUCAGGAUGUAAGAAUUUUAUAUGGUGGGGAACAAACUGACUAUGGUGUGGACUGUGGAGAACACUUUUAUCAUGGGCUACUAAUUUUUAGCUUGUCAUGUCUGUCCUGUUUGCAGCAAUUUCUUGGUGGGGAUUGUGGAGAAGUAAUUGGUGGCUGUGUUUCCUCCAACAUCCAGACUGACAAGAAAAAUCCCUGCAGUUAAUUUUGCGAUUCAGAGGAGUAUAUAGGAGAUUAAAAGUCCCAGACUGCUGGUGAGGAUUUGGUGAAUCGUGUACAUAUUAUCAUAUCGAUGGCAAAACCGGCAUCAUUCAUAUGGUUCAUGACGAAGCCAUGGGUGUGCGCCAUGACACUGGGUCACAGGAAGGACUUGCCAAAUUUAUAUAUAUAUAUUCAGAGGGUCAAAAUGGAUUUGAUCAAACCAACUCCACUUUCGAUUUCUAUUUGGAAUUCAGACUACUAAAGCUCGUCUGCAAGAUGGGCCCACCUAGAAGCUCUCAUGGACUGUAAACAGCAAAUGCCAAGGACUAAUUUGCAUAUAUAUCCAGAGGGUCAAAAUUUAAUUUAAGAUUUGGUUGGGGUGCGCCUGCCCAGGCAGUAGUGCAACGCACUGGACGACACCCGAGGGCCCCAGUGGCAAGCCACUGUGGUGGGCCCUCCCCCACAAAAAAUAAAUUUAAUAUCGUUAUGGGCACAUGGCCCACAUAUCAGAUAUUAAACUGAUAAGAACAGAUACUACACUUGAUCUUAGCCAAAAGGCCGAGAAAGGUAUGAGUUGCAGCGUUGCUCUGCCCCUCUAUUUGUAGCCUACUCGCCCUCCCGUCCCCUCUUCGCUAGGCGAGGUGGUACUAAACGAGUCGCCUCUCUCGCGCGGCUGCGGAGCGCGGACGCUGCGCUGCGUGCCCCCCGACCCCGAGCCAGCCUCUUUGUUGCAUGGGCCUCAAGCGAGACGGCCUUUCCGAUGAGGCCUGUAUUAUGGGCCUGAUUUGCUCUCGGCUCUUGGAGGCCGGGCCCUGUCGGAGCGUGUUCUGAAGCCUGACGGUCCUGCAUGUUAUAUGUAUGGCUGGCUGAGGCGCUGCACUGCACUGCACGGUGAGACGAGACAACCGGCGAGGCGGACUCGAUCGACCGGCAAACUCCCCGGGAAUGCAGUCGUCGUGAUCGAUCGUUAUGUGCGUUCUUUUGCAGAAUAUAUACUCUACUACUAGUGUGUAGCUCUGCACAACAGAAGCGACGUUUGAAGAUGCAAGGUAGCAUCCAUCCAUCAAGGAAUAGUAGUAAAAUGUGCAUGCAAUAAAUAGAAAAACACCGCAGAUAUAUAACAACAACAACAAAAUGCACUCCUAAUAGUUAUCCCCUUCCCCACGGAUCAUAUUAGACUAUCCCAGAAUGAUUCUCAUCCUCUAGAGUCUAGAUUGUUCUAUAUCAAUGUUUGAUGUCAUACUUCAAUGUGAAUCACCAGUUUUUUUUUCCGAAAAAGAUUCAACUCUAUUAGUUCAUCAAAAGUACAAAGCACCUCGAACAUAAUAGAAAUUUACAUCGAGGUCGGUCUCUAGACCACCGAAUGACAACUACCGCCAUCAGAACGAGCCGCCAACAUGCCGCUCCUCUACUGGAGCCGGCAUGACAUUAUCGAUGACAUUCAGGAAGUCUUCAUGCACGUUCCCCUAAGAACUAGUACCAUGGAGCCGCAGUCGUCGUCGUUGAACUGUCGAACAUAUCUGAAGGAACUGGCACCAAAUCUUGCCGGCGCAUGCACGAGAAGAAACUCUAACCUCGUCGCCCCAAGGAAACGACAUAAAUCUACGUCGAAGCUCUGUCGACUGCGUCCAGAUGGACGAACUCGAGGAGAAUCAGAGGACGGAAAACAAACUCGAAGAAGAAGCAUCGUCAUCCACCAGAGCGCCGCACCAGUGAGGACCGAAGAAAAGCUAACCUAAAAUACUAACCGAAGCAAAGGCACCGGGAGUGAAUCGCCGGUUUAUGAUGUGCUACUGAAAUUAUUGAUCUCACCAACAAAUGAUAUUAACCUACGACAUAUCGACAUAUAAGCUUGUGAUUCAACUAAUAAUUUAAAAAUAACAUAAUUAUCAUAAUCCACAAAUUUGUGCUCGUGUUGAUUGUCACACCUCCCAAGCUUUACCAUGCCUAUUACACAAUAUCAUGGACAUAAGAGAGUAUCUCGUGUUUGCUUCCAUGCUACUAAUGUCUCUUUUUAUUAGAGAAUCCUAUAAGCAUGGGAAAUGAAGCUUCUAGAAUACAUGGGAUGAUAGAGUGGGGGAUCAAUUAGAAGGCGAUGUGGCAGAAUCCUAUGGGUUUAGAAAUUAUCUAACGAAUGGCAAUGCUCAGAUUUUCCAUAUCUCAACCGUUCGAUGGAGCAUUUUCAACACUAAUGUUUGAAGUUAUUGUCACACUACAUAGUAGUAUAGAGGUAUAGAUAUAUGACAAAUCGUUCUUCCCUUCGAUGAGCUGGAUCAAACAUGUGUUUCUUACCUUGGUUCUGAUCAUACGUGGUUGCUUGUUUAUCUCUUGUUGAUGUUUUAAUGGUGGCCAGAAACAUUCAAGAACUAAGAGCAACACUAGCAGGGUCACCAAAAUGUUUGAUUGUCAUAGUAAUCGUCAAUAUGACAAUUUUGAGAAAAACACCACUCUAGCAGAGUCGCCAUCCGACCGAAUCAUCAUAAUUCAUGGAGGGAACUCCAUACUAAGUUAGCGAUUACCUAUAUUUUGAGGUUGUGGGGCUUCGUUUGGAGGGCAGGCGGCCAAACGCCCACCGCGACGCGAGAUAAUGAACUGUGGUCACGACAUGUCCAACUAGUCGCGCCCCUUCCCGCUACCGCGCCCCAUGUUUUCUCACUGCCUGCCGUUGUAAAAAAGCAUGGCUCUCUUUCUCUACACUACCACCAUCCGUGCCUCGCAAACUCUUCUUUCUCUGCACUUACACCCUAUCGGUUCCCCUUGACCAAAAUGGGUUCUGCUCUCGGAGGAGAAGAAAUGAAUGCUCGACAAGGAGGAAGUCGUUGGAAUCGCUGAGGAUGAGUGUGAUCGCGGCGACGCGGAGGAGGCCAUGCAAUAGGAUCCCGCCCUCCUCAACAGGUGCCUAGUUUCUAAUCUGAAACACAUGUUGGUGUUUGGGAUGUCAAGCACGAAUACAUGUAUAUAUCCCGUCUGGGUAGGAGAGGCCUUACACACGCAACUUAUAUCGGCCACCACAUGCUCCUUGAUGCCUCACUAUUAAGGAGGCAUGAGAAGGCAUGAGACGAGCGCUACACUGUCAACGUGUCGAACUUCCACCACAAGAAAUAUUUGAGCAGACCACCGGUUGGCGGAGGCUGACGUUUGAGAGCAACAACACCAUACUGCGAGGAGGCACGAUAAGAUUUCGCAGCGGAGAGCACGAAAGCGCGUCAGAUGAUGCCAAUUCAAUGUCAAUAUUGAGGCGACGACUCAUGCAAUAUUGGUCUUGCCCCCUUGAGAAAGUCAUUGAUGGAAAUAUGCCUAGAGGCAAUAAUAAAGUUGUUAUUAUUAUAUUUCCUUAUUCAUGAUAAAGGUUUAUUAUUCAUGCUAGAAUUGUAUUGAUCGAAAACUUAAAUACAUGUGUGGAUACAUAAACAAAUAUUAUGUCCCUAGUGAGCCUCUACUAGACUAGCUCGUUGAUCAAAAGAUGGUUAAGGUUUCCUAACCAUAGACAUAUGUUGUCACUUGAUAACGGGAUCACAUCAUUAGAAGAAUGAUGUGAUGGACAAGACCCAUUUGUUAGCUUAGCAUUUGAUCAUUCAAUUUAUUGCUAUUGCUUUCUUAAUGUCAAAUACACAUUCCUUCGAUUAUGAGAUCAUGCAACUCCCGGAUACCGGAGGAAUACAUUGUGUAAUAUCAAACAUCACAACAUAACUGGGUGAUCAUAAAGAUGCUCUACAGGUAUCUCCGAAGGUGUCUAUUGAGUUGGCAUGGAUCGAGAUUAGAAUUUGUCACUCCGUAUAUCAGAGAGGUAUCUUUGGGCCCUCCCGGUAAUACACAUCACAAGUAGCUUGCAAGCAAAGUGACUAAGGAGUUAGUUACGAUUUGAUGUAUUACAGAACGAGUAAAGAGACUUGCCGGUAACGAGAUUGAACUAGGUAUGAAGAUCCUGAUGAUCAAAUCUCAGACAAGUAACAUACAGACAGACAAAGGGAGUUACAUAUGUCGUCAUUAGGUUCGACCGAUAAAGAUCUUCGUAGAAUAUGUAGGAACCAAUAUGGGCAUCCAGGUUCCGCUAUUGGUAAUUGACCAGAGAGGCGUCUCGGUCAUGUCUACAUCAUUCUCGAACCCGUAGGGUCCGCACGCUUAACGUUCGUUGACGAUAUAGUGUUAUAUGAGUUAUGUGAUUUGGUGACCGAAUGUUGUUCGGAGUCCCGAAUGAGAUCACGGACAUGGAGCUCCAUAAUAGUCUGGAGGAAAAUAUUGAUAUAUAGGACGGUGGUAUUUGGACACCGAAAAGGUUUCGGAGUGAACCGAUGAAAGGAUCUAGAUGACGACUAGAGGGGAGGGUGAAUAGGCAUUUUUAAACUUUUACAGAUUUGGCUUUAUUCUAAUGAGGAAUUAAACUAACGGAUACUUUUCAAGCACAAAUCCUAAAUAUGCUAGGCACAACUAGGUGCACCAACAACCUACGCUAAACAAGAUAGGAACUUAAGCAAACUAGCAAGCACAAGCUAUAUCACAAGAUAUGGAAAUGUAUGAACAACUAAGCAAUUCAACUAGCACAAGAUAUAUCAAUAUGAGCAAGUAUGAAUUGCAGAAAGUAAAGAGUGUGGGUAUGAGAUAACCACAAGUGAGUCAGGGACGCGAAUUUAUCCCGAAGUUCACACUCGUAAGAGUGCUAAUCUCCAUUGGAGCAGUGCCGAAGCCAAAGCUUUGGGGCGUCACCAAGUGACUCACCGUAUUCUCCCUUUCGAGUCACCCCCAACGGAUGAGACUCGAUCCACUCGGGGUUGGUCUUGAAGGCGACCACCACACCUUUACAAUCUUCUCCGGAGCACACCACAAACACGGAAGCUUCCGGAGGAACUUGACCACCUAGUCCACUUCAACACCCUUCCCCGGAGCACACCACAAAAGGAAGCUUCCCGAGGAAUCUUGGCCACAUAGCCUCUUCACAAUCUUCUCAAUGUAUCACCAAACCGUCUAGGAGGCAGAAGCCUCCAAGAGUAAUAAACUCACGGGCUCUCACUCGAACUAAUCGAUGUGGGGAGCUCAAACCAAUGCAAGAAAUGCAAUGCAAGGUCAAGCAACAAAUGCUCAACUCACUCUCUCAAUCUCACAAGAUGCACUCUCGAAACACUACAAAAAAAUACACUUCCGUGAUGAUACAUGUUUGUCACAAUAGGUUGCGUUUUUUGUCAUGCAUGUACAUCCAUGACGAUUUUAUGACAGAAUCGAGAUAGUCAUACAUAUGCUGUCGUAGAAGUGUUCCAUGACAUUACCAAAAUUAUCAUCACGGAAGUGUCCACUUCCAUGACGAUAAAUCGCGCGUCACAAAAGUGCUUUCGUCAAGGGUGACCGACACGUGGCAUCCACCAUAACGGAACGCCGUUAAGCUAUCGGGUUCGAUUUUGGAUCCCAUAAUCCGUUAACAGCCCAGACCAAUGGGGAUUUUCCACGUGUAAAAUCAUCAUUGGCCGCAGGAAACACGUGUUGCCUCACCGUUGGGACAGAUGUCAUCCACUCAUUGGACAAGAGGCGCCUAUGAUAGGUCGACACGUGGCACGGCCCAACAGUGGCCCAUUCCGGUGAAAAAGGUCGGCCCAGUAAAAAUUAGCAGGCCGGCCCAUAUAAGGCCUACUUGUGUCAGGUCCAUUUAAGCCCACGGCCUUUACGAGAUGUGCCAAUUCGGCCCAUCAACGGCCCGUUAAACAUUUGACACCAUUGCAGCCCAUCGUCAGUUCGAGCCCGUUAACAGCCCGCUAUAUAUUUGGGCUCAAUAUCAGCCCGAUGAGAUUUUGGCCUGUUAACGACCCAUUCAAUGGAUGAGCCAAUUUUCAGGAUGUACAUCUUUCGGCCUUUUAGCGACCCAUUUAAAUGUUGGGCUAAUUUCCGGCCCAGUGUGUCUUUCAGCCUGUUGAUGACCCAUAAAUCUGAUGGGCCAUUUGUAGUUGGACCUGAGUUUUGGCCUUUUAGCGACCCAUUUAAGUGUUGGGCCAAUUCCCGGCCCUAUGUGCCUUUCGGCCUAUUAACGGACCAUAAAUGAGUUGGGCCAUUUGUAGUCGGACCUUAGUUUUGGCCUUUUAACGGCCCAUACCCUUCAUGGUCCAAUACCAACCCGAUUUCUCUUUCGGCCUGCUAAAGGCCCACAACACAGUUGGGCCAUUUACAAUACGACCUGACUUUCGGCCUCUUAGCGGCCCAUGCUCUUCAUGGUCCAGUACAAGCCUGUUGUCUCUUUCGGCCUGCUAAAGGCCUACAGUAUAGUUGGGCCAUAUGUAGACCAAACUUAGUAACAGCCUGUUAACGGCCCAUGAAAUAAAUUGGGCCCACCUGUUGCCCGCUUCGAUGUCUGUCACACCCUAGCUAGUCAUGCAUUAGAGUGUUGCAUCAUGUUUACUUUUUCAUCAGAAACUUGAAAUGGGGAUGACAGAACCCCCAGCCCCGUCUGAAACCAACUAGGGUUACUAAAAUAAUUUUUCAAUGAACCUGAAAUGCCCUUCUAAAAUGUCCAUCAUUUUAGCCUUGGUUCAGAACCUCUGACAAAAGUGGUGCACAUUUUUCUAGGCCAUCAUAGGGUCUUUGAAUUAAAUCAUAGAUAUUUGAAAUUGGGCAUUUAAAAUAAUAUAAAAUAUUUAAAUGCUCAAAUAUCUCCAAACUAAAAUGUUUCAUGUUGGAAAUAAUCCAACUAUGGACCAGGAGUAGUUUGGUGAAUUUUGGAGUUGCCUAGGUAUUUUAAUUAAUUCAACAAAGUUGCAGAUAUAUUAAAUAAAACAGAAAACAGAAAAGAAAGGGGAAAGACUUACCUGUGCGGCCCAGCCAGCUGGCCGGCCCAGCUAGCAACCGACCCAGCCCAACACUGUAGCUCCCCGUCGUCUUCCUCCCCACGCCCCGAAGCUGCUGCGUGCUCGCGCGCGCGCGGCCGCGCGGCCACCUCCUGCUUGCCGACGCCCUCCUGACCGCGUGGACGACGUCCGCAGCCCGUCCCGAUCCCCCCUGCUCUCGCUCACUCUCCCCCGUUUCUCCCUCGCUCUCUCUCGCUCUCGGCCGAAGCACACCGUCGCCGCCGUUCGCCGUAGCCACUGUCUCCGGCCACCCCUCGCUCCCCCGAGUAGCUCAGAAGCUCCGCCACAACUCCCUCUUCCUCCCCACCGCUCCACGAGUCCCCGGAAGCCCUGCAUCGCCGCCACGUCGCCGUUCCCCUCUUCGGGCUCCGACCACCGUCGCCGACGAAUUCGCCGUCUCCAGCGCGUCCCCGAGCCCGCUUCGACGCCCACCGCAACCGCGGUGAGCUACGCCACUGUUUCCCCCUCUUCUCCCCCUCGUUCCCUCACCGUAGCUUCAUCUCCACCACGGCCGAACCUCCGCCGUCGCCGAGCUCGCCGUCGACGCAGCUCCGGUGACCAUUUGGUCACCCCGGCGAGUCCAACGCGUUCACAGAACCCAGUAGAGCAUCCCUAGCGCCCCACUUUGCUCGACUUCGAGCUCCAGCACCACUCCUGUGCACGACCGAACCCCGGCGGCCGCAGCCGAGCUCACCGCCGUCAACUCCGGCCACCCCGACCCCAACGGACUCCGCCAAGAGCCGCGGGUCGUCCUCAGCUUCACUCUGGUGAUCGCCGCGGUCCAUUUGGUGGCCGAAACGACCAAAACCACUAUCGCCGCCGCACUGUUGGUCGCCGCCGGCCAGAACUCCGGCGAGCUGACGUGGCCUAGUUGAUUAACCACUAAUCCACCACCUACUGACGCUGACAAGUGGGCCCCAGGGCUUAGUCAAAGCUAACCAGCCCGGGGUCAACGCGGGAUUAGCCCCUGUGACACUGACGUGUGGACCCCACACGUCAGGUUUGACCCGAGCCAGCCCUGUUGACCUGCUGAUGUCACUGUGAUGUCAGGCUGACGCAGUAAUUGAAUUUCUGGAUUUAAAUUAAAUCAGGAAAUUCUAGAAUAUUAUUUAAACUUCAAAAAUUCAUAACUUUUAUUCUGUAACUCCAAAUUGGACAAAUUAUAUAUGAAAAAUGAUCAGAAAAAUCCAAUCUAUCCAUCUGUACUAUUUUCAUGCAUGAUCAAACAAGUUAAAUUGAUGUUUUAAUCAGAAUAAGAAAAGGCACUUUAAAAGGCCAUAUUUGAAUUUGGAAUUUGAAUCUUUGAUUCAAAUUUGCUCAAACCCUACUGGCUUUAGUUGCAUUAGCCCAACACACUCAUAUUGCCAUGUUUCAUGCAUGCAUCAUAUUGUUGCACAUUGUUUGGUGAUGCCUGUGUAUCGUUAUCCUUUGCGACAGGAUCUGUCCCCGAGGAGUAUCGUGAUUACCCUAACGAAGAGUCGUAUCCGUGCAACGAAUCAUCAGGCAAGCAACCAACCAUUUGAUCAUAUCGAUACAAUCCCAUGUUCUCGCUCCUGCUCUCUUUUACUGCAUUAAGACAACGCGAUUCAAACUGCUGUGUGCUACGGUAGUUGAACCCAUUUCCUCUGCAUGACCUGUCAUUGCCACAGUAACUAGAUGAAACCCACUAGCAUGUGUAGGAGUUGUUUGAGCCAUAUGUAUGUGUUGUUCCUACCUUGCUAUGCCUGCUAUGCUUAGAGUCGUGUCAGGUCUGGUUCAUCUGGGUGAUGGGCUAGAGUGAAAUGAUUAUGUCGGUAAUGAGAGUGGUGUGGUGAACACGAUUUGGUAAAGGUAUCGAUGAGAGGCCAUGUAGGAGUACAUGGUGGGUUGUUUCAUUGAAGCCGACCUUAAGCACUGAGAUCUGUAUGUGUGAUUUAAGAUUCAGCUACUACCAUGCAUUGGGCCCGAAACCAAUGGACCCUCUCGACUUCUUAUUCACCCUAGUUCUCCGUCCAGGAGUUGCAAGUAGUUUCUGGUGUUUGUAGCCUACUGGAGGCCGUGGACAGCGCUGACCGUAGGGGUGGGCUGUGAUGCGGUAGGUACGUGGCCGGGUGUACCGAAUACCCGUUAGGUAUCUCGGGAACCCUGUUCACAUCGUUCGGGGCCGUAUGGGAAACCUCGGCCGGACUCCCUGCGGAUGGAACCUGAAUAGGCGAUAAACCUGGACUGGAGACUUAGGUGAUUAGGUAGGUCGUGGCCGACACCCACGUUGGGCUUCCGCUUGAAGGUUGCCGAGUACAUGUCGUGUAAACGACGGUAAGUGGUGAGAGCGUGUAUGAAGAAGUACCCCUGCAGGGUUAACAUGAUCUAUUCGAAUAGCCGCGUCCGCGGUAAAGGACUACUUGGUUGCCUAUACAGUUCAUAGACAAGUAAAUGGAAACUACUAAAAGCCUCAAGAUAAGUGUGAGUGCCGAGGAUGGCUCUUCCGUAGGAAGACGGAGGUGGAUCCUCGGUAGUGUAUUGAAGUGGUGAAUAGUGGACUCGUGUGCGCAAAACUGUUUCAAAUGGAGUAUCGUAGGAUAGUCUAGCCAAGAGUCAAAGCUGGCUUGCUGCAAUAACUCCACCAACCCCUCUUGAUACUAUGCAUGUAUGUAGGAUCUGAUGUAAGUCUUGCUGAGUACCUUUGUACUCAUGUUGCUAUAAUCUACAUUUUUACAGAAGACGCUGCAACCCCUUCUGAUGGGUUCUAUGUAGACGUUGACAUCAACGAGUAGGCUAAAGACCCAGGUGGUGACCCUGAGCUUGUGAAGGACCACGUAGUAUAGCUAGGCUUUCCAAGCCUCUUUUAUUUUACUAGUUGUCUGUACUCAGACAAGUUACUUCCGCUGUUGGCUUGUAUGAUUGUAUGACUUGUAUGUUGGGUCGUGAGACCCGUACCUUUGUGUGUAUGAUAUGUAUGGCUCCCUGAGCCUUAAAUAAAGUACUUGUGUCGUAGAGUCAUGUUGUGAUGCUUCGUUGUAUUUGCACAUAUCGAGCAUAUUGUGUGUAUGAUUGAAAUGCUUGGUAUGUGUGGGAUCUGACUAUCUAGUUGUUUAUCUUUAGUAGCCUCUCUUACCGGGAAAUGUCUCCUAGUGUUACCGCUGAGCCAUGGUAGCUUGCUACUGCUCUGGAACACUUAGGCUGGCCGGCAUGUGUCCUUCUUCGUUCCUGUGUCUGUCCCUUCGGGGAAAUGUCACGCUUUGAGUACCGGAGUCCUGUUAGCCCGCUACAGCCCGGUUUACCGGAGUCCUGCUAGCCCAGUGCUACAGCCCGGACCCACUUGCUGAUGACCGACAUGUUCGAAGCUGGGUCAUGGAUGCCUGUCCCUGUAAGUCUGUGCCACUUUGGGUUUACGACUAGUCAUGUCAGCCUGGGCUCUUUAUCAUAUGGAUGCUAGCGACACUAUCAUAUACGUGAGCCAAAAGGCGCAAACGGUCCCGGGAAAAGGUAAGACGACACCCGUGGGGAUACCGUGCGUGAGGCCGCAAAGUGAUAUGAGGUGUUACCAGCUAGAUCGAUGUGACAUCGAGUCGGGGUCCUGACAGCGUUGGCAUCAGAGCCGGACUGCCUGUAGGUUCUCUAAGCCAAACUGGUCGAUGUUGAGUCUAGAAAUUCUUAGUUAUAUGUAGGGGAAUUGUUUGUGGGUUGGAACGUAAGGCUCUUUUUACUCCUUAUACCUUAUGACAUUCUGAUCUGAGUCAGUCCAUUCUUCCACCGGGGGUUAAGGAAUUAGGAUCUGUUCUCUCUAUCAGGAUCACGUGUUACUAAUCAGUAGUACCUUAUAAGUUUGAUGGAUACAAGCCUAGUUCAGUUCUACUACCACAUUGUGUUGUUAGAAUGGAUUCAGAACUUGAUAUGAUGAUGUUGGGUGUGUACGAAAUCUUUUGUCAAAUGUCUCAAUAUCCUUUUUGAGCAUUUACAGCUGUUAUGCUGCCGAAAUUUUGCUAGAAAUUCUAAUGCCUUUGCAUUAUAAUUGUGCUUUCAGAUGGCCACUCGCGACCUCAAUCAAGUGGUUCGCCUGACUCGAUGCCUAGAUGUACCCGGCCAUACUGCUAAGUUGGUUAGGGUAAUGACUGAGGCUGGAUACCGCUGGUAUCCUGAGUACACGGUCGAAGAGCAAUUCCGAGACUUUAAUCAAAGCCAGUAUCUCUGCACUGUCAGGAUAUUUCCAUCCUAUCCUGGAUCCACUGAGCCUCUUCACUGCUCCUAUGGACUCGGGAUUACUAUUGAGAUGGCUGUGCAGGACGCCGCCUACUCUAUGAUGACCAUUAUGCGAGUCAGAUCUGGUCUAUUUCGGGACUCUGAUUUCCGGUAUAUGCCAGGAUCACUUCCGGGAGCACAAGGAUAUCUCCAAGCUAUCUAUGCUGAUUCUACUCAGGAGGAUUCACGGACUCGCACCACUGCUGAGAUGCUCGAGGAUAAGGACCGUGAAAAUCGGGCCUUAAGGUUAGAGCUCUUCAAUACCUGUGCCGACCACUGGGCCACUUUGACUCGGUUCGCACCGGCGGUGCAAGCUGGAUAUUCAGAUAUGCGCGAUCUCUAUCCAGUGAGAUCUGCUCUGCCGGACGUGAUGGUUUGGCGUGAUGUAGGAGGCAUCACCCCACCUCGCGGUCCCCGUAGGCCACCGUUUGUUGGUCCAAGGCCUCAUCCUAGCCCCUAUGGUCCACAAGCUCCGCGAGAUCGUCUGUUUCCGGAUGAACAUGUUGAGCUUCCAGGCUAUGGAGGUGACUUCUACGAGGACUACUACGGAUCGGUCUGAGUUAGUAGUAGUAUCACUAGUUCGCACUAGCUGUGUCGUCUAUUGUCCUGCGUGUCUCGUGGGAUAUGACCUAGUUUGUACUCUUUCCGGAGAUGUAGAGAAAUAAUGUAUAGGAGCUUGGGAUGCCUCCGAUGAGAUGUAAUCCUCUUUUCACCGUAUUAGUACUUGCUUGGUCUUGUACUAAACCUGUAUGGUGUGUAUGACGAUGGAAUAAAGAAGCAGUUUCUGUAUCUACCAUGUCAUACGGAUGAUCAUCUUGCAUUCUGAAUUAUUCCUUACAUUGUGUAUCCUAUGUCGGAAUUUUAUCAUUCUGACUAAAUCAUUGUCUUGUUUACCUAGGAUGGUCAACACGCGCGCUAACCCUGCUUCCCAAGAGCAGGCCGAAGGCAGUGAAGCCAGAAAUGAACAUCUGCCUCAACCUCCUUCACUAGCCGAGGUUAUGAUGGAAGCUGAGAGAAACAAGCGGGAGACAAACCGGUUGUUGGAGCGUAUUGAACAGAACACAGCACACCAUCAGAGGGCUAACGUGGUGUCACUCAGUGAUUUUAUCAAAUUGCAUCCACCCACGUUCCACCACUCCGUCGAACCUCUCGACGCUGAUGACUGGCUUCGCAGUAUCUCUCACAAGCUGCGUUCCGGCGCUGGUAGCGGAGGCUGACAAGGUCACCUUGGCCGCAUAUCAUCUUGAAGGCCCCGCCAGUCUAUGGUGGGAGAAUUAUGGAGCUAUGCGCCCAGCGGGCCAUGUCACUACUUGGGCUGAGUUCAGUGAGGCUUUCCGUGAACAUCACAUUCCGGAGGGUCUCAUGGACCGUAAGCGUGAAGAAUUUUGCAAUUUCACCCAAGGCCGACUUUCUGUGGAUGUCUAUAGCAGGGAGUUUGGUAAUCUUGCACGGUAUGCAACCGAGGAAGUUUCUACUGACGCCAAGAAGCAAGCAAGGUUCCGCAAGGGCCUUAGUCCUGAGCUUCGCCGCGACCUCCGUCUGCAUGAGUGCACAUCCUUUUCGAAACUUGUCAACAAAGCCAUCAGUGCUGAAACUGGUCAGACUGACUACGACGCAACACGCAAGCAUGGACGUGACAUGGGUUCCUCAUCCGGUGCUGGUCCUCAGAAGCGUCGCAUGUGGGUACCCAACACCGCCCUGCCACCCAGGUUCACACCGAGGCCAUCUUUCCAGGCGCCUCGCCCCGCUCAACAGUCUGCUCCAGCCAAGCCCUAUGGGGGUCCAACCAAUAAUGCUCCUCCACGUACCAGUUCCGUGACUUGUUUCAAGUGUGGGGAAUCUGGUCAUUAUAUGCGUGAGUGUCCCCAGACCAACCCCAAUCAAUCUGCUAAAGCUGUUGGCCGUGGCAAGCCGACAGGAAAAGUGUUUCAUGCUAAACCGGUCACCGCUUCACGUGGCCAUGUCAACUGUGUCUCUGCCGAAGAAGCUCAAGAAGAUCCCAACGUCGUUCUCGGUACGCUUCUUGUUAAUUGCCACCCGGCAUCUGUUCUUUUCGAUACAGGAGCCUCUCAUUCUUUUAUAUCUGAAAAUUAUGCUCGUUUGCAUAACGAUGCAUUCUGUGACUUGCCAUCCACUAUGGAAAUCUCUACCCCUGGGUCUAGAUGGCAGACCUCUAGGGUAAGUUAUAGGAAUGAAAUCCAAGUCGAUAGACUUGUCUUCCUUGCAUCUUUGAUAGCCCUUAAAUCUUCAGAUAUUAAUAUCAUUUUGGGUAUGGACUGGAUGUCAGCUCAUCAUGCCAAAAUUGAUUGCUUCUCUAGGACUGUUCAACUCACCCACCCUUCGGGCAAGAUAGUCAAUGUCUUGACUCGAAUAGCCAAGCGACAACUAUAUUCUCUUAACGCCAACCCUUUGCCAGACCUUGAGGACGUUCCGGUAGUCCGUGACUUUCCGGAUGUCUUUCCAGAGGAAUUGCCAGGUGUUCCACCUGACAGGGAUGUUGAGUUCGUAAUCGACCUCAUCCCCGGAACCGUUCCGAUUGCUAGAAGGCCUUAUAAGAUGGCACCCCUAGAACUAGCCGAGCUUAAGAAACAACUCGAUGAAUCCUUGAAAAAGGGUUUCAUCCGACCUAGUUCAUCUUCGUGGGCUUGCCCCGUCCUAUUCGUCAAGAAGAAAGAUGGUACGGACCGGAUGGUUGUAGAUUACCGACCUGUCAAUUUGGUCACAAUCAAAAACAAAUAUCCACUUCCCAGGAUCAACGACCUGUAUGAUCAGCUCGCUGGAUCCUCAGUCUUUUCUAAGAUGGAUUUGAGGUUGGGCUACCAUCAAAUCAAAAUCAGAAACGGGGACAUUCCUAAAACGGCCUUUGUUACUCGUUAUGGCCAAUACGAGUACACCGUCAUGUCCUUCGGAUUAACCAACGCUCCAGCCACCUUUUCUCGGUUAAUGAACUCAAUCUUCAUGGAGUAUUUGGAUAAAUUCGUCGUAGUUUAUCUCGAUGAUAUACUCAUCUACUCCAAGAACGAGGAAGAACAUGCCGAACAUCUAAGACUAGUGUUGCAGAAACUUCGUGAGCAUCGCCUUUAUGCCAAAUUUUCAAAAUGUGAAUUCUGGUUGCCAGAAGUGACCUAUCUGGGUCAUGUAAUAUCUGGUAAAGGUAUUGUUGUUAACCCUGAGCGAGUUCAAGCCGUCCUUGAUUGGACUCCACCCGAAUCGGUCAAGCAAGUUCGGAGUUUUCUAGGCUUAGCGAGCUAUUGCCGUCGCUUUGUCGAGAACUUCUCCAAAGUUGCUAAACCUCUAACCGAACUCCUCAAGAAAGAUAAGAAGUUCGAAUGGACUCCACAAUGUGAGCACAGCUUUCAGGAACUGAAAAGACGCCUGACCUCUGCUCCCGUGCUGGUACCGCCAGACUUCUCCAAGGACUUUAUUACCUACUGCGACGCCUCGCGACAAGGACUAGGUUGCAUUCUUAUGCAAGAUCGACACGUAAUUGCUUACGCUUCACGGCAAUUGCACCCACAUGAGGAGAAUUAUCCUACUCAUGAUUUAGAACUUGCAGCCGUAGUCUAUGCACUUAAGACCUGGCGACAUUACCUUCUCGGUAAUCGUUGCGAAAUAUUUACUGAUCACCAAAGUCUGAAGUACAUCUUCACCCAACUGGAUCUGAAUCUCAGGCAAAGACGUUGGGUUGAAUUGAUCACAGACUUCGACUUAGGAAUAACCUACACCCCAGGGAAAGCCAACGUCAUGGCUGAUGCGCUAAGUCGUAAAUCUUAUUGUAACAACCUGAUGUUACAACAAAGUCAACCGCUUCUGCAUGAGGAAUUUCGAAAGCUUAACCUUCACAUUGUACCUCAAGGUUUUCUCUCCACCUUGGUGGCAAAACCUACCCUUACGGAUCAAAUCAUCAAAGCACAGAAGGUAGAUCCGGGAAUCUCCCGCAUCAAGAGAAACAUUCAGAAAGGAAUUGCGAAUUGUUUCUCCGUUAAUGAUCAAGGAGUUGUAUACUUCGGGAAUCGACUAGUAGUUCCCAAAGUGCGCAACCUAAGGCGAUUAAUCCUUAAGGAGGCCCAUGAAUCUCCUCUCACCAUUCAUCCCGGUAGUACUAAGAUGUAUCAGGACCUACGCCAGAGGUUCUGGUGGACUAGGAUGAAGAGAGAAAGUGCUCAGUAUAUUGCAAAUUGCGACGUCUGUCGUCGUGUAAAAGCAGAGCAUCAACGACCUGCUGGCACCCUUCAACCCUUAGCUAUUCCUGAAUGGAAAUGGGAUAAAAUUGGUAUGGAUUUCAUUACCGGUUUUCCCAGAACCAAGAGAGGGAAUAAUGCUAUUUUCGUCGUGGUCGAUCGUCUUUCCAAAGUAGCUCAUUUCCUACCUGUUCGUGAGAGUAUAACCGCUAGUCAGCUGGCAGACUUAUACAUCUCCCGGAUAGUGUCUCUCCAUGGUGUUCCUUUGGAAAUCAAUUCGGAUCGAGGAAGUCUUUUCACCUCUCGAUUUUGGGAAAGUUUCCAAAAUGCUAUGGGAACUCGUCUCUCUUUUAGCACCGCUUUCCACCCUCAGUCAAGUGGUCAAGUGGAACGCGUCAAUCAGAUUCUAGAAGACAUGCUUCGAGCCUCCGUUAUCUCUUUCGGAAUGGACUGGGAGAAGUGCCUUCCAUUUGCCGAAUUCGCGUACAACAACAGCUAUCAAUCUAGCUUGGGUAAAGCCCCUUUUGAAGUUCUCUAUGGACGACGAUGUCGAACACCCCUUAACUGGUCAGAGACCGGGGAAAGACAAUUCUUUGGCCCGGAUAUGAUUCAGGAAGCAGAAGAACAAGUUCGUAUCGUUCGUGAAAAGUUGAAAACAGCCCAAUCUCGUCAAAAGAGUCAAUAUGACCGAAAACAUAAGGCUAUGACUUUCGAGGUUGACGAGAAGGCUUAUCUUCGGGUCACCCCUCUGAAGGGAACCCAUCGUUUCGGUAUCAAAGGCAAAUUGGCUCCUCGUUACAUUGGACCUUUUCGCAUUCUUGCCAAACGAGGAGAAGUUGCCUACCAAUUGGAACUACCUCCGCACCUCUCCAAAGUUCACGAUGUCUUCCACGUUUCUCAACUCAGGCGUUGCUUCUCGGAUCCUAUCCGUGAAGUGGACCACGAAACGCUUGAUCUCCAAGAUAAUCUUACAUAUCAAGAGUACCCCAUUCGUAUCCUCGAUCAAGCCGAACGUACCACGCGAUGUCAUAAUAUCAAGUUUCUCAAGGUUCAAUGGUCGCACCAUUCUGAAGAUGAAGCAACUUGGGAAAGGGAGGAUCGUCUUCGACUUGAAUACCCCGCCUUCUUCUCGGAGGAACCCAAAUCUCGGGACGAGAUUCUUUUGAGUGGGGGUGAGUUGUCACACCCUAGCUAGUCAUGCAUUAGAGUGUUGCAUCAUGUUUACUUUUUCAUCAGAAACUUGAAAUGGGGAUGACAGAACCCCCAGCCCCCUCUGAAACCAACUAGGGUUACUAAAAUAAUUUUUCAAUGAACCUGAAAUGCCCUUCUAAAAUGUCCAUCAUUUUAGCCUUGGGUCAGAACCUCUGACAAAAGUGGUGCACAUUUUUCUAGGCCAUCAUAGGGUCUUUGAAUUAAAUCAUAGAUAUUUGAAAUUGGGCAUUUAAAAUAAUAUAAAAUAUUUAAAUGCUCAAAUAUCUCCAAACUAAAAUGUUUCAUGUUGGAAAUAAUCCAACUAUGGACCAGGAGUAGUUUGGUGAAUUUUGGAGUUGCCUAGGUAUUUUAAUUAAUUCAACAAAGUUGCAGAUAUAUUAAAUAAAACAGAAAACAGAAAAGAAAGGGGAAAGACUUACCUGUGCGGCCCAGCCAGCUGGCCGGCCCAGCUAGCAACCGACCCAGCCCAACACUGUAGCUCCCCGUCGUCUUCCUCCCCACGCCCCGAAGCUGCUGCGUGCUCGCGCGCGCGCGGCCGCGCGGCCACCUCCUGCUUGCCGACGCCCUCCUGACCGCGUGGACGACGUCCGCAGCCCGUCCCGAUCCCCCCUGCUCUCGCUCACUCUCCCCCGUUUCUCCCUCGCUCUCUCUCGCUCUCGGCCGAAGCACACCGUCGCCGCCGUUCGCCGUAGCCACUGUCUCCGGCCACCCCUCGCUCCCCCGAGUAGCUCAGAAGCUCCGCCACAACUCCCUCUUCCUCCCCACCGCUCCACGAGUCCCCGGAAGCCCUGCAUCGCCGCCACGUCGCCGUUCCCCUCUUCGGGCUCCGACCACCGUCGCCGACGAAUUCGCCGUCUCCAGCGCGUCCCCGAGCCCGCUUCGACGCCCACCGCAACCGCGGUGAGCUACGCCACCGUUUCCCCCUCUUCUCCCCCUCGUUCCCUCACCGUAGCUUCAUCUCCACCACGGCCGAACCUCCGCCGUCGCCGAGCUCGCCGUCGACGCAGCUCCGGUGACCAUUUGGUCACCCCGGCGAGUCCAACGCGUUCACAGAACCCAGUAGAGCAUCCCUAGCGCCCCACUUUGCUCGACUUCGAGCUCCAGCACCACUCCCGUGCACGACCGAACCCCGGCGGCCGCAGCCGAGCUCACCGCCGUCAACUCCGGCCACCCCGACCCCAACGGACUCCACCAAGAGCCGCGGGUCGUCCUCAGCUUCACUCCGGUGAUCGCCGCGGUCCAUUUGGUGGCCGAAACGACCAAAACCACUAUCGCCGCCGCACUGUUGGUCGCCGCCGGCCAGAACUCCGGCGAGCUGACGUGGCCUAGUUGAUUAACCACUAAUCCACCACCUACUGACGCUGACAAGUGGGCCCCAGGGCUUAGUCAAAGCUAACCAGCCCGGGGUCAACGCGGGAUUAGCCCCUGUGACACUGACGUGUGGACCCCACACGUCAGGUUUGACCCGAGCCAGCCCUGUUGACCUGCUGAUGUCACUGUGAUGUCAGGCUGACGCAGUAAUUGAAUUUCUGGAUUUAAAUUAAAUCAGGAAAUUCCAGAAUAUUAUUUAAACUUCAAAAAUUCAUAACUUUUAUUCUGUAACUCCAAAUUGGACAAAUUAUAUAUGAAAAAUGAUCAGAAAAAUCCAAUCUAUCCAUCUGUACUAUUUUCAUGCAUGAUCAAAGAAGUUAAAUUGAUGUUUUAAUCAGAAUAAGAAAAGGCACUUUAAAAGGCCAUAUUUGAAUUUGGAAUUUGAAUCUUUGAUUCAAAUUUGCUCAAAACCCUACUGGCUUUAGUUGCAUUAGCCCAACACACUCAUAUUGCCAUGUUUCAUGCAUGCAUCAUAUUGUUGCACAUUGUUUGGUGAUGCCUGUGUAUCGUUAUCCUUUGCGACAGGAUCUGUCCCCGAGGAGUACCGUGAUUACCCUAACGAGGAAUCGUAUCCGUGCAACGAAUCAUCAGGCAAGCAACCAACCAUUUGAUCAUAUCGAUACAAUCCCAUGUUCUCGCUCCUGCUCUAUUUUACUGCAUUAAGACAACGCGAUUCAAACUGCUGUGUGCUACGGUAGUUGAACCCAUUUCCUCUGCAUGACCUGUCAUUGCCACAGUAACUAGAUGAAACCCACUAGCAUGUGUAGGAAUUGAUUGAGCCAUAUGUAUGUGUUGUUCCUACCUUGCUAUGCCUGCUAUGCUUAGAGUUGUGUCAGGUCUGGUUCAUCUGGGUGAUGGGCUAGAGUGAAAUGAUUAUGUCGGUAAUAAGAGUGGUGUGGUGAACACGAUUUGGUAAAGGUAUCGAUGAGAGGCCAUGUAGGAGUACAUGGUGGGUUGUUUCAUUGAAGCCGACCUUAAGCACUGAGAUCUGUAUGUGUGAUUUAAGAUACAGCUACUACCAUGCAUUGGGCCCUGAAAUAUGACCCCGCUCGACUUCUUAUUCACCCUAGCUCUCUGUCCAGGAGUUGCAAGUAGUUUCUGGUGUUUGUAGCCUACUGGAGGCCGUGGACAGCGCUGACCGUAGGGGUGGGCUGUGAUGCGGUAGGUACGUGGCACGGUGUACCGAAUACCCAUUAGGUAUCUCGGGAACCCUGUUCACAUCGUUCGGGGCCGUAUGGGAAACCUCGGCCGGACUCCCUGCGGAUGGAACCUGAAUAGGCGAUAAACCUGGACUAGAGGCUUAAGUGUUUAGGUAGGUCGUGGUCUACACCCACGUCGGCUUUCGCUUGAAGUCUGCCGAGCACAUGACGUGUGCAGACGCUAAGUGGUGGAAACAUGUAUGAAGAAGUACACCCCUGCAGGGUUAACAUGAUCUAUUCGAAUAGCCGCGUCCGCGGUAAAGGACUACUUGGUUGCCUAUACAGUUCAUAGACAAGUAAAUGGAAACUACUAAAAGCCUCAAGAUAAGUGUGAGUGCCGAGGAUGGCUCUUCCGUAGGAAGACGGAGGUGGAUCCUCGGUAGUGUAUUGAAGUGGUGAAUAGUGGACUCGUGUGCGCAAAACUGUUUCAAAUGGAGUAUCGUAGGAUAGUCUAGCCAAGAGUCAAAGCUGGCUUGCUGCAAUAACUCCACCAACCCCUCUUGAUACUAUGCAUGUAUGUAGGAUCUGAUGUAAGUCUUGCUGAGUACCUUUGUACUCAUGUUGCUAUAAUCUACAUUUUUACAGAAGACGCUGCAACCCCUUCUGAUGGGUUCUAUGUAGACGUUGACAUCAACGAGUAGGCUAAAGACCCAGGUGGUGACCCUGAGCUUGUGAAGGACCACGUAGUAUAGCUAGGCUUUCCAAGCCUCUUUUAUUUUACUAGUUGUCUGUACUCAGACAAGUUACUUCCGCUGUUGGCUUGUAUGAUUGUAUGACUUGUAUGUUGGGUCGUGAGACCCGUACCUUUGUGUGUAUGAUAUGUAUGGCUCCCUGAGCCUUAAAUAAAGUACUUGUGUCGUAGAGUCAUGUUGUGAUGCUUCGUUGUAUUUGCACAUAUCGAGCAUAUUGUGUGUAUGAUUGAAAUGCUUGGUAUGUGUGGGAUCUGACUAUCUAGUUGUUUAUCUUUAGUAGCCUCUCUUACCGGGAAAUGUCUCCUAGUGUUACCGCUGAGCCAUGGUAGCUUGCUACUGCUCUGGAACACUUAGGCUGGCCGGCAUGUGUCCUUCUUCAUUCCUGUGUCUGUCGCUUCGGGGAAAUGUCACGCUUUGAGUACCGGAGUCCUGUUAGCCCGCUACAGCCCGGUUUACCGGAGUCCUGCUAGCCCAGUGCUACAGCCCGGACCCACUUGCUGAUGACCGACACGUUCGAAGCUGGGUCAUGGAUGCCUGUCCCUGUAAGUCUGUGCCACUUUGGGUUUACGACUAGUCAUGUCAGCCCGGGCUCUUUAUCAUAUGGAUGCUAGCGACACUAUCAUAUACGUGAGCCAAAAGGCGCAAACGGUCCCGAGAAAAGGUAAGACGACACCCGUGGGGAUACCGUGCGUGAGGCCGCAAAGUGAUAUGAGGUGUUACCAGCUAGAUCGAUGUGACAUCGAGUCGGGGUCCUGACAAUGUCGGCCUGUUAACGACCCGGGAGGUAAGAGGACCGACAAUUAACUUUCGGCCUAGUAACGGCCCAUUAACUUAAUGGUCCCACUAAAGCUCGUACAUGUCUUUAGGCCAAAUUAGAUAAUUUGAGCCCAUUACGACGAGCAAUUAUGCACAGGACCAAAACCGAUCAAGCAAAGGUACGGCAUAUAGGGAAUAACGUUGCACAUCCAGCAUAUAUUAUAGGAAAUUACAUCCACUGGGCAAUCAAAGAUUGAUGCCAGUGCAAAUAAAUGAGCAGAACCUAACCAUCUACAACGUCACAAUCUGCAACCUCAGCAUAGAUGACGCCCAUAAGCAUGUGGGCAAGUUCUUGCUGCUUUGCUACACUGUCUAUGAAAACAUUGAUCAGUUAUUGUGUCGCACGACUCUGCACCUCUGAUUCAUCCACCAUUUCCAUCAUUGCUUCAGCCAUUAAUUGGUUCACAAACAUACAUUUAUUCUGUUGCAUUCGAGAGAGAGGAUACUGAACAGAUUCAGAUGGCGAUUUUUGCAGGCUUGUAUUAUUGAUAGCGGAGAGUGUCUCGACCACUGCAUCAUAACAUAAAUUAGAACGGGAACCAAACAGAUUAAUCAUGAGUUAUUGCCAUAUUACCUGGCCUAGAUUUACUGGAAAGAAACAAUGUGGUUGCCUUGUUGUUUUCAGAGUUUGUCUUCUUAUCUUUAGCAGCCUGCACAAAAUUAACACACUAGCAUUGCUAUCAUUGGCCAAGUUAGAUAAUAGAAAAGCAACAUUGAAACAACGAACCUUUGGGAAACUAGCCUACACCAAAUUAACACAAUAUGGCACAGCGAUCAUCAGCCAGGUAAGGUAAUACGAAAGCAACAUUGACACAAUGAAUAAAUGGGCAACCAGAGAAGCACUACAAUUCAGUAAUGUCCGUGAUAUGAGAUAGUACACUCAUGCAGCUCAGUAUGCAAAACUACCAGACAGUUUUCCUUACAAAAGUCAACAUUGGCGCCUUUAACAUUUUGCUACAACUAAUUUUAGAUCAGAUAAAGGUUAGAUUCACGCCGAUUAACAAAAUACAUGCUGAUGUAAAAAUAUAGUGAUAUACAACAGGUACUUACAUCAGCAUUGGAGCACAGAGAAUUCCCGCAAGAUAUUUUCCUCGAAUACGAUCCCAAUGGAGGAAGUCUUCUAUCGUUUAACCUUAUUUUCUAAAAGAGAGAUGGGUAAGAAACAUGCAGAAAAUAUGAUCAGAAUGCUACAAAAUUUCAUGAUGCGAUGAUACGCACACGCUUCUUAGAAUGGAGUUGACAUUCUUUUGCUGGACUGGAGCGGACUAGUUCUUUGGCCACUGGAAUCUGCUUAUUAUCAAUGGGAGUUGAGUUUCUCUGUGCUGGAGCAGUAUCUAUGAAAAAUGGAGUUGGUUUAUUAUCUCCUGGCGUUUGGAUCUUUUGAAAAGAUUUGGUUUGUAACUCUUCAGAUUCUAACAUAGCCGUCUUCCCCUUGCAUGCCUUAUAUAGAAGAAUGGUGAUUCAGUUAUAAAACAUGCUACAACAGAGAUGGAAUAUGUAUUGAAGAAUAGAAAGGCAUGACAUAUUGACAUGUAUUCCCUCCAUCCGGAAAUAAAUGGAUGGGCCUAGGUGUAUUUCAGUUCUAGAUACAUUCAGUUUUAUCCAUUUCUGCGACAUGUAAUCCGGACGGAGUGAGUAUGAUGUAAGAGCUAGGGAUACGACAGGACAACACAGUAAAAAAAACACUGAAAACCCACUGCAGAACCAAAGUAUUCAAACCCAUUGAUAUGAGAUAGUACACUCAUGCAGCUUAGGAUGCAAAACUACCAGGCAGUUUUCCUUACAAAAAUCAACAUUGUAGCCUUUAAUCAUACAUUUUGCUACAACUAAAUUUAGAUCAGAUAAAGGUUGGAUUCACGCUGAUUAACAAAGUACAUGCUGAUGUAAAAAUAUAGUGAUAUACAACAGGUCCUUACAUCUACAUUGGAGCACAGAGAAUUCCUGCAAGAAUCUUUCCUCAUAAACGAUACCAUUGCAGAAAUUCUUCUAUCUAUUAAGCUUAUUUUUUAAAAGAGAGAUGGGUAAGAAACAUGUAGAAAAUAUGAUUAGUGCGCUAUAAAAUUUAAUGAUGCAAGGAUACGCACACGCUUCUUAGAAUGGAGUUGACAUAUUUUUGCUGGACUGGAGCGGACUAGUUCUUUGGCCACUGGAAUCUGCUUAUUAUCAGUAGGAGUUGGGUUUCUCUGUGCUGGAGCAGUAUCUAUAAAAAUUAGAGUUGGUUUAUUAUCUCCUGGCGUUUGGAUCUUUUGCAAAGGCCUUGUUUGUAACCCUUCAAAUUCUAACAUAGUCGUCUUCCCCUUGCAUGCCUUGUAUAGAAGAAUGGUGCUUUAAUUAUAAAACAUGCGACAACAGAGAGACGAAUAGGUACUGAAGAAUAGAAAGACAUGACAUAUUGACAUGUAUUCCCUCCAUUCGGAAAAAAAUGGAUGGGUCUAGGUGUAUUUCAGUUCUAGAUACAUCCUUUUUAUCCAUUCGGCAACAUGUAAUCCAGAGGAGGGAGUAUGGUGAAAGAGCUAGGGAUACGACAUGACAACACAACAAAAAAAAGCACUAGUUGAAUGUAAAACUGUAUGCUAGUGGAAUACAUACAGAAAUAACUAAGGCAACAUACACGUGCAUGAUUGGGAAACUAAGAUGGCAUUGCAAUAGAGCACUAGAACAACACUUCAAUGUAAAAAAACAUGGUAUUGUAGACAGAUGAAGUACAUACUGAUGAAUAACAAUGCACAAGAUAUUCAGAAGCAUGAUGUCCAAAUUAAGCAGAUGGCAUUGCGAUAGAGUAGAAUGGCGGUACUUGAAUUUGAAAACAUGUUAUCAUGAAUGGAAUAGGUACUGAAAAACAAGAAGGCAUGACAUAUUUACACGCAUGAUCAACAUGCUAAGCACAUGGCAUUGCAACAGAGUAGAUACACUCCAGGACAUUAUAUGCAUGUUGUACCCAUAUCACAUGCCAAUUAGAGCAAGAACCUUGUGGGGUGAAGAGGAUUCAUCAUCUUUCUGCAAGUCUUCUGAAGAACUACCUUUACAUGUUCCAUCAUAUUGGGUAUCAUUGACAUCAAGUUUAUUGGCCUUUACAUUGCUCCGCGAGGUUCUUGUGGAUAUAUCAGUGUGUGCAAUUAUAUCUGACAUGCAUGGAAGACAACUAGUAGUUAGAUUUAUGUAAUGAGUGCCUGUAGGAGACGACAUAAAUAGUAGGACUGGGGUUAACUAGCAGCAACAUGUCUCAUAAACUAAAGGGAGAACACAGAUGAAAGCUACAGAAUAUGUAUCGUUUGUACUCGAGAUUAACUAGAUGGCACACAAAAGUAUUAAAGAACAACAUAGGUAAUACUAGACUGGUAUAAUACUACAAUCACCAGCCUGUGGGAUAGCAUUGGCUGAUGGAUGAUAACUAUGGAACAUCGUUACCUAAAGAACAGGUAUCUUAGCUGAACUAUGGAACAUUGUUAACUCCCAAACAAGACCCGUAAGAGAUCAUCAUGAAUAUACAGUGAAAUGUGAUGAUCUAUUUUCCAUGCUUAGAUGAAUAACAAAGCCAUAAAUGUUGCACAUAAGUAAGAUGAGGGUACAACCUAUCUGGCUGCCAUCCAUAGGAGUGAGCAUCAUGUGCUGACUUGUCGAUGGCCCUGCAGUUGUUGUGGUUGUCCAUGUCGGGCACGCGCAUUCGAUGCAGGGAACUGUUGAGUGGGGACUACAGCUUCCUUUUGGUGUAUGCUUCCCUUGUUGGAGCAGCUGCGGUGAGUCGGAAGAUGGUGUGUCUGAAGAUGUAGAUAACACAUAAUGUUAAGAACGACAUAUCUCUUUGAUAUGAAGAAAUACACUAAGAGAUCAACAACAAGGCACGAGAGUGGUCACACGUCUGUUGACUGAAGACUAAAUUGGGGUCACAUGAUUUUAUUUUAUUUUGGUACUGUCCGAUCUACGCCGGAUGGCUUGAUGGCCGUCUUGUGCCUCCCGGCUCACACUGUUCGGAAUCUUCCCCGAAGAGCCAGCAACAACAACAAAGCAGCCUACCUCCGCCUUCCGUGGCCCUGGCCAAAACCCCGCUCCCCGCCCACCGCACUGCCAUGGUUGCGCUGCCCCCGGGCCAAUCCACAAAGACUCCCCGUCAUCCAGAUCCGGCGGCGGCAGUACCUUCAACCCACACAACUCUAAAAGAUAUCCAUCCAAGCGCUGCUUCCGUGGAAAACUUGCGGCCCCGCACCCUUCCAUUAGACACCAGCCAACCGACAGCCUAGGAGCUCCGCCGCCUCGAGGGGCGCUGCUUCCCAUUGGGAAUCGAUUGGCCCAGAAUAAAAAUUCAGACAACUGACGCCUAAAUAAGGUGAUUUGAGAUGAGGGUGCGACCUAUCUAGCGGCAUGGUGAAGUAGGCAGGUCCAGCUGCCGAGUCGGUGAGGCCGGUGCGAUUGCGGUGGCGACCGGCGGCAGGGAAACAGCAAUGUCGCGACGGUCAACGGCUACGGGAAAGCAGCGCCAGGACUCUGGAUGAAUCCGAAGUUGGAGCCGCUCCGGCGUCGUGAACAACGAUGGGGGUGAAUCGGCUCUGGUACGGUUCACGCGGCCAUCAUCGAGGCAGCACCGGCAACACUGAGUAAGAGGCAUACGACCCAGUGCACGACGGCAAAUGGACAGCGUCUCCGGCAUUAGCGAGGAGGGCGGCUUUGAAAAUUGUGCGAUGGGGGGCACCAUGGAGGUGUGCUGUGGUUUCGUGGCUCGGGAGAAGGGAGCUUCCCGGGGAGAAGGUGAUUUGGCGCCCAUGAGGUAUGAAUGGGGGGGCGGGGGGGGGGAUUGGGAGGGGAGUGGAACCAUGUCUUACGGACGCAUUUGUCUGAAAUGUGAGGGGGAGUUACAGUUCUACCCUUGCCUUUAGGCUUCUCGGCUUGGGUCUGUGUACUGAGGGUCGGGGAUAGUAGAGUAACUUUGCUUCUCCCCAAAUAGUGGGCCGGAGCGAUUUCGGGCGAGGAGGGCGUGUUUUGAACUAUAGUGGGCGCGAGCGAUUUCGGGCGAGGAGAGCGUGUUUUGAAAUAAUGGGCGCGAGCUAUUUCGGGCGAGGAGAGCGUGUUUUGUCGACCAUGGUUUAUGAAUUAUUCGACACAUGUCAUUUCGGCCGAGGAUAAGGCGCGCUUGGAUGAAGUUACGAACCUACCCUUGAUGUACGACAGGCCAAUUGAUGUGUGUCCCACAUAGGACGGUAAUUUCGCGUCUCCCAUUUAUUUGCUUGGGAGAAUUCCACCGAGCAGAGAGGAUGUUUAACGGUUCAUUCAAAUUUUGGGAGAACGAGCAUCCACGUCUACCUUACCAAGUCGAUUCGAAUCAAAUUUUCAAAUAUUAGCUUGCCACUUCUUUUUUAGAUGGAGAGAUGAUGCUCGGGAGUAAUGUGUUUUUACAUGCUCGUUGCUAGCGAUUUACUAUAUGACAAAUAGUUGACCCACUAAAAAACGCGAAUCAAACCCAAAAUAAAAUAUCUCGAUUCAAUGAAAUAGCUCGUUCACUAGGUCAAAAUAGUGAACUAAAUCCAAAAUUGAACACCUCAAUCGAGUAGCAUGUUGUACAGUAUUAUGGUACUCCAUGAACAUGUUGAAAGUCAAAUUAAUGAACUUGUUUGAUAUACACAUAUAUCCGUUCAUGUGUGGAUUGCACACAACAUGUUCUCCAAUUUAAAUAUUUGAAUGCAAGUUUAUAUCGAAACAUGGUUUAUAUCAGUCUUUGAUGCAUAAAACGCGACCUCCCCCUCUCCCGGACUCCUGUUCUCUCUCUCUCUCCCACGCGCGCUGACAAUCUUCAAUUCUGUCGCACGCAUCCGACACAAAAACCUUGUUGGUCCCUCUCCCUUUCUCUCCAUCUCUCUCUCUCUCUGUAUGUGUGUGUGUGGGGGGGGGGUCUUUCUAGUUUGCAUGCAUAUAUACACCAUCUAUAGGUCUAUCUCGCACACUAUGUAUGAUACUCUAGCUAGUACAAGCAGAUAUCUUGGGUGCACUCAUCGUACGCACACAAAUUCCUUGGCUCUUUGCCCGUAACUCUCUCACGCACCACUCUGUCGUCUCAGAGCUCUCCCCCCCUCUCUCAAACUCUCCAUCCACCUGGGUUACACAUACACAUGCAUAUCUCACUCGCACUCAAUAGGCCCAUCUAAAACUCUAUCUCUCUCCCUCGUUCUCUCUCCAUCUCACACGCACACACACACACACAACCUCAUGCCUAGCUAGCCAAGUAUGAUGGUCUCUCACUCAAUUGUAGGCACAUGCAGUCCCCCUAUAUGUAUAUGACUAGCUACUCUUAGUCUCCAUCACAAACAUGUGCAUGGUCUAUCUCGAUUUCUCUUGGGGCAUCUUUCUAUCGUGCACGCACCUCCCUCGAUCUCCCACCCAUAUAGUCCCCUCACGAUCUCGAGGGGACCUAUCUAUCACAAACACACCCUCUCUCCCUCCCCAUGCGUCCAUGUCCUCCAUGUGUCCCUCUCGACCUUUGUUCCUUGUUGGCCAGACCUCUAUUGGACAUGUGCUACAGGGGUGUCUCUCUCCAUUGCAAACAAUCACACACUAGCUAUCUUCGUGUAUCUCCUCGCCUCAUGAUACGUCUCCGUCAUAUCUAUAAUUUUUUAUUGUUCCAUGCCAAUAUUAUUCAACUUUCAUAUACUUUUGGCAGCUUUUUAUACUAUUUUUUGGGACUAACAUAUUGAUCCAGUGCCUAGUGCCAGUUCCUGUCUGUUGCAUGUUUUAUGUUUCGCAGAAACCCCAUAUCAAACGGAGUCCAAACGGUAUUAAAACGGACGGAGAAUUAUUUUGGAAUAUUUGUGAUUUUUGGGAGGAAGAAUCAAUGUGAGACGAUGCCCGAGGUGGCCACGAGAUAGGGGCCCAUGCCCACUUAAAGUGGGCGCGCCCCCCACCCUCGUGGGCCACCCGUAAGGCGGUUGACGCUCUUCUUUUGCCACAAGAAAGCUAAUUUUAUGAGAAAAAUCUGGGCGAAAGAUUCACCCCAAUCGGAGUUACGAAUCUCCAGAUAUAAAGGAAACAGUGAAGGGGCAGAAUCCGAGAAUGCAGAAACAGAGAGAUAGAUCCAAUCUCGGAGGGGCUCUCGCCCCUCCCAUGCCAUGGGAGCCAAGGACCAAAGGGGAAACCCUUCUCCCAUCUAGGGAGAAGGUCAAGGAAGAAGAAGAAGAAGAAGAAGGGGGGCUCUCUGCCCCUUGCUUCCGGUGACGCCGGGGCGUCGCCGGGGGCCAUCAUCAUCACUGCGAUCUUCACCAACACCUCCGCCAUCUUCACCAACAUCUCCAUCACCUUCCCCCAUCUAUAUUCAGCGGUCCACUCUCCUGCAACUCACUGUACCCUCUACUUGAACAUGGUGCUUUAUGCUUCAUAUUAUUAUCCAAUGAUGUGUUGCCAUCCUAUGAUGUCUGGGUAGAUUUUCGUUGUCCUAUCGGUGAUUGAUGAAUUGCUAUGAUUGGUUUGAGUUGCGUGUUUUAUUAUUGGUGCUAUCCUAUGGUGCCCUCCGUGUCGCACAAGCGUGAGGGAUUCCCGCUGUAGGGUGUUGCAAUGCGUUCAUGAUUCGCUUAUAGUGGGUUGCAUGAGUGACUGAAACACAAACCCGAGUAAGGGGAUUGUUGCGUAUGGGAUAAAGGGGACUUGAUGCUUUAAUUCUAUGGUUGGGUUUUACCUUAAUGAAUCUUUAGUAGUUGUGGAUGCUUGCUAGAGUUCCAAUCAUAAGUGCAUAUGAUCCAAGAAGAGAAAGUAUGUUAGCUUAUGCCUCUCCCUCAAAUAGAAUUGCAAUAGUGAUUACCGGUCUAGUAACAUAGUCAAUGGCUUAGGGACAAUUUCACAACUCCUACCACCACUUUUCCACACUCGCUAUAUUUACUUUAUUGUUUAUUUAUCUAAACAUCCCCUACUUUUUAUUUACGUGUUCUUUAUUAUCUUGCAAACCUAUCCUAUCACACCUACAAAGUACUUCUAGAUUCAUACUUGUUCUAGGUAAAGCGAACACUAAGUGUGCAUAGAGUCGUAUCAGUGGCCUAUAGGACUCGAGAGAGUAUGUGUUCUACCUUUAGCUCCUCAUUGGGUUCGACACUCUUACUUAUUGAAAGAGGCUACAACUAUCCCGUAUACUUGCGGGUUAUCAAGACCUUUUUCUGGCUCCGUUGCCGGGGAGUCAUAGCGUGGGGUGAAUAUUCCUGUGUGUGCUUGUUUGCUUUAUCACUAAGUAAUUUUUAUUUGUUGUUCUAAGUUGUUCUCUAUCUUUAGUUAUGGAUAUGGAACACGAAAUACCAAAAAAAUUAGGUGUACUUGCUACUCAUGGAGAUGGGGUAACUCCUAAAACCCUCGAUUCUCAUUAUGUGAAAGAUAUUAUGUACUACUUUGAUAAUCCCGAGAAAACCCCAUUCAACUUUAUAAUGGGAGACACGUUGGAUCACGUGAAUACUUUAGGGAUUAUCGCUCGACACAAAAAGGGAAACUAUUAUGGGAUCAAUUUAUUAUGUUGCGUUGGUAUGCCCGGGAUCUAUGCUUGAGAUAUGAUAUUACUUGUUGCUCUAGGAUGUAGGCUCCACACCUUCCCUUUUCAUGCAAAUUUAAUGACAAUGAAACCUUAGAUUCUUAUGCUAAUGGUAUAUAUGAUUACUAUGAUGUGGAACAAAUAGAAGAAUUUGUUGCUUUUAAGGCUGCUUAUGAAAUUGAAUCUUUGUUUGAAAAGUAUGAAGCUUUUGAUGAUGAUGGUGUUUAUAGGCCUGAAAAUCUUGCUAUAAUUAGAUAUUGCUAUGAAAAUUAUGAAUACAAUUACUAUAUUAAUGCAUUUAUUAAGAAAGUCUCCGCUGUCCAAGAAGAGACUAAUAUUUUGCAGGAAGCUAUGGAAGAAGAAAUUGAUGAAACUGUGAGCUCAUUGGAUGAAAAAGAUGACGAGGAGAGCGAAGAACAAAAGGAGGAAGAGCGGAUUGAUCACCCGUGCCCACCUUCUAAUGAGAGUAACUCUUCAACUCAUACAUUGUUUAAUUCCCCUUCGUGCUUACCGAAGGAUGAUUGCUAUGAUCCCGUUGAUUCUCUUGAAAUAUCCCUUUUUGAUGAUGCUUGCUAUGCUUGUGGCCAAGAUGCCAAUAUGAAUUAUCCUUAUGGAGAUGAACUUGCUAUAGUUCCUUAUGUUAAACAUGAAAUUGUUGCUAUUGCACCCACGCAUGAUAGUCCUAUUAUCUUUUUGAAUUCUCCCGACUAAGCUAUAUCAGAGAAGUUUGUGCUUAUUAAGGAUUAUAUUGAUGGGUUGCGUUUUACUACUAUACAUGAUAUUUUUGGUAGAUAUAAUAUGCAUGUGCUUGCUGCUCCUACUUGCAAUUAUUAUGAGAGAGGAACUAUAUCUCCACCUCUCUAUGUUUCCAAUAUGAUAAGAUUGCGAGAAACUGUUUAUACUAUGCGUUGGCCUUUACUAUGUGUGCAUGAAUUGUUCUUUUAUGACAUGCCGAUGCAUAGGAAGAGAGUUAGACUUCGUUGUUGCAUGAUGUAUGUUACUUUGUGCUCACUACUAAAUUACAAAUCAUUGUUAAUUAAAAUUGGCUUUGAUAUAUCUUGGGAUUCGGGUGGAUUCAUUACUUGAGCACCAUAUGCCUAGCUUAAUGGCUUUAAAGAAAGCGCUGCCAGGGAGACAACCCGGAAGUUUUAGAGAGUCAUUUAUUUCUGGUGAGUUCUUUUAUAUAGUUUAAAAACAAAUAAAAUAAAUAGGGGAACCUAAAAACUUUUCAAAAAGGAAAGUGAAAGUGAGAGAGACAAGCAUUGUUGAAGUGGGAGAGCUCCUUGAACUUUGUUCAUGCUCACGGAAACUUUGUGAAUCUUGAUUACAGAAAUUUUUCAUCAAAAAUAAUUAUCCCCUUGUACAAUUACAAUGUAUUAUAAAAAUAAUGUGCAAGGUUUGCCUUUAGGAUGUUUACAAUGCUUGUUGGUUUGUACGGUGCAUGACAGAAACUUUGGCUGUAGUGCGCGAUUUUACAUUUUUAACUGGAACAUCAAACGGUUCUGAUUCUUUUUGCACUGUCUUUACAACUUGUUCAUUUUUCCUAAUUUUGGUAGAAGUUUUGGGGUACCAGAAGUAUGGUGGAUGGUCAGAUUGCUACAGACUAUUCUGUUUUUGACAGAUUCUGUUUUUGAUGCAUAGUUUGCUUGUUUUGAUGAAUCUCAAUUUAUAUCAGUGGAUUAAGCCAUGGAAAAGUUAUAUUACAGUAGACACAAUGCAAAAACAAAAUAUGAAUUGGUUUGAUACAAUACUUAGAGUGGUGAUUUGCUUUAUUAUACUAAUGGAUCUUACCGAGUUUUCUGUUGAAGUUUUGUGUGGAUGAAGUGUCUAAACAAGGAGGUCUCGAUAUGAGGAAAAGGACGAGAGGCAAGAGCUCAAGCUUGGGGAUGCCCGAGGCACCCCAAGUAAAUAUUCAAGGAGACUCAAGCGUCUAAGCUUGGGGAUGCCCCGGAAGGCAUCCCCUCUUUCUUCAACAAGUAUCGAUAUGUUUUCGUAUUCGUUUCGUUCAUGCGAUAUGUGCAAGUCUUGGAGCGUCUUUUGCAUUUAGUUUUCACUUUUCUUUUAUGCACCAUGCUGGUAUGAGAUAGUCCUUGGUUGAUUUAUAGAAUGCUCAUUGCGCUUCACUUAAAUCUUUUGAGUAUCACUUUAUAGAAUGCUUCAUGUGCUUCACUUAUAUCAUUUGAAGUUUGGAUUGCCUGUUUCUCUUCACUUAGAAAACCGCCAUUUGUAGAAUGCUCUUUUGCUUCACUUAUAAUUGUUAGAGCAUGGGCAUAUCUUUUGUAGACAGAAUUAAACUCUCUUGCUUCACUUAGAUCUAUUUAGAGAGAUGACAGGAAUUGGUCAUUCACAUGGUUAGUCAUAAAAUCCUACAUAAACUUGUAGAUCGCUGAAUAUGAUAUGUUUGAUUCCUUGCAAUAGUUUUGCGAUAUAAAGAUGGUGAUAUUAGAGUCAUGCUAGUGGGUGGUUGUGGAUUGUAGAGACACUUGUGUUGAGCUUUGCAAGUCACGUAGCAUGCACGUAUGGUAACCAUUAUGUGACAAAUUUGAAGCAUGGGGUGUUUCUUUGAUUGUCUUCCUUAUGAGUGGCGGUCGGGGACGAGCAAUGGUCUUUUCCUACCAAUCUAUCCCCCUAGGGGCAUGCGUAGUAGUACUUUGCUUUGAGGGCUAAUAAACUUUUGCAAUAAGUAUAUGAGUUCUUUAUGACUAAUGUGAGUCCAUGGAUUAUACGCACUUUUACCUUUCCACCAUUGCUAGCCUCUUUGGUACCGUGCAUUUCCUUUUCUCACCUCGAGAGUUGGUGCAAACUUCACCGGUGCAUCCAAACCCCGUGAUACGAUACGCUCUAUCACACAUAAGCCUCAUUAUAUCUUCCUCAAAACAGCCACCAUACCUACCUAUUAUGGCAUUUCCAUAGCCAUUUCGAGAUAUAUUGCCAUGCAACUUCCAUCAUCAUCAUAUACAUGACUUGAGCAUUUAUUAUCAUAUUGCUUUGCAUGAUCGUAAGAUAGCUAGCAUGAUGUUUUCAUGGCUUGUCCGUUUUUAAUGUCAUUGCUACGCUAGAUCAUUGCACAUCCCGGUACACCGCCGGAAGCAUUCAUAUAGAGUCAUAUCUUUGUUCUAGAAUCGAGUUGUAAUAUUGUGUUGUAAGUAAAUAAAAUUGUGAUGAUCAUCAUUAUAGAGCAUUGCCCCAUGAAAAAAAGAAAAAAAAGAAAAAAGGAAAAAAAAGGGGGCCAAAGAAGCCCACCAAAAAAGAAAAAAAAAGAAAAAAAGAAAGAAAAGAAAAGGGGCAAUGUUACUAUCCUUUUUCCACACUUGUGCUUCAGAGUAGCACCAUGUUCUUCAUAUAGAGAGUCUCCUAUGUUGUCACUUUCAUAUACUAGUGGGAAUUUUUCAUUAUAGAACUUGGCUUGUAUAUUCCAACGAUGGGCUUCCUCAAAUGCCCUAGAUCUUCAUGAGCAAGCAAGUUGGAUGCAGGAUGCACACCCACUUAGUUUCUUUUGUUGAGCUUUCAUACAUUUAUAGCUCUUAGUGCAUCCGUUGCAUGGCAAUCCCUACUCCUCACAUUGACAUCAAUUGAUGGGCAUCUCCAUAGCCCGUUGAUUAGCCGCGUCGAUAUGAGACUUUCUCCCUUUUUUGUCUUCUCCAUAUAAACCUCCACCAUCAUGUUCUAUUCCACCUAUAGUGAUAUAUCCAUGGCUUGCGCUCAUUAUUGCGUGAGGGUUGAAAAAGCUGAAGCGCGUUAAAAAGUAUGAACCAAUUGCUCGGCUUGUCAUCGGGGUUGUGCAUGAUGGGGGCAUUUUGUGUGACGAAAAUGAAGCAUGGCCAAACUAUAUGAUUUUGUAGGGAUAAGCUCUCUUUGGCCUUGUUGUUUUGAAAAGACGUGAUUGCUUUAUUGGUAUGCUCGAAGUAUUAUUGUUUUUUAUGUAAAAUUAUAGACUAUUGCUUUGAAUCACUCGUGUCUUAAUAUUCAUGCCAUGAUUAGACAUAUGAUCAAGAUUAUGCUAGGUAGCAUUCCACAUCAAAAAUUAUCUUUUCUAUCAUUUACCUACUCGAGGACGAGCAGGAAUUAAGCUUGGGGAUGCUGAUAUGUCUCCGUCGUAUCUAUAAUUUUUGAUUGUUCCAUGCCAACAUUAUUCAACUUUCAUAUACUUUUGGCAAAUUUUUAUACUACUUUUUGGGACUAACAUAUUGAUCCAGUGCCCAGUGCCAGUUCCUGUCUGUUGCAUGUUUUAUGUUUCGCAGAAACCCCAUAUCAAACGGAGUCCAAACGGGAUAAAAACGGACGAAGAAUUAUUUUGGAAUAUUUGUGAUUUUUGGGAGAAAGAAUCAAUGCGAGACGAUGCCCGAGGUGGCCAUGAGAUAGGGGCCCACGCCCACUUAAAGUGGGCGCGCCCCCCACCCUCGCGGGCCACACGUAAGGCAGUUGACGCUCUUCUUUUGCCGCAAGAAAGCUAAUUUUAUGAGAAAAAUCUGGGCGAAAGAUUCACCCCAAUCGGAGUUACGGAUCUCCAGAUAUAAAGGAAACGGUGAAGGGGCAGAAUCCGACAACGCAGAAACAGAGAGAUAGAACCAAUCUCGGAGGGGCUCUUGCCCCUCCCAUGCCAUGGGAGCCAAGGACCAGAGGGGAAACCCUUCUCCCAUCUAGGGAGAAGGUCGAGGAAGAAGGAGAAGAAGAAGGGGGGCUCUCUCCCCCUUUCUUCCGGUGGCGUCGGGACGCCACCGGGGGCCAUCAUCAUCACCGCGAUCUUCACCAACACCUCCGCCAUCUUCACCAACAUCUCCAUCACCUUCCCCCAUCUAUAUUCAGCGGUCCACUCUCCCACAACCCAUUGUACCCUCUACUUGAACAUGGUGCUUUAUGCUUCAUAUUAUUAUCCAAUGAUGUGUUGCCAUCGUAUGAUGUCUGAGUAGAUUUUCGUUGUCCUAUCGAUGAUUGAUGAAUUGCUAUGAAUUGUUUGAGUUGCAUGUUUUAUUAUUGGUGCUGUCCUAUGGUGCCCUCCGUGUCACGCAAGCGUGAGGGAUUCCCGCUAUAGGGUAUUGCAAUGCGUUCAUGAUUCGCUUAUAGUGGGUUGCGUGAGUGACUGAAACACAAACCUGAGUAAGGGGAUUGUUGCAUAUGGGAUAAAGGGGACUUGAUGCUUUAAUGCUAUGGUUUGGUUUUACCUUAAUGAAUCUUUAGUAGUUGCGGAUGCUUGCUAGAGUUCCAAUCAUACGUGCAUAUGAUCCAAGAAGAGAAAGUAUGUUAGCUUAUGCCUCUCCCUCAAAUAGAAUUGCAAUAGUGAUUAGCGGUCUAGUAACAUAGUCAAUUGCUUAGGGACAAUUUCACAACUCCUACCACCACUUGUCCACACUCGCUAUAUUUACUUUAUUGUUUAUUUAUCUAAACAGCCCCUACUUUUUAUUUACGUGUUCUUUAUUAUCUUGCAAACCUAUCCUAUCACACCUACGAAGUACUUCUAGUUUCAUACUUGUUCUAGCUAAAGCGAACACUAAGCAUGCGUAGAGUCGUAUCAGUGGCCGAUAGGACUUGAGAGAGUAUUUGUCCUACCUUUAGCUCCUCGUUGGGUUCGACACUCUUACUUAUCGAAAGAGGCUACAACUAUCCCGUAUACUUGCGGGUUAUCACCUCACUUUUCUAUCUCAGAGAUGCAUGCGUAAUAUGUUCGCAUAAGAAACGAAAAAACACACACUCUGUCUAAUUUAUUGUUUGUUGUCACUUUCUCUUUCACACACAUACUCUUUUUGCACACUUACUCAUUCUCCUUCACAUGCACUUGAUUUGUCUCGACUUAGGCACUCUCCUCGGUCCAUAGCAUAUAGAUUUAUUGAAAAGUCAAACAUCACAAAGUUUGACCAUGUACAUGGAGAAAAACAAUUACAUCUAGUAUGGCAAACAUAUACCAUUAGAUUCACCAUGAGAUGUAGUUUUGUAUGAUGUAUCUUUGGUAUUGUAGAUAUAAAUAACAUUUGCGUAAACCUGAUCAAAGUUUCCAAAGUUUGACUUCUAAAAACUUUACAUGCAGUGCAUUAUCGAGCGGAUGGAAUAUCUCUUUCCCCCGCUCAGCUAUCUGACGCACCACUCAGCCUUAUCGGGGCUCCUCAAUCUCUCUCGAACUUUAUUGGUCAGUUUGGUUCGUGACCUGGCCCUCAUGCCUUGAUGGCCAAUACUGCCUGGUGUGGACGUGAGAUGUAAAAUAUUUCUGCCUGGCCAGGCUUGUGUGGUGCUGAAGCGUUUGGUUAAUGCCUGGGCCAGGCAAAGCAUCAACGUCCCAUCAAUCAAUCCAUGCAACAAUUAUUUAAUGCUAAUAUCCAUCCAUGUUGCUGUUAGCCUCAUGGCCGCACGACGAAGCACGGCUAGGCGUUCAAAAUCGGUCGCCUGGGCCAGGCUACUUGCAGUGUCUGGAGUCCAGCCAGGUUAAUUAAAGUGCAAGGGAACCCAUGCCAGGCGGGCUUUCUUUUUCACAUGGUAGCAACCAAACAAGCAUGCAUGAAAUCCAUCUACUACCCCAGGCAAGGCAAAGGAUGCUCUUGACGCAAGCCAAACUGACCUUAUAUCUCCGUGGUUCACACAUACACAUGUCUCGCUCGCGCUAUACAUAUAGACCCAUCCAACACUCUCCGCCCUUGUUCUCUCUCCAUGUGACACGCACCCCCUAAGUACCAUAAUCCCUCACUCCAUCAUAGGCGCAAGCACUCCCCCCCUCCUAAGUAUGAUUAUCUCUUACUAGCCAUCAGGAACACACGUAUUGUCUACUUCCAUCCAUACGUCUAUCUCGAUAUCUCGCGAGGCAUCUUCUAUCACGCACACACCUUGUCACUCGAUCUCCCACCCAUGUAGUCCCAUCACGAUCUCCAGGGGAUCUCUCUAUGACAAACAUACACUCUCUCCUCCCCAUGUCUGCAUUUUCUCCGUACGUCUCUCUCGACCUCCCUCCCUUGUUUGUCAGACCCCUCUUGGCCACGUUCUAGGGGUCUUGCUCUCUUGGUUCCAAACAACCACACACUAUCUCCUCACCUUGCCUCCGUUGUCGAAGAUGCAUGUGUGAUAUGUUUGCAUAAGACACACAUGCUUUUUCUCUACUUUUAUCGUGUGUUGUCCAUGUCUGUUUCACACACACACACACACUUUUUUCACUCACUCUUUCUAUCUCUCUCUCUCUCUCUCUCUAGUUAGGGACUCUGUCACGUCCAUAAGCAUAUGGAUGUUUUGAAAAGUCAAACCUCGGAAAAGUUUGACUAGGUAUAUGUGGAUAAAAACAUUUACAUCUGGAACGAUCAUUAGAUUCAUCACAACAUGUACUUACUUCAUACUAUCAUUUAUGUUUGGUAUUGUAGAUAUAAGUAAUUUCUUUAUAAACUUGGUCAAAGUUUCAAAAGUUUGACUUAAAAACAAUGUUGGAACUACAUUAUCGAACGAAGGGAGUAGCUCUUUCUCUCUCUCUGCUAUCUCUCACGGGCCUCCCCUCUCACUCAAACUCUCUAUACCGACGGAUUAUACGCUCACUCUGUCAGCGUAUAGCUCCGUAUAUUGUUUAGUUGACCGGUCAACCAUUCCACAUGCUACCUUGUCAGCUCGUGUUCUGUAUCUUCGUGUGCUAGCCCAUGUGGCAGUGGGUGAAAAUAAGUAAACUAGAGGUCCAUCUGACACGCGGUGAAGUAAACAAAGUUGAAACCACUCGGGGUAGCACCCCGCUCGCUAGUAAAUUGAGGGCGCAUUGAGGACACACUUCUUGCGCGUGAAGGAUGCACUCGAGCACAACUCACCACUACGCGUCGGCAUGCACAGAAGGACGCACUCGCGCACACCCAGCACACAACACACACCAUCACACAUGUACACCACCGUUGCCGCCGGUUGAGAUGGAUGGUGAGGCAGCCAACAAGCGGAGGCGGCUUGAGCCAAAACCGCAUCCGACGAGCCUGGACUUCAUCAGCAGCCUCCCCGAUGACAUGCUUCUCGUCAUCAUCGGCCUCCUCCCCACCAAAUCUGCCGUGCAGACCGCCCUGCUCUCCCGGCGGUGGCGCCCCCUCUGGAGCUGCAUCCCUCUCAACCUCAUCGUUGACAGCUGCCUCUGCGACGGGGAUUGCAAACGCAUGGCCGCAGUCUCCAAGAUCCUUUCAUCGCACCCUGGGCCAGCCAAACGCCUUGACAUCCGCAUGUUCAGUACCAACUGCAAGGUCCAACCCAAGUUCGAUGAGUGGUUCUUAUCCCCCGCCCUAGAUCAGCUCGAGGAGCUCAGCUUUGAAGCUGGAUGAUGUCGCUCUCUGCCGCCGUCCGCGCUCCACCUCACGCCAACGCUGCACCGCGCCAGCUUCAGCUCCUGCUAUCUUCCCCAGAUUAAUGCCGCGCCCGCCCUUCUUCUCCCUCAACUCAAGCAGCUCGACCUCUUUGACAUUGUCAUCUCAAAGAAGGCUAUGGAGCACCUGCUUCGCACCUGCUCCGCAGCUGUACUGCGCUUGAGUACCUUCGUCUUGAGCAGAUCCACGAGUUCAUUAGCCUCCACAUCGCCUCGACGAAUCUCCGAUGGAUUUAUGUGUCUUGCUGGCCCCGCAACAAGACAUCAAUUGGGAAGAGAUCACUCCAGCUAUUCCACUUUAUGGUCAUUGAGAAUGCGCCUUUCCUUGAGAGAUUGCUUGUAUCGGAUCUAGAAGGUCCAACAAAAAUCAGGGCCAUUGACGCGCCGAAAUUGACAGCGUUGGUGUACUCAUCUGCCAAAUUCUCCGAACUCUUUAUUGGAUCCGUAAUUGUUCAGGUACAACACUCAUCUUCUUCUCCGUCUUCUUGAAAUUCACAUUUUUAAAUUUCUUCUUGAUGUAUUUACGACCGUGUUCCAGAAAAUGAUUCCCACAAGCUUGACCCAGUCCAUGCACAGAGUGAAGAUCUUGGCACUAAAAUCUAUCGGCCCCAAUCUGGAUCAAGUUGUUGGAUUCCUUACAUGCUUUCUGUGCACGGAGAAGCUACUCAUCGAGGUGAAACUUCUUUCCUAUAAGUAAACGGUAAUCACAACGUAGCUCCAUUUUUUUGUAAUUCUCCCAAAUUACGAUGACAAGUGUAGUGUUCAAAACUGCAUCUACGCACUGCACCGAAAGAAAUGUUUUUAGUAUUUUUUCUCACGUGAUCACCUGCAUCGUUUUUAUGCUGUACUACUAUAGUAGCCUAGGCUAGUCAUAGUGGAAAGUAACUUAGACUACUCCAGUAACUCUAUGGUUACCCUAAGAGCAAGUACUACCUUCGUCCUGGUUUACUCUUCCAAUUUUGUAGUAUCAAAAUUUGACCAUAUAUUUAACUGACAAAAUGUUAAUGCAUGUCCCUAAGAACUAUAUUGUUGGAUUCGUAUUUGAACAUAAUUUCAAAUGGUGUAAUAUUUAGUGACAUGCAUUGGCAUUUUCUUAGGUAAAUCUAAGGUCAAAAUUUUAUACUAAAUACGAGGUAGUAUUCCCUCCGUCCCAAAAUUCUUGUAUUACAUUUGUUUAGAUACGGAUGUAUCUAACACUAAAAUGUAACUAGAUACAUCCGUAUUUAGACGAAUUUAAGACAAGAAUUUUGGGACGGAGGGAGUACAAAAGUGGGCUUGUAGGCCAAAACACGUGCCAAAUUCAGUUGUGAUGCAUUUGGCAUUGAUGCCCCUCCAUUGCUCACCUGGUGCCCCAAUCUAGAUCACCUACUUUGCUCCGGUGCCAAAUUAACUCACGCAAUGAAAAAACACUGCGUGGGAGAGAGAGAGAGAGAGGACUGAGGCAAUAAAAAACACUUGUUUGGGAGAGUGAGAGGCUGGUGUAGUUGGUUUCAUUGAUUUGUUUAUACAUGUGGGUCUGUGUACACAGCGGUGCCAACUCUCUCACAUCGUGAGAGCGGUGCCAAAAUCUUUUGAUUUGACAUUGAUGCGUAUUAUGUGGCAUACUUUUGCGAAAUAUGGCAUCGGCCACAUAGUGGAAGGCAACAAAUGCCCAAGCUCUUCACGUGCUCCUAGUUAAAUGAGAGGAAACAGAGAGAGAGAGAGAGAGAGAGAGAGUGAAAAAAUAUCACUAGCGAGCCAACCCUAUCGUAUGAGCGAAUGAUAUUGGUACCUCUUGAUGACACGGCAAUCUUAUACAGCCAGCUGCUCUAAUAUGUUCUCUUCUUUUGCAGAUAAAAAAAGACCCGAAAGUGAAAAAUGUGCUGCACUAUAACAAUCUCAUCGAAUGCCUUGAUCUCCAUCUUACAGAAAUUGAUUUGAUCGACUACCGAGGCAGCACAUCUGAGAUUAAAUUCGCUAGGUUCUUUGUUCUGGAGGCAAGUGUGCUCAAGGUAAUGAGGUUUGGCGUUCUCUGGCGCAACAAUGAAUGGCGUGCUAAUCACAGCAAGUGUCUAAGCCUAAAUGACAAAGUCUCCACAGAAGUUGAAUUUGCUUUUGAAACAUCAAGUGGCCAGAGACUGGAAAACUUAUUUUCCCAUUAGUGACUUGUCAGGGCGGUGGAUUUUAGUUUGUACGAUAAUGCUGCAUCCACCUAAAGUAAUGAAAGUUCUUACGUAAACUUCCUAGUAAUUCCCUCUUCGUAGGUGCAACAUUACUCCUAACAUUUGUAAUAUCAGUUUGAAACUAAUAUUGCCGUGUCCUAUUCCUGCAUUUUCAAAAUCCUGCGAAUCAAACAGGUCCUGAGUUGGUGAUGAUGUUGUGCCUCCCAUCUUUCACCAAUAGCCGUCGGAUCUAGAUCUGACGCAUACAAACCAAGCUUCUCCAUUUUUGCAAAGAUAUGCCCGCACUUGUUCCCUAUUUACAAACAACUCCUUAUCUCUCACAAUCAGCCUUAUCUCCUCCCCACCACAUCUAGAAGGCCGUGGAAAAAUCUGGCGUGAUGGCCGCUACCGGCACUGUCCACCCCCAAUCUUGGUGUUCCGUGCAAUGCACGUGCAUCUAUGCAUUGGAAAUUAUGUCGAACAGGGCUAGUUGCAAGCAGGCUAGCUCUAUAACCAUGAUGAUAGUGACUGCAGACGGUGAGGCUGACUACGGUAUGCCAAACACGACGCCUAUACUCAGGUGUCAUCUCCGGCGCAGGGUCGUGUCACUUCACUGUGAGGAGCAGCGCGUAAUAAUUUGACCAAUGGGUAGUACAGUGCUAGUAGUCCUACUACAUUGGUAGUACUACUACUAGUACUAGUAGCACCACCGUCUGGAUUUAGGAGUACUACCACGUCCAUCUGGAUUUUAGUAUUUGACUAGCAAUAUCUAGUAAUGCAUGUCACAAAAAAUGUACUACUCCCUUUGUAAAUAAAUACAUGGUGUUUUAUUCCUAUCGGCGAGAGAACUUAAUGUCUUUUUGCUAACUAGAGUAAUAGGAUUACAUGCAAUGAACUAAACACUGCAUGUCAUGUUGGGUAGUCUCAAGUCAUUGAAGGCAUGCACGACCCACAUCUCUCAUUGGUUGAUAUGUCACGAAAUAAGAAACAAGGAGUGAGUUAAUGCACCGUGCCUAAGUGUUUUGGGAUUAUUUGGUUUUCGUAAGGUGACUUACACAACAUUUUUGUUUACAUGCAAUAACAUUUUAUUAGUUAAAUCAAAGGUCAAAACUUGGCGCAAAAUGCAAAGGGGACCAAUAAACCAGUAAACAUCAAACUUCUCUCGUUUGGCCCCAACUAGAGGUCCGGCGAGAUGACUAUGCUGCACCAGCACGGAGGGGGAUGUAGCUUCAUUGACUUACUGCAACUGCCUUUGGGUGAAUGACACGUGGGCCCAAGGGUUGGCUGGCCCACCUAUCAUACAGGCUAAGGCAGGUGCAGUAGAGGGCCGAGGAGUAGUACAAAGUACGAAAUCCUAUGCACCUAUGCAUGCUAACCAAGGGCAAGAGUGAUCACUCGGAUCGCAAGAUCAGUUGACUAGAAUCUAAGCUAGACCCACGGAGGCGAUGAGCGCGAGCAUCAACCGGCUGUGCCAGAUGGUCCACGACGCCGGCCUGCGGCCCGGCACCGAGGAACGCCUCCAGGUAUUACUUGAGGCCGCCAGGGCAAGGGGCCGCUUGGACGACAGCUUCGUCUCCUUGUUCGACGAGGUCCUCGUUGGUUUCCUCGACAAGUUCACCGUCGUCAAGAAGCUCACGGACGACUUUGACGUACGCCUCCAGCCGACGCGCCCAGGCUCUGCGAUGCCCGCCACCCUCAGUGGCCACUAUGGUGACAACCUCUUCGACGCACUGGUGGCCCUGCGACUGCCCACCGUCGCGCCGGAGAAUGUCCACCUCGAGGUCGUGCUCGCCGUGCAGCGCCUAGCGCAGCAAGACACCAUCGACAUAAUCACCCACGUCUAUGCACAAAUCGUCCACAAGGACUACUACAUGCAAGAGGAGGACGAUAGGACGCUGGCCUUCUUGGACCGUAGGGCAACCUUGGACGGCAUUGUUCAGAAGCACGUUGAGCUCACCGCCGCUGCUCCUCACACGUCGGUUGGUGACCCGGCGCACUAGGGCGUGAGGAUGUCGUUGAUUGAUCCGUAUGUAUUUUUAUCUUUCUGUCAAAUCCAUGUAGUAGUAUAUGGUACUACUAGUAAUUAUCUUACCUUUCGCAUCAACUUCAUAAUUUUCGUACGUACUCCAUGCAUGAACGGCGCCAGAACCAAACUUCUCAUUACUCUAGGCAAAAUCGUUAUUUUCUAUCUAUCGGUCGCGCCAUGGAGCAGAACCAAAUUUUACAAGUUACGAGUUCAAAAGGAAAAGCCUGCCGUGUUCGUGUCACACCCCCACACGGUUGGUCCGGCACGUCGCUCAAGGGGGAAUGCGUGCGGUGUUGCAUUUUCACUUACAAGUUGGACCCCAGUUGAGCAAACCGACUAUCAGCAAACCCCCACCCCGCCCACCGCGCGAUGGCUGAGAAAAUAGGAGGGAGAAGAGAUGGCUGUAGCAUGGACUCCAAGAAAAUUGGUGUCAGAUGGGACUCAUGUGGGUGGCGUGUGCCGUACUGCUAGAUGUGAAUGCUAGUUAUGGCCCAUGCCACCCCACUAUAUCGAGCCUAUAUCAAGGUACGUAGAACAAAUUUCCUGGAGUCCGUGCUCAACCCUCCUCUAUCUCUCUUCUCAGCUAGCCAGAGGACGCACGGAGCCCAUCGUCUUUUUGCUCACAUGCGGUCCCACAUGUCAGUGAAAAUGCAAGAUGACCCACUGAGCCUGCACAUCUUUCACCUUGAUGUGCUGGUGAUAAAAAACAAAUCCAAUAAAGAUCUUCGGUGGCCGCUUUUGGAGUUACUCAAGAGUAGUAAGAUUCUAUUUACAGUUUAACCCAAGAUGCACAUCACGUGGCUUCAACUACCACUCUAUUUUCUUGCAUGACACGUCCUGGAUGCUGGAUGUCCCAUGUGUCGACAAAAGGAGGAAGAACCCGACCAAAUCUUCGGUUGUGCUAUCGGAUUAGACUAGUUGUGCUAACUUAAAAAUUUUAUUGUGUACUCCCUCCGUUCCAAAAUACUUGACUUCCAUUUGUCCAAAAGUGGAUGUACCUAUAUACUAAAACAUGUCUAGAUACAUCUAUAUUUUGACAAAUAGAAGGCAUGUAUUAUGGAAUGGAGGGAGUAGAAUGGAUGCAAGUUUUGGUAUUGGGAAGAAGAGUACAUCGAUAUAUUGAUAGAGCGUAAUCUAGUAGAUGUUCUAGCACUUUUAGCUAGCAUAGAGGCUAGAGAUGAGACUAGUGCACUUGUUGAUACUCCUACUAGAAUAAAGGCUAGACAUGAGACUAGAUGCGAGGAAGCAACAUCUACUUAUUUACACUUGAAGAAGAAAGAAGCACGCAAGAUCGAGCCUCUACAGAUCAACAAUGAAUGCAUCGAGAAGGCACUAAUCCAACUUACAGGAGCAGUUAUGGAAGUUGGGUAUCUUCUAGAAGAGUAAAAUGUAUUCUUGUGGUUCUUAUUUUCUUUGGUCUUGCUUUUCUAGUCAAAAUUAUUGUUGGAGUUCAUGCAAAACGGAGGUACAUUUGGGGUCGUGUGUUGGAGUUGGCCUUACAAGUGGGACCGCAGUUGAGGAAACUGACUACCGGCAAAACCCCACCUCGCCCGUCGUGCGAUGGCUGAAAUUAGAGAAACGACGAGGUUGAAGAGAUUGCUCUAGCACGGACUCCGAGAAAUAAUAUGGUGUCAGAUGGAUGCACUACAAAAAAAUACACUUCCGUGAUGAUACGUGUUUGUCACAGUAGGUCGCGUUUUUUGUCAUGCAUGUACAUCCAUGACAAAUUUAUGACAGAAUCAAGAUAGUCAUACCUGUGCUGUCGUAGAAGUGUUCCAUGACAUUACCAAAAUUAUCAUCACGGAAGUGUCCACUUCCAUGAUGAUAAAUCGCGCGUCAUAGAAGUGCUUUCAUCAAGGAUGACCAACACGUGGCAUCCACCGUAACGGAAUGCCGUUAAGCUAUCGGGUCAGGUUUUGGAUCUGAUAACCCGUUAACAGCCCCGACCAAUGGGGAUUUUCCACGUGUAAAAUCAUCAUUGGCUGGAGGAAACACGUGUCGGCUCACCGUUGGGACAGAUGUCAUCCACUCAUUGGACGGAAGAUGCCUAUGGUACGUCGACACGUGGCACGGCCCAACAGAGGCCCAUUCCUGUGAAAAGGCCGGCCCAGUAAAAAUUAGUAGGCCAGCCCAUAUAAGGCCUACUUGUGUCAGGUCCAUUUAAGCCCAUGGCCCAUACGAGAUGAGCCAAUUUGGUCCGUCAACGGCCCAUUAAAGAUUUGACACCAUUGCAACCCAUCGUUGGUUUGAGCCCGUUAAUAGCCCGCUAUAUAUCUGGGCUCAAUAUCGGCCCGAUGAUAUUUCGGCCUGUUAACGGCCCGUUUAAUGGAUGGGCCAAUUUUCAGGAUGUACAUCUUUCGGCCUUUUAGCGACCCAUUUAAAUGUUGUGUAGUUUCUGGCCCGGUGUGUCUUUCAGCCUAUUGACGACCCAUAAAUCUGAUGGGCCAUUUGUUGUCGGACCUGAGUUUCGGCCUUUUAGCGGCCCAUUUAAGUGUUGGGCCAAUUUUCUGGCCCGGUGUCACUUUCAGCCUGUUGACGUCCCAUAAAUCAGUUGGGCCAUUUUUAGUCGGACCUGAGUUUUGGCCUUUUAGCGACCCAUUUAAGUGUUGGGCCAAUUCCCGGCCCUGUGUGACUUUCGGCCUGUUAACAGACCAUAAAUGAGUUGGGCCAUUUGUAGUCGGACCUUAGUUUUGGCCCUUUAACGGUCCAUGCCCUUCACGGUCCAAUAUCAGCCCGGUUUCUCUUUCGGUCUACUAAAGGCCCACAACACAGUUGGGCCAUUCACAAUUCGACCUGACUUUCAGCUCUUAGCGGCCCAUGGUCUUCAUGGUCUAGUACAAGCCCGCUGUCUCUUUCGGCCUGCUAAAGGCCUACAGUAUAGUUGGGCCAUAUAUAGCCCAAACUUAGUAAUGGCCUGUUAACGGCCCGUGAAAUAAACUGGGGCCACCUGUUGCCCGCUUCGAUGUCGGCCUGUUAACGACCCGGGAUGUAAGAGGGCCGACCAUUAAAUUUCGGCCUAGUAACGGCCCAUUAACUUAAUGGGCCCACUAAAGUUCGUACAUGUCUUUAGGCCAAAUUAGAUAAUUUGAGCCCAUUACAACGAGCAAUUAUGCACAGGACCAAAACCGAUCACGCAAAGGUACAGCAUACAGGGAAUAACGUUGCACAUCCAGCAUAUAUUACAGGAAAUUACAUCCACUGGGCAAUCAAAGAUUGAUGCCAGUGCAAAUAAAUGAGCAGAACCUAACCAUCUACAACAUCACAAGCUGCAACCUCAGCACAGAUUAUGCCCAUAAGCAUGUGGGCAAGUUCUUUCUGCUUUGCUACACUAUCUCCGAAAACAUUGAUCGGUUGUUGUGUCGCACGACUCUGCACCUCUGAUUCAUCCACCAUUUCCAUCAUUGCUUCAGCCAUUAAUUGGUUCACAAACAUACAUUUAUUCUGUUGCAUUCGAGACAGAGGAUACUGAACAGAUUCGGAUGGCGAUUUUGGCAGGCUUGUAUUAUUGAUAGUGGAGAGUGUCUCGACCACUGCAUCAUAACAUAAAUUACGACGGGAACCAAACAGAUUAAUCAUGAGUUAUUGCCAUAUUACCUGGCCUAGAUUUACUGGAAAGAAACAAUUGGGUUGCCUUGCUGUUUUUAGAGUUUGUCUUCUUAUCUUCAGCAGCCUGCACAAAAUUAACACACUAGCAUUGCUAUCAUUGGCCAAGUCAGAUAAUAGGAAAGCAACAUUGACACAACAAACGUUUGGGCAAGUAGCCUACACCAAAUUAACACAAUAUGGCACAGCUAUCAUCAGCCACGUAAGGUAGCACGAAAGCAACAUUGACACAAUGAAUGAAUGGGCAACCAGAGAAGCACUACAAUUCAGUAAUGUGCGUGAUAUGAGAUAGUACAUUCAUGCAGCUCAGUAUGCAAAACUACCAGGCAGUUUUCCUUACAAAAAUCAACAUUGGCGCCUUUAACAUUUUGCUACAACUAAUUUUAGAUUAGAUAAAGGUUAGAUUCACGCCGAUUAACAAAAUACAUGUUGAUGUAAAAAUAUAGUGAUAUACAACAGGUACUUACAUCAGCAUUGGAGCACAGAGAAUUCCCGCAAGAUAUUUUCCUCGAAUACGAUCCCAAUGGAGGAAGUCUUCUAUCGUUUAACCUUAUUUUCUAAAAGAGAGAUGGGUAAGAAACAUGUAGAAAAUAUGAUCAGAAUGCUAUAAAAUUUCAUGAUGCGAGGAUACGCACACACUUCUUAGAAUGGAGUUGACAUUCUUUUGCUGGACUGGAGCAGACUAGUUCUUUGGCCACUGGAAUCUGCUUAUUAUCAGUGGGAGUUGGGUUUCUCUAUGCCGGAGCAGUAUCUAUGAAAAAUGGAGUUGGUUUAUUAUCUCCUGGCGUUUGGAUCUUUUGCAAAGACCUGGUUUGUAACCCUUCAGAUUCUAACAGAGCCGUCUUCCCCUUGCAUGCCUUAUAUAGAAUAAUGGUGAUUCAGUUAUAAAACAUGCUACAACAGAGAUGGAAUAGGUAUUGAAGAAUAGAAAGGCAUGACAUAUUGACAUGUAUUCCCUCCAUCCGGAAAUAGAUGGACGGGUCUAGGCGUAUUUCAGUUCUAGAUACAUCCAGUUUUAUCCAUUUUUGCGACAUUUAAUCCGGACGGAGGGAGUAUGAUGUAAGAGCUAGGGAUACGACAGGACAACACAGUAAAAAAAACACUGAAAACCCCACUGCAGAACCAAAGUAUUCAAACCCACUGAUAUGAGAUAGUACACUCAUGCAGCUCAGGAUGCAGAACUAUCGGGCAGUUUUCCUUACAAAAAUCAACAUUGUGGCCUUUAAUCAUACAUUUUGCUACAACUAAAUUUAGAUCAGAUAAAGGUUGGAUUCACGCCGAUUAACAAAAUACAUGCUGAUAUAAAAAUAUAGUGAUAUACAACAGGUACUUACAUCUACAUUGGAGCACAGAGAAUUCCUGCAAGAAUCUUUCCUCACAAACGAUACCAUUGCAGAAAUUCUUCUACCUGUUAAGCUUAUUUUCUAAAAGAGAGAUGGGUAAGAAACAUGUAGAAAAUAUGAUCAGCAUGAUAUAAAAUUUCAUGAUGCAAGGAUACGCACACACUUCUUAGAAUUGAGUUGACAUAUUUUUGCUCGAUUGGAGCGGACUAGUUCUUUGGCCACUGGAAUCUGCUUAUUAUCAGUAGGAGUUGGGUUUCUCUGUGCUGGAGCAGUAUCUAUAAAAACUAGAGUUGGUUUAUUAUCUCCUAGCGUUUGGAUCUUUUGCAAAGGCCUUGUUUGUAACCCUUUAGAUUCUAACAUAGUCGUCUUCCCCUUGCAUGCCUUGUAUAGAAGAAUGGUGCUUUAAUUAUAAAACAUGCGACAGCAGAGAGAUGUAAUAGGUACUGAAGAAUAGAAAGGCAUGACAUAUUGACAUGUAUUCCCUCCAUCCAGAAAAAAAUGGAUGGGUCUAGGCGUAUUUCAGUUCUAGAUACAUCCUUUUUUAUCCAUUUCGGCAACAUGUAAUCUGGACGGAGGGAGUAUGGUGUAAGAGCUAGGGAUACGACAGGACAACACAACAAAAAAAACUAGUUGAAUGUAAAACUAUAUGCUAGUGGAAUACGUACAGAAAUAACCAAGGCAACAUACACAUGUAUGAUUGGGAAAAUAAGAUGGCAUUGCAACAGAGCACUAGAACAACACUUCAAUGUAAAAAAAUAUGGUAUGGCAGACAGAUGAAGUACAUACUGAUGAAUAACAAUGCAUAAGAUAUUCAGAAGCAUGAUGUCCAAAUUAAGCAAAUGGCAUUGCGAUAGAGUAGAAUGACAGUACUUGAAUUUGAAAACAUGUUAUCAUGAAUGGAAUAGGUACUGAAAAACAGGAAGGCAUGACAUAUUUACAUGCAUGAUUAGCAUGCUAAGCACAUGGCAUUGCAAUAGAGUAGAUACACUCCAGGACAUUAUAUGCAUGUUGUACCCAUAUCAUAGGCCAAGUUAGAGCAAGGACCUUGUGGGGUGAAGAGGAUUCAUCAUCUUUCUGCAAGUCUUCUGAAGAACUGCCUUUACAUGUUCCAUCAUAUUGGGUAUCAUUGACAUCAAGUUUAUUGGCCUUUACAUUGCUCCGUGAGGUUCUUGUGGAUAUAUCAGUGUGUGCAAUUAUAUCUGACAUGCAUGGAAGACAACUAGUAGUUAGAUUUAUGUAAAUGAGUGCCUGUAGGAGACGACAUAAAUAGUAGGACUGGGUUUAACUAGCAGCAACAGGUCUCAUAAACUAAAGGGAGAACACAGAUGAAAGCUACAGAAUAUGUAUCGUUUGUACUCAAGAUUAACUAGAUGGCACACAAAAGUAUUAAAGAACAACAUAGGUAAUACUAGAAGUGGUAUAAUACUAUAAUCACCAGCCUGUGGGAUAGCAUUGGCUGAUGGAUGAUAACUAUGGAACAACGUUACCUAAAGAACAAGUAUCUUAGCUGAACUAUGGAACAACAUGAACUCCUGAACAAGACCCAUAAGAGAUCAGCAUGAAUAUACAGUGAAAUGUGAUGAUCUAUUUUCCGUGCUUAGAUGAAUAACAAAGCCAUAAAUGUUGCACACAGGUAAGAUGUGGGUACAACCUAUCUGGCUGCCAUCCAUAGGAGUGAGCAUCAUGUGCUGACUUGUCGAUGGCCCUGCAGUUGUUGUGGUUGUCCAUGUCGGGCACGCGCAUUUGAUGCAGGGAACUAUUGAGUGGGGACUGUAGCUCCCUUCUAGUGUAUGCUUCCCUUGUUGGAGCAGCUGCGGUGAGUCGGAAGACGGUGUGUCUGAAGAUGCAGAUAACGCAUAAAGUUAAGAACGACAUAUCUCUUUGAUACGAAGAAAUACACUAAGAGAUCAACAGCAAGGUACAAGAGUGGUCACACAUCUGUUGACUGAAGACUAAAUUGGGGUCACACGAUUUUAUUUUAUUAUGGUACUGUCCGAUCUACGCCGGAUGGCUUGAUGGCCGUCUUGUGUCUCCCGGCUGACACUGUUCGGAAUCUUCCCCGAAGAGCCAGUGACCAACGGCAGAGCAGCCUGCCUACGCCGUCCGUGGCCCCAUCCAAAACCCCGCUCCCCGCCCCACCGCACCGCCGUGGUUGCGCCGCCCCCGGGCCAAUCCACAAAGACUCCUCGUCAUCCAGAUCCAGCGGCGGUAGUACCUUCAACCCACGCAACUCUAAAAGAUAUCCAUCUAAGCGCUGCUUCCGCGGCGAACUUGCGGCCCCGCACCCUUACGUUAGACACCAGCCAACCAGCAGCCUAGGAGCUCCGCCGCCUCGAGGGGUGCUGCUUCCCAUUGGGAAUCGAUUGGCCCAGAAUAAAAAUUCAGACAACUGACGCCUAAAUAAAGUGAUUUCAGAUGAGGGUGCGACCUAUCUGGCGGCAUGGUGAAGUAGGCAGGUCUAGUUGCCGAGUCGGUGAGGCCGGCGCGGUUGCGGUGGUGACCGGAGGCAGGGAAAGUGCAAUGUCGCGACGAUCGAUGGCUACGCGGAAGCAGCGCCAGGACUCUGGACGGAUCCGAAGUUGGAGCCGCUCCGGCGCCGUGAACAACGGCGGGGGUGAAUCGGCUCUAGUAUGGUUCACGCGACCAUCAUCGAGGCAGCACCAGCAGCACGGAGUAAGAGGCACACGACCCAGUGCAUGACGUCAAUUGAACAGCGUCUCCGGCAUUAGGGAGGAGGGCGGCUGUGAAAUUGGUGCGGUGGGGGGCGCCAUGGAGGUGGGGCNNNNNNNNNNNNNNNNNNNNNNNNNNNNNNNNNNNNNNNNNNNNNNNNNNNNNNNNNNNNNNNNNNNNNNNNNNNNNNNNNNNNNNNNNNNNNNNNNNNNNNNNNNNNNNNNNNNNNNNNNNNNNNNNNNNNNNNNNNNNNNNNNNNNNNNNNNNNNNNNNNNNNNNNNNNNNNNNNNNNNNNNNNNNNNNNNNNNNNNNNNNNNNNNNNNNNNNNNNNNNNNNNNNNNNNNNNNNNNNNNNNNNNNNNNNNNNNNNNNNNNNNNNNNNNNNNNNNNNNNNNNNNNNNNNNNNNNNNNNNNNNNNNNNNNNNNNNNNNNNNNNNNNNNNNNNNNNNNNNNNNNNNNNNNNNNNNNNNNNNNNNNNNNNNNNNNNNNNNNNNNNNNNNNNNNNNNNNNNNNNNACCAUGUCUUACGGACGCAUCUGUCUUAAAUGUGAGGGGGAGUUACAGCUCUACCCUUGCCUAUAGGCUUCUUGGCUUGGGUCUGUGUACUGAGGGUCGGGGAUAGUAGAGUAACUUUGCUUCUCCCCAAAUAGUGGGCGGGAUCGAUUUCAGGCGAGGAGGGCGUGUUUUGAACUAUAGUGGGUGCGAGCGAAUUCGGGCGAGGAGAGCGUGUUUUGAAAUAGUGGGCGCGAGCUAUUGCAGGCGAGGAGAGCGUGUUUUGCCGACCAUGGUUUAUGAAUUAUUCGGCACAUGUCGUUUCGGCCAAGGAGAAGGCGCGCUUGGAUGAAGUUAGGAACCUACCCUCGAUGUACAACGGGCAAUUGAUGCGUGUCCCACAUAGGACAGUAAUAUCGCGUCUCCCAUUUAUUUGCUCGGGCGAAUUCCACCGAGCAGAGAGGAUGUUUAAUGGUUCGUUCAAAUUUUGGGAGAACGAGCAUCCACGUCUACCUUACCAAGUCGAUUCGAAUCAAAUUUUGAAAUAUUAGCUUGCCACUUCUUUUUUAGAUGGAGAGAUGAUGCUCGGGAGUAAUGUGUUUUUACAUGCUCGUUGCUAGCGAUUUACUAUAUGACAAAUAGUUGAUCCACUAAAAAACGCGAAUCAAACCCAAAAUGAAAUAUCUCGAUUCAAUGAACUAGCUCGUUCAGUAGGUCAAAAUAGUGAACUAAAUCCAAAAUUGAACACCUCAAUCGAGUAGCAUGUUGUACAGUAUUAUAGUACUCCAUGAACAUGUUGAAAGUCAAAUUAAUGAACUUGUUUGAUAUACGCAUAUAUCUGUUCAUGUGUGGAUUGCAGACAACAUGGUCUCCAAUUUAAAUAUUUGAAUGCAAGUUUAUAUCAGUCUUUGAUGCAUAAAACGCGACCUCCCCCUCUCCCGGACUCCUGUUCUCUCUCUCUCUCUCACUCUCUCGCCGACAAUCUUCAAUUCUGUCGCACGCAUCCGACACAAAAACCUUGUUGGUCCCUCUCCCUUUCUCUCUCUCCCCCCUCUCUCUCUCUCUCUGUGUGUGUGUGUGUGUGUGUGAAAGUACAACUAUCCCUAGGUGGUUUUGGUAAUUCAUAACAACAUAUAGCUCAUUGAGCUAAUGCUAUUCCAAGACUAAUAUUUCAGGAAAGCUCAAUGAAUGGCAUGGCAUGGAUGAUGAAAGUGGAUCCCUCAAAAUACUAAGGACAAAGGAUUGGCUCAAGCUCAUUAGCUCAAGACUCUUCAUUUUAUAUUUUAGUGAUCCAAGAUCACAUUGAGCCUAUAGGAAAAGCCAAUACUAUCAAGGAGGGAUGAGGUGUUGCUUAAUGAGCCUCUUGCUUCAUGUGCUUAGUGAUAUGCUCCAAAACCCUCAUCUACUUUCUCACAUCCACAAAUGACCUAAACCCAAAGCCAAAAUCAGUCACACCGAUUCUUCCUAUCCGGGGACACCGAAUUCAAAUGUCAUAGCCACUGCCACAAACCCUAGGCAAAUCGGUUUUACCGAUAGGGAUCUCGGUCUCACCGAGAUGGGAUUGUAAUCUCUCUGUUUCCCUUUGUAACGUUUCAUUCAAACCAAAGUGAGCAAUCGGUCCCACCAAGAUUGCAAUGUAAACUCUCUGUUUCCCUUUUGUAACAUUUCGGUCUCACCGAAAAGAGCAAAUCGGUCCCACCGAGUUUACCUGACCAACUCUCUAGAAAGCUUAUUACCAAAAUCGGUCUCACCGAGUUUGUGUAAUCGGUCUUACCGAGAUUAAGUUAUGCCCUAACCAUAACCGAAUCGUUCUCACUGAGUUGCAUGUCAAUCCCACCGAAAAUCACUAACGGUCACUAGGUUUACUAAAUUGGUCCGACCGAGUCAGUUGAAUCGGUCCCACCGAGUUUGGUAAAUUGUGUGUAAUGGUUAGAUUUUGUGUGGAGGCUAUAUAUACCCCUCCACCUCCUCUUCAUUCAUGGAGAGAGCCAUCAGACUAAACCUACACUUCCAACUUACCAUUUCUGAGAAAGAACCACCUACUCAUGUGUUGAGGCCAAGAUAUUCCAUUCCUACCAUAUGAAUCUUGAUCUCUAGCCUUCCCCAAGUUUCUUUCCACUCAAUUAUUCUUUCCACCAGAUCCAAAUCCUAUGAGAGAGAGUUGAGUGUUGGGGAGACUAUCAUUUGAAGCACAAGAGCAAGGAGUUCAUCAUCAACACACCAUUUGUUACUUCUUGGAGAGUAGUGUCUCCUAGAUUGGCUAGGUGUCACUUGGGAGCCUUCGACAAGAUUGUGGAGUUGAACCAAGGAGUUUGUAAGGGCAAGGAGAUCGCCUACUUCAUGAAGAUCUACCCUAGUGAGGCAAGUCCUUCAUGGGCGACGACCAUGGUGGGAUAGAAAAGGUUGCUUCUUCAUGGACCCUUCUUGGAUGGAGCCCUCCGUGGACUCGCGCAACCGUUACCCUUCGUGGGUUGAAGUCUCCAUCAACAUGGAUGUACGAUAGCACCACCUAUCGGAACCACGCCAAAAACAUCCGUGUCUCCAACUGUGUUUGAAUCCUCCAAACCCUUCCCUUUACUUUAUUGCAAGUUGCAUGCUUUAAUUUCCGCUGCCUAUAUACUCUUUGCAUGCUUGCUUGAAUAGUGUGAUGAUUGCUUGACUUGUCCUAAGAUAGCUAAAAUCUGCCAAACUCUAAAAUUGGGAAAAGCUUAAGUUUUUAAUUGGUCAAGUAGUCUAAUCACCCCCUCUAGACAUACUUCAAGGUCCUACAAGUGGUAUCAGUGCUUUGGUCUCCAUUUGCUUUGAUUUCCAUAGCUUUUGGUGGUCAUAGCCUUGGUUUCACAACCUAUGAGAGUAUGGCGUCUAGCGAGGGAAAUUAUCACCGUAGAGGUCCUUACUUUCAUGGUACUAAUUUUGCUAGUUGGAAGCAUAAGAUGAAAAUGCAUAUUCUCGGACAUAACCCCGCCGUCUGGGCUAUUAUUUGUAUUGGCUUGCAAGGUGAAUUCUUUGAUGGGAGAGAGCCGAACCGUGAAGCUAAUGCGGAAGAAUUGAAGAUGUUGCAAUACAACGCUCAAGCUUGUGAUAUCAUCUUCAACGGUCUGUGCCCCGAAGAAUUCAACAAAAUUAGCCGUCUUGAGAAUGCAAAGGAAAUUUGGGACACUUUGAUUGAUAUGCACGAAGGUACCGAAUCUGUCAAGGAAUCCAAGUUGGAUGUGCUCCAAAGUCAGCUUGACAAGUUCAAAAUGAAGGAUGGUGAAGGUGUCGCUGAAAUGUACUCUAGGCUUGCUCUUAUUACAAAUGAGAUUGCCGGCUUAGGGAGUGAAGAGAUGACCGACAUAUUCAUCAUCAAGAAGAUCCUAAGAGCAUUGGAUAGAAAGUAUGAUACCAUGUGCACAUUGAUCCAAAUGAUGCCAAACUACAAAGAUCUCAAGCCAACGGAAGUCAUUGGAAGGAUUGUUGCUCAUGAGAUGUCACUCAAGGAUAAGGAGGAACUUCACAACAAGUCAAGUGGUGCUUACAAAGCCUCAAGUGAAGCCCCCACACCAUCAAGUGAGAAACAAACCUUCAAUGAAGAAUUGAGCUUAAUGGUGAAGAACUUCAACAAAUUCUACAAGAGUAGAAGCAAAGAAAGAAGCUCCAAGUCAAGGUCUUACCAUGACAAAAGAUCUUCUAGUCGAGAGCGCAAUUGCUACAAUUGUGGGAGGCCUGGACACUAUUCCAAUGAGUGUACGGCACCCUACAAAAGAAGAGAAGAUUCUCCAAAAAGAAGAAGUAGAAGAGAAGAAUCACCACCAAGAGAGAGGAGGAGUAGAGAUGAUCGUUAUGAACGAAGAUCCUCACGGAGAAGCAAAGAUUCAGAAAGGAAGGACAAGUCAUCAAGGAGAUACACAAAACGAAGACAUCAAGCUCAUGUUGGUGAAUGGGUUUCCAGCUCUGACUCCGACAAACACUCCUAGAGAAACUAUCACUCCGACUCCGAAUAUACUCAAGAUGAAGGUGUUGCCGGUCUAGCACUUGUGUCAACCAACUCCUACGACAUAUUUGAUUCACCAAAUGAAGGAAUUGGAAGAUGCUUCAUGGCCAACGGUCCAAAGGUAACACAUCCUGAGUAUGUUGAUUUCAAUAGUGAUGAAGAUGACUUGCUUGUGGAUGAUGAUUUACUUGUUGACAACUCUAGUGAUGAAUACUAUGAUGAAACGUCAAUUAAUCAUGCUAAACAAGAUAAAACGAAUGACAAUGAUAAGGAGAAGAUUGAGCUUCUAACUAAAGAACUAAACACUCUUAAGUUAGCUCAUGAAACUAUCUUCGAAAAUCGUCGAGAACUUUUAAGGGCUCAUGAGAAGUUACGCUUUGAAAAGCUCAAUCUUGAGCAAGAGCAUGAGUUCUUAAAAGCAAUCAAUGAUGAUCUCCGUAAGAAAAGUUCUUCUUACAUUGCCAAGCGUUUACUCCUAUCUACUUACAUGCCUCAAGUCAAGUCUAGUAACAAGUACAAGAAAGAUACUUCCUCUAGUAGUAACAAUAACAAUGUCAAAUCCAAUAUUGUUGCUUCUAGUAGUUCUCUUGAUUCCACUAAUGAUUCUCUUAGCCAAGUUACACUUGAGCAAGAAAAUAGCUUAUUGAAGGGAAUUAUAGAGAAAGGUGUUUACAAGAGCCUUGCCGGGAGUAAGCAAUUCGAGGAAAUUGUACACAAGCAAGGAAGGCACCGGAAGAAUCAAGGUGUUGGUUUUGAAUGAAAGUUCAAUGCCAAUGGAGUUGAGUGGGAAGAAUAUCAAUACCCCAAGACGAAGUUUGUUCCUCAACAAGUGAAGUAUGAUCCUACUUCCUUUAAGGGAACACAAGCUCAAGAUGAUCUUCCACCACAAGACCAUAAAGGCAAGGACAAGCUUCAAGAAGAGAUUGAUGCAUUUGAAGAAGCACCUAAGGUCUCGGUCAAGUGGAUUCCCAAGACUACGUCAAGUUCUACUUCAUCAAGUACAACUACAACUCCAAGGAUUCCCAUCAAGAUGAUGUGGAUCCCGAAGAAGAAGAACUAGAGAGUUCUUGAGGGUGACUCCGCCAACAUUCUUCACUCAUAUUAUUAUGGCAAGGACAAGUGCAAUCAACCUCCACAUCUUGCACUAGUUCAAGGAGUCACAAACCCUCAUGUUGGUAAGGCAAGGAACAAGGUAACCUAAUGUUUUCAUGGACAUCAUCUUGUGUGUGCAUCACUCUAUGUCUAUGGAUAUUCUUGUUUGUUCCUUGUGGGACUAACCCAUGUAGGUAUGUUGAAAGUGCAACUCACUCCAAUGGAUUGCUCCAAAUGAUCUACAUCAACAUUGAGCAUCCACAUCUUCAACACCUACAUGAAGUCAUCAUCGACAAAACCCAAGGUUAGUUCAUCCCUCUAAAAGGGGAUCUCACAUCUAGGGGGAGCUUAACUCUAAGACUUGAGUCAAAGCAACUGUAAUGGUGUGAACACAUCAAUGCAUUAUGUAAAAGUGGUAACCCCACUUGGGCUUAAAUGAUGAGUAUGACCUAUGAUCAAAUGUUUAUCAUUUGACUCCUAAGUCAAUAUACUCAUAUAUAGAUGACCUAGUCAUCGCCAAUUGUUUGAUAGAUGCUAGAAUUGGUUGUGCAUGCUUUGCUACAUAUUUCUUUUGCCAUCUUAUUGUGUGAGCAUGUUGGUGCAUAUUUUACUCAUUUAAGGACAUCCACUUGUUGUUUUGAUUGUUUGGUUCUUCCUUCUUUUGGCCAAGUGGAUGGACAAGAAUGCCUAAGAACUUUCUCUAGCUAUCUAUGCUUUUCUCGUCUCAAACUCUAUUCAUGCUACAUCACAAAAUUUGAUCAAGUCAGAUUCGAACCACUCUGUGUGAGGAGCACUCGGAGUCCCCGAUUCGUCAUAGACUUAAACUUCCAAAACUUCUUUGUGAUUCUCGGUCUACCGAUUCCUCCAUUUCGGUCCAACCGAGAUCACUAAGACAAUCUAGGUUUUCAAUCUCGGUGCAACCGAUUUGAACUUUUUGGUCACACCGAGUUGCUGUAACUGAACAUAGUUAUGCAUCUCGGUGCCACCGAGUUGUUCCACUCGGUCACACCGACAGGGUCGGGCUAUAUAUAGUCACGGGCAAAAUUUGAAAAUUUCUCCGAAACCCUUCGCCCAUGCAAUAGCUCGCUCUGCCUCCAAGGUCUCCGGAUCGUCUCCUCGUCGCCAGCAGCCUCCUGUCGCUGGUCUCUGCCACCGUCAACGGAAUUCAACCCCGCCGUUGCUGCCGUAGCGAGUUCAUCGCCAAGCUAGGGUAUGGAUUGAUCACUGUGCUAUCCUUGUCCGAUUCCUAGCACAUUGUGUUCUUAUUGAUUCUUGCCACGAUUGAAACACUCCGAUCCAAUCCGUAGAUUAGAUGAGAUUUGAAAAUUUAGGGUUAGUUUCCGCCGAAACCAUCUUGGACCCACCGAGUUGAAAAACUCGGUCCCAUCGAUUUGGCUUAUGCCAUUGCGCUAGUAACUCUCGGUCUGACCGAGAAUUGCUAAUCGGUGCGACCGAUUUUAGGACUUUGUGAAACCCUAGCAGUCUUGGUGCCACCGAACUGUGAUUCGGUCCAACCGAGUUCAUCAGUUUAGGUUCCAAAACUGCUUCGGUAUCACCGAGUUUGAAAAUCGGUUGAUCCGAAAUGCUUUCUGUGGAAAACUAAAACUGAAUUUUUUGAAUCAUUCUUUUGCAAAAAUCUCUGCAUUUUGUGAUGCUCAUCCACUCCAUCUCAUCUAUAACUCUUUAUAGGGUCAGCAGUCAGAGUUUGCAGCAUGUCAGACCAGAGUGACAGUCAGAAUAGGUCAGAAGGGCAGAUGCAAAUGAGUGAGGGCACUAGUCCCUCCAGCACUUCAGAUGAAGGCAUCAGGAGCACUCCUAGCAACCUGCCUAAGGCUGCUACCAGGCAAAGGAAGAAGAGAACUUUAGACUAUGAAGAUGAGGAUUAUAGAGCUGAAGAGGAUGAAGCUACUUCCAAGAAGGUAGUGCACAAGAAGGUGCUUAGUUCAACUGCAGUAAAGCCAGGCAUGAAGAUCAAAAGGCCUGCAGGGAGACAACCAAUGUCCAAAGCCAAGCAUCAACUCAACUGCCUGAGAUGCCUGAAGAGCCAGCUGCUGAAGGAAAGAAAAGGAAGGAAAGGGUCAAGAAGACCAUGGCCAGAGUUGUUGGGCAACCUUCCAUGAUGGAAGAAGAAGAGCUUGCUGCACCAGCACCAAAGGCACCAAAGCUUAUGGGAGAUGCUAUUAGAUCAGGGGCUGCAACAUCUAAGCCCAAGGAAGCACCCAAAGCUGCCCCCAAGGCCAAGUCUGCACCAAAGAGGAAUACCAGGAGUAUUCCAGCUGCUGAGAAGAACAAGGCCCCAAUGCCUGAGGUUGUUGAGGAGGAAGAUGAAGAAGGACAAGUUUUGAGGAAGCUCAAGCCCAAGAUACCAGACCAUAAUGAUGCCCAUCCUGUAGCUGAGGACAUGACCAUCAGAAAAGCUUCAGGGUUGAGGCUAUGGAGGAUGACAGAUCCAUAUGCCACAAGGAGAAGAACUGAUGUUGAUUACAGGUUCCAUACAAAGGAACAUCAGGCUUCUAUGAGACAAUCUUGUUGGACAAAAAGCCCAUUGUGUGUGAUAUGAGGUGGGUCGACUAGACCUACAUGAAGGAAAAUGAAGAACACUAUCCAGGAGUACAAGACAGUUUUGUUGCUUGUGGAGUUGCAGAUUUUGUUGGGCAGAAGCUCACCAAUUGGAACGAUGAACUCAUUAUGCAAUUCUACUCCACAGCACACUUCUAUCCAGAUGGAAGGAUAGUUUGGAUGUCUAAAGGUACAAGGUACCAGUCAACUGUUGAGGAGUGGGCAAAACUGAUAAAUGCCCCAAAGGAAAAUGAUGAUGACCUGGAUGUAUAUGCCAAGAAGAAAAUGGGACAUAAUACCAUGGCUCAUAUGUACUCCCUCCGUCCGGAAAUACUUGUCAUCAAAAUGGAUAAAAGGGGAUGCAUCUAGAUGUAUUUUAGUUCUAGAUACAUCUCUUUUUAUCCAUUUUGAUGACAAGUAUUUUCGGACGGAGGGAGUACAAGGAGAUCCCAGACAAAGCCCUAGAGACUUUCUCUUUUGGAUCAGUCCACUUUCUUAUGUCAGGGCUGCCUACAAUCAACUGGAUCCUAAGGCACACUCUAUUGCCUAAGUCUGGUGACCACAACAUGAUUAGAGGGCAUGCAAUCAACAUGUUGCAUUUGUUUGAUGUGCCUCAGAAAUUCAAGGUCAUGAGCCUUAUAGUAGAAACUAUUAAGAGGACUGCAGCAGAUCAUAAGAGGAGUUGUGGAUAUGCCCCUCAGAUUCAGGAGUUGAUUAACUCAAAGAUGGGCACAUGCAAAUAUCUAUUGGAUAGGGAACAUUUUCCUCUCUAUCCAGACUUUGAGGACAAUGAGGUUGUCAUGAAUGAAGAUGAACCAUCAUCAGUUCAAGAUCAAGAGAAGAAGGAGAAGGCAAGGAAGGAGAAGGCUGCCAAGAUGCCAACUCAAGAGGAGGCAUCUGAGUAUUUCUUGAAGAACAAGUAGGAGCAGCUUGGUUAUUUGAUAGCAUCAACACUGAGGAUUGAGAAGGGGUUGGCCACCUUAACUCAGAAUCAGGAGAGCUUGGAAAGAAUCAUGGAACAAAAAUUCUAUGAUCUUGAUGUCAAGGUAACUGAGAUUCAGUCAGUUGUGGAGCAGCUGCAGGAUGACAUGCAGGAGAGGAAGGGCAAGACUACCACUAAUGUAUUUGCCAGAGUGCCUAGAGUUCAGAGGUCAGCUGCAGUGCCAGUGACAGACACUAGAGCAACAUCAUCUGCACCAGCCACAGCUCCUACAGCUCCAGUGCAACCAGCUCCAGCACCAACUCCUCCAGCUCUGUCUACAUCAACUGAAGCCUUCAUCCUUGGAGUUAUCCGGACACCACCAACUGAAGAUCAAGCCUGAGAGUCGAUCUAACACUAUGCAUUUUCUAUGAACUUUUUGGUAACUUGUUGCCAAAGGGGGAGAAAAAUGUAUAGAUCAUAGGCUUCGAGAGAGAGAGAGUGUUGCUUUUGUUCUCUCUUGCUUUGGUGGUUUUAAACUUGUUUGUUUUUUGAUUGCUUGAGAUACUAUGCUAUUCUUGUGAGACAUUGAUGAUCAUGUGUUUGAUCAUAAGCUACACUUAUGCAUGUUUGAUCAUAUUAUCCUAUCUAUCCUAUGUGAUCAUUCACUUUGCUUGGUGAUGAGUGCAUGUAUUUAAUCUUUAUCAUUUUGAGCGCUCCACCAAGAUGUAUGUGACAUGGAAGAGUAACCCAUGAGCCUAAUUCCUUGUGCAUUUGCAGUCCAAAGCAAAUCUUAAACUAUGCACAAAUUUAGGGGGAGCUCUUGCUUAUCACAUACUUCUCAAAGCGACGAUGUUUUUCAAUCUUAUUAUCAUUUGUCGAAGCUUUGAUCUAUAUGUUGUCAUCAAUUACCAAAAAGGGGGAGAUUGAAAGUGCAACUAUCCUUAGGUGGUUUUGGUAAUUCAUAACAGCAUAUAGCUCAUUGAGCUAAUGCUAUUCCAAGACUAAUAUUUCAGGAAAGCUCAAUGAAUGGCAUGGCAUGGAUGAUGAAAGUGGAUCCCUCAAAAUACUAAGGACAAAGGAUUGGCUCAAGCUCAUUAGCUCAAGACUCUUCAUUUUAUAUUUUAGUGAUCCAAGAUCAUAUUGAGUCUAUAGGAAAAGCCAAUACUAUCAAGGAGGGAUGAGGUGUUGCUUAAUGAGCCUCUUGCUUCAUGUGCUUAGUGAUAUGCUCCCAACCCCUCAGCUACUUUCUCACAUCCACAAAUGACCUAAACCCAAAGCCAAAAUCGGUCACACCGAUUCUUCCUAUCCGGCGCCACCUAGUUCAAAUGUCAUAGCCACUGCCACAAACCCUAGGCAAAUCGGUUCUACCGAUAGGGAUCUCAGUCUCACCGAGAUGGGAUUGUAAUCUCUCUGUUUCCCUUCGUAACGUUUCGGUCAAACCGAAGUGAGCGAUCGGUCCCACCAAGAUUGCAAUGUAAACUCUCUGUUUCCCUUUUGUAACAUUUCGGUCUCACCAAAAAGAGCAAAUCGGUCCCACCGAGUUUACCUGACCAACUCUCUGGAAAGCUUAUUACCAAAAUCGGUCUCACCGAGUUUGUGUAAUCGGUCUUACCGAGAUUACGUUAUGCCCUAACCCUAACCGAAUCAGUCUCACCGAGUUGCAUGUCAGUCCCACCGAAAAUCACUAACGGUCACUAGGUUUACUAAAUCGGUCCGACCGAGUCUGUUGAAUCGGUCCCACCGAGUGUGGUAAAUUGUGUGUAACGGUUAGAUUUUAUGUGGAGGCUAUAUAUACCCCUCCACCUCCUCUUCAUUCGUGGAGAGAGCCAUCAGAAUAAACCUACACUUCCAACUUACCAUUUCUGAGAAAGAACCACCUACUCAUGUGUUGAGGCCAAGAUAUUCCAUUCCUACCAUAUGAAUCUUGAUCUCUAGCCUUCCCCAAGUUGCUUUCCACUCAAAUCUUCUUUCCACCAGAUCCAAAUCCUAUGAGAGAGAGUUGAGUGUUGGGGAGACUAUCAUUUGAAGCACAAGAGCAAGGAGUUCAUCAUCAAUGCACCAUUUGUUACUUCUUGGAGAGUGGUGUCUCCUAGAUUGGCUAGGUGUCACUUGGGAGCCUCCGACAAGAUUGUGGACUUGAACCAAGGAGUUUGUAAGGGCAAGGAGAUCGCCUACUUCGUGAAGAUCUACCGCUAGUGAGGCAAGUCCUUCGUGGGCGAUGGCCAUGGUGGGAUAGACAAGGUUGCUUCUUCGUGGACCCUUCUUGGGUGGAGCCCUCCGUGGACUCGCGCAACCAUUACCCUUUGUGGGUUGAAGUCUCCAUCAAUGUGGAUGUACGAUAGCACCACCUAUCGGAACCACGCCAAAAACAUCCAUGUCUCCAACUGCUUUUGAAUCCUCCAAACCCUUCCCUUUACUUUCUUGCAAGUUGCAUGCUUUAAUUUCCGCUACCUAUAUACUCUUUGCAUGCUUGCUUGAAUAGUGUGAUGAUUGCUUGACUUGUCCUAAGAUAGCUAAAAUCUGCCAAACUCUAAAAUUGGGAAAAGGUUAAGUUUUUAAUUGGUCAAGUAGUCUAAUCACGCCCCCUCUAGACAUACUUCAAGGUCCUACAGUGUGUGUGUGUGUGGGGGGGGGGGUCUUUCUAGUCCGCAUUCAUAUAUACACCAUCUAUAGGUCUCUCUCGCACACUAUGUAUGAUACUCUAGCUAGUCCAAGCUAGAUAUCUUGGGUGCACUCAUCGUACGCACACAAAUUCCUUGGCUCUUUGCCCGUAACUCUAUCACGCACCACUAUGUCGUCUCGAAGCUCUUCCCCCCUCUCUCAAACUCUCCAUCCACCUGGGUCACACAUACACAUGCAUAUCUCACUCGCACUCAAUAGGCCCAUCUAAAACUCUAUCUCUCUCCAUCGUUCUCUCUCCAUAUCACAUGCACACACACACACACACAAUCUCAUGCCCAGCUAGCCAAGUAUGAUGGUCUCUCACUUAAUUGUAGGCACACGCAGUCCCCCGUAUAUGUAUAUGACUAGCUAAUCUUAGUCUCCAUCACAAACAUGUGCAUGGUCUAUCUCGAUUUCUCUCGGGGCAUCUUUCUAUCGCGCACGCACUCCCUCGAUCUCCCACCCAUAUAGUCCCCUCACGAUCUCGAGGGGAUCUCUCUAUCACAAACACACCCUCUCUCCCUCCCCAUGCGUCCAUGCCAUCCAUGUGUCCCUCUCGACCUUUUUUCCUUGUUGGCCAGACCUCUAUUGGACAUGUGCUACAGGGGUGUCUCUCUCCGUUGCAAACAAUCACACACUAGCUAUCUUCGUGUAUCUCCUCGCCUCGCUUUUCCAUCUCGGAGAUGCAUGCGUGAUAUGUUCGCAUAAGAAACGAAAAAACACACACUCUCUCUAAUUUAUUGUUUGUUGUCACUUUCUCUUUCACACACAUACUCUUUUUGCACACUUACUCAUUCUCCUUCACACGCACUUGAUCUGUCUCGACUGAGGCACUCACCUCCGUCCAUAGCACAUAGAUUUAUUGAAAAGUCAAACAUCACAAAGUUUGACCAUGUACGUGGAGAAAAAGAGUUACAUCUAGUACGGCAAACAUAUACCAUUAGAUUCACCAUGAGAUGUAGUUUUGUAUGAUGUAUAUUUGGUAUUGUAGAUAUAAAUAACAUUUGCGUAAACCGGAUCAAAGUUUCCAAAGUUUGACUUCUAAAAAAUUUACAUGCACUGCAUUAUUGAGUGGAUGGAAUAUCUCUUUCCCCCUCUCAGCUAUCUGACGCACCACUCAGCAUUAUCGGGGCUCCUCAAUCUCUCUCAAAGUUUAUUGGUCAGUUUGGUUCGUGACCUGACCCUCAUGCCUUGAUGGUCGGUACUGCCUGGUGUGGAUGUGAGAUGUAAAAUAUUUCUGCCUGGCUAGGCUUGUGUGGUGCUGAAGCGUUUGGUUCAUGCCUGGGCCAGGCAAAGCAUCAACGUCCCAUCAAUCAAUCCAUGCAUCAAUUAUUUAAUGCUAAUAUCCAUCCAUGUUGCUGUUAGCCUCAUGGACGCAUGACCAGGCACGGCCAGGCGUUCGAAAUCGGUCGCUUGGGCCAGGCUACUUGCAGUGUCUGGAGUUCAGCCAGGCUAAUUAAAGUGCAAGGGAACCCAGCCCAGGCGGGCUUUCUUUUUCACAGGGUAGCAACCAAACAAGCGUGCAUGAAAUCCAGUCACAACCCCAGGCCACGCAAAAGAUGCUCACGACGCAAGCCAAACGGGCCUUAUAUCUCCGUGGUUCACACAUACACAUGUCUCGCUCGCGCUAUACAUAUAGACCCAUCGAACACUCUCCGCCCUUGUUCUCUCUCCAUGUGACACGCACCCCCCUAAGUACCAUAAUGCCUCACUCCAUCAUAGGCUCUGUUUGGAUCCAUGGGUUAGAGUUAGUUAGAGUUAGUUUGGGUUAGUUUGGAGUCAACUAACCCAAAAAGAUACAAACAGGAGGGUUAGUUUAGGUUAGAUGCAUCUAACCCAUCCAAAAAAACUAACCCAUCCAAAAGGUGCUUAUUUGGGUUAGUUCUUCUCGGGACCACUAAUAAACACUUUUUUCUCCCGCUCUCCCUGCAGCAGAUCCCUCCCCACUUUCUCGAAGCUUCUCGUCCUCUCCCUCCCUCCCUCUCGCACCGCCCAUGAAGGUGCCUCGCCGUAUUCGCGCUCCAUCUAACCCUGCCAUCCAAACACCUCUUUACUUAGAGCUAGUUCAGGGUUUGAAUCUAACUCUAACCUCUAACUGAGUUAGAGUAUCCAAACAGGGCCAUAGGCGCAAGCACUCCCCCCUCCUAAGUAUGAUUAUCUCUUACUAGCCAUCAGGAACACACGUAUUGUCUCCUUCCACCCAUACGUCUAUCUCGAUAUCUCUCGGGGCAUCUUCUAUAGCGCACACACACCUUGUCACUCGAUCUCCCACCCAUGUAGUCCCAUAACGAUAUCCAGGGGAUCUCUCUAUGACAAACAUACACUCUCUCCUCCCCAUGUCUGCAUUUUCUCCGUACGUCUCUCUCGACCUCUCUCCCUUGUUUGUCAGACCCCUCUUGGCCACGUGCUAGGGGUCUUCCUCUCUCGGUUCCAAACAACCACACACUAUCUCCUCACCUUGCCUCCAUUGUCGAAGAUGCAUGUGUGAUAUGUUUGCAUAAGACACGCACGAUUUUUCUCCACUUUUAUCGUGUGUUGUCCAUGUCUCUUUCACACACGCACACACACUUUUUUCACUCUCUCUCUCUCUCUCUCUCUCUCUCUCUCUCGUCAGGGACUCUGUCACGUCCAUAAGCAUAUGGAUGUUUUGAAAAGUCAAACCUCAAAAAAGUUUGACUAGGUAUAUGUGGAGAAAAACAUUUACAUCUGGAAUGAUCAUUAGAUUCAUCACAACAUGUACUUACUUCAUACUAUCAUUUAUCUUUGGUAUUGCCGAUAUAAGUAAUUUCUUUAUAAACUUGGUCAAAGUUUCAAAAGUUUGACUUUAAAAAAUGUUGUAACUACAUUAUCGAACGGAGGGAGUAGCUCUUUCUCUCUCUCUCUGCUAUCUCUCAUGGGCCUCCCCUCUCACUCGAACUCUCUAUACCGACGGAUUAUACGCUCACUGUGUCAGCGUAUAGCUCUGUAUAUUGUUUAGUUGACCAGUCAACCAAUCCACAUGCUGUGUUGUCAGCUCAUGUUCUGUAUCUUGGUGUGCUGGCCCUUGUGGCAGUGGGUGAAAAUAAGUAAACUAGAGGCCCAUCUGACACGUGGUGAAGGAAACAAAGUUGAAACCACUCGGGGUAGCACCCUACACGCUAGUAAAUUGAGGGCGCAUUGAGGACAAACUUCUUGUGCGCGAAGGACGCACUCGCGCACAAUUCACCACUACGCGGUGGCAUGCACAGAAGGACGCACUUGCGCAUACCCAACACACAACACACACCAGCACACGUGUACACCAGCGUCGCCGCCGGUUGAGAUGGAUGGCGAGGCAGCCAACAAGCGGAGGCCGCUUGAGCCAAAACCGCAUCCGGCGAGCCUGGACUUCAUCAGAACCCUCCCCGAUGACAUGCUGCUCGUCAUCAUCGGCCUCCUCCCCACCAAAUCUGCCGUGCGUACCGCCCUGCUCUCCCGGCGGUGGCGCCCCCUCUGGCGCUGCGUCCCCCUCAACCUCACCGUCGACAGAUGCCUGUGCGAUGGGGAUUGCAAACGCAUGGCCGCAGUCUCCAAGAUCCUUUCAUCGCACCCUGGGCCAGCCAGACGCCUUGACAUCCGCAUGUUCAGUACCAACUGCAAGGUCCAACCCAAGUUUGACGAGUGGUUCUUAUCCCCCGCCCUAGAUCACCUCGAGGAGCUCAGCUUAGAAGCUGGACGAUGUGGCUCUCUGCCGCCGUCCGCGCUCCGCCUCACGCCAACGCUGCGCCGCGCCAGCUUCAGCUCCUGCUAUCUUCCCCAGAUUAAUGUUGCGCCCGCCCUUCUUCUCCCUCAACUCAAGCAGCUCGACCUCUUCGAUGUUGUCAUCUCGAAGAAGGCUAUGGAAAACCUGCUCCGUAGCUGUACUGCGCUCGAGUACCUUCGUCUUGAGCAGAUCCACAGGUUCAUUAGCCUCCACAUCGCCUCGAUGAAUCUCCGAUGGAUUUAUGUGUCUUGCUGGCCCCACAACAAGAGAACAAUUGGGAAGAGAUCACUCCAGCUGUUCAAUGUUAUGGUCAUUGAGAAUGUGCCUUUCCUUGAGAGAUUGCUUGUAUCGGAUCUAGAAGGUCCAACAAAAAUCAGGGUCAUUAACGCGCCGAAAUUGACAGCGUUGGUGUACUCGUCUGCCAAAUUCUCCGAACUCUUUAUUGGAUCCGUAAUCGUUAAGGUACAACACUCAUCUUCUUCUCCGUAUUCUUGAAAUUCACAUUUUUAAAUUUCUUCUUGAUGUAUUUACGAUCGUCUUCCAGAAAAUGAUUCCCACAAGCUUGACCCAGUCCAUGCGCACAGUGAAGAUCUUAGCACUAAAAUCUAUCGGCCCCAAUCUGGAUCAAGUUGUUGGAUUCCUUACAUGCUUUCCAUGCACGGAGAAGCUACACAUCGAGGUGAAACUUCUUUCCUAUUAGUAAACGGUAAUCACAACGUAGCUCAAUUUUUUUCGUAAUUUUCCCAAAUUACGAUGACAAGUGUAGUGUUUAAAACUGCAUCUACGCACUGCACCGAAAGAAAUGUUUUUAGUAUUUUUUCUCACGUGAUCACCUGCAUCAUUUUUAUGCUGUACUACUAUAGUACCCUAGGCUAGUCAUAGUGUAAAGUAACUUAGACUACUCCAGUAACUCUAUGGUUACCCUAAGAGCAAGUACUACCUCUGUCCUGGUUUACUCUUCCAAUUUUGUAGUAUCAAAAUUUGACCAUAGAUUUAACUGACAAAAAGUUAAUGCAUGUCACUAAGAACUAUAUCGUUGGAUUCGUAUUUGAACAUAAUUUCAAAUGGUGUAAUUUUUAGUGACAUGCAUUGGCAUUUUCUUAGGUAAAUCUAUGGUCAAUAUUUUAUAUAAAUACGAGGUAUUAUUCCCUCCGUCCCAAAAUUCUUGUCUUACAUUUGUUUAGAUACGGAUGUAUCUAACACUAAAAUGUAACUAGAUACAUCCGUAUUUAGACAAAUUUAAGACAAGAAUUUUGGGACGGAGGGAGUACAAAAGUGGGCUAUGUAGGCCAAAACAUGUGCCAAAUUCACUUGUGAUGCAUUCGGCAUCGAUGCCCCUCCACUGUUCACCUGGUGCCCCAAUCUGGAGCACCUACUUUGCUCCGGUGCCAAAUUAACUCACGCAAUGAAAAAAACACCGCGUGGGAGAGAGAGAGGACUAAGGCAAUAAAAAAACACUUGUUUGGGAGAGUGAGAGGCUGGUGUAGUUGGUUUGAUUGAUUUGUUUAUACAUGUGGGUCUGUGUGCACAGCGGUGCCAACUCUCUCACAUCGUGAGAGUGGUGCCAAAAUCUUUUGAUUUGACAUCGAUGCGUAUUAUGUGGCGUACUUUUGCGAAAUAUGGCAUCGGCCACAUAGUGGAAGGCAACAAAUGCCCAAGCUCUUCAGUGCUCCUAGUUAAAUGAGAGGAAACAGAAACAAAGAGAGAGAGAGAGAGGGAGAGAGAGAGAGAGAGUGAAAAAAUAUCACUAGCCAGCCAACCCUAUCGUAUGAGCGAAUGAUAUUGGUACCUCUUGAUGACACAACAAUCGUAUGUAGCCAGUUGCUCUAAUAUGUUCUCUUCUUUUGCAGAUAAAAAAAGACCCGAAAGUGAAAAAUGUGCUGCACUAUAACUAUCUCAUCGAAUGCCUUGAUCUCCAUCUUACAAAAAUUAAUUUGAUCGACUACCGAGGCAGCACAUCUGAGAUUAAAUUGGCCAGGUUCUUUGUUCUGGAGGCAAGUGUGCUCAAGGUAAUGAGGUUUGGCGUUCUCUGGCACAACAAUGAAUGGCGUGCUGAUCACCGCAAGCGUCUAAGCCUAAAUGACAAAGUCUCCGCAGAAGCUGAAUUUGUUUUUGAAACAUCAAGUGGCCAGAGACUCGAAAACUUAUUUGCCCAUUAGUGACUUGUCAGGGCAGUGGAUUUUAGUUUGUACGAUAGCGCUGCAUCCACCUAAAGUAACGAAAGUUCUUACGUGAACUUCCUAGUAAUUCCCUCUUCCUAGGUGCAACAUUACUCCUAACAUUUGUCAUAUCAGUUUGAAACUUGUAAUAUCUCCGUGUCCUAUUCCUGCGUUUUCAAAAUCCUGCGAAUCAAAUAGGUCCUGAGUUGGUGAUGAUGUUGUGCCUCCCAUCUUUCACCAGUAGCCGUCGGAUCUAGAUCUGACGCAUACAAACCAAGCUUCUCCAUUUUUGCAAAAAGAUGCCCGCACUUGUUCCCUAUUUACAAACAACUCCUUGUCUCUCACAAUCAGCCUUAUCUCCUCCCCACCACAUCUAGAAGGCCGUGGAAAAAUCUGGCGUGAUGGCCGCUGCCGCAGCAGUCCACCCCCAAUCUUGGUGUUCCGUGCAAUGCACGGGCAUCUACGCACGAGAAAUUAUGUCGAAUAGGGCUAGUUGUAAGCAGGCUAGCUCUACAGCCAUGAUGAUAGUGACUGCAGACGGUGAGGCUGACUAUGGUAUGCCGAACACGGCGCCUAUACUCAGGUGUCAUCUCCGGCGCAUGGUCUUGUCACUUCACUAUGAGGAGCAGCAUGUAAUAAUUUGACCAACGGGUAGUACAGUGCUAGUACUCCUAGGAGUACUACAUUGGUAGUACUACUACUAGUACUAGUAGCACCACCAUCUGGAUUUAGGAGUACUACCACGUCCAUCUGGAUUUUAGUAUUUGACUAGCAAUAUCUAGUAAUGCAUGUCACAAAAAAUGUACUACUCCCUCUGUAAAUAAAUACAUGGUGUUUUAUUCCUAUCGGCGAGAGAACUUAAUGUUUUCUUGCUAACUAGAGUCUUAAUAGGAUUACAUGCAAUGAACUAAACACUGCAUGGCAUGUUUGGUAGUCUCAAGUCAUUGAAAGCAUGCACGGCCCACAUGUCUCAUUGGUUGAUAUGUCAUGAAAUAAGAAACAAGGAGGGAGUUAAUGCCCCGUGCCUAAGUGUUUUGGGAUUAUUUGGUUUUCGUAAUGUGACUUACACAACAUUUUUGUUUACAUGCAUUAACAUUUUAUUAGUUAAAUCAAAGGUCAAAACUUGGCGCAAAAUGCAAAGGGGACCAAUAAACCAGUAAACAUCAAACUUCUCUCGUUUGGCCCCAACUAGAGGUCCGGUGAGAUGACUAUACUGCACCGGCACGGAGGGGGGUGCAACUUCAUUGACUUACAGCAACUGCCUUUGGGUGAAUGACACAUGGGCCUAGGGGGUGGCUGGCCCACCUAUCAUACAGCCAAAGGCAGGUGCAGUAGAGGGCCGAGGAGUAGUAUGAAAUCCUACGCACCUACGCACGCUAACCAAGGGCAAGAGUGAUCACUCAAAUCGCAAGAUCAGUUGACUAGUAGAAGCUAAGCUAGACCCAUGGAGGCGAUGAGCGCGAGCAUCAGCCGGCUGUGCCAGAUGGUCCACGACGCCGGCCUGCGGCCCGGCAACGAGGAACGUCUCCAGGUAGUAUUGCUUGAGGCCGGCAGGGCGAGGGGCCGUUUGGAUGACAGCUUCGUCUCCUUGUUCGAUGAGGUCCUCGUCGGUUUCCUCGACAAGUUCACCGUCGUCAAGAAGCUCGCGGACGACUUUGAUGUAAGCCUUCAGCCGACGUGCCCUGGCUCUGCGAUGCCCGCCACCCUCAACGGCCACUAUGGUGACAACCUCUUCGACGCACUGGUGGCCCUGCGACUGCCCGCCGUCGCGCCGGAGAAUAUCCACCUUGAGGUCGCGCUCGCCACGCAGCGCCUGGUGCAGCAAGACACCAUGGACAUAAUCACCCAUGUCUACGCGCAUGCAAGAGGAGGACAAUAGGAUGCUGGCCAUCUUGGACCGCAAGGCAACCUUGGACGCACUAUUCAGAAGCACGUUGAGCUCGCCGCCAAUGCCGCUUCUCCUCACACAUCGGUUGGUGACCCGGCGCACUAGGGCGUGAGGAUGUCGUUGAUGGAUCCGUAUGUAUUUUUAUCUUUCCGUCAAAUCCAUGUAGUAGUAUAUGAUACUACAGUAAUUAUCUUACCUUUCGCAUCAACUUCAUAAUUUUCGUACGUACACCAUGCAUGAACGGCGCCGGAACCAAACUUCUCAUUACUCUAGGCAAAAUCAUUAUUUUCUAUCUAUUGAUCGCGCCAUGGAGCAGAACCAAAUUUUACAAGUUACGAGUUCAAAAGGAAAAGCCUGCCGUGUUCGCGUCGCACCCCCACACGGUUGGUCCGACAUGCCGCUCAAGGGGGAAUGCGUGCGGUGUUGCAUUUUCACUUACAAGUGGGACCGUAGUUGAGCAAACCGACUAUCGGCAAACCCCCACCCCGCCCACCGCGCGAUGGCUGAGAAAACAGGAGGGAGAAGAGAUGGCUGUAGCACGGACUCCAAGAAAAUUGGUGUUAGAUGGGACUCGUGUGGGUGGCGUGUGCCGUAGUGCUAGACGUGAAUGCUAGUUAUGGCCCAUGCCACCCCACUAUAUCGAGCCUAUAUCGAGGUACAGUACGUAGAACAAAUUUCCUGCAGUCCGUGCUCAACACUCCUCUAUCUCUCUUCUCAGCCAGCCAGUGGACGCGUGGAGACCAUCGUCUGUUUGCUCACAUGCGGUCCCACAUGUCAGUGAAAACGCAAGCGGACCCACUGAACCUGCACAUCUUUCACCUCGACGUGCUGGUGAUGAAAAACAAAUCCAAGAAAGAUCUUCGGUGGCCGCUUUUGAAGUUACUCAAGAGUAGUAAGAUUCUAUUUAUAGUUUAACUCAAGAUGCACAUCUCGUGGCUUCAACUUAUCAACUACCACUCUAUUUUCUUUCAUGACACGACCUGGAUGCUGGAUGUCCCACGUGUCGGCAAAAGGGGGAAGAACCCGACCAAAUCUUCGGUUGUGCUCUCGGAUUAGACUAGUUGUGCUAACUUAAAUUUUUUAUUGUGUACUCCCUCCGUUCCAAAAUACUUGACUUCCAUUUAUCCAAAAAUGGAUGUGCCUAUAUACUAAAACAUGUCUAGAUACAUAUAUAUUUUGACAAAUAGAAGGCAUGUAUUGUGCAACGGAGGGAGUAGAAUGGAUGCAAGUUUUUGUAUUGGGAAGAAGAGUACAUCCAUAUAUAGAUAGAGGCAAUUUAUUAGAUGCUCUAUCACUUUUAGCUAGCACAGAGGCUAUAGAUGAGAUUGAUGCACUUGUUGAUACUCCUACUUGGUAUGCGUGUUGCUGCUUAGACGCAGAGAAAAACAGACCGGAGGGAGUACUAGAAUAGAGGCUAGACAUGAGACUAGAUGCAAGGAAGCAACGUCUACUUCUUUACACUCGAAGAAGAAAGAAGCACGCAAGAUCGAGCCUCCGCAGAUCAACAAUGAAUGCAUCAAGAAGGCACUAAUCCAACUUACAGGAGUAGUAAAAUGUAUUCUUGUGGUUCUUGUUUUCUUUGGUCUUUCUUUUCUAGUCAAAAUUAUCGUUGGAGUUCGUGCAAAACGGAGGUCCGUUUGGGGUCGUGUGUUGCAGUCGGCCUUACAAGUGGGACCGCAGUUAAGGAAACCGACUAUCGGCAAACCCCCACCUCGCUCGCCGCGCGAUGGCUGAGUUAGAGAAACGAUGAGGUUGAAGAGAUUGCUCUAGCAGGGACUCCAAGAAAUAUGAUGUCAGAUGGAAGUCAUGUUGGUGGCGUGUGCCGUACUCCUGGACGUGAAUGCUUGUUCUGGCCCAUGCCACCCUACUACUACUACCACUUAGUACUAUAUAGUACUACUAGUAUCGAGGAUUCUAGGUGCUGGUUACGUAGUACAGUAUGGCUACAGUAAAAACACCCGCACGACGCGCAAAGCAUGUGAAGCUAGUACAAAUAGUGUACUACUAUUGUUGAUUGGCCCCAUCCGAUAACCUGUUGCAAUGCAGGUACAAUUAUGUAUUUGGAAAAUAUAUUUUUUGCCUCGUCGCACCACUCACUCACAGAAGCAACUCAAAAGCCAUUCAUAAAUUUAGUAAGUUUAUCAUAGGCAUAUCAUUUUAUUACAUACAACAGGUCAUCAACCCACAUCGACAACGAGGAUACAUUAUAAAUACUAAAGUUUUCACCACACAACAAAUAACAAGCAAUGAAAUGAACUUCAACUCAACCAUUCCUCGGUGUUGGAAAUGCUUGCUUUGAACCACAAGUGAUUCUCUGGGAUGGGCCAUCCAUUGUCGAUCUGGAGACCAACGCAGGACUGAUCAUCCAGGCUGAAGCGGCCUACUAUAUCAGUACCAGGGUAGGGAACCACCCAAAUGUCCGAGGUAUAGACACAAUUGCUUCUCAUAAAUGGUAGUAACAUUGUGUCAACAGCAGUUGGAUCGCCUUUCACCAUCAUUGGAUAGUUUUGUCCAAGGAAGAGCGAGUUUUCUCCAAGACUAUCAAUUAUGUACCAGGGAGAAGGAGUUGGUGCUAGCACACUAGUAUCCAUCCCGAAUACCAUGCAAUGGGUGUUGGAAUAGGUCCGAAGAGUGCGACCAUGGGAGACUACACCUGCUUCCUUAGCAGUAACAUCAUCAGUGGGCUGUAUACACACGAGAAGAGGUGACCCAUCGGAAUUAGUUGCCAGGCGCCAAAUAGUAUAUGGGUGCUGCUCGUCCUCAUGCUCGUGAUCAUCACCAUCAUCAUCUCCCCCUUGAUUAUAAAAAUCUUCAAGUAUAGGUGGUGGAAUGUUCACAGGACCUUGGAAACACAAGAAGAAGGUUAAUUAGUAAGGCUGGCCAUAGUGGGGGUAACAUACUACCUCUGUCCUGGUUUAUAGGUCCCUUUUAUAGUUUGUGCCAAAUUUUGACUAAAGAUUUAACUAACAAAAUGUUAGUGCAUGUCAAGAAAAAUUAUCUCAUUGGAUUCGUAUUUGAACAUAGUUUUGAAAAAUAUAAUGUUUGGUGACUUGCGUGAACAUUUUCUUAGUCUAAUCUAUGGUCAAAAUUUGGCACAAAAUACAAUGGAGACCAGUAAACCCGGACAGAGGUAGUAAGUAGUAUCAUGCACUUGGGACUCGCAAACAUGCUUAUGUGGCAGGCAAUUAAGGAAGAGAGAGAUGGUUAUAGUAACAUAGGUAGAUACCGUAACAUAAUAAAUGUGAUGCUACUAUGUGUCAUGCAUGGCAAUAAAUGAGACCACCUAUGAUACUAAUCUAAGAUACUAUGCACUAUAGAGGUAGUAACAUAAACUAGUAACAUAUGCAUGUUACUAGUCUAAGUUACUCCCCACUAUGACCAGCCUUGCUAACCCGCAUGCAUGUGGAUGAAACAAUUAUAAUUACGGUGGGAGACAAACGUACCGAAACAACGAGGAUGCCAUGCAAAAACAGUGCCACGAGUGGUGGCAGCAAACACAAGGCCCUCGUAUUGAAUUGCAUCACAGUACUCAUCCGUGUACAGAAACUGAUUUUUGAGAAAUAUCCAUCCAGUCAAACCACUGAUGACAGCAACAAGCUUGUCGAAGAUAGCAACAACUUCAUAGUUGUUGUAAUUCCAAGAGCGGUUGGGGACUCGAGAAAUUGCUAUCUUCUGUAGAAGACAAUCACCAUGAUUGUAUUUGAACGUGCGUACAAUACCGGCGUGCUCAACCUCUGGGCAGUCUGCUGAGAUUUUUGGAAGUGGAACCCGGUCACGAGUGUACACAUUCACAAGUUCCCACUCGCAGUUCGACCCAAUGUAAACAACCCAAUCUCCAUUUGCGCCUGCCCAAGCCUUGCCCUCAAGCGAUGGCAUCUUAACAUCAUACGUAUCAUUAUCAAGCGGCAUCAACUUGCACAGGGCGAGGCCUCGGCGUGACGGCGCCAGUCAUCAGGGUCACGGCGAAGAAGGUAGGGAGAUCAAACCACUCCUUGACUCUUGGGUUCCUUGUAAUGAUGUUAUUAGUUGAGUCGAGAAUGGGCUUGAACGAACCUGCCAUGCUAGCCGAGGUGAUGACGUCGCACCGAUCAAUGAGUUCCUCCACCACAUCAUCUUUCAGAUCGGGGCAAGAAUAACGGGGUCGUUUCCAUCCUGUUCCCUCCAUGGAGAAGACGAUCGAACAAUGGCAGAAGAAAGGGUGAAGGGCUGAAGGAAAAUGGAGGAGGGAGAGGAAGAGCGUGCGACAGCAGUUCCCAAUCGAUAGGAAAUGCGAAGAGUUGGUGGACGGUUGCCAGUUUGCCACGGUUCACGAAGGGGCGCCUCGGCCUACACGUCGGUUCGGAAAUACUCCUACUGCUCGCUGUCGUCUCACUGAUAUGUGGAACGGGACCACAUGUCAACGAGACAUGGUGUGUAACUUCUCGUGCAAAAUGCGAUCUGGCCGCGUUGGCCCGAGGUGCCGCAUUAGUUAUCGGCCUUUAUUUUUUUAAUGGCGCGUCGUUCAGUUUUGAAGCACGACUAACUGGUACUAUACGUAGAGAAAAUAUAAACUACUCUACCACUACUCCACCUCCAAUACUAGUAGUAUAAAGAAGAUAUAUAGGCUGGAGCUUCAGCGCUUUCUUGCCAAGGGCUGCCUACUUGCUUCUCACACUACCACCCUCUCUCCAGAUCUAAAAAGACGGGCCCUCUCUCCCUCCUCACCGGUGGUCACAGAUCCGCCGGGGAAGAAAAGGACGUGCAGCGGUGACGCACUCGUCGUCGACGAGCGAGGUCACGCACUGACGACAAGGCCGUCCUCUCAGGCCUAGCGCCUGCGCGGGAUCGCUGCUGUAGUGUGUGCGGAGGACGACGACCACGAGCGAAGCCACUUCCCGCCGACCCUCAAGUAUGCUACCUCUUUUCGAACCAUACCCUUGUUCUAUUGCCCCAUCUGGCACGUCGUUGCAUGUGGAUCUUUUUCCACUCCACCAUCUUCCCAAUUUGCUAUCCUCUGCUCUGCUGGCCACGCAGACGAAAACCAUAAUUUGCACUAUUAAAGGAAAUCCUACUUCAUGCAGACUAAUGCAUGUCUGGGUUGAAUAAGGAAAGGAAGGAAGACUGUACUGUCCAAGAGAGUAGGCAUCGAACCCGCAUCUAGGUUGAAAAGGGGAAAAUCAGUAGCUAAGGAACAAGUCUCGUGUCUCUUGGUUGAAGAAGGGUAGAAAGGCAUGACAACGCAAUAGAGAAUGAACAUGUCGAUCAGUUUGUUGUCCUCACAUAGGAAAAAGGUGGCUAAAGAGAACAAAGUUGGGACGUAAUCCACAUAUGCUGCCUGGAUAUUUGUUGCUCUGGGCAACCAUACCUCCCUCACCACUCUGCGUCCAUGGAGGUACAUCAUAUUUGUCUCUAAUGCCUAUCUACUACAUACCCGACAUCAUGAUGUAAUGUUAAGUCAUUUCCUUUUGUACAAUGUAACUAAAUUGUCAAGGCGGUGAUGGCAUUUUAUUUUAGUAGAACUGCACAAAAUUUGCUUAAAAGAAGAGGAAAGGUCAGGAAUGGCUUAGUUUUUCAGAAAAAAACUAUGUAUGCCUUCCUGACAUCAGCUGCUGUUGCUUUAUUUAUUCCUUCAAACAGGUGGUUAGAAACAGUCUUGCUACCUUUUCCCAUUAAGAAAUUAGAAUGCUUAUAUUUGUAAGUAUAUGCUUCAACUAGUGCCACUUUUAUAGUAAUCACACUUUCAAUAUCUAUGCAAAUAGGGAUGCUCGAUUUUAGUGGAGCUGCACAAAAAGUCCAACUAGUUCAACAUUAGGAGCAUGUUUUUUUCCAAACCUAUAUCCAAUUGGUGGCACUAUGAGUUGUUCAUUACGAAGGUACAUGGUUUGCUACUAUCUUGCUACUCUUUUUGUACUGUCAUUAGAUAGUAAUACUAGUGGUUUGCAUGUGAAUUUAUUGGCAGGGUGGACCUACAUUGGAGGUGCAGGACAGGAUUCAAUGAUUGGAUGCUCAAUUUCGGUUGUAUCGAUUUCACCUCUUCCAUCACUGCGAACAUGGUGUGGUAUAUGUUUACUAGUUGCUUGAUAUUUGUGUAGACAGAGAUGUCUGCCCGUUGCUAUUUGGGAAACAAACAAAGUGUGCGCAAUUUUGGUUGAACUGCACAAGAGAAUAAUAUAGUCACUGCUUGCAGUGCGAUUUGAAAAUAGACACAUAGAUUGGAUAGUUACUUCAUGGACUGUAGAAAAGUAGUACUGUACUAUUUACUGGCCAACAAUUGGUGCUUCAUUGCUUUGGUCUGAUUAUACAAUGGGCAUCAUUUUCCCUAAGUUAAAGUUUGUAUUCCAAAAAUAGUCUCGCGGUGUGAUCGAGAGAAGACCAAAUCAUAUUGCAGUGGAUGUUCCUCCAUCAUGUGUGGUUCAUUAUCAUGGUUCCAGCUGUUGGUGAAACCACUUACGUUUGCAAGAGGAAUUGUAGACUUCACAAACAAAUUUGUCUUUCAUUCUAUACUGAAUGUUGGCCAAGAGAAGCAUCCAUGUUAGUAGGAAGAACAGAUAUUUUUUCUACAUCUUUGCUUUUGGAGCUACAUAUUUGUAUAUGAUCUGUGAAUCAUUGAGAUGCAUUAACAUGUUGAUCUUAUGUAUGGGAAUCGUACUAGUUAGUUUUAGUUGCGACGCAAGAUCCAAACUGGCUGAUCUUUGCUUUUGGAGCUACAUAUUUGUAUAUGAUCUGUGAAUCAUUGAGAUGCAUUAACAAUUACUUAUUUCUGUUCACUCAGUGUUUACAAGUUACUAAUCGGUCACUAGCUAGCCUACUAAUGUGCUCCUGGCAGUUUUAUUUGCGACGCAAGAUCCGAAGUGGCAGUUUUUUGAAUAAAAAUGCCUACCUCUGAAGAAACUGACAAGCUACACUAUCCUACCUACUCGAUCCUACACGAAUAAAUAGUGGAUCACGCACGUACUACCAUGCUUCAUGCUAGUGCGACUUCUUCAUGUCAUGAUGAUGCAGAGCAUCCUUCGGUCAUCCCCAUGGACCUUCCAUCGUCUCACCAGGCACCAAGAGGACCCAUGACUAGAGCACGAGCCAGAGCUCUCGAGACCGAGGUGACUUCUCUCCUUUGUGAUAUCUCCUUUCCGGUUUGCAGGGCUCAAUUCAAGAAACGACCUACUCAAUUCUACACGAAUAAAUAGUGGAUCACGCACGUACUAGUACCUCAUUUCCGGUUUGCAGGGCUUAAUUCAAACCUCUCACCAACCAAGGUACUCCCUCCGUCCGGGUUUAUUAGUCCUGUGAGCAAAGCAACAAGACCAAGGCAUGGCAAUAAUUAACGGCAUGCAGAAGUUUAAGCCUAAUUAAUUCCAGCGAUUUAAGUGACUGCAUGCGUGCCCUCGGCUGCGACUCGUUGCAUGCUACUCCGCGUACUGGCUGCGAGCAAUUCUGAGUGCCUACAUGCAGCCGGCCGUAAUUAAGGCAGCUAACUGAUGCAAAAAAAGAUGAGCUUUAAUUGUUGCGGGCUUUUUAAAUUCAUGGAAUCAUUAUUGACAAGGAGGGAGAUGAUUCGAGUGCACUCGUUUGACCGCCAUGCCGGCGUGCGACCCAGACGGGACGGGAUGGCACAGUCAUAAUUUCAGUUUCUCUAGUUUUCGACGGCAAGUUGGCACGCUAAGCCAUUAUGCAUUGAAUUCCGAUGACCGUCGCGCUACCUUCCGCCUAUAAGUAUUGUUUCUCGGCCUUCUCCGGUGGCACCAUGACCCAACUCGCCAUAGCCUCAUAAGCCCCCACCGGCCCGACGUCGCUCGCCACGUCCGCCAUGCACCCGCCCGUCCGCGGUAGGCGACGCCGGAGGCGGUCACCACCGGAACUAGUGUUCGGUUUUUCACCGGAAGGCAGAUGGAGGGAGGAGGCAUUCUAUCUGUCUUUUGAUGGCAAUGCGGAGAUCGAGGAGUUGUUGGAGCACAACUGCCUGGCGGAGGAGAAGUAGUUGUUGGAGCGCAACCGCCUGGCGGAGGAGCUGUGUAUCGCUGAUUUGCGCCGCCAUCGGGACAUGGAGCAAUAGCGCACCGACGCUCUGAGUCGCGAGCAGAGCGCCCGCAACUAGGCCGACUACAUGGAGGCCAGCGCCCGGAAAAUAGCCCUGGAGGCUGUCGGGCACGCACGCGUUCGUGAUGCCAAUUUUUACUACCAGCUUGUCAAGUGGGUUUCCCGCUUGGAAGCCGAAGCUUCGGUGGACCACGCCGACAUGGAAAGGGCCAACGCGCGUGAGCAACGCGCCCUAUCGCACCUCUUGGAAGUCCGAGGCGAGGCGCAGGACGCCGGUGCCGGCGUUUAGCGUGUACCACAGAUGGCGGCCGGCAUCGUCUAGUUAGCUAAGAGUAAGUUAGUACUUGUACGCUACUAGAGCAUUAGUGGCAGUAGAUAGUUAACUUGGCUAUGAUGGUGGUCAACGUGGAAGUUCAGUACUCUAUAUGUGGAUCAGACCUGUUACUUUGCUCAGAAUGUUGAACUUUCUGUUUGAACGUAUGGAAUGGGCUGUUAUUUUUUAAAUGGGUUGUAUUUGUCCUCCACGGGUUUAGAGGCUGACUUGUGGGCCUAUCAAGUUGAUGCGUACACAACCAGGAGAUGAUUGUACGUGGAGAGGAUGACAACAGGGACCCGCCAAGGUCAUGGCAGUAUGCAAGAAAGUGCCUCCUUAUUUCAAGCCAAUAAAAAAUGGCUCUUCCUAGUGGACUUAUGACAUCUGGGUCCCAUGCCAUUGUCAACGUAGUCAAUAAAUGAGAGAAUUGCGCCACGAGCGGCUGACACCAGGGACCCAGCAACUCGCCCAGUUAUUUUUGUUUUGGGUUAAUUUGAUAAAUGCCACUCCAAAUCGGGUGUUUCCGAGAAAUGCCACUGCAAUUUCCAAACUUUGAAAAAUGCCAUUUCAUGCCAUUUCUAGUGGCAUUUUUCAAAGUCUAGAGUGGCGUUUUUCAAUGUUUGCAAACUGCAGUGGCGUUUUUCAAAGUUUGCAAAAAUUGCAGUGGCAUUUUUCAAAGUUUGGAAAUUGCACUGGCAUUUUUACGAAUCGCCAUAAUUGGAGUGGCAUUUAUCUAUUUUUUUUUGAGAUGGGAGCAGGGUGUCAACUGGGCUGUGCGGGACACUCUGGCCUGUCUAGACAGCCUUUUCUUUUUAUGUUUACCACAGACCAGCCCAGUAGUUUUUUUUCUUUCUGAAAAUGGCUAGCACAGUUUUUUUGUGAUUUGUCAAGUAAGUCGCUUUAUCAGGCCUGUUGGGUUGUAAAUCUUUCAAGACGAGGAGAGCUUCAUUCGGCUGGCCAAGAAAAUGGCCUAUCAGUAAUGAGAAAUGGGUUGUACAUUUUUAAAACACAUCAACCGGCAAUUAGUUUCAAAUAUCUUUUUUUCAUUUCGAGAUUUUAAAUUGCAUUGAUUUUUAUGCAUGGACAAUUUAUUGGAUUUUAUAUUGAUAUACAUUUAUUUUUAAAAGUCUGAAUGUGACUCGAUAUUUCGGGAUUAAAAACAGUUCAUACCGUGCCGACAUAUGCAAAAUUUCGUAUAAUUUUUUAACCAUGGCCACAAUAUGGGUUGUAAUGCUAAGAAAAAUAAUAUGGGCACCAAAAAAACCCGUAAGAAUUAGCAGAAGGGCUGUAAAUUAUUUGAAAUAAUGGCACAUGGCAUGUAUGCUGUUUUCCACUGAUUUGAGGCUUUCCUAAAAAAAAGGUUGACGCACAAGCAGUGACUGUUGGAUGUCCAUCCAACGGCCGUCGUGCUUCUUCAAUCUCUGCUCUUCCUGCUCCAGUCGCUCAAACAAGCGCCGGCGGGACUGCCUGCUCCCUCCUCCCCGCGGCCGGCUGUGAUGCCAUGCAGGCCUUACUGCCCCACCGUACUCCCAUCGCUGGCCUAGCCAUCCCUCUACUCACCCACACCUGAUGUUAUUCUCUGGCGACGGCAGACGAACCAGUAAACCCUCGUACAGUCGUACUCCCCUCCGUGUGGGAAACAACUGUCGAGUCUUCCCUGGCUCCGUGUCGUUCCCAUCCUAGGCCUCGCCGUUGUCCACUGCCCUGGUGCUCUAGGCGUGGCGUGGUCAACAUGGUCAACAACCGACAUGCAUCUGAAGUGGACUGUACGUAGAGAGGCUGACAUCUGGGUCCACGGCCGCACGCAAGGAAAUGCCUCCUUAUUACGCGUAAAAUAAUGAUUCCUCCACCUGACAUCUGGGACCCACCGAAAGGGCCUCUGUAUUUCGUGAAAAAAACAUUACCGCCGCUGACAGCUCGGACCUACCAGCUAUAUCUUCGCACGCAAGGAAGUGCCUCCUUAUUACGCACAAAAAAAUGAAUACUCCCCCUGCUAGCUGGGACCUAGUAUAGUGGGCCUACUAAGUUGACAGGGACGGAGGGCUUUGUCAACUUAGUCAAUAUGCACGAUUCUAGCUCGACUGACCGUACGAUGUCCAUCCAACGACCGUAGUGCUUCUUCAACCUUCUGUCUUCUUGCUCCAUCCGCCCAAAGCAGUGCCGGUCGUGCCGCCUGCUCCUGCCUCCCGUGGCCGACUGUGCUGCCACGGAGGCCUCAUCGCCCUCAUACUACUCCCACGGAUGGCCAGGCCAUCCCUCCACUCCACUCACCCACACCCCAUGUUAUUCUGCGACGACGGCAGCGCAGCUGAACCAGUGAACCCUCGUACUCCUCUCCGUGUGGGCAUCCACUACGCGUCUUCCGCGGCUCCGCGUCGUCCCCUUCCUCGUCCACCGCCAUGGUGCACUCGGCGUGGCGUGGUCAAUGUGGUCAACGAUCGAAUUCCAUCAGAAGAAUACUGUACGUGGAGAGGCUGGCAGCUGGGUCCACGGCAGCCGCAAGGAAGUGCCUCCUUAUUACACGAAAAUAAUUAUUCCUCCACCUGACAGCAGGGACCCACCGGACUGGCCACCAGUAUUUUGCGAAAAAAAACGUUUCCCCCCUGACUGCUAGGACCCACCGGACGGGCCACCGUAUUUAGCGGAAAAAACAUUUCCCCCUGACUGCUGGGACCCACCGGACGGACCAUCGUAUUUCACGAAAAAAACGUUCCCCCCGCUGUCAGCUCGGACCCACCGGAAGUGCCUCCUUAUUAUGCACAAAAAAACGAAUACUCCCCCUGCUAGCUGGGACCCACUAUGGUGGGAGGCUGACUUGUGGGCCUACUAAGUUGACUGGGACGAGGGCCUUUGUCAACUUUUGUCAAUAUGAAUGAUUCUAGCUCCAGUGACCAUACGAUGUCCAUCCAACGGCCGUAGUGCUUCUUCAACCUCUAGUCUUCUUGCUCCAGCCGCCCAAAGCAGCGCCGGUCGUGCCGCAUGCUCCUACCUCCCGUGGCCGGCUGUGAUGCCGCGGAGGCCUCACCGCCUCCUACUACUCCGGCCAGGCCAUCCCUCUACUCACCCACACCCCUGUUAUUCUGCGGCGACAGCAGCCUCACACUGCAGCCGGACCAGUGGACCCUCGUACUCCUCUCCACAUGGGCAUCCACUACCGCGUCUUCCCCGGCUCCGCGUCAUCCCCUUCCUAGGCCUCGCCGUUGUCCACCGCCCUGGUGCUCUCGGCGCAGCAUGGUCAACAUGGUCAAGGAACGACUUCCAUCAGACAUGGAUUGUACGUGGAGAGGCUGACAGUUGGGUCCACGGCCGCAGCAAGGAAGUGCCUCCUUAUUACGCGGAAAAUAAUGAUACCUCCACCUGACAGCAGGGACCCACCGGACAGGACACUGUAUUUCGCGAAAAAAUGUUUCCCCCUGACUGUUGGGACCCACCAACUACAUCUUCGCAUGAAAGGAAGUGCGUCCGGAAAAUAAACGAUUCGCCCCCCUGACUGUUGGGACCCACCAGCUACAUCUUCACAUGCAAGGAAGUGCCUGACAGUCGGGACCCACCUGGUCCAAGCGCACGUAGCAUUGUCAUUCUGGUCGCGAACGUGUAUGUAAAUACUGGUGGAUGUAGAGGCGCGUACGUGUCGUAGUAGAGGCGUGCACAUGUCGUACUAGAGGCGCGUACGUGUCGUAGUAGAGGCAUGCAUGUAGCAUGUACACGUACGUACAACGACCAGUGUGCAAGAAAGAAAAUACGGCCACGUAUGUGUACAUACGGGCGGGGUCUCGAACACCUACUCGCGCAUACGUACGGCCAGGGCUCGUGUACAUGGCUGGGUCGGAACGGAGAAACAGCAUCGUCGUCGUGUUCAUGGGGAGCCAACCGGCUGGGUCGGAACGGAAUGCGUCGUCGUGUUCAUCGAGAGGGCUUGGACGAAACAGGCGAUGGAAACGAGGCCUAGCGUACCGCAGAAUGGAGGAAACGGCCUUGUGUUCGACCAGCCACAUUCGAAACAGGAUCCUGCUCAUUGGGAGGGGUCUGGCGUACCACAAAACGGAGGAAACGGACUUCCUACGGUCGAAAUGGGGGUCCUGUUGAUCGGGAGGGGUGUGGUGUACCGCAAAACGGACGAAACGGACUUGUGUUGGAGCGCUACAGUUGAAACGGGCAUCCUGUUCAUCGGGAGAGGUGUGGCGUACCGCAAAACGGGACUCCACGGGAUACUGUUCAUCUCCAUCGUCGACCUCCUCCAGCCUCCACGGGCUACUGUCGACCUCCUCCAGCCUCCACGGGCUCCUGUUCAUCCAGCCUCCACGUGCUCCUCUUCAUCCAGCCUCCACCGCGCACUACUCCACGGGCUACUGUUCAACCACCCCUCCACGGGCACCCCUCCACCGUCUAUUGUUCAUCCAGCCCUCCACGGGGUCGUCCUGUUCAUCCAGCCCCAACCGGCUCGAUCGAUCGGGGUCCUGUUCAUUGAUACGUCUCCAACGUAUCUAUAAUUUUUGAUUGUUCCAUGCUAUUAUAUUACCCCUUUUGGAUGUUUAUGGGCUUUAUUUUACACAUUUAUAUCAUUUUUGGGACUAACCUACUAACCGGAGGCCCAGCCCAUAUUGUUGUUUUUUGCCUAUUUCAGUAUUUCGAAGAAAAGGAAUAUCAAACGGAGUCCAAACGGAAUAAAACCUUCGGGAGCGUGAUUUUUGGAUCGAACGUGAUCCAGAGAGCUUGGAGUGCAAGUUAAGAAGCUACCGAGGAAGCCACGAGAUAGGAGCCCCCCCCCUAUAGGCUCCGCCCCUUGUCUCGUGGGCCCCUCGGGCGUCCACCGACGUACUUCUUCCUCCUAUAUAUACCUACGUACCCCGAAAACAUCCAGGAACACCACGAAACAUAAUUUCCACCGCCGCAACCUUCUGUAUCUCCGAGAUCUCAUCUUGGAGCCUUCGCCGGCACUCUGCCGGAGGGGGAAUCAACCACAGAGGGCUUCUACAUCAACAUCCUUGCCCCUUUGAUGAGUUGUGAGUAGUUUACCACAGACCUACGGGUCCAUAGUUAUUAGCUAGAUGGCUUAUUCUCUCUUUUUGGAUCUCAAUACAAUGUUCUCCCCCUCUCUUGUGGAGAUCUAUUCAAUGUAAACUCUUUUAGCGGUGUGUUUGUCGAGAUCCGAUGAAUUGUGGGUUUAUGAUCAAGUUUAUCUAUGAAUAAUAUUUGAAUCUUCUCUGAAUUCUUUUAUGUAUGAUUGAGUUAUCUUUGCAAGUCUCUUCGAAUUAUUGGUUUAGUUUGGCCUACUAGAUUGAUCUUUCUUGCCAUGGGAGAAGUGCUUAGCUUUGGGUUCAAUCUUGCGGUGUUCUUACCCAGUGACAGAAAGGGUUGCAAGACACGUAUUGUAUUGUUGCCAUCGAGGAUAACAAGAUGGGGUUUAUAUCGUAUUGCAUGAGUUUAUCCCUCUACAUCAUGUCAUCUUGCUUAAUGCGUUACUCUGUUCUUAUGAACUUAAUACUCUAGAUGCAGGCAGGAGUCGGUCGAUGUGUGGAGUAAUAGUAGUAGAUGCAGGCAGGAGUCGGUCUACUUGUUAUGGACGUGAUGCCUAUAUACAUGAUAAUGCCUAGAUAAUCUCAUAACUACGCACUUUUCAAUCAAUUGCUCGACAGUAAUUUGUUCGCCCACCGUAAUACUUAUGCUAUCUUGAGAGAAGCCUCUAGUGAAACCUAUGCCCCCCGGAUCUAUCUCUUAUCAUAUUUGCUUUCAAUCUACUUUUAUUUGCAUCUUUACUUUUUGCAUCUAUAUUAUAAAAAACCAAAAAUAUAUUUAUCUUAUCAUACUAUCUCUAUCAGAUCUCACUUUUGCAAGUGGCCGUGAAGGGAUUGACAACCCCUUUAUUGCGUAGGUUGCGAGUUCUCAGUUUGUUUGUGUAGGUGCGUGGGACUUUUGAGGAGCCUCCUACUGGAUUGAUACCUUGGUUCUCAAAACUGAGGGAAAUACUUACGCUACACUUGUUGCAUCACCCUCUCCUCUUCGAGGAAAACCAACGCAAGCUCAAGACGUAGCAAUAAGGAUUUCUGGCGCCGUUGCCGGGGAGUUCUUCGCUCAAGUCAAGAUAUACCAAGUAUCCAUCACAAACCCAUCUCCCUCGCAUUUACAUUAUUUGCCAUUUGCCUCUCGUUUUCCUCUCCCCCACUUCACCCUUGCCGUUUUAUUCGCCCUCUCUUUCCCAAUCUCCUCCUCUCUUUUUCGCUCGCUUUCUUCCGCCUUGCUUUUGUUUGUUUCUAUGACUGAAAUUGGGGAGAUUAUCAUCGAUAUGGACAAUAAUGAUAACACAGAAAAUCCCGAGGCUCCGGCCGAUGAACCCCCUAUUUUGCAUACUAAAAAGUUUCGAAUCGGUAGUGGUAACAUCAUUGGCAAAGGUGUUAUUCAAGAUUUCUUUACUUGUGCCCGUGCUUUAGCUUCCAUGGGUUGUUCUAUUCUUCAUAGAACUAGUAGUCUUGCGGAUGCUAUCGCUAUGCUUGUAGUUGAACUUGAAUGACAAUUUAUGCAUAUGCAUCCUUGCAUACAAAGAAUUUUCCUAGAAUUCUCUAAUAUUGAGCAUUCUUCUGUUAAGCGUGCUGUUACUAUCUUUUUGGCUCAUGAGUUUAGAUUUAUCAUAAGAGAGGCCAAAGAAUUCUUUGCGCACUAUAGGGUGGACGUCGGUCGUCCUCCCAUAGAGGCGAUCCUCUAUGAUCAAGAGGAAUUUAGAGGUUUUCAAUCUUCUGACUAUGUCGCUUUUAAUGAAAACCUUAGAAAAAAGGUUCCUACCAAUGUCUUGAUUGAUUGCAUUAACGAACUUAAUAAUGUUUUUGCUCUUCGAAACAAUGGGCUAGGAUACUCUCUUGAGUAUAGGCUCACAAGAUUUUGCCAAAAGAAUGCUUUUAGUGAUGAAAUAGUUGUGCACUAUGAAGGGCCGAAGGAGGAACCCGUUCCUCCUGUGAUUGAUCUUGGGGACCUUUGUCCCACUAAAUUUAGCCCUUUUGAUUACUUUUGCUUGCCUCAGAGAAAAUUUGCUGCUGAACAUAGAGAAUAUGAGAUGAGCUUUCAAGAUCUAUCUUAUUAUUAUGGCACUCGUUAGAUCUAUCUUUGCUUUUAUGCUUAGCUAGGGGCGUUAAACGAUAGCGCUAGUUGGGAGGCAACUCAAUUUUCUUUAUGUUUUUUUGUUUUUGCUCCUGUUUAGUAAUAAAUCUUGCAUCUACUCUCUGUUUAGAUGUGUUUUUAUCUUUUAAUUAGUGUUUGUGCCAAGUAGAACCUAUAGGAUAACCUACGAUGGUAGUUGAUUUGAUUCUGCUGAAAAACACAAACUUUGCACUCACGAGAAAAAUUCAAUAAAUCACAGAAACGUGAUUUUGCAUCGAUUCUUUUUGCUGAUGAUAAAUAAACAAAUUUCCCAGUACGUACUAUUUUGGUAGGAUUUUUAGAGUUCCAGAAGUUUGCGUUAGUUACAGAUUGCUACAGACUGUUCUGUUUUUGACAAAUUCUGUUUUUCGUGUGUUGUUUGCUUAUUUUAAUGCAUCUAUGGCUAGUAAAUUAGUUUAUAAACCAUAAGGAAGUUGGAAUACAGUAGGUUUAACACCAAAAUAAAUAAAGAAUGAGUUCAUUGCAGUACCUUAUGUGGUGGUUUUGUUUUCUUUCACUAACGGAGCUUAUAAGAUUUCCUGUUGAGUUUUGUGUUGUGAAGUUUUCAAGUUUUGGGUAAAGCUUUUAUGGACUAUGGAAUAAGGAGUGGCAAGAGCCUAAGCUUGGGGAUUCCCAAGGCACCCCAAGAUAUUCAAGUAUAGCCAAAAGCCUAAUCUUGGGGAUGCCCCGGGAAGGCAUCCCCUCUUUCGUCUUUGUUCAUUGGUAACUUUACUUGGAGCUAUAUUUUUAUUCACCACAUGAUAUGUGUUUUGCUUGGAGCGUCGUGUACUAUAUUAGUCUUUGCUUUUUAGUUUACCACAAUCAUCCUUGUUGUACACACCUUUUUGGAGAAGCCUAUUUUAUUAGAAUUUGCUAGAAUACUCUAUGUGCUUCACUUAUAUCUUUUGAGCUUGAUAGUUUUUGCUCUAAUACUUCACUUAUAUCUUUUAGAGCAUGGUGGUGGCUUGAUUUUAUAGAAAUUGCUAGUCUCUCAUGCUUCACUUAUAUUAUUUUGAGAGUCUUUUAGAACAGCAUGGUAUUUUCUUUGGUUACAAAUUUGGUCCUAGAAUGAUGAGCAUCCAAGUUGGGUAUAAUAAAAACUAUCAUAGAAAUUGAAUUGGAUGCUAUGAUCAAUUUGUUGCUUGAUAAUUGUUUUGAGAUAUAAAGGUAGUAAUGUUAGGGUCAUGCUAGUGGAUAAUUAUGAAAUUGAGAAAUACUUUUGUUGAAGUUGGCAAGUGCCGUAGCAUGCACGUAUGGUAAAAGUUGUGUGACAAAUUUGUUGCAUGAGGUGCUCUUUUGAGUGUCUUCCUUAUGAGUGGCAGUUGGGGACGAGCGAUGGAAUUUUUUCCUACCAAUCUAUCCCUCUUGGGGCAUGCGUAGUAGUACUUUGCUUCGAGGGCUAAGUAGACUUUUGCAAUAAGUAUAUGAGUUCUUUAUGACUAAUGUGAGUCCAUGGAUAUACGCACACUCAUCCUUCCACUUUGCUAGCUUUUCUUAUUACUGCGCAACUCUCGUCGGUAUUAAACCCAUUAUUUACCUUCCUCAAAACAGCCACCAUACCUACCUAUUAUGGCAUUUCCAUAGCCAUUCCGAGAUAUAUUGCCAAGCAACUUUCCACUGUUUAGUUUAUUAUGACACGUUUCAUCAUUGUCAUAUUCCUCUUUGCAUGAUCAUGUAGUUGACAUCGUAUUUGUGGCAAAGCCACCUUCAUAAUCUUCAUACAUCUUGCUCUUGAUUCAUUGCAUACCUCGGUACACCGCCGGAGGCAUUCACAUAGAGUCAUAUCUUGUUCUAGCUUUGAGUUGUAGUUUUUGAGUUGUAAAUCCAUAAAAGUGUGAUGAUCUUCAUUAUUAGAGCAUUGUCCUAGUGAGGAAAGGAUGAUGAAGACUAUGAUUCCCCCACAAGUCGGGAUGAGGCUUCGAACUUUAUAAAAAUAAAAGAGGCCAAAGAAGCCCACCAAAAAGAAAAAAAAGAAAAAAAGAAAAAAAAAGAAAAAAGGAAGAAGAAAAAAAGAGAAAUAAAAAGAGAGAAAAAGAGAGAAGGGACAAUUGCUACUAUAUCUUUUUCCACAGUUGUGCUUCAAAAUAGCACCAUGAUCUUCAUGAUAGAGAGUCUCAUAUGUUGUCACUUUCAUAUACUAGUGGGAAUUUUUUCAUUAUAGAACUUGGCUUGUAUAUUCCAAUGAUGGGCUUCCUCAAAGUGCCCUAGGUCUUCGUGAGCAAGCAAGUUGGAUGCACACCCACUUAGUUUCUUUUGUUGAGCUUUCAUAUAUUUAUAGCUCUAGUGCAUCCGUUGCAUGGCAAUCCCUACUCACUCACAUUGAUAUCUAUUGAUGGGCAUCUCCAUAACCCGUUGAUACGCCUAGUUGAUGUGAGACUAUCUUCUCCCACUUUUUGUUCUUACAACCACCACCAUUUACCACCAUAGUGCUAUGUCCAUGGCUUGCGCUCAUGUAUUGCGUAAGAGUUGAAAAAGCUGAAGCGCGUUAAAAAGUAUGAACCAAUUGCUCGGCUCUUCAUCGGGGUUGUACAUGAUGGGAGUCUUUUGUGUAAUGAAAAUGAAGCAUGGCCUAACUAUAUGAUUUUGUAGGGAUAAGCUUUCUUAUGCUAUGCUAUUUUGAUAGGACAUGAUUAUUUGUUAGUAUGCUUUGAAGCAUUAUUAUUUUUAUGUUUUAUAAGCUUUUAUCUUCAAUCAUUUGGAUCUGAACAUUCAUGCCACAUUAAAUAAAAUUACAUUGAGAAUUAUGCUAGGUAGCAUUCCACAUCAAAAAUUUCUUUUUUAUCAUUUACCUACUCGAGGACGAGUAGGAAUGAAGCUUGGGGAUGCUUGAUACGGCUCCAAGGUAUCUAUGAUUUUUGAUUGUUCCAUGCUAUUAUAUUACCCCUUUUGGAUGUUUAUGGGCUUUAUUUUACACAUUUAUAUCAUUUUUGGGACUAACCUACUAACCGGAGGCCCAGCCCAUAUUGUUGUUUUUUUGCCUAUUUCGGUAUUUCGAAGAAAAGGAAUAUCAAACGGAGUCCAAAUGGAAUGAAACCUUCGGGAGCGUGAUUUUUGGAACGAACGUGAUCCGGAGAGCUUGGAGUGUAAGUCAAGAAGCUGUCGAGGAAGCCAUGAGAUAGGAGCCCCCCCCCUGUAGGGCACGCCCCCUGUCUCGUGGGCCCCUCGGGCGUCCACCGACGUACUUCUUGCUCCUAUAUAUACCUAUGUACCCCGAAAACAUCCAGGAGCACCACGAAACACAAUUUCCACCACCGCAACUUUCUGUAUCCGCGAGAUCUCAUCUUGGAGCCUUCGCCGGCACUCUGCCGGAGGGGGACUCGACCAUGGAGGGCUUCUACAUCAACAUCCUUGCCCCUCCGAUGAGUUGUGAGUAGUUUACCACAGACCUACGGGUCCAUAGUUAUUAGCUAGAUGGCUUCUUCUCUCUUUUUGGAUCUCAAUACAAUAUUCUCCCCCUAUCUUGUGGAGAUCUAUUCGAUGUAAACUCUUUUUGCGGUGUGUUUGUCAAGAUUCGAUGAAUUGUGGGUUUAUGAUCAAGUUUAUCUAUGAAUAAUAUUUGAAUCUUCUCUGAAUUCUUUUAUGUAUGAUUGAGUUAUCUUUGCAAGUCUCUUUGAAUUAUCGGUUUGGUUUGGCCUACUAGAUUGAUCUUUCUUGCCAUGGGAGAAGUGCUUAGCUUUGCGUUCAAUCUUGCAGUGUUCUUACCCAGUGACAGAAAGGGUUGCAAGACACGUAUUGUAUUGUUGCCAUCGAGGAUAACAAGAUGGGGUUUAUAUCAUAUUGCAUGAGUUUAUCCCUCUACAUCAUGUCAUCUUGCUUAAUGCGUUACUCUGUUCUUAUGAACUUAAUACUCUAGAUGCAGGCAGGAGUCAGUCGAUGAGUGGAGUAAUAGUAGUAGAUGCAGGCAGGAGUCGGUCUACUUGUUAUGGACGUGAUGCCUAUAUACAUGAUCAUGCCUAGAUAAUCUCAUAACUAUGCGCUUUUCUAUCAAUUGCUCGACAGUAAUUUGUUCACCCACCGUAAUACUUAUGCUAUCUUGAGAGAAGCCUCUAGUGAAACCUAUGGCCCCCAGAUCUAUCUCUUAUCAUAUUUUCUUUCAAUCUACUUUUAUUUGCAUCUUUACUUUUUGCAUCUAUAUUAUAAAAAACCAAAAAUAUAUUUAUCUUAUCAUACUAUCUCUAUCAGAUCUCACUUUCGCAAGUGGCCGUGAAGGGAUUCACAACCCCUUUAUUGCGUUGGUUACGAGUUCUCAGUUUGUUUGUGUAGGUGCGUGGGACUUUUGAGGAGCCUCCUACUGGAUUGAUACCUUGGUUCUCAAAACCAAGGGAAAUACUUACGCUACACUUNNNNNNNNNNNNNNNNNNNNNNNNNNNNNNNNNNNNNNNNNNNNNNNNNNNNNNNNNNNNNNNNNNNNNNNNNNNNNNNNNNNNNNNNNNNNNNNNNNNNNNNNNNNNNNNNNNNNNNNNNNNNNNNNNNNNNNNNNNNNNNNNNNNNNNNNNNNNNNNNNNNNNNNNNNNNNNNNNNNNNNNNNNNNNNNNNNNNNNNNNNNNNNNNNNNNNNNNNNNNNNNNNNNNNNNNNNNNNNNNNNNNNNNNNNNNNNNNNNNNNNNNNNNNNNNNNNNNNNNNNNNNNNNNNNNNNNNNNNNNNNNNNNNNNNNNNNNNNNNNNNNNNNNNNNNNNNNNNNNNNNNNNNNNNNNNNNNNNNNNNNNNNNNNNNNNNNNNNNNNNNNNNNNNNNNNNNNNNNNNCUAACGCUCACUGUUCAUCCCAGAGGCAGCAUCGAUCGGCUUCAGUUAGCAGCAGUAGCAAAGGAAUCGCUCGAUCGGGUUCAGUUAACAGCCAUCGAUUGAUCGCUCGGGUUCAGUAACGUGUAGCCUGCAGCGCAAUCGCUCGGGUUGAGUUAGAGCCCAACGCCUCGCUCGGGUUCAGUUAGAGCCAACGCCUCGCACACACGCGCGUACGUGUACGAGAGAAACGCGCAUCGCUCGACCCCCGACCAUCCACCGUAACCGGGAACUCCCCGAAAUUUUCCUCGCCCUCGCUUCUACCACGGUUUUUUCUGUCAUGGAAGACCCAAAGAAUGUCAUGCAGCUGCUUCUCCGGCCCGCCCAGGACGAAAAGCCCAUUUUUUGUCAUGAUUUUUUGUCAUAGAAGUAGGAGCCCACCACAUCUAUGAUGAUACCGGGUUUUGUCACAAUUAUCGUCAUAGAAGUGUCAUAUGUAUGACAGGAAAAAAAUCCGUUCAGCCCAAAAUGUCACGGAUGUGUCCUUUUUUGUAGUGAAAGUAGGAGAUUGAAGAUAGGGGAUGCAAUGGAUAGGAUCAACAAAUGGCUCACAAAUCCAUCCACAAACUCCCCUUCACAUAGAGGGGAGAUAGGACUUUGGGAGAGGUGGUAAGAUGCUCAAAAUGGUGUUAGGAAAGUGUAUGAACACCCCCCCCCCCCCCAAACCGGUGGGAGGAAGGAGCCCUUAAAUAGCCAAAACCCAAAACUAGCUAUUGUGACUCAACGGGCAGUUCCUGGACACCCUGUGCACAUGGGGAUUUAGACCCCGUGCCCAUGGUACAAGCCCGUGUGCACGGGGCCUCGUGCCCACAAGGGUCAAAAACCCCGUGUCCACGGGGUACCCAGAACAACAUGUAGCACCCCACUAAAACAGUGAUAACUUUGGCAUACAGACUCCAAAUUCGAUGAUCUUGGGUUCGUUUUGAAGCAAGGGAAAAGCCCAAGGUCCUCACAUAGAGAACCACCCAAGAUCAACAAGAAAGAAUGAUGCAAUUAAUGCAAAGGUUUGAGCUCUCUACAUGCGACGUGAUCAAGCUACUUGCCCGAAAGUCCCUCUUGAUAGUACGGCUAUCAAACCUAUAAUCCGGUCUCCCUCCAAGCACCAUGAGACCGGCAAAACUAGGAAAACCUAGCUAAGGUAUACCUUUGCCUUGCACAUUCAACUUGAGCUUGGUGAUGACUUUGACGCUUGCCUCAAGUUGGAAUCUUUUUCUUGUCCACAAUCACUUGGUGAACAUACUCGAAAUGCUUCCUCAUAUUGCAAUGAGGGAAGCCUUAACUUAAGCCCAUCUUCACAUGCACAUUAUCAUGAUGUGGACCGCAAGCUUCAAAGCAUAUAACCUUCGGCUUCUCAUCUUGCACUUGGACGCCUUGAACCCGAUGACCAUCACCACUUGAUGUCAUCGACACAUAGGCUACUUGAAAUCUCUCUUUUGAUGCAAGCCCAUGAGAAACACCUAACCCACAUAGACAUAGAAAGAACAUAGCAUGGGUUAGGUAGCAAAGCACAAUUCACAAUUACUUACCAUACCACUAGAUCACUUGAUCCCACGUAGUACAAAGAUUGCACUUUGAGAGUUGACCAUCUAAAUAAUCUUUGAGCUUCAUCUUGGUCACCCAACAUCUUUACUUCAAGUCCCAUCUUGGUUUCUUGAAAGCCACAAUGAACUCUUAAUUUCCCUUCAUCGCUUCAAGAAAGAGACCACCAAAUACUCUUUCAUGACCAUAUGAAGCUCCACUAUGAAUAUCAUAUUGGUCAUCAUUUGCUCUUCUAAAAACUCCGUCAUAAUCUAUUGAGAGGCACAAUGAAUUCUCCACUCUAGUUGCUUGCUUCAAGAGUUAAUCAACCAAAAACCCAACACAUGAGCUUACCAUGAUCUUGUCUUGAAACCAUAACUUGAAUUCUUCUAUUUGUUUAUAUUCUCAAGCUCUUGAUCCUUAAAAGCCCACAUAUGUCAAUCUUUGAGAUCCUCUAAUGAACUCCACCAUGAAUAUAUUUGGUUAGACAUUAAAAUCAAUCUUGAUGGCUUCAACAUAAAUCCCCCAAAGACCAACUUGAAGCCUCACUGAAUAUGGGAUCUCGAGUGCCAAAACCUAGGCCCCGUGUGCACGUGGGUCAGGGACCCCGUGCGCAUGGGGUAUCCAAAGAGUUGACACUCGACCGUGCGCAUGGGGUAUCCAGAGAGGAAUACCAUGAGGACUUCUUCGAAUGUUUUGAUGGCAUUCUUCUCACAUAAAUCCAACAUGCUUCAUGCAUCACUAUGGAACAUUUCUUCAUUAGGAUUCAAUGCACUCGAUGCUCCAUAGGAAUUUGUUAAUUAAUACCAAAGCUUAGAGCAAACAUAGAUUCAUAUAUAUGGACUUUAUCCUUGAUUCCAUCUAAUAUCCUUGAUGCACCAUCUAUGGACAAUUCCUUCACAUGUAUCUCAAUGAAAACAUUAGACCAUAGAGAUUGUCAUUAAUUACCAAAACCACACUUAGGGGCUACAUGCCAUUUCAACCGGGUAUUCAUCGGAUCACCGGGAGGGGUUCCAGGAGGCCCCCGGAGGUCUAUGGGCCUAAUGGGCCAAGGGGAGGCACACACCAGCCCACAAGGGGGCAGGCGCGCCCUCUCCCUGGUCGUCCGCCCUUGAGAAGGAAAGGGUGGAGGGCUAUCCCCUCCUGCCUUCCCCUCCUCAUGGGAGAAAGGAAAGGGGGGGGCACCGCCCCCUCUUGCCUUCUCCCUGACGCCAUACAAGGAGGGGGGCGCUAGAGGGCAGGAGCCCAAGGGGGUCGGUCGGCCAUCCUUGGGGCGCCUCCUCGCUGUGUCCCCUCCCCCCACUAUAUAUAUAUAUAUAUAUAUAUAUAUAUAUAUAUAUAUAUAUAUAUAUGAGGGAGGGGGCACCACAAAACCCACAACAACUCUUAGCCGUGUGCGGCACCCCUCUCCACAGUUUAGUCCUCCAUCCAGUUUCUCCGCAGUGCUUGAUACGUCUUCAACGUAUCUGUAAUUUUUUAUUGUUCCAUGCUAUUCUAUUAUCUGUUUUGUAUGUUUUAUAUGCAUUAAUAUGCUCUUUUAUAUUAUUUUUGGGACUAACCUAUUAACCUAGAGCCCAGUGCCAGUUCCUGUUUUUUCCCUGUUUUAGAGUUUCAUACAAAAGGAAUACCAAACGGAGUCCAAAUGAAAUAAAACUUUCGUGAUGAUUUUUCUUGGACCAAAAGACAACCAGGAGAAUUGGAGAUGUAAGUUAUAGGAGCCACGAGGCGGCCACAAGUACGGAGGGCGCGCCCAGGGGGUAGGGCGUGCCUCCCACCCUUGUGGGCCCCUUGUGCACCUCCUGGCCUAAUUCUUUUGCCUAUAUAUUCCCAUAUAUACCAAACCAACAGAAGCAUCCACAGAAACACUUUUCCGCCGCCGCAACCUUUUGUACCCAUGGAAUCCCAUCUAGGGGCCUUUUCCGGCGUCCUGCUGGAGGGGGAUUUGACCAUGGAGGGCUUCUACAUCAACACUAUUGCCCUUCCGAUGAAGCGUGGGUAGUUUACCACAGACCUACGGGUCCAUAGCUAGUAGCUAGAUGGCUUCUUCUCUCUCUUUGAUUCUCAGUACCAUGUUCUCCUCGAUGUUCUUGGAGAUCUAUUCGAUGCAAUACUUUUUUGCGGUGUGUUUGCCGAGAUCCGAUGAAUUGUGGAUUUAUGAUCAGCUUAUCUAUGAAUAUUAUUUGAAUCUUCUCUGAAUUCUUAUAUGCAUGAUUUGAUAUCUUUGCAAGUCUCUUCGAAUUAUCCGUUUGGUUUGGCCAAUUAGAUUGGUUCUUCGUGCAAUGGGAGAAGUGCUUAGCUUUGGGUUCAAUCUUGCGGUGUCCUUUCCCACUGACAUUAGGGGCAGCAAGGCACGUAUUGUAUUGUUUCCAUCAAGGAUAAAAAGAUGGGGUUUUCAUCAUAUUGCUUGAGUUAAUUCCUCUACAUCAUGUCAUAUUACUUAAUGUGUUACUCCAUUCUUUAUGAACUUUAAUACUCUAGAUGCAUGAUGGAUAGCGGGCGAUGUGUGGAGUAAUAGUAGUAGAUGCAGGCAGGAGUCGGUCUACUUGACAUGGACGUGAUGCCUGCAUUCAUGAUCAUUGCCUUAGAUAUCGUCAUAACUUUGCGAUUUUCUAUCAAUUUCUCGGCAGUAAUUUGUUCACCCACUAUAUUAUUUUCUAUCUUGAGAGAAGCCUCUAGUGAAACCUAUGGCCCCCAGGUCUAUUUUCCAUCAUAUUAGUUUCCGAUCUACUAUACUUGCAAUCUUUACUUUCCAAUCUAUAAACCAAAAAUACCAAAAACAUUUACUUCAUCGUUUAUCUAUCUCUAUCAGAUCCAACUUUUGCAAGUAACCGUGAAGGUAUUGAAAACCCCUUUAUCGCGUUGGGUGCAAGUUUGUUUGAUUGUUUGUGCAGGUAUAAAGUGAUUUGUGUGUUGUCUCCUACUCGAUUGAUACCUUGGUUCUCAAACUGAGGGAAAUACUUAUCUCUACUUUGCUGCAUCAUCCUUUCCUCUUCAAGGGAAAAACCAACGCAAGCUCAAGAAGUAGCAGGAAGAAUUUCGGGCGCUGUUGCCGGGGAAUUCUACACCAAGUCAAGACAUGCCAAGUACCCAUCACAAACUCUCAUCUCUUGCAUUACAUUAUUCGCCAUUCGCCUCUCGUUUUCCUCUCCCCCACUUCUAAAAUGAUUUUCGAAAACAUUUGCCUUUUCUUUACCCCUCUUUCGCCCAUCUUCUUUGCUUGCUUUUUGGUGUGAUCGUUUGUUGGUUUGGUUUGUUGCCAUCAUGUUUGAAUCUGGGGAGGUUAUCGUUGAAAAUCUUGAGGAGAAAUUUGAAUCUUGUUCUUUGGGUAAUGAAACUGCAAAUCCUCUCCUAAUUACAAAGCAAAAACUUUUCAUGUGGGUGACGGUAAUAUUAUUGGAAAAAGUGUUAUUCAAGAGUUCUUUGUUUGUACAUGAUCUAUGCCUAUUAAUAAAAGAUCUAUUCCUCUCGAUACAAAUUGUUAUGCGGAUGCCUUUUUUAUGCUUAUUGAGAAACUAGAAAGAAAAUUUGUGCACCUCCACCCCGCUUUGCAAAAAGUGUUUUACGAACUUCCUAACAUUAAUCAUCCUAUAGCUAAAAAGAUUGCAACUAUCAUUCUUAUGCGUGAAUUUGAUUUUAUACUACAAGAAGCUAGGGAUACUUUUUCUUUCUAUAAAAAGGAUGUUGAACACCCUCCAAUUGAGGAUAUCCUCCAUGACAAAGAAACUAUGCGUAGUUUGGAAUCUAGGGAUUAUAAGUCUUAUAGUGAAAACCUUAGGAGGAGAGUUCCCUAUGCAUAAAUCUCUCAAUCUUUGUACCUUGAGGCCUAUGAGGAAUUUGAUUGGAUUACGAGGGAUAUUCAUGUAGGAUUCAAUAGAGAUUGGUUGAAUAAAAUGAUGAAGGAACCCGUUAGAAACGAGAUACAUGUUCUUUAUGAUGAUAUUUAUGGUGAUGAUCCCGAUUACGGGUUUAUGAAUGUCAAAAUAACCAAUCAAAGUCCUUUUCAUGAUUUGAGUUCAUCUAAUAGAAGGGAAAUAAAGGAAAGGAUAGAUUUCUUAAGACGAGUUUUGGAGGAUUUGAUGAGAAAAGAAAUGCAUACCAAAGAUGACAAUACCUAGAUCUAUUCGUGUUUUAUGCCUAGCUAAGGGUGUUAAACAAUAGCGCUUCUUAGGAGGCAACGCAAUUUUAUUUUUGUUCUUUGCUUUUUGUUCCUGUUUUGCUUUGAAUAAUUCAUCUAGCCUCUGGUUAGAUGUGGUUUUGUGUUUUAAUUAGUGUUUGUGCCAAGUAAGACCUUUGGGAUAGCUUACGGUGAUAGCUGUUUUGAUCCUGCUGAAAAACAGAAACUUUUGCGCCCAGUAAAUAAUUUCCUGGAUUUUAUUGAAACAUGCUUUUGAUCUGAUUCUUUUUUCUCUAGAUUGGUACACAAAUUGCCCAGGUUUUCCUAAAUUUUCAGAAUUUUUGGAGUUACAGAAGUAUUCGAGAGUUACAGAUUGCUAUAGACUAUUCUGUUUUUGACAGAUUCUGUUUUCUAUGGGUUGUUUGCUUAUUUUGAUGAAUCUAUGGGCAGUAUAGGGGGUAUGAACCAUGUAAAAGUUGUAUUACAGUAGAUAUUACACCAAUAUAAAUAAAUAAUGAGUUUUCAACAGUACCAUAAAGUGGUGAUUUAUUUUCUUAUACUAACCGAGCUUAUGAGAUUUUCUGUUGAGUUUUGUGUUGUGAAGUUUUCAAGUUUUGGGUAAGGAUUUGAUGGACUAUGGAAUAAGGAGUGGCAAGAGCCUAAGAUUGGGGAUUCACAAGGCACCCCAAGGUAAUAUUAAAGGACAACCAAGAGCCUAAGCUUGGGGAUGCCCCGGAAGGCAUCCCCUCUUUCGUCUUCGUUUAUCGGCAACUUUACUUGAGGCUAUAUUUUUUCACCACAUGAUAUGUGUUUUGCUUGGAGCGUCUUGUAUGAUUUGAGUCUUUGAUUUUUAGUUUGCCACAAUCAUCCUUGUUUUACACACCUUUUGAGAGGGACACACAUGAAUCGUGAUUUAUUAUAAUACUCUAUGUGAUUCACUUAUAUCUUUUGAGCUAGGCAAUAUUGCUCUGGUGCUUCACUUAUAUGUUUUUAGAACACGGCGGUGGUUUUGUUUUAUAGAAAUUGUUGAACUCUCAUGAUUCACUUAUAUUAUUUUGGGAGUCUUUAAACAACAUGGUAAUUUGCUUUGGUUAUAAAUUUAGUCCUAAUAUGAUAGGCAUCCAAGAAGGAUAUAAUAAAAACUUUCAUAUAAAGUGCAUUGAAUACUAUGAGAAGUUUGAUUCUUUAUGAUUGUUUUGAGAUAUGAAGAUGGUGAUAUUAGAGUCAUGCUAGUGAGUAAUUGUUAAUUUGAGAAAUAGUUGUGUUGAGGUUUGUGAUUCAUGUAGCAUGCACGUGGUGAAUCGUUAUGUGAUGAAGUCGGAGCAUGAUUUAUUUUCUGAUUGUCUUCCUUAUGAGUGGCGAUCGGGGACGAGCGAUGGUCUUUUCUUACCAAUCUAUCCCCCUAGGAGCAUGUGCGUAGUACUUUUUUUGAUAACUAAUAGACUUCUGCAAUAAGUAUGUGAGUUCUUUAUGACUAAAGUUGAGUCCAUGGAUUAUACGCACUCUCACCCUUCCACCAUUGCUAGCCUCUCUUGUGCCGCGCAACUUUUGCCGGUGCCAUACACCCACCAUAUACCUUCCUCAAAACAGCCACCAUACCUACCUAUUAUGGUAUUUCCAUAGCCAUUCCGAGAUAUAUUGCCAUGCAACUUUCCACCAUUCCCUUAUUAUGACACGCUUCAUCAUUGUCAUAUUGCUUUGCAUGAUCAUGUAGUUGACAUCGUAUUUAUGGCAAAGCCACCUUUCAUAAUUCUUUCAUACAUGUCACUCUUGAUUCAUUACACAUCCUGGUACACCGCCGGAGGAAUUCAUAUAGAGUAAUAUUUUGUUCUAAGUAUCGAGUUGUAAUUCUUGAGUUGUAAGUAAAUAAAAGUGUGAUGGUCAUCAUUAUUAGAGCAUUGUCCCAGUGAGGAAAUGAUGAUGGAGACUAUGAUUCCCCCACAAGUCGGGAUGAGACUCCGGACGAAAAAAAAUAGGCGAAAAAAAGAGAAAGACCCAAACAAAAAAGAAUGAGAGAAAAAGAGAGAAGGGGCAAUGUUACUAUCCUUUUUACACACUUGUGAUUCAAAGUAGCACCAUGAUCUUCAUGAUAGAGAGUCUCCUAUGAUAUCACUUUCAUAUACUAGUGGGAAUUUUUCAUUAUAUAACUUGGCUUGUAUAUUCCAACGACGGGCUUCCACAAAUUGCCAUAGGUCUUCAUGAGCAAGCGAGUUGGAUGCACACCCACUUAGUUUUCUUUUGGGCUUUCAUAAACUUAUAGCUCUAGUGCAUCCGUUGCAUGGCAAUCCCUGCUCACUCACAUUGAUAUCUAUUGAUGGGCAUCUCCAUAGCCCGUUGAUACGCCUAGUUGAUGUGAGACUACCUCCACCUUUUUGUCUUCUCCACAACCAUUGUAUUCUAUUCCACCUAUAGUGCCAUGUCCAUGGCUCAACUCAUGUAUUGCGUGAAAGUUGAAAAAGAUUGAGAACAUCAAAAGUAUGAAACAAUUUCUUGGCUUGUCAUCAGGGUUGUGCAUGAUUUAAAUAUUUUGUGUGGUGAAGAUGAAGCAUAGCCCGACUAUAUGAUUUUGUAGGGAUAAGCUUUCUUUGCCAUGUUAUUUUGAGAAGACAUAAUUGCUUUAUUAGUAUGCUUGAAGUAUUAUUGUUUUUAUGUCAAUAUUAAACUUUUGUUUUGAAUUUUACAGAUAUGAACAUUCAUGCCACAAUAAAGAAAAUUACAAGGACAAAUAUGUUAGGUAGCAUUCCACAUCAAAAACUCUAUUUUUAUGAUUUACCUACUCGAGGGCGAGCAGGAAUUAAGCUUGGGGAUGCUUGAUACGUCUCCAACAUAUCUAUAAUUUUUUAUUGUUCCAUGCUAUUAUAUUAUCUGUUUUGGAUGUUUUUAUGCAUUAAUAUGUUAUUCUAUAUUAUUUUUGGGACUAUCCUAUUAACCUAGAGCCUAGUGUCCGUUCCUAUUUUUUCCCUGUUUUUGAGUUUCGUAGAAAAGGAAUACCAAACAGAGUCCAAACGGAAUAAAACUUUCGCAAUGAGGACAACCAGGAGACUUGGAGAUGAACUUGGAGGAGCCACGAGGUGGCCACAAGGACGAAGGGCGCGCCCCACUCUUGUGGGCCCCUCAUGCACCUCCUGACCUAAUUCUUUCACCUAUAUAUUACCAUAUAUCCCCAAACCAAUAGAAGCAUCCACGAAAACACUUUUCCGCCGCCGCAACCUUCUGUACCCGUGGGAUUCCAUCUAGGGGAUUUUUCCGUUGUCCUGCCGGAGGGGGAUUCGACCACGGAGGGCUUCUACAUCAACACCAUUGCCCUUCGGAUGAAGUGUGAGUAGUUUAUAGCUAGUAGCUAGAUGGCUUCUUCUCUAUCUUUGAUUCUCAAUACCAUGUUCUCCUCGAUGUUCUUGGAGAUCUAUUCGAUGUAAUACUUUUUUGCAGUGUGUUUGCCAAGAUCCGAUGAAUUGCAGAUUUAUGAUCAGCUUAUCUAUGAAUAUUAUUUGAAUCUUCUCUGAAUUCUUAUAUGCAUGAUUUGAUAUUUUUGCAAGUCUCUUCGAAUUAUCGGUUUGGUUUGGCCAACUAGAUUGGUUCUUCUUGCAAUGGGAGAAGUGCUUAGCUUUGGGUUCAAUAUUGCGGUGUCCUUUCCCAGCGACAGUAGGGGUAGCAAGGCACGUAUUGUAUUGUUUCCAUCAAGGAUAAAAAUAUGGGGUUUUCAUCAUAUUGCUUGAGUUAAUUCCUCUACAUCGUGUCAUCUUACUUAAUGUGUUACUUCGUUCUUUAUGAACUUAAUACUCUUGAUGCAUGCUGGAUAGCGGUCGAUGUGUGGAGUAAUAGUAGUAGAUGCAGGCAGGAGUCGGUCUACUUGACACGGACGUGAUGCCUAUAUUCAUGAUCAUUGCCUUAGAUAUCGUCAUAACUUUGCGCUUUUCUAUCAAUUGCUCGACAGUAAUUUGUUCACCCACCGUAUUAUUUUCUAUCUUGAAAGAAGCCUCUAGUGAAACCUAUGGCCCGCGAGUCUAUUUUCCAUCAUAUUAGUUUCCCAUCUAAUAUUCUUGCAAUAUUUUACUUUAUGAUCUAUAAAAAAAAUACCAAAAAUAUUUACUUUAUUGUUUAUCUAUCUCUAUCAGAUCUCACUUUUGCAAGUAAGAGUGAAGGGAUUGACAACCCCUUUAUCGCGUUGGGUGCAAGUUUGUUUGAUUGCUUGUGCAGGUAUUCGGUGAUCUGUGCAUUAUCUCCUACUGGAUUGAUACCUUGGUUCUAAAACUGAGGGAAAUACUUAUCUCUACUUUGCUGCAUCACCCUUUCCUCUUCAAGGGAAAAACCAACGCAAGCUCAAGAAGUAGCAGUGCUCAGCGAAGCCCUCCGGGAACGUGUUCACCAUUACCGUCACCACGCCGUCGUGCUGUCAGAACUCAUCUACUACUUCACCCAUCUUGCUGGAUCAAGAAAGCGAGGACGUCAUCGAGCUGAGCGUGUGCUGAACAUGGAGGUGUCGUAUGUUCGGUACUGGCUUGGUUGGAUCGCGAAGAAGUUCGACUACAUCAACCGCGUUAAUGAACGCUUCCGCUUUACGGUUUACAAGGGUACAUAGACACACUCUCCCCUCUUGUUGCUAUGCAUCUCCUUAAAUAGAUAUUACGUGUGCGUAGAAAUUUUUUUGUCUUCCAUGCAACGUUCCCCAACAGUGGCAUCAUGAGCCAGGUCUAUGCAUAGAUGAUAUGCACGAGUAGAACACAAAGAGGUUGUGGGCGAUGAUAGUCAUACAACUUACCACCAACGUCUUAUUUUGAUUCGACAGUAUUGAGGGAUGAAGCGGAAUGGACCAACCUUACGUGUCCACGCACAUGACACCGGUUCCACCGACUGACAUGCAACUUGUUUUGCAUAAAGGUGGCUGGUGGGUGUUUGUUUCUCCUACUUUCGUUGAAUGGAAUUUGACUACGGCAGGUCCUGGAAGAAGGUUAAAACAGCAAACUUGAUAAAUCACCAUUGUGGUUUUUGCGUAGUUAAGAACGGUUCUUUCUAGAAGCCCAUAGCAACCACGUAAAACUUGCAAUAACAAAGUAGAGGACGUCUAACUUGUUUUUCCAGGGCAUGUUGUGAUGUGAUAUGGUCCAGACGUGUUGUGAUAUACAUUGUUGUGUGAGAUGAUCAUGUUUUGUCAUAUCGACAACCUGCAGGAGCCUUAGGGUUGUCUCUUAAUUAUUGUAUGAAAUGCAACCGCCAUGUAAUAGAUUUACUUUUAUCACUAUGCGUUAGCAAUAGUUGUAGAAGCAAUAGUUGGCGAGAUGAACCCGACGCAACGAUGGAGAUCAAGGUGUCGAGCCAGUGACGAUGGAGAUCAUGACGAUGGUUUGGAGAUGGAGAUCAAAAUCACAAGAUGAUGAUGGCCAUAUCAUGUCACAUAUUUUGAUUGCAUGUGAUGUUUAUCCUCUAUGCAUCUUAUUUUUCUUAGAACAGUCGUAGCAUUGUAAGAUGAUCCCUUCACUAAAUUUCAAGAUAAAAGUGUUCUCCAGGAGUAUGCACCAUUGCCAAAGUUCGUCGUUUUGAAGCACCUCGUGAUGAUCGGGUGUGAUAGACUCUACGUUCACAUACAACGGGUGUAAGACAGUUUUGCACAUGCAGAAUACUUGGGUUAAACUUGACAAGCCUAGCAUGUACAGACAUGGUCUCGGAACACUGGAGACCGAAAGGUCAAACAUGAGUCAUAUAGUAGAUGUGAUCAACAUAGAGAUGUUCACCAUUAAUGACUUCCCCAUCUCACAUGAUGAUCGGACAUGGGUUAGUUGAUUUGGAUCAUGUAUCACUUAGAACUUGAGGGAUGUUUAUUUAAGUGGGAGUUCAUUAGUAAUUUGAUUAAUUGAACUUAAUUUACCAUGAACUUAGUCUUAAUAGUUUUUGCAUAUCUAUGUUGUAGAUCAUGGCCCGAGCUACCGUUCCCCUGAAUUUUAAUGCGUUCCUAGAGAAAGCUAAGUUGAAAGAUGAUGGUAGCAACUACACGGACUGGGUCCGUAAUUUGAGAAUUAUCCUCAUUGUUGCACAAAAGAAUUAUGUCCUUGAUGCACCGCUAGGUGACAGACCUGCUGCAGGAGCUACUACAUAUGUUAUGAACGUCUGGCAGAAUCGGUUUGAUGACUACUCGAUAGUUCAGUGUGCCAUGCUUUACAACCUAGAACCGGGACUUCAAAGACAUUUUGAACAUCAUAGAGCAUAUGAGAUGUUCCAAGAGCGGAAGUUGAUAUUUCAAGCCAAUGCCCAGGUUGAGAGAUAUGAAGUCUCCAACAAGUUCUACAGCUGCAAGAUGGAGGGAAAUAAUUCUGUCAAUGAACACAUACUCAAAAUAUCUGGGUAUCAUAACCACUUGACUCAGCUGGGAAUUGAUCUUCCAGUUGAGAGUGUUAUUGAUAGAGUUCUUCAGUCACUGCCACCAAGCUACAAAGGCUUCAUGAUGAACUAUAAUAUGCAAGGGAUGACGAAAACGAUUGUCGAGCUCUUCGCAAUGCUUAAGGCCGCAGAGGUAGAUAUCAAGAAGGAGCGUCAAGUGUUGAUGGUUAACAAACCCACUAGUUUCAAGAAAAAGGGCAAGGGAAAGAAAGAGAAUUUCGAGAAGAAUGGCAAGCAAGUUGCCACUCCCGUGAAGAAGCCCAAAGAUGGAAGCAAGCCUGAAACUGAGUGCUUCUACUGCAAAGGAAAUGGUCACUGGAAGCGGAACUGCCCCAAAUACUUGGCUGAUAAGAAGGAUGGCACAGUGAACAAAGGUAUAUUUGAUAUACAUGUUAUUGAUGUGUACCUUACUAAUGCUUGUCGUAGAGCCUAGGUAUUUGAUACUGGUUCGGUUGCUCAUAUCUGUUACUCGAAAUAGGAGCUACGGAAUAAACGAAGAUUGGCUAAGGACAAGGUGACAAUGCGCAUCAGGAAUGGUUCCAAGGUCGAUGUGAUCACCGUCGACACGCUACCUCUACAUCUACCUUCGGGGUUAGUUUUAGACCUCAAUAAUUGUUAUUUGGUGCCAGCAUUGAGCAUGAACAUUAUAUUUGGAUCUUGUUUAUUAUGAGACGGUUAUUCAUUUAAAUCAGAGAAUAAUGGUUGUUCUAUUUAUAUGAGUAAUAUCUUUUAUGGUCAUGCACCCUUGAUGAAUGGUCUAUUCUUGUUGAAUCUCGAUCAUAGUGAUACACAUAUAAUAUUGAUGCCAAAAGAUGCAAGGUUGAUAAUGAUAGUGCAAAAUAUUUGUGGCACUGUCGUUUAGGUCAUAUUGGUGUAAAGCGCAUGAAGAAACUCCAUAUAGAUGGACUUUUGGAAUCACUUGAUUAUGAAUCAUUUGAUACUUGCGAACCAUGCCUCAUGGGCAAGAUGACUAAAACUCCGUUCUCCAGAACAAUGGAGCGAGCUAAUGACUUACUGGAAAUAAUACAUACCGAUGUAUGCAGUCCGAUGAGUGUUGAGGCACGCGGUGGGUAUCAUUAUUUUCUGACCUUCACGGAUGAUUUGAGUAGGUAUGGAUAUAUCUACUUGAUGAAACACAUCUAAAACAUUUGAAAAGUUCAAGGAAUUUUGGAGUGAAGUAGAGAAUCAUCAUAAGAAGAAGAUAAAAUUUCUACGAUCUGAUCAUGGAGGUGAACAUUUGAGUUACGAGUUUGGCCUUCAUAUAAAAUAACGUGGAAUUGUUUCUCAACUCAUGCCACCUCGAACACCACAACGUAAUGGUGUGUCCAAACACCAUAACCACAUUUUAUUAGAUAUGGUGCGUUUUAUGGUGUCUCUUACCGAUUUACCACUAUUUUUUGGGUUAUGCAUUAGAGACAGCCGCAUUCUUGUUAAAUAGGGCACCGUCUAAAUCCGUUGAGAUGACACCGUAUGAACUAUGGUUUGGCAAGAAACCUAAGCUGUCGUUUCUUAAAGUUUGGGGAUGCGACACUUAUGUCAAAAGGCUUCAGCCUGAUAAGCUCGAACCCAAAUUGGAGAAUUGCGUCUUCAUAGGAUACCCUAAGGAAACUAUCGGUACACCUUCUACCACAGAUCCAAAGGCAAGAUCUUUGUUGCUAAGAAUGGGUCCUUUCUAGAGAAGGAGCUUCUAUCGAAAGAAGUGAGUGAGAGGAAAGUAGAACUUGAUGAGGUAAUUAUACCUUCUCUUGAAUUGGAAAGUAGCACAUCAGAGAAAACCGUUCCCGUGAUGCCUACACCAACUAGAGAGGAAGAUAAUGAUGAUGAUCAUGAAACUUCGGAUCAAGUUACUACUGGACCUUUUAGGUCGACCAGAGCAUGUUCUGCACUAGAGUGGUACGUACUCCUGUCCUGGAAGUCAUGUUAUUAGACCAUGGUGAACCUACAAACUAUGAAGAAGCUAUGAUGAGAUAGGAUCCAUGUAUGAGAACAAAGUAUGGACUUCGGUGGACUAGCCCGAUGAUCGGCAAGCCAUUGAGAAUAAAUGGAACUUCAAAAAGAAGACGGAUGCUGAUGGUAAUGUCACUAUCUACAAAGCUCAACUUGUCAGAAAAUGUUUCCGACAAGUUCAAGGGGUUGACUACGAUGAGACUUUCUCGCCCGUAGCGAUGCUUAAAUCUGUUCAAAUCAUGUUAGCAAUUGCCGCAUUUUAUAAUUAUGAAAUCUUGUAAAUGGACGUCAAAACUGCAUUCCUUAAUGGAUUUCUUAAAGAGAGUUGUAUAUGAUGCAACUAGAAGGUUUUGUCGAUCCUAAAGGUGCUAACAAAGUGUGCAAGCUGCAAAGAUCCAUCUAUGGACUGGUGCAAGCAUCUCGGAGUUGGAAUAUACGCUUUGAUGAGGUGAUUAAAGCAUAUGGUUUUAUACAGACUUACAAUGAAGUCUAUAUUUACAAGAAAGUGAGUGGGAGCUCUGUAGCAUUUCUGAUAUUAUAUGUGGAUGACAUAUUUGUUGAUUGGAAAUGAUAUAGAAUUUUUGGAUAGCAUAAAAGGAUACUUGAAUAAGAAUUCUUUAAUGAAAGACCCUGGUGAAGCUGCUUAUAUAUUUGGCAUCAAGAUCUAUGGGGAUAGAUCAAGAUGCUUAAUAGGACUUUAACAAAACACAUACCUUGAAAAAGUUUUGAAGAAGUACAAAAUUGAUCAGUCAAAGAAAGGGUUCUUGCCUAUGUUACAAGGUAUGAAAUUUAGUCAGACUCAAAGCCUGACCACUGCAAAAGAUAGAGAUAAAAUGAAAGUCAUUCCCCAUGCCUCAGCCAUAGGUUCUAUCAUGUAUGAUAUGCUGUGUACCAGACCUGAUGUGUGCCUAGCCAUAAGUUUGGCAGGUUUCGGUGUCAAAACAGGCGGAUCUCGGAUAGGGGAUCCCGAACUGUGCAUCUAAGGCUAAUGGUAACACGAGGCGGGGGACACAAUGUUUACCCAGGUUUGGGCCCUCUCGAUGGAGGUAAUACCCUACUUCCUGCUUGAUUGAUCUUGAUGAUAUGAGUAUUACAAGAGUUGAUCUACCACGAGAUCGAAGAGGCUAAACCCUAGAAGCUAGCCUAUGGUUAUGAUUGUUCUCCUCCUAUGGACUAAACCCUCCGGUUUAUAUAGACACUGGAGGGGGCUAGGGGUUACACAGAGUUGGUUACAAAGAAAGGAAUCUUCAUAUCCAAAUCGCCAAGCUUGCCUUUCACGCAAAGGAGAGUCCCAUCCGGACAUGGGAUGAAGUCUUCUAUCUUCUAUCUUCAUAUCCCAACAGCCCGGCAUACACAUAUAGUCCGGUUGUCCAAGGACCCCUUAAUCCAGGACUCCCUCAGUAGCCCCUAAACCAGGCUUCAAUGACGAUGAGUCCUGCGCGCAGAUUGUCUUCGGCAUUGCAAGGCGGGUUCCUUCUCUGAAUAGUCCAAAGUAGAUCUUGACCAAAAGAAUCGUGUCCGGCUCUGCAAAAAAAAAUUCCACAUACCAUGGUAGAGAGUACAGUAUCCCAUGAAUCCAAUCUGAUGACAGCUCAUAGCAUGACAUCACGCCGCGGUCGGGUCUUUAUUCGAACCAUUUUUAUCCUUCCCCUCCGUAUUUCGAGGCACGGUUUCAUUGGCACGUCUUGUCGAAGCAGAGAUCGUGUCCCCUUAUCACGGGAUUCUCACCAACGCGGGCGUGGGUAACCCAACCGUGCCAUCAGCACGACGCUUGGGAAAUAAGCAAGUUUUAGGGCGUACGGGGAGGCGCACGAUUUUUACUUCCUUUAUAAGGGGAUAAGGAUUCCCCUCUUUCACCCACGCCCUCUUCUUCCUCUGCUCAUUCAUCCUCGAGCUCCAACGCACAAGCACCCAUCUCUUCCGCCCCAAAAAGCACUCCCAUCAUGUCCGGAUCCGGAGCUGGAGGCAAGUGGAUGGACUCCUCCGUCAAGAAGGAGGACAUCAAGAAGCUCCGGGAGGCCGAGUACUUGUCCAAAGACAUCGCUCAUUGGCUUCCGGCCAAAGGGCAGAUCAUCCCUACCCCGGAGCCCCAAGAAAGGGUGGUAUUUCUUUCCCACUUCGUUCGCGGGCUGGGGUUCCCCCUCCACCCGUUCGUCUGUGGACUGAUGUUCUACUACGGGCUAGACUUCCACGACUUGGCCCCCAACUCCAUCCUCAACAUUUUGGCAUUCAUUGUCAUGUGUGAGUCCUUCCUCCGCAUCCCACCUCACUUUGGCCUAUGGCUGAAGACCUCCAAUGUGAAGCCCAAGGUGGUGAGCGGCGAACAAGCAGAGUGCGGAGGCGCUAUGGUGGGAAAGAUGCCCAAUGUCACCUGGCCCGAAGGCUCCUUUGUAGAGACCACAAAGGGGUGGCAAUCAGGGUGGUUCUACAUUACCGAACCGUGCGGCGCCAACUGGGCGGCGACCCCCGAAUUCUGAUCCGGAGUCCCCAUGCGGCUCACCUCUUGGCAAGAGAAGGGUUUAGCCUGGAGCUCAUUGGAAGAAGUGACUGGGCUCCAGACAUGUGUCCAGAACAUGAUUGACAAGAAAAUCAAGCUUGUGAACGUGAUCCAGGUCAUGCUCUUCCGCCGGAUUCUUCCGUGCCAGAGCCGGACUUGUAAUUUGUGGGAGUUCGACCCGGUCAAGCACCAGACACUACUGGAGCUCUUUGAUACGACACAUAAGACAUCUGGAAGGUGCUUUUUAAGGCCGGCGAGGUUCCACCGCCCACAUUCGAAGACCGCGAGCUUGCGCAAGACGCCGGGCUAAUCCGGUAAGUUCUUUUAUGUUUGCAAGAUAUAUCUUUUUGCCGGCAUAUCCGUGGGAGGAACCUAAGCCUCCAUGCCAAUCUCUCAGGCCUGGGUAACGAUCGUGGAGCAGAUCGAAUGUCCGACUCUGCUGCCCGAAGAUCAAUAAACGCCUCUUCUGACGAAGUUGCUAUUUCCGGCGCCUUAUGAGGUGUCGGAGAAGAAAACCAAGAAGGCGGCCAAGGGGACCAUAGGUGGUCUCCGACGCAAGGGAGUUUCAGACGUGACGUCUGAAGACGCCGAGGCGCACUCCUCCGCCGAAGACGACGGGGAGGNNNNNNNNNNNNNNNNNNNNNNNNNNNNNNNNNNNNNNNNNNNNNNNNNNNNNNNNNNNNNNNNNNNNNNNNNNNNNNNNNNNNNNNNNNNNNNNNNNNNNNNNNNNNNNNNNNNNNNNNNNNNNNNNNNNNNNNNNNNNNNNNNNNNNNNNNNNNNNNNNNNNNNNNNNNNNNNNNNNNNNNNNNNNNNNNNNNNNNNNNNNNNNNNNNNNNNNNNNNNNNNNNNNNNNNNNNNNNNNNNNNNNNNNNNNNNNNNNNNNNNNNNNNNNNNNNNNNNNNNNNNNNNNNNNNNNNNNNNNNNNNNNNNNNNNNNNNNNNNNNNNNNNNNNNNGAAGAGGAAGGCCUCCACAUAUGGGGAGGCCGAGGCGCCCAAGAAGGGAAAAAUCUCCCUUCCGGACUACUCCGCCGCAGCCACCAAUAGCAGCGAGGAGUGGGGGGCCAGGGUCAAGCCCCUGGCCAAAUUGUAAGUAUAUUUCCGAGCUUUUUCACCUUAUCGUUUUUAAUGUGUUAGACCAUGCAUCUGCAGUCCGGCCCAAUCCAACAUCGAGCUCUCCUCCUCUUCGAAGGGGUCGCUGGAUCCGUCAGUGAUGAACAGCAGGUCCCUUCCAACGGCCACCUCCCAUAAGGCCGCGGACAACACUGAUGUGUUGUCCCGAAGGAUACCGGGCCAAGGGAAGGCUGUUCCGGUGAUGCCGGAGGAAAGAAGUCUGGUCGUCGAGCACAUGGGGGGAAAGACCCCUAGACCCCGACGAUGAGGGCCGAGUCCAGUUCGGUCCUCAGCCAGAUACAGCUCCGGAGACCCAAGUGGCUCCGAAUUUGGGAAGGCAGUCUCUCCCUAACGAGGGGGGCAAGCCGCCUCCGCCGGUGACCUCUGUCCGCCUAGAGGCACCGGACAGAUUGUUGGAAGCGCUACAAGGCGCUUCCAUUAUGGAAGAACACCAUACUCUUAUGAGUACGGUGAUUGUGAAAGUCCAGGCCGCCAAAAACAGACUGACCGAAACCUGCCUUAGCCUUCUAACAGGCUUUGAGGUAAGUACUGUAGUUGUAAAAGAAUAUCACCUUGUAGACAGUAGCCCCUGAUGCUCUGUUCGGUGUUCGGAAAGAAAAACCAAACGGAGGAUCAAAAUAAUUUUCGCAGGAGUCUAACAUAGCAUGUCUAUGUGAACAAGCAGGCGUCGCUGCUACCCAUUGCCGCUCAUACUGCGGAGGUCUCUGACUUGACGCGGAAUCUGGAGCGGGCCGAGGAAGAACUCGGCCUCGUGAAGAAGCAACUAGAGGACGACCGAGGUCUACACUAACUGGUGCUUUAUAUUUGGGAAGGAUGAAAAGUUCAUACUGACUGAAGUGUCAUGAACUUUAUUAGGGGUCGCGACCAAAGUAGCGGCCCUUAAGAAGGCGUUGGCCGAGGCCGAGGACAAAGCGGCUAAGGAACGCGCCGCGCGCGAGAAGUAGGAGGCCCAGGUUGGCGAGGUCCAGCAAGAGCUUCAGGACGUUGUCAAAAAGUACGAAUCAUUGGAGCGUAAUUCGAAGAUUCAAGAGUCCGAACUUGCCAAGGCCCGCCAGGGCAUGCAAGAUGCCCGAGCCGAAGCCCAGAGCACCCUCCGGGAAAUCCAGGUGGCCCAGGAGAUCGCGGCGGGUAAGGCUUUUAUUAUGCAAAGCAAGUGUGUGAAUGAAACGUUCCCUUUACUUACCCGAAUUUGGAGUUCUACAGGAGCGUUUGCGGAUCUACCGUGUAGUAUAUCAGAUGCUGCCGAAUUCUUUCGAUCCGAAGAAGGGAGCUCUACGGAGAAGUUGUUCUAGUCUCAAUACCUUGGAUCGGAACAUCCGGUGCCCCUUAGCGACCAGCUAAAACAGUUGGUCGAGCUGCACAAGGUGGCCGAACUGGCAAUCACAGUAGUUCUCCCUUUACUACCCUAGUCGAUAUAGCGGAACGUAGGGUAGCAAGCACAGGAGCCGGGCAACCCAACUAUUGACCAAAGACAUGAUUCGGAGCCGAUGCAUAUAGUGCUAUAAGUUCGGGGUGCCGAACUAUACUAUAAACGUGUUCCGACUUUUUUGCCGUGUUAUGGGGACAAUGACGCCCCUGGCGAAUUAAGGCGUACCAUAAUGUAUGGGUGCAAUUGAAAAUAAAUGGACAAGAAAAAAUUGAAGUAAUGGGUAAACGCUGCAGAUUAUUUUUCAUUGUAAGUUGAUUGAUACGUCAAGGUGUAUCUAUACAAAGUAGUGCAAUAAGCAAAUAAGGCUAUUUAACAUGCCACGACCAAGAGCGAGUUGCGUGCGGGUAUUUAAAAUAGGUAUGACGAUCAUUAGCAAAGACCACCUGGGUAUCCCUUGUAUGUCCGAACCCCUAGCUUUCUUGGCGUAUCCGUCCCGCUACGGGUCCGAUGAACACGUUUAUCAAAAAAGGCCUUGAGAGGUGAAAAAACCUGAAAGAAAGAGAAAAAGUGAAGGUAUGCGGAUCCAGGAGCGGGUGAGCUGCAUUGUGGGCCGCAAUCUUAGUUGUGCCUCCGUCCAUGCCCAUGGUAUUUUAAGUGCGUAGUUGUGUACGCGCGGCACGAAUUUCGCCGCUUUAUUGGGGCUGGGAUGAAAGCUAGAUUGCUAGCUGAGCUGUGGACGAGCCGGAUGGUCCUGUUGCGGAGUAGCACGGACCCGCUUAACGGUGUCCGGGGGCUUUAUUGCCGAAUUGAGGUUUUGCCUAAGGAGGUUGUUCUAUACUUAUGGUGCAAGGGCCGCGGUAUGCUCCUCAGUACGGAGGGAGCGCUCCGUAUUUCCAUUGACUGUUAUAACACCGCGGGGUCUGGGCAUCUUGAGCUUAAGGUAGGCAUAGUGCGACACCGCAUUGAAACGGGCAAAUGCGGUUCGUUCGAGCAGUGCGUGAUAACCACUGUGGAAGGGGACGAUAUCGAAGAGUAGCUCUUCGCUUCGGAAAUUAUCCGGGGAUCCGAAGACCACUUCUAGUGUGAUUGAGCCCGUGCAGCAGGCCUCUACACCUGGUAUGACACCUUUAAAGGUGGUUUUGGUGGGCUUGAUCCUUGAGGGAUCAAUACCCAUUUUGCAUGUUGUAUCCUAGUAAAGCAGGUUCAGGCUGCUACCACCAUCCAUGAGGACGCGUGUGAGGUGGAAUCCGUCAAUGAUAGGGUCAAACACCAGUGCGGCUGAACCGCCGUGACGGAUACUAGUUGGAUGGUCCCUUCGAUCGAAGGUGAUCGAACAGGAGGACCAAGGGUUGUAUUUUGGGGCGACUAGCUCCAUCGCGUAGACGUCCCUUAGUGCGCGCUUCCGCUCCCUUUGGGGAUAUGGGUAGCAUAUAUCAUGUUCACCGUUUUCACUUGGGGGGGGGGGACUUCUUCUGUCCCCCUGUGUUCUGCGGUCGGGUUCCUCGUCGUCGUCACUUUGCGAUCCCUUUUCCUUGUUUUCAGCAUUUAACUUGCCGGCCUGUUUAAAGACCCAACAUUCUCUAUUGGUGUGAUUGGCUGGUUUAUCAGGGGUGCCGUGGCUUUGACAUGGACGAUCGAGUAUGCGGUCCAGACUGGACGGGCCCAGAUUGUUUCUUUUAAAAGGAUUUUUCCGCUGAUUGGACUUAGAGCCACUGAAUCCGGCAUUGAUGGUCGUGUCUUCGGUGUUAUCGCCAUUAUUUCGACGCUUGUGUCUGUUGCGUCGGGGCUUGCCAUUGCUGUCUUUGGCUUUGGAAGUGCCAGGUUUGCUUGAGAUGUUGUUGCUACGAGCUAGCCAGCUAUCCUCACCCACACAAAAGUGAGUCAUGAGCGUCGUGAGGGCUGCCGUGGACUUCGGCUUCUCUUGGUCGAGGUGUCGGGCGAGCCACUUGUCGCAGAUGUUAUGCUUAAAGGCCGCUAGGGCUUUGGCAUCUGGACAGUCGAUGAUUUGGUUCUUUUUAGUUAAGAACCGAGUCCAGAAUUUCCUGGCUGACUCUCCAGGCUGUUGGAUUAUAUGACUUAAGUCAUCAGCAUCCGGAGGUCGGACAUAAGUGCCCUGGAAGUUGUCAAGGAAUGUGUCUUCCAGGUUCUCCCAACUGCCAAUAGAGUUUCCUGGUAGACUGUUCAACCAGUGCCUAGCUGGCCCUUUGAGUUUUAGCGGGAGAUACUUGAUGGCAUGGAGAUCAUCACCGCAGGCCAUAUGUAUAUGGAUAAGGAAGUCCUCGAUCCAUACCACGGGAUCUAUUGUUCCAUCAUAUGAUUCAAUGUUUACGGGUUUAAACCCUUCUGGGAAUUCAUGCUCCAUUACUUCGUCAGUGAAGCGGAGGGGGUGUGCGGCACCUCUGUGUCGGGCUAUGCCCGAACGUAGCUCGAAUGGAGCCGGUCUGCGGUAUUCGGCCUGGACAGGUUUGUGCUUGUUAUAUCCGGCUUGGCGGCCGUCAUUGCACAUUGGGGCGCACCCCCGCGAUCCGUAGAUCGAUCUGGUUUGUCCUGCUCUAUUUUCCAAAUUGUACCGCGGGUCAUGUGUGUAUCCCUGAGCUGUUGUGUUUGUAUUUGUUCGGCGAGGUAGUGUCGGCUGGUGCUCGUGCUGAAUUGCCGUUUUAUCUCGGCCACGUGGUGGACGAUCAGCCGCAUUAUGCGCUGGUAGUGCCAGCUCUGGUGCCUCGUCAUCGAAUUGAGGUAGCAAUUUGCACUUUGGGUAACUUUUUGUUGGGCGUUCGAGUCUGUAUUCCUCGGCUCCCAGGACCUCGGUCCAUCUAUCAGUGAGCAGAUCUUGAUCAGCUUGAAACUGUUGCUGCUUCUUCUUCAGGCUUUUUGCAGUGGCUAUAACCCGGCGCUUGAAAUGCUCCUGCUCAACGGGAUCCUCUGGGACGAUAAAUUCUUCGUCGCCGAGGCUCACCUCGUCCUCGGAGAGGGGUAUGUAAUUGUUGUCUUCCGAGUCGUCAUUCACGGCCUGUUCGUCGGGGUUGGCUCGCCCAUCUUCCCGUCCAGCCUCUUCAAAACUUGGCUUGGCGGGGUCUUCGUUGUCUUCAGCAUCGUCCGGAGUGCUAUUCUCUCUUGUGCCGGUAUCGCUAUUUUUACCAUGGCGUGACUUAGAGCGGCGCCGCUGACAUCGGCACUUAGACUGCUUCUCAGGAAGUUUAUCCUCAACUGGAUCUUUUAUGUCAUCGCCAUUGUCUUCUUUGGGUGUAUCCACCAUGUAUAUAUUGUAUGAGGAGGCGACUGUCCAGCUCCCUAUUGGCGGUGGUUCCUGUUCUUCUCCAGCAUCGUCGUCCAUACCGUCGAUGUCUUCGUUGUCGAAAUCAAGCAUGUCGGUCAAAUUGUCAACAAUGGCUAUCAAGUGGGUGGUGGGUGGGUAACGAAGUUCUUCGUCGCCCGCUUGCCACUCAAGCCAGACAUAGUUCGGCCAAGGAUCUCCUGACAAGGAGAGGGACUUUAAUGAGUUUAACACAUCGCCUAAGGGCGAGUGUUGGAAGAUGUCCGCGGAGCUGAACUCUAAGAUCGGCGCCUGGUCAGAUUCGAUGGGUGCAGAUACGCGGGGUUCGGAGCCUAUGGCCGGAGAUGAGUCCGAGGCUGUGAUGACACAGGCCUCGUUGGAGGUUAGAUCUGUGUCCGUCUCUAGCACCGUUGAGUUUGCGGCUUCCGUGGCGAGGUUGAGCCUCCCGUCCCCGAAUGGCGCGCUCUGCUCUGGAUCUAGGGCCAGUGCAGUUACAUGCGCAAUCUCCCGCACGCCAUCUGAUGACAGAUUUAGGUCAUCUUCAUCGUGGCGGCGGGGCGCGACUGUCUUGGGCUCGAAUACGUCAAAGAUCAAGUCUCCGUGAAUAUCGGCGGUGUAGUUCAAGCUUCCAAACCUGACCUGAUGGCCAGGGGCGUAGCUGUCGAUCUGCUCCAGAUGGCCAAGCGAGUUGGCCCGCAGUGCGAAACCGCCAAAUAAGAAGAUCUGUCCGGGGAGAAAAACUUCACCCUAGACGACAUUGUUGUGGAUGAUUGAAGGAGCCAUCAAGUCUUAUGGUGGCGACACAGUGGAACUCUCAAUGAAAGCACCAAUGUCGGUGUCAAAACCGGCGGAUCUCGGGUAGGGGUCCCGAACUAUGUGUCUAAGGCUAAUGGUAACAGGAGGGCGGGGACACAAUGUUUACCCAGGUUCGGGCCCUCUCGAUGGAGGUAAUACCCUACUUCCUGCUUGAUUGAUCUUGAUGAUAUGAGUAUUACAAAAGUUGAUCUACCACGAGAUCGGAGAGGCUAAACCCUAGAAGCUAGCCUAUGGUUAUUAUUGUUCUCCUCCUACGGACUAAACCCUCCGGUUUAUAUAGACAUCGGAGGGGGCUAGGUUUACACAGAGUCGGUUACAGAGAAAGCAAUCUUCAUAUCCGAAUCGCCAAGCUUGCCUUCCAUGCAAAGGAGAGUCCCAUCCGGACAUGGGACGAAGUCUUCUAUCUUGUAUCUUCAUAUCCCAACAGUCCGGCAUACGCAUAUAGUCCGGCUGUCCGAGGACCCCUUAAUCCAGGACUCCCUCAGCAGGGAGGUACCAAAGUAAUCCAGGAGUGGAUCACUAGACAAAAUUCAAGAACAUCCUAGUACCUAAAAAGGACCAAGGAAAUUUUUCUCGGUUAUGGAGGUGACAAAGAGCUUGUCAUAAAUGGUUAUGUCGAUGCUAGCUUCGACACUGAUCCGGAUAACUCUAAGUCAUAAACCGGAUACGUAUUUAUAUUGAAUGGUGGAGCUGUCAGUUGGUGCAGUUCCAAGGAGAGUGUUGUGGCGGGAUCUAUGUGUGAAGCCGAGUACAUAGCUGCUUCAGAAGCAGCGCAUGAAGGAGUCUGGAUGAAGGACUUCAUAUCCAAUCUGGGUGUAAUACCCAGUGCAUCGGGUUCAACGAAAAUCUUUUGUGACAACACUGGAGAAAUUGCCUUAGUGAAGGAAUACAGGUUUCACAAGAGGACCAAACACAUUAGGAGACGCUUCAACUCCAUUAGUGAAAAGGUCAAGGAUGGAGACAUAGAAAUUUGCAAAAUACAUACGGAUCUGAAUGUAGCAGACCCAUUGACUAAGCCUCUUCCGCGAGCAAAACAUGAUCAAUACCAAGACUCCAUGGGUGUUAGAUUGAUUACAAUGUAAUCUAGAUUAUUGACUCUAGUGCAAGUGGGAGACUGAUGGAAAUAUGACCUAGAGGCAAUAAUAAAGUUGUUAUUAUUAUAUUUCCUUAUUCAUGAUAAAGGUUUAUUAUUCAUGCUAGAAUUUUAUUGACUAGAAACUUAAAUACAUGUGUGGAUACAUAAACAAAUACCGUGUCCCUAGUGAGACUCUACUAGACUAGCACGUUGAUAAAAAGAUGGUUAAGGUUUCCUAACCAUAGACAUGUGUUGUCACUUGAUAACGGGAUCACAUCAGAAUGAUGUGAUGGACAAGACCCAUCUGUUAGCUUAGCAUAUGAUCGUUCAGUUUAUUGCUAUUGCUUUCUUAAUGUCAAAUACAUAUUCCUUCGACUAUGAGAUCAUGAAACUCCCGGAUGCCGGAGGAAUAUCUUGUGUGCUAUCAAACGUCACAACAUAACUGGGUGAUCAUAAAGAUUCUCUACAGGUAUUUCCGAAUGUGUCUGUUGAGUUGGCAUGGAUUGAGAUUAGGAUUUGUCACUCCGUGUAUCGGAGAGGUAUCUCUGGGCCCUCUCGGUAAUACACAUCACAAGUAGCUUUCAAGCAAAGUGACUAAGGAGUUAGUUACGAGAUGAUGUAUCACUACUAGGGAAAAGCCUAUACAUAGGAUCUUACCAGCAGCGAGUUUUAAAAUAAGACGCUGCUGCAAUUUAUCAGUAGCGCGCUCCACCAGAACUCGCUGCUGAAAUAGAAGUAGCAGUAGCGCGCCUCCACUAAGCCACGCUACUGCUACAAUUCCCACGACCCUGCCACGAAGCUAGUUAUAGCAGCAACGUGUUAAUUAGAAGGGCGCUACUACUAGGUAGUUUAGUAGUAGCGCCUUUACCUAUACCACGCUACUGCUAAAACUAGCUACCUUCCACCACCCAUGCUCUCCUCUAUCCAAUCCACACUCACACUCACACUCACUCGACCUCCCCCUCAACCCCCCUCCCCCCGCGCCGGUCCUCUCCCGCCGGCCGCCGGCGCCUACCCCUCCUCCCUCUACGCCGUCGUCACCUCCUCCUCCUUGCUGGACUCGGUACCGCCCUCCUCCUCCUCCGUCCUUCCUCGACUCGCCGCCGGCCGGCCCCUCCUCGCUCCGCCAUUCCUCCUCCAUCCUACUCUCUCCUUCCUCCUCCAGUCGCCCCUCCUUCUCCCACCUCCCUCCUCCAUCCACAACCCCUCCUCCCUACUACAUUUUGAUUUAGUAGGCUAGUUCAUAUGCAACAUUUUGAUUUAGUUCAUAUGAUUUAGUUGAUUUAGUAGGCUAGUUGAUUUAGAACAUUUUGAUUUUGUUGAUUUAGUAGGCAAGUUGAUCUAGUAGGCUAGUUGAUUUAGUUGAUUUAUAGAACAUUUUGAUUUAGUCGAUUUAGUAGGCAAGUUGAUUUAAUAGGCUAGUUGAUUUAGUUGAUUUAUAGAACAUUUUGAUUUAGUUGAUUUAGUAUGCUAGUUGAUAGCUCUGAAGAUUUGGCACUUGGCAGUUGGUUCUAUUCUAGAAGGUGCUAGUAAGCUAUAAAAAUAUAACUGAAGAAGAACCAAAAAAUCACAUGCUACUAUUUUUAUUUCGUGUGAAGUGGAUUGUUAAUCCUUUGCUCAUAUUGCUUUAGGAAAAUGGCGCCACCACCACCACCACCAUGUCAAUUGUGCAAGUCAAGAUGCGCCAGCAGCCUUGCAACUGGCAAGCUGCUCGGCAUCUACUUCCAGCCGAGUUUUCGUCAUGCGGCGGUAAGAAAUUAUAUGAAAUGUAACAACUAUUUUAUUUUUAAUGUUGGUAUUACUGCAUUGUGUCAUUUUGCUUUUUUUACACAGAUCGUCCCAUGCAAUGUGAGGUUGAAAUUCAAUAAGCUGACAGGAGACAUUAUGACAUUUGAGGCUCCUGGGGGCCGUACACUAUGGAGGUCGAGAAAGGAUGAAAUAUUUCGCAGAUUGUAGGAGAUGGAUGGGCCCGUUUCCUCGCCCGCAUGAGUCUUACUGGUGGUGAGUUGAUCAGCUUCUCCUUCAGAGCAGAAAGACCCAAGUUGGUUGUCAUUUAUAUCAACCUGGUGGAAGAUGAUGAAGAUGACCAAGAUGAUGAAGAUAAUGAGGACCCACUUGAUGAAGAUGAUGAGGACCCACUUCAUGAAGCCAUCAUAGCUCAAAGAAUGAGGCUGAGUGACGAGGAGGUGUGCAACCUAUGGGACAUAAUUCCACCACGUGCUGACUUUGUCGGAGUGCCAUUCGUGACCCGCCUAACAAGUACCAUGGUCGAUCGACAUGAUAUGGUAUGUUAUACUUACAAAUGCAAAAUAUUCGAUGAUAUGAUUAGUGUGGAGUCCAAUGAUAUAUUGUGUGGAAUCUAGUCGAUGAUAUGCUUUAGUGUAGAGUUCGAUCACAUGCUUAUUAGUGUGGAAUCUAAGGAACUAUUAAUAGUGUAGGUAAUCCAUAUAUACUUAUUUGCAAGAGUAUGUGUGAGGCUAUUUAUUAAUUGACAUGUUUUUCUUAUUCAGAAAUUGGCAAAGAGCCUAUCUGUGAGUUAUGGUAUCGAGCCUGAUGAAGAAGGCUCAGCUGGACUACGCCUUACCGCAAGGGGCUCCGUCACAACCUGUACUUACCGCAUGGACACGGACAGUCGCACACACUUAAACUCGGUUGGGUGGAAGAGGUUCCUCGAUGGCAAGAAUCUUCGUGUUGGACAGGCCAUCCUAAUUACUAUCAGGAACACCAACCGCCCAGGCUUGAGGAUGAUGAUCGUCUUCGAUAUCAUCUAGAACUACAUAUGUGUGUGUGUGGAUAUGUCAUCUAGAACUACAUAUGAUGAUCGUCGUCGAUAUCAUCUAGAACUACAUAUGAUGAUCGUCGUCGAUAUGAUCUUGUACUGCUUGAGGAUGCAUGUUGACUAUACAUGAAAUUGUUAUCCAGUACUCCCUUCGUUCCAAAUUACUCAUCGUGGUUUGAACUAAAACCACGACGAGUAAUUUGGAACGGAGGGAGUACUACCUAGUACCUAUAAUGCUUUAUGAAAUUGAUAUAUAGUAGUAACUAGUAUCUGGAUAUUGCGGUUUACUGAAACCGAAACGGGGUAGGAAGCGGGGGGAAAUUGAUGAAAGAUAUAGCAGUAGCGAGGGGCUAGGAAUCCGCUACAGCUAACUAAUAGUAGCGUGUUCCAGAAAAGCGCUGCUGAUAUAGUCAAUAGUAGUAGCGCGGGUGCUGACCGCGCUAUUACUAACAGUUAGCUGUAGCACAGUAAUAGUAGUGCGGCUGCUCGUGCUGCUGAUAGCCUCAAAACCUGUGCUACUACUAGGGUUUUCCCUAGUAGUGUAUUACAGAAUGAGUAAAGAGACUUGCCGAUAAUGAGAUUGAACUAGGUAUGAAGAUACCGACGAUUGAAUCUCGAGCAAGUAACAUACCGACAGACAAAGGGAAUUAUGUAUGUUGUCAUUAGGUUCGAUCGAUAAAGAUCUUCGUAGAAUAUGUAGGAACCAAUAUGGGCAUCCAGGUUCCACUAUUGGUUAUUAACCGGAGAGGCGUCUCGGUCAUGCCUACAUCAUUCUCGAACCCAUAGGGUCCGCACACUUAACGUUCGUUGACGAUAUAGUGUUAUAUGAGUUAUGUGAUUUGGUGACCAAAUAUUGUUCGUAGUCUCGAAUGAGAUCACGGACAUGACGAGGAGCUUCGGAAUAGUCCGGAGGUAAAGAUUGAUAUAUAGGACGAUGAUAUUUGGACACCAGAAAGGUUUCCAAGUGAACCGGGUAUUCAUCGGAUCACCGGAAGGGGUUCCAGGAGGCCCCGAGAGGUCUAUGGUCCUAAUGGUCCAAGGGGAGGCAUAGACCAGCCCACAAGGGGGCUGGCGCGCCCUCUCCCUGGCCGCCGGCCCUAGAGAAGGAAAGGAAGGAGGGCUAGCCCCUCCCGCCUUCCCCUCCUCAUGGGAGAAAGGAAAGGGGGGGCACCCCCUCUCGCUUUCUCCCUGGUGCCAUACAAGGAAGGGGGCGCUAGAGGGCAGGAGUCCAAGGAGGCCGGCCGACCAACCUUGGGGCGCCUCCUGGCUAUCUCCCCUCCCUCCACUAUAUAUAUAUAGCCGUGUGUGACGCCCCUCUCCACAGUUUAGUCCUCCGUCCAGUUUCUCCGCACUGCUCGGCGAAGCCCUGCGGGAACGAGUUCAGCGUCACCAUCACCACGCCGUCGUGCUGCCGGAACUCAUCUACUACUUCGUCCGUCUUGCUGGAUCAAGAAGGCGAGGACGUCAUAUGUGUGUUGAACGCGGAGGUGAUGUAUGUUCGGUACUUGAUUGGUUGGAUCGCGAAGAAGUUCGACUACAUCAACCGCGUUAAUAAACACUUCUGCUUUACGGUCUACGAGGGUACGUAGACAUAAUCUCCCCUCUCGUUGCUAUGCAUCUCCUUAAAUAGAUCUUGCGUGUGCGUAGAAUUUUUUUUCCCAUGCAACGUUCCCCAAUAGUCGUAUCCCACCUUGAUCACACGAGUGGGUAUGAGAGGAAGACGAGGUCGUCGGACCAUCACAACACCACACGUAGAGUAUGAUUGGACUUGUGACAUAUGCACGUGUGUCGAGCAACUAGUGCUUCUCCUAAGACAUAAAAAGUCAAUAGUUUAUUAGUAUGCAAAAUUCGCUAAUCGACUUUUCUACCCAUAUGUAAUAACUUUGUAAUGCAAUAUUAUCUCAAAUUGGCGUUUUAAUCCUUCAAAUUGAGUGUGAUUAUUGAGUUGAUGUAACCAAAAAAUGAAGGUUGUGUUAUGACGACUCUAUGUUUGCGCAUAGCCAUUGCAACAUCUAACGUAUAUGGAGCACGCUCAAUAUCUCAUCGACUCUACAAGAAUUUAUCUUAGUUUAUAGUUUAAAUAAUUAUUAGUUGUUUGAUCAAUGUAAAGUCAUCGUGCAGUUCUUCUUCUGCCCAAGUUAUUAGGAAUGAAAUCGACAAAAUGACAUGUGGGUCCUACUUGCAGGGAAAAAAUGGAUGCUGCAUUACGACGACUUUGUGCUUCCACAUAGGCACGGCCCCCAUAUGCCAUAUGAUGAUUGCACUUGUGGUGACUCUGCUAGGGUCGAUCUAAGCAAUGGUACCAACGGGAAAAGACAUGUUUGCCAAGGCAGGAAAUUAGUAGGUUCCCUUCAAACUAAGCCAUAAGCCAAAAUAAAAUCUCUUAAGGACCUUCGACGUCUUACAAAUAAGCUAAUAAAAAAUCUUCUGCGUUUUUGGGCACGCAGAGAGAAACAACAAGGUUUACUAUGGAAUAACCAAGGUAUGGCCAUAUUUAAGACCUUUUUCAAAGGAAGACAUCAGAGAGAAAGAUUUGUUGCUUUCUUAGACAGGAAUGAUAGCUGGCGAACGUUUCCCGGGAGCCCAAUCCCGACGAACGCCUCCGGAACCAUCACAUUUGCAUCCAACAGUGGUAGUUUUCUGCCCAAAAAUUUAAUUUAAAUAAACUGCCAUGGCAGUUUUGUAAAAUGCCAACCUAGCCUCCCCUAAUACAUGUUCAAUUGCCACCCGGGCGUUCACAACUGCCAUGUCCAACAUUAAAAAAUGUAAGAGAGUCAAGUUGGGGUCUAUGUUAAUAGAGCUCUUAACUAGGGACAUGAUGAGUUAUGACAUGAAAUGUCUGGUUUGUAACAAACUUUUGUACCAAAAACUAAAGACCGAAUACAAUAAAGAAAGGGAAUUGAUAGUAAUUACUCGAUGAUUCACGAGAAGGACAAUUGUUGACUUUAAAAGGAUGAUUUAUUGAUUAUUUGUUUGGCGGAACCAAAAGUAAAAUUUGGUGUGGACAAGGAACCUGUAAAAACACCUAAUUUGUAGUAUGGAGAAAAGAGAAAUGAGGGAGGAAAUGACUACAAUUAUUAUUGUAACUAGUAGGUGUUUUUUUACUUCUUUGGCCCUUGUACAAUAGUUGUGUUACUUCAAACCAAAAAUCAAACUUAUCAAAAAAUGAAAUAUUUUUGGUUAAGUCUAUUUUUCGUAUUCAAUAUACAUGGUCGCAUACACUCGAUUUAUAUUAGUGAGAGGAGCAGUGCGCGUGCAAGAUCACUAACUUGAUAAAUUUAAAAAUAAACACAAAUAUUAUAGAAAUUUUAACAUGGCCCCAAACUAGUCUUCCGUAUUCUUUGGUCCAAGGGCCAUAUGAUCUUUUUUCUUACAAGAGGAAAUAUUAAUAAAAUAGGGAAAAAAGGCAUCAAUUAAUAAUAUGAAAAUAUAUUGCUAAGCGCUCUUGCAACAUCAAGUAUUAAGUUAAAUUCAGAACGGUACAUACUUUAACUUGUACAUACGUCAACAUGUUUGCAAAGUUAAUAAAUUACUAAUUUGACAUGUGAAUGUAAUUCUACAUAGAACUUUCAAUUAUUGCAUUUCUUUUCAAUCAAAUUUUAGUUUCUUCAAAACAAAAACUAAGAAUCCGUCCAGAAUAGCUUGUUCCACAUACACAAUUAACUUAGAUUUAUUUAUUUAUCGGAUUUGGUAAGGCACACACAAUUUGUCUGAGCCACACAUUUUUUUCAAUAUGUUAGGGAUUCUCUUCUUUGUUGAGGCUUCUUGAUACGAAAAGUGAUAUUUUAUAAAUUGUUUACUCCUUGCAGUCUAGAGAUGACAUGCGAAAAUCAAAGUUUCGCCUCCAUCCCGCCGGGGAUACUCCUUCGUCAUGCCGGUUGUUCGAUGCCAUUGUCAGUCAUUGCAUUCAUGUGAUUAUCAGCAGCAGGAUCGAGCUCCCUUUUGAGGAUCAGAUUGAUUACAUCGAGUUCUCGCUUUCCUUCUAAGUUGAAGAAGUUCUAGAAAAUGAUUACUUGUUCAACCAACUCAGACAGAUGCCUAAAGAGAAGUGGGUUGAGAUGUGGUCAAAGCUGAAAAAUGUCUCUAGUCACUAUGAAUUCCAAUAUCCCCCCAGGAAGGAUGAUGCGGUGAACAUGAUAUGGCGGCAGGUGAGGCACAAAAUCCCCGCAGUUAACCUUGCGAUCCACAGGAGUAGGAGACUAAAAGUUCCAGACUGGUGGUGAGCAUUUGGUGAAUUGUGUACAUAUUCUCAUAUCGAUGGCGAAACCGGCAUCAUUCAUAUGGUUCAUGACGAAGCCAUGGCGGUCAUUCCUUGUGCACCAUGACACUGGAUCCAGGAAGAUGUACUGACAGACACUAACAUUUUUGCCCCUUUUUGUUGAUCUUACGACACCGUAACCAUUACUCCCCCUUGAGGUCAUGAUAUAGUGAGAACGUGUAGUUAUGUUACAGAGCUGGCUUGCCCGGCAGAAGCAUGUGCAUUAGAAACACACUUACAAACAUGUGUACCAACAGACUGGAUGUUGCAAUGUAUUCAAGUAGAUAUAAUUUCUCUUAGUACUUUUUGAGCCCUUUAACAGCCAAGGUAUCUUUUUUUUUAUUGUUUUUGAGACAGCUAACCACCCAUUUCAAGUGGUAACAGCCAAGGUAUCUUUUGAUAUGUUCAUUCUGUGUUUCCUGUGAGAAAUUCUCUGGGUGGCUGGGAUCAACUGUUGGCCUGCUUAUCUCAUUGACUUGUUAGUAGUGGUAGCACAGUAGGUUUCCAGGAAGUGAAUCAGGAUGUAAGAAUUUUAUAUGCUGUGGAACAAACUGACUAUGGUGUGGACUGGAGAACACUUCUAUCAUGGGCUACUGAUUUCUAGCUUGUCAUGUCGGUCCUGUUUGCAGCAAUUUUUUGGUGGGGAUUGUGGAGAAGUAAUUGGUGGUUGUGUUUCCUCCAACAUAAAAAUCCCUGCAGUUAAUUUUGCGAUUCAGAGGAGUAUAUAGGAGAUUAAAAGUCCCAGACUGCUGGUGAGGAUUUGGUGAAUCGUGUACGUAUUAUCAUAUCGAUGGCAAAACCGGCAUCAUUCAUAUGGUUCAUGACGAAGCCAUGGGUGUGCGCAUGACACUGGAUCACAGGAAGGACUUUUGUGAUUAUAAACAGAAGAACAAGCUAGCCUGCCAAAUUUAUAAAUAUAUAUUCAGAGGGUCAAAAUGGAUUUGAUCAAACCAACUCCACUUUCGAUUUCUAUUUGGAAUUCAGACUACUGCCUAAAGCUCGUCUGCAAGAUGGGCCCACCUAGAAGCUCUCAUGGACUGUAAACAGCAAAUGCCAAGGACUAAUUUGCAUAUAUAUCCAGAGGGUCAAAUUUUAAUUUAAGAUUUGGUUGGGGUGCGCCUGCCCAGGCAGUAGUGCAACGCACUGGACGACACCCGAGGGCCCCAGUGGCAAGCCACUGUGGUGGGCCCUCCCCCACAAAAAAUAAAUUUAAUAUCGUUAUGGGCACAUGACCCACAUAUCAGAUAUUAAACUGAUAAGAACAGAUACUACACUUGAUCUUAGCCAAAAGGCCGAGAAAGGUAUGAGUUGCAGCGUUGCUCUGCCCCUCUAUUUGUAGCCUACUCGCCCUCCCGUCCCCUCUUCGCUAGGCGAGGUGGUACUAAACGAGUCGCCUCUCUCGCGCGGCUGCGGAGCGCGGACGCUGCGCUGCGUGCCCCCCGACCCCGAGCCAGCCUCUUUGUUGCAUGGGCCUCAAGCGAGACGGCCUUUCCGAUGAGGCCUGUAUUAUGGGCCUGAUUUGCUCUCGGCUCUUGGAGGCCGGGCCCUGUCGGAGCGUGUUCUGAAGCCUGACGGUCCUGCAUGUUAUAUGUAUGGCUGGCUGAGGCGCUGCACUGCACUGCACGGUGAGACGAGACAACCGGCGAGGCGGACUCGAUCGACCGGCAAACUCCCCGGGAAUGCAGUCGUCGUGAUCGAUCGUUAUGUGCGUUCUUUUGCAGAAUAUAUACUCUACUACUAGUGUGUAGCUCUGCACAACAGAAGCGACGUUUGAAGAUGCAAGGUAGCAUCCAUCCAUCAAGGAAUAGUAGUAAAAUGUGCAUGCAAUAAAUAGAAAAACACUGCAGAUAUAUAACAACAACAACAAAAUGCACUCCUAAUAGUUAUCCCCUUCCCCACGGGUCAUAUUAGACUAUCCCAGAAUGAUUCUCAUCCUCUAGAGUCUAGAUUGUUCUAUAUCAAUGUUUGAUGUCAUACUUCAAUGUGAAUCACCAGUUUUUUUUUCCGAAAAAGAUUCAAAUCUAUUAGUUCAUCAAAAGUACAAAGCACCUCGAACAUAAUAGAAAUUUACAUCGAGGUCGGUCUCUAGACCACCGAAUGACAACUACCGCCGUCAGAACGAGCCGCCAACAUGCCGCUCCUGUACUGGAGCCGGCAUGACAUUAUCGAUGACAUUCAGAAAGUCUUCAUGCACGUUCCUCUAAGAACUAGUACCAUGGAGCCGCAGUCGUCGUCGUUGAACUGUCGAACAUAUCUGAAGGAACUGGCACCAAAUCUUGCCGGCGCAUGCACGAGAAGAAACUCUAACCUCGUCGCCCCAAGGAAACGACAUAAAUCUACGUCGAAGCUCUGUCGACUGCGUCCAGAUGGACGAACUCGAGGAGAAUCAGAGGACGGAAAACAAACUCGAAGAAGAAGCAUCGUCAUCCACCAGAGCGCCGCACCAGUGAGGACCGAAGAAAACCUAACCUAAAAUACUAACCGAAGCAAAGGCACCGGGAGUGAAUCGCCAGUUUAUGAUGUGCUACUGAAAUUAUUGAUCUCACCAACAAAUGAUAUUAACCUACGACAUAUCGACAUAUAAGCUUGUGAUUCAACUAAUAAUUUAACAAUAACAUAAUUAUCAUAAUCCACAAAUUUGUGCUCGUGUUGAUUGUCACACCUCCCAAGCUUUACCAUGCCUAUUACACAAUAUCAUGGACAUAAGAGAGUAUCUCGUGUUUGCUUCCAUGCUACUAAUGUCUCUUUUUAUUAGAGAAUCCUAUAAGCAUGGGAAAUGAAGCUUCUAGAAUACAUGGGAUGAUAGAGUGGGGGAUCAACUAGAAGGCGAUGUGGCAGAAUCCUAUGGGUUUAGAAAUUAUCUAACGAAUGCCAAUGCUCAGAUUUUCCAUAUCUCAACCGUUGGAUGGAGCAUUUUCAACCACUUAUGUUUGAAGUUAUUGUCACACUAUAUAGUAGUAUAGAUGUAUAGAUAUAUGACAAAUCGUUCUUUCCUUGGAUGAGCUGGAUCAAACAUGUGUUUCUUACCUUGGUUCUGAUCAUAGGUGGUUGAUUGUUUAUCUCUUGUUGAGUGUUUUAAUGGUGGCCAGAAACAUUCAAGAACUAAGUGUAAUACUAGCAGGGUCACCAAAAUGUUUGAUUGUCAUAGAAAUCGGUAAUAUGACAAUUUUGACAAGAACACCACUCUAGCAGAGUCGCCAUCCGACCGAAUCAUCAUAAUUCAUGGAGGGAACUCCAUACUAAGUUAGCGAUUAUCUAUAUUUUGAGGUUGUGGGGCUUCGUUUGGAGGGCAGGCGGCCAAACGCCCACCGCGACGCGAGAUAAUGAACUGUGGUCACGACGUGUCCAACUAGUCGCGCCCCUUCCCGCUACCGCGCCCCAUGUUUUCCCACUGCCUGCCGCUGUAAAAAAGCUUGGCUCUCUUUCUCUACACUACCACCAUCCGUGCCUCGCAAACUCUUCUUUCUCUGCACUUACACCCUAUCGGUUCCCCUUGACUGAAAUGGGUUUUGCUCUCGGAGGAGAAGAAAUGAAUGCUCGACAAGGAGGAAGUCGUUGGAAUCGCUGAGGAUGAGUGUGAUCGUGGCGACGCGGAGGAGGCCAUGCAAUAGGAUCCCACCCUCCUCAACAGGUGCCUAGAUUCUAAUCUGAAACACAUGUUGGUGUUUGGGAUGUCAAGCACGAAUACAUGUAUAUAUCCCGUCUGGGUAGGAGAGGCCUUACACACGCAACUUAUAUCGGCCACCACAUGCUCCUUGAUGCCUCACUAUUAAGGAGGCAUGAGAAGGCAUGAGACGAGCGCUACACUGUCAACGUGUCAAACUUCCACCCCAAGAAAUAUUUGAGCAGACCACCGCUUGGCGGAGGCUGACGUUUGAGAGCAACAACACCAUACUGCGAGGAGGCAUGAUAAGAUUUCGCAGCGGAGAGCACGGAAGCGCGUCGGAUGAUGCCAAUUCAAUGUCAAUGUCGAGGCGACGACUCAUGCAAUAUUGGUCUUGCCCCCUUGAGAAAGUCAUUGAUGGAAAUAUGCCUAGAGGCAAUAAUAAAGUUGUUAUUAUUAUAUUUCUUUAUUCAUGAUAAAGGUUUAUUAUUCAUGCUAGAAUUGUAUUGAUCGAAAACUUAAAUACAUGUGUGGAUACAUAAACAAAUAUUAUGUCCCUAGUGAGCCUCUACUAGACUAGCUCGUUGAUCAAAAGAUGGUUAAGGUUUCCUAACCAUAGACAUAUGUUGUCACUUGAUAACGGGAUCACAUCAUUAGAAGAAUGAUGUGAUGGACAAGACCCAUCCGUUAGCUUAGCAUUUGAUCAUUCAAUUUAUUGUUAUUGCUUUCUUAAUGUCAAAUACAUAUUCUUUCGAUUAUGAGAUCAUGCAACUCCCGGAUACCGGAGGAAUACAUUGUGUAAUAUCAAACAUCACAACAUAACUGGGUGAUCGUAAAGAUGCUCUACAGGUAUCUCCGAAGGUGUAUGUUGAGUUGGCAUGGAUCGAGAUUAGGAUUUGCCACUCUGUAUAUCAGAGAGGUAUCUUUGGGCCCUCCCGGUAAUACACAUCACAAGUAGCUUGCAAGCAAAGUGACUAAGGAGUUAGUUACGAUUUGAUGUAUUACAGAACGAGUAAAGAGACUUGCCGGUAAUGAGAUUGAACUAGGUAUGAAGAUCCUGAUGAUCAAAUCUCGGACAAGUAACAUACAGACAGACAAAGGGAGUUACAUAUGUCGUCAUUAGGUUCGACCGAUAAAGAUCUUCGUAGAAUAUGUAGGAACCAAUAUGGGCAUCCAGGUUCCGCUAUUGGUAAUUGAUCAGAGAGGCGUCUCGGUCAUGUCUACAUCAUUCUCGAACCGUAGGGUCCGCACGCUUAACAUUCCUUGAUGAUAUAGUGUUAUAUGAGUUAUGUGAUUUGGUGACCGAAUGUUGUUUGGAGUCCCGAAUGAGAUCACGAACAUGGAGCUCCAUAAUAGUCCGGAGGAAAAUAUUGAUAUAUAGGACGGUGGUAUUUGGACACCGAAAAGGUUUCGGAGUGAACCGAUGAAAGGAUCUAGAUGACGACUAGAGGGGAGGGUGAAUAGGCAUUUUAAAACUUUUACGGAUUUGGCUUUAUUCUAAUGCGGAAUUAAACUAACGGAUACUUUUCAAGCACAAAUCCUAAAUAUGCUAGGCACAACUAGGUGCACCAACAACCUACGCUAAACAAGAUAGGAACUUAAGCAAACUAGCAAGCACAAGCUAUAUCACAAGAUAUGGAAAUGUAUGAACAACUAAGCAAUUCAACUAGCACAAGAUAUAUCAAUAUGAGCAAGUAUGAAUUGUGGAAAGUAAAGAGUGUGGGUAUGAGAUAACCACAAGUGAGUCAGGGACGCGGAUUUAUCCCGAAGUUCACACUUGUAAGAGUGCUAAUCUCCAUUGGAGCAGUGCCGAAGCCAAAACUUUGGGGCGUCACCAAGUGACUCACCGUAUUCUUCCUUUCGAGUCACCCCCAACGGAUGAGCCUCGAUUCACUCGGGGUUGGUCUUGAAGGCGACCACCACACCUUUACAAUCUUCUCCGGAGCACACCACAAACACGGAAGCUUCCGGAGGAACUUGACCACCUAGUCCACUUCAACACCCUUCCCCGGAUCACACCACAAAAGGAAGCUUCCCGAGGAAUCUUGGCCACAUAGCCUCUUCACAAUCUUCUUAAUGUAUCACCAAACCGUCUAGGAGGCAGAAGCCUCCAAGAGUAAUAAACUCACGAGCUCUCACUCGAACUAAUCGAUGUGGGGAGCUCAAACCAAUGCAACAAAUGCAAUGCAAGGUCAAGCAACAAAUGCUCAACUCACUCUCUCAAUCUCACAAGAUGCACUCUCGAAACACUACAAAAAAUACACUUCUGUGAUGAUACAUGUUUGUCACAGUAGGUUGCGUUUUUUGUCAUGCAUGUACAUCCAUGACGAUUUUAUGACAGAAUCAAGAUAGUCAUAUAUGUGCUGUCGUAGAAGUGUUCCAUGACAUUACCAAAAUUAUCACCACGGAAGUGUCCACUUCCAUGACGAUAAAUCGUGCGUCACAAAAGUGUUUUCGUCAAGGGUGAUCGACACGUGGCAUCCACCAUAACGGAACACUGUUAAGCUAUCGGGUUCGGUUUUGGAUCCGAUAAUCCGUUAACAGCCCAGACCAAUGGGGAUUUUCCACGUGUAAAAUCAUCAUUGGCCGCAGGAAACACGUGUUGCCUCACCGUUGGGACAGAUGUCAUCCACUCAUUGGACAGGAGGCGCCUAUGAUAGGUCGACACAUGGCACGGCCCAACAGUGGCCCAUUCCGGUGAAAAAGGUCGGCCCAGUAAAAAUUAGCAAGCCGGUCCAUAUAAGGCCUACUUGUGCCAGGUCCAUUUAAGCCCAUGGCCCAUACGAGAUGUGCUAAUUCGGCCUGUCAACGGCCCGUUAAACAUUUGACACCAUUGCAGCCCAUCGUCAGUUCGAGCCCGUUAACAGUCCGCUAUAUAUUUGGGCUCAAUAUCGGCAUGAUGAGAUUUCGGCCUGUUAACGGCCCAUUCAAUGGAUGAGCCGAUUUUCAGGAUGUACAUCUUUCGGCCUUUUAGCGACCCAUUGAAAUGUUGGGCUAAUUUCCGGCCCAGUGUGUCUUUCAGCCUGUUGACGACCCAUAAAUUUGAUGGGCCAUUUAUAGUCGGGCCUGAGUUUCGGCCUUUUAGCGGCCCAUUUAAGUGUUGGUCCAAUUUCCAGCCCGGUGUCACUUUUAGCCUGUUGAUGGCCCAUAAAUCAGUUGGGCCAUUUGUAGUCGGACCUGAGUUUUGGCCUUUUAGCGACCCAUUUAAGUGUUGGGCCAAUUCCCGGCCCUGUGUGCCUUUCGGCCUAUUAACGGAUAAUAAAUGAGUUGGGCCAUUUGUAGUCGGACCUUAGUUUUGGCCUUUUAACGACCCAUGCCCUUCAUGGUCCAAUACCAACCCGAUUUCUCUUUCGGCCUGCUAAAGGCCCACAACAUAGUUGGGCCAUUUACAAUACGACCUGACUUUCGGCCUCUUAGCGGCCCAUGCUCUUCAUGGUCCAGUACAAGCCCGCUGUCUCUUUCGGCCUGCUAAAGGCCUACAAUAUAGUUGGGCCAUAUGUAGCCCAAACUUAGUAACGGCCUGUUAAUGGCCCGUGAAAUAAAUUGGGCCCACCUGUUGCCCGCUUCGAUGUCGGCCUGUUAAUGACCCGGGAGGUAAGAGGGCCGACCAUUAACUUUCGGCCUAGUAAUGGCCCAUUAACUUAAUGGUCUCACUAAAGUUCGUACAUGUCUUUAGGCCAAAUUAGAUAAUUUGAGCCCAUUACGACGAGCAAUUAUGCACAGGACCAAAAUCGAUCAAGCAAAGGUACGGCAUACAGGGAAUAACGUUGCACAUCCAGCAUAUAUUAUAGGAAAUUACAUCCACUGGGCAAUCAAAGAUUGAUGCCAGUGCAAAUAAAUGAGCAGAACCUAACCAUCUACAACGUCACAAUAUGCAACCUCAGCAUAGAUGACGCCCAUAAGCAUGUGGGCAAGUUCUUGCUGUUUUGCUACACUGUCUUUGAAAACAUUGAUCAGUUGUUGUGUCGCACGACUCUGCACCUCUGAUUCAUCCACCAUUUCCAUCAUUGCUUCAGCCAUUAAUUGGUUCACAAACAUACAUUUAUUCUGUUGCAUUCGAGAGAGAGGAUACUGAACAGAUUCAGAUGGCAAUUUUUGCAGGCUUAUAUUAUUGAUAGUGGAGAGUGUCUCGACCACUGCAUCAUAACAUAAAUUAGAACGGGAACCAAACAGAUUAAUCAUGAGUUAUUGCCAUAUUACCUGGCCUAGAUUUACUGGAAAGAAACAAUGGGGUUGCCUUGUUGUUUUCAGAGUUUGUCUUCUUAUCUUUAGCAGCCUGCACAAAAUUAACACACUAGCAUUGCUAUCAUUGGCCAAGUCAGAUAAUAGAAAAGCAACAUUGAAACAGCGAACCUUUGGGCAACUAGCCUACACCGAAUUAACACAAUAUGGCACAACUAUCAUCAGCCAGGUAAGGUAAUACGAAAGCAACAUUGACACAAUGAAUGAAUGUGCAACCAGAGAAGCACUACAAUUCAGUAAUGUGUGUGAUAUAAGAUAGUACACUCAUGCAACUCAGUAUGCAAAACUACCAGGCAAUUUUCCUUACAAAAAUCAAUAUUGACGCCUUUAAAAUUUUGCUACAACUAAUUUUAGAUCAGAUAAAGGUUAGAUUCAUGCCGAUUAACAAAAUACAUGCUGAUGUAAAAAUAUAGUGAUAUACAACAGGUACUUACAUCAACAUUGGAGCACAGAUAAUCCCCACAAGAUAUUUUCCUCGAAUACGAUCCCAAUGGAGGAAGUCUUCUAUCGUUUAACCUUAUUUUCUAAAAGAGAGAUGGGUAAGAAACAUGCAGAAAAUAUGAUCAGAAUGCUAUAAAAUUUCAUGAUGCGAGGAUACGCACACGCUUCUUAGAAUGGAGUUGACAUUCUUUUGAUGGACUGGAGUGGACUAGUUCUUUGGCCAUUGGAAUCUGCUUAUUAUCAGUGGGAGUUGGGUUUCUCUGUGUUGGGGCAGUAUCUAUGAAAAAUGGAGUUGGUUUAUUAUCUCCUUGCGUUUGGAUCUUUUGCAAAGACCUGAUUUGUAACUCUUCAGAUUCUAACAUAGCCGUAUUCCCCUUGCAUGCCUUAUAUAGAAGAAUGGUGAUUCGGUUAUAAAACGUGCUACAACAGAGAUGGAAUAGGUACUGAAGAAUAGAAAGGCAUGACAUAUUGACAUGUAUUCCCUCCAUCCAGAAAUAAAUGGAUGGGUCUAGGCGUAUUUCAGUUCUAGAUACAUCCAGUUUUAUCCAUUUUUGCGACAUGUAAUCCGGACGGAGUGAGUAUGAUGUAAGAGCUAGGGAUACGACAAGACAACACAGUAAAAAAAACACUGAAAACCCACUGCAGAACCAAAGUAUUCAAACCCACUGAUAUGAGAUAGUACACUCAUGCAGCUCAGGAUGCAAAACUACCAGGCCGUUUUCCUUACAAAAAUCAACAUUAUGGCCUUUAAUCAUACAUUUUGCUACAACUAAAUUUAGAUCAGAUAAAGGUUGGAUUCACGCUGAUUAACAAAGUACAUGCUGAUGUAAAAAUAUAGUGAUAUACAACAGGUACUUACAUCUACAUUGGAGCACAGAGAAUUCCUGCAAGAAUCUUUCCUCAUAAACGAUACCAUUGCAGAAAUUCUUCUAUCUGUUAAGCUUAUUUUCUAAAAGAGAGAUGGGUAAAAAACAUGUAGAAAAUAUGAUCAGCAUGCUAUAAAAUUUCAUGAUGCAAGGAUAUGCACACGCUUCUUAGAAUGGAGUUGACAUAUUUUUGCUGGACUAGAGCGGACUAGUUCUUUGGCCACUGGAAUCUGCUUAUUAUCAGUAGGAGUUGGGUUUCUCUGUGCUGGAGCAGUAUCUAUAAAAAUUAGAGUUGGUUUAUUAUCUCCUGGCGUUUGGAUCUUUUGCAAAGGCCUUGUUUGUAACCCUUCAGAUUCUAACAUAACCGUCUUCCCCUUGCAUGCCUUGUAUAGAAGAAUGAUGCUUUAAUUAUAAAACAUGCGACAGCAGAGAGAUGUAAUAGGUACUGAAGAAUAGAAAGGCAUGACAUAUUGACAUGUAUUCCCUCCAUCCGGAAAAAAUGGAUGGGUCUAGGCGUAUUUUAGUUCUAGAUACAUCCUUUUUUAUCCAUUUCGGCAACAUGUAAUCCAGACGGAGGGAGUAUGGUGAAAGAGCUAGGGAUACGACAGGACAACACAGCAAAAAAACACUAGUUGAAUGUAAAAUUGUAUGCUAGCGGAAUACAUACAGAAAUAACUAAGGCAACAUACACGUGUAUGAUUGGGAAACUAAGAUGGCAUUGCAAUAAAGCACUAGAACAACACUUCAAUGUAAAAAAAACAUGGUAUGGUAGACAGAUGAAGUACAUACUAAUGAAUAACAAUGCAUAAGAUAUUCAGAAGCAUGAUGUCCAAAUUAAGCGGAUGGCAUUGCGAUAGAGUAGAAUGAUGGUACUUGAAUUUGAAAACAUGUUAUCAUGAAUGGAAUAGGUACUGAAAAACAGGAAGACAUGACAUAUUUACACGCAUGAUCAACAUGCUAAGCACAUGGCAUUGCAACAGAGUAGAUACACUCCAGGACAGUAUAUGCAUGUUGUACCCAUAUCACAGGCCAAGUUAGAGCAAGGACCUUGUGGGGUGAAGAGGAUUCAUCAUCUUUCUGCAAGUCUUCUGAAGAACUGCCUUUACAUGUUCCAUCAUAUUGGGUAUCAUUGACAUCAAGUUUAUUGGCCUUUACAUUGCUCCGUGAGGUUCUUGUGGAUAUAUCAGUGUGUGCAAUUAUAUCUGACAUGCAUGCAAGACAACUAGUAGUUAGAUUUAUGUAAUGAGUGCCUGUAGGAGACGACAUAAAUAGUAGGACUAGGGUUAACUAGCAGCAACAGGUCUCAUAAACUAAAGGGAGAACACAAAUGAAAGCUACAGAAUAUGUAUCGUUUGUACUCGAGAUUAACUAGAUGGCACACAAAAGUAUUAAAGAACAACAUAGGUAAUACUAGAACUGGUAUAAUACUAUAAUCACCAGCCUGUGGGAUAGCAUUGGCUGAUCGAUGAUAACUAUGGAACAUCGUUACCUAAACAAUAAGUAUCUUAGCUGAACUAUGGAACAUUGUUAACUCCCGAACAAGACCCGUAAGAGAUCAGCAUGAAUAUACAGUGAAAUGUGAUGAUCUAUUUUCCAUGCUUAGAUGAAUAACAAAGCCAUAAAUGUUGCACACAAGUAAGAUGAGGGUACAACCUAUCUGGCUGCCAUCCAUAGAAGUGAGCAUCAUGUGCUGACUUGUCGAUGGCCCUGCAGUUGUUGUGGCUGUCCAUGUCGGGCACGCGCAUUCGAUGUAGGGAACUAUUGAGUGGGGACUAUAGCUCCCUUCUGGUGUAUGCUUCCCUUGUUGGAGCAGCUGCGGUGAGUCGGAAGAUGGUGUGUCUGAAGAUGCAGAUAACACAUAAUGUUAAGAACGACGUAUCUCUUUGAUCUGAAGAAAUACACUAAGAGAUCAACAGCAAGGUACGAGAGUGGUCACACGUCUGUUGACUGAAGACUAAAUUGGGGUCACAUGAUUUUAUUUUAUUUUUGUACUGUCCGAUCUACGCCGGAUGGCUUGAUGGCCGUCUUGUGCCUCCCGGCUGACACUGUUCGGAAUCUUCCCCGAAGAGCCAGCGACCAAUGGCAGAGCAACCUACCUCCGCCUUCCGUGGCCCCGAAUAAAACCCCGCUCCCUGCCCACUGUACUGCCAUGGUUGCGCCGCCCCCGGGCCAAUCCACAAAGACUCCCCAUCAUCCAAAUUCGGCGGCGGCAGUACCUUCUACCCACAGAACUCUAAAAGAUAGCCAUCUAAGCGCUACUUCCACGGAAAACUUGCGGCCCCGCACCCUUAUGUUAGACACCAGCCAACCGGCAGCCUAGGAGCUCCGCCGCCUCGAGGGUUGCUGCUUUCCAUUGGGAAUCGAUUGGCCCAGAAUAAAAAUUCAGACAACUGACGCCUAAAUAAAGUGAUUUGAGAUGAGGGUGCGACCUAUCUAGCGGCAUGGUGAAGUAGGCAGGUCCAGCUGCCAAGUCGGUGAGGCCGGCGCGGUUGCGGUGGCGACCGGCGGCAGGGAAACAGCGAUGUCGAGACGGUCGACGGCUACGGGAAAGCAGCGCCAGGACUCUGGACGAAUCCGAAGUUGGAGCCGCUCCGGCGUCGUGAACAACGAUGGGGGUGAAUUGGCUCUGGUACGGUUCACGCGGCCAUCAUCGAGGCAGCACCAGCAGCACGGAGUAAGAGGCAUACGAACCAGUGCACGACAGCAAAUGGAAAGCGUCUCCGGCAUUAGCAAGGAGGGCGGCUUUGAAAAUUGUGCGGUGGGGGCGCCAUGGAGGUGGGCUGAGGUUUCACGGCUCGGGAGAAGGGAGCUUCCCGGGGAGAAGGUGAUUUGGCACCCAUGAGGUAUGAAUGGGGGCGGGGAGGGGAUUGGGAGGGGAGUGGAACCAUGUCUUACGGACGCAUUUGUCUGAAAUGUGAGGGGGAGUUACAGUUCUACCCUUGCCUUUAGGCUUCUCGGCUUGGGUCUAUGUACUGAGGGUCGGAGAUAGUAGAGUAACUUUGCUUCUCCCCAAAUAGUGGGCGGGAGAGAUUUCGGGCGAGGAGGGCGUGUUUUGAACUAUAGUGGGCGCCAGCGAUUUCGGGUGAGGAGAGCGUGUUUUGAAAUAAUGGGCACGAGCUAUUUCGGGCGAGGAGAGCGUGUUUUGCUGACCAUGGUUUAUGAAUUAUUCGGCACAUGUCAUUUCGGCCGAGGAUAAGGCGCGCUUGGAUGAAGUUACGAACCUACCCUCGAUGUACGACAGGCCAAUUGAUGUGUGUCCCACAUAGGACGGUAAUUUCGCGUCUCCCAUUUAUUUUCUCCGGUGAAUUCCACCGAGCAGAGAGGAUGUUUAACGGUUUGUUCAAAUUUUGGGAGAAUGAGCAUCCACGUCUACCUUACCAAGUCGAUUCGAAUCAAAUUUUGAAAUAUUAUCUUGCCACUUCUUUUUUAGAUGGAGAGAUGAUGCUCGGGAGUAAUGUGUUUUUACAUGCUCGUUGCUAGCGAUUUACUAUAUGACAAAUAGUUGACCCACUAAAAAACGUGAAUCAAACCCAAAAUGAAAUGUCUCGAUUCAAUGAAAUAGCUCGUUCACUAGGUCAAAAUAGUGAACUAAAUCCAAAAUUGAACACCUCAAUCGAGUAGCAUGUUGUACAUUAUUAUAGUACUCCAUGAACAUGUUGAAAGUCAAAUUAAUGAACUUGUUUGAUAUACGCAUAUAUCCGUUCAUGUGUGGAUUGCAGACAACAUGUUCUCCAAUUUAAAUAUUUGAAUGUAAGUUUAUAUCGAAGCAUGGUUUAUAUUAGUCUUUGAUGCAUAAAACGCGACCUCCCCCUCUCCCGGACUCCUGUUCUCUCUCUCUCGCGCGCACGCGCGCACGCUGACAAUCUUCAAUUAUGUCGCACGCAUCCGACACAAAAACCUUGUUGGUCCCUCUCCCUUUCUCUCCAUCUCUCUCUCUCUCACUCUCUCUCUCUCUUUGUAUGUGUGUGUGUGUGUGGGGGGGGGGGUCUUUCUAGUUUGCAUGCAUAUAUACACCAUCUAUAGGUCUCGCUCGCACACUAUGUAUGAUACUCUAGCUAGUACAAGCUAGAUAUCUUGGGUGCACUCAUCGUACGCACACAAAUUCCUUGGCUCUUUGCCGGUAACUCUCUCACGCACCACUCUGUCGUCUCGGAGCUCUUCCCCCCCUCUCUCAAAAUCUACAUCCACCUGGGUCACACAUACACAUGCAUAUCUCACUCGCACUCGAUAGGCCCAUCUAACACUCCAUAUCUCUCCCUCGUUUUCUCUCCAUCUCACAUGCACACACACACAAUCUCAUGCCUAGCUAGCCAAUUAUGAUGGUCUCUCACUCAAUUGUAGCACACACAGUCCCCCCUAUAUGUAUAUGGCUAGCUAAUCUUAGUCUCCAUCACAAACAUGUGCAUGGUCUAUCUCGAUUUCUCUCGGGGCAUCUUUCUAUCGCGCACGCACCUCCCUCGAUCUCCCACCCAUAUAGUCCCCUCACGAUCUCGAGGGGACCUCUCUAUUACAAACACACCCUCUCUCCCUCCCCACGUGUCCAUGUCCUCCAUGUGUCCCUCUCGACCUUUGUUCCUUGUUGGCCAGACCUCUAUUGGACAUGUGCUACAGGGGUGUCUCUCUCCGUUGCAAACAGUCACACACUAGAUAUCUUCAUGUAUCUCCUCGCCUCAUGAUACGUCUCCGUCGUAUCUAUAAUUUUUGAUUGUUCCAUGCCAAUAUUAUUCAACUUUCAUAUACUUUUGGCAACUUUUUAUACUAUUUUUUGGGACUAACAUAUUGGCCAGUGCCUAGUGCCAGUUCCUGUCUAUUGCAUGUUUUAUGUUUCGCAAAACCCCCAUAUCAAACGGAGUCCAAACGGGAUUAAAAUGGACGGAGAAUUAUUUUGGAAUAUUUGUGAAUUUUGGGAGGAAGAAUCAAUGUGAGACGAUGCCCGAGGUGGCCACGAGAUAGGGGCCCAUGCCCACUUAAAGUGGGCGCGCCCCCCACCCUCGUGGGCCACCCGUAAGGCGGUUGACGCUCGUUUUUUGCCGCAAGAAAGCUAAUUUUAUGAGAAAAAUCUGGGCGAAAGAUUCACCCCAAUCCGAGUUACGGAUCUCCAGAUAUAAAGGAAACGGUGAAGGGGCAGAAUCCGAGAAUGCAGAAACAGAGAGAUAGAUCCAAUCUCGGAGGGGCUCUCGCCCCUCCCAUGCCAUGGGAGCCAAGGACCAGAGGGGAAACCCUUCUCCCAUCUAGGGAGAAGGUCAAGGAAGAAGAAGAAGAAGGGGGGCUCUCUCCCCCUUGCUUCCGGUGGCGCCGGGACGCCGCCGGGGGCCAUCAUCAUCACCGCGAUCUUCACCAACACCUCCGCCAUCUUCACCAACAUCUCCAUCACCUUCCCCCAUCUAUAUUCAGCGGUCCACUCUCCUGCAAGCCGCUGUACCCUCUACUUGAACAUGGUGCUUUAUGCUUCAUAUUAUUAUCCAAUGAUGUGUUGCCAUCCUAUGAUGUCUGAGUAGAUUUUCGUUGUCCUAUCGGUGAUUGAUGAAUUGCUAUGAUUGGUUUGAGUUGCAUGUUUUAUUAUUGGUGCUAUCCUAUGGUGCCCUCCAUGUCGUGCAAGCGUGAGGGAUUCCCGCUGUAGGGUGUUGCAAUGCGUUCAUGAUUCGCUUAUAGUGGGUUGCAUGAGUGACUGAAACACAAACCCGAGUAAGGGGAUUGUUGCGUAUGGCAUAAAGGGGACUUGAUGCUUUAAUGCGAUGGUUGGGUUUUACCUUAAUGAAUCUUUAGUAGUUGUGGAUGCUUGCUAGAGUUCCAAUCAUAAGUGCAUAUGAUCCCAGAAGAGAAAGUAUGUUAGCUUAUGCCUCUCCAUCAAAUAGAAUUGCAAUAGUGAUUACCGGUCUAGUAACAUAGUCAAUGGCUUAGGGACAAUUUUACAACUCCUACCACCACUUUUCCACACUCGCUAUAUUUACUUUAUUGUUUAUUUAUCUAAACAGCCCCUACUUUUUAUUUACGUGUUCUUUAUUAUCUUGCAAACCUAUCCUAUCACACCUACAAAGUACUUCUAGUUUCAUACUUGUUCUAGGUAAAGCAAACACUAAGCGUGCGUAAAGUCGUAUCAGUGGCCGAUAGGACUUGAGAGAGUAUUUGUUCUACCUUUAGCUCCUUGUUGGGUUCGACACUCUUACUUAUCGAAAGAGGCUACAACUAUCCCGUAUACUUGCGGGUUAUCAAGACCUUUUUCUGGCGCCGUUGCCGGGGAGUCAUAGCGUGGGGUGAAUAUUCUCGUGUGUGCUUGUUUGCUUUAUCACUAAGUAAUUUUUAUUUGCUGUUCUAAGUUGUUCUCUAUCUUUAGUUAUGGUUAUGGAACAUGAAAUACCAAAAAAAUUAGGUGUACUUGCUACUCAUGGAGAUGGGGUAACUCCUAAAACCCUUGAUUCUCAUUAUGUGAAAGAUAUUAUGUACUACUUUGAUAAUCCUGAGAAAACCCCAUUCAACUUUAUAAUGGGAGACACAUUGGAUCAACGUGAAUACUUUAGGGAUUAUCGCUCGACACAAGAAGGGAAACUAUUAUGGGACCAAUUUAUUAUGUUGCGUUGGUAUGCCCGGGAUCUAUGCUUGAGAUAUGAUAUUACUUGUUGCUCUAGCAUGAAGGCUCCACACCUUCCCUUUUCAUGCAAAUUUAAUGAUAAUGAAACCUUAGCUUCUUAUGCUAAUGGUAUAUAUGAUUACUAUGAUGUGGAACAAAUAGAAGAAUUUGUUGCUUUUAAGGCUGCUUAUGAAAUUGAAUCUUUGUUUGAAAAGUAUGAAGCUUUUGAUGAUGAUGGUCUUUAUAGGCCUGAAAAUCUUGCUAUACUUAGAUAUUGCUAUGAAAAUUAUGAAUACCAUUACUAUAUUAAUGCAUUUAUUGAGAAAGUCUCCGCCAAGAAGAGACUAAUAUUUUGCAGGAAGCUAUGGAAGAAGAAAUUGAUGAAACUGUGAGCUCAUUGGAUGAAAAAGAUGAUGAGGAGAGCGAAGAACAAAAGGAGGAAGAGCGGAUUGAUCACCCGUGCCCACCUUCUAAUGAGAGUAACUCUUCAACUCAUACAUUGUUUAAUUCCCCUUCGUGCUUACCGAAGGAUGAUUGCUAUGAUCCCGUUGAUUCUCUUGAAAUAUCCAGUUUUGAUGAUGCUUGCUAUGCUUGUGGCCAAGAUGCCAAUAUGAAUUAUGCUUAUGGAGAUGAACUUGCUAUAGUUCCUUAUGUUAAACAUGAAAUUGUUGCUAUUUCACCCACGCAUGAUAGUCCUAUUAUCUUUUUGAAUUCUCCCGACUACACUAUAUCGGAGAAGUUUGUGCUUAUUAAGGAUUAUAUUGAUGGGUUGCGUUUUACUACUAUACAUGAUGAUUUUGAUAGAUAUAAUAUGCAUGUGCUUGCUUCUCCUACUUGCAAUUAUUAUGAGAGAGGAACUAUAUCUCCACCUCUCUAUGUUUCCAAUAUGAUAAAAUUGCAAGAAACUGUUUAUACUAUGCGUUGGCCUUUACUAUGUGUGCAUGAAUUGUUCUUUUAUGACAUGCCGAUGCAUAGGAAUAGAGUUAGACUUCGUUGUUGCAUGAUGUAUGUUAUGUUGUGCUCACUACUAAAUUACAAAUCAUUGUUAAUUAAAAUUGGCUUUGAUAUACCUUGGGAUCCGGGUGGAUUCAUUACUUGAGCACCAUAUGCCUAGCUUAAUGGCUUUAAAGAAAGCGCUGCCAGGGAGACAACCCAGAAGUUUUAGAGAGUCAUUUAUUUUUGGUGAGUGAUUUUAUAUAGUUUAAAAACAAAAAAAAUAAAGAGGGGAACCUAAAAACUUUUCAAAAAGGAAAGUGAAAGUGAGAGAGACAAGCAUUGUUGAAGUGGGAGAGCUCCUUGAACUUUGUUCAUGCUCACGGAAACUUUGUGAAUCUUGAUUACAGAAAUUUUUCAUCAAAAAUAAUUAUCCCCUUGUACAAUUCCAAUGUAUUAUAAAAAUAAUGUGCCAAGGUUUGCCUUUAGGAUGUUUACAAUGCUUGUUGGUUUGUACGGUGCAUGACAGAAACUUUGGCUGUAGUGCGCGAUUUUACAUUUUUAACUGGAACAUCAAACGGUUCUGAUUCUUUUUGCACUGUCUUGCUAUAAAACUUGUUUAUUUUUCCUAAUUUUGGUAGAAGUUUUGGGGUACCAGAAGUAUGGUGGAUGGUCAGAUUGCUACAGACUGUUCUGUUUUUGACAGAUUCUAUUUUUGAUGCAUAGUUUGCUUGUUUUGAUGAAUCUCAAUUUUUAUCAGUGGAUUAAGCCAUGGAAAAGUUAUAUUACAGUAGACACAAUGCAAAAACAAAAUAUGAAUUGGUUUGCUACAGUACUUAGAGUGGUGAUUUGCUUUAUUAUACUAACGGAUCUUACCGAGUUUUCUGAUGAAGUUUUUGUGUGGAUGAAGUGUCUAAAUGAGGAGGUCUCGAUAUGAGGAAAGGACGAGAGGCAAGAGCUCAAGCUUGGGGAUGCCUGAGGCACCCCAAGUAAAUAUUCAAGGAGACUCAAGCGUCUAAGCUUGGGGAUGCCCCGGAAGGCAUCCCCUCUUUCUUCAACAAGUAUCGGUAUGUUUUCGUAUUCGUUUCGUUCAUGCGAUAUGUGCAAGUCUUGGAGCAUCUUUUGCAUUUAGUUUUCACUUUUCUUUUAUGCACCAUGCUUGUAUGAGAUAGUCCUUGGUUGAUUUAUAGAAUGCUCAUUGCGCUUCACUUGAAUCUUUUGAGUAUCGCUUUAUAGAAUGCUUCAUGUGCUUCACUUAUAUCAUUUGAAGUUUGGAUUGCCUGUUUCUCUUCACUUAGAAAACCGCCAAUUGUAGAAUGCUCUUUUGCUUCACUUAUAAUUGUUAGAGCAUGGGCAUAUCUUUUGUAGAGAGAAUUAAACUCUCUUGCUUCACUUAGAUCUAUUUAGAGAGAUGACAUGAAUUGGUCAUUCACAUGGUUAGUCAUAAAAUCCUACAUAAACUUGUAGAUCGCUGAAUAUGAUAUGUUUGAUUCCUUGCAAUAGUUUUGCGAUAUAAAGAUGGUGAUAUUAGAGUCAUGCUAGUGGGUGGUUGUGGAUUGUAGAGACACUUGUGUUGAGCUUUGCAAGUCCCGUAGCAUGCACGUAUGGUAACCGUUGUGUGGCAAAUUUGAAGCAUGGGGUGUUUCUUUGAUUGUCUUCCUUAUGAGUGGCGGUCGGGGACGAGCGAUGGUCUUUUCCUACCAAUCUACCCCCCUAGGGGCAUGCGUAGUAGUACUUUGCUUUGAGGGCUAAUAAACUUUUGCAAUAAGUAUAUGAGUUCUUUAUGACUAAUGUGAGUCCAUGGAUUAUACGCACUUUUACCUUUCCAUCAUUGCUAGCCUCUUCGGUACCGUGCAUUGCCCUUUCUCACCUCGAGAGUUGGUGCAAACUUCGCCGGUGCAUCCAAACCCCGUGAUACGAUACGCUCUAUCACACAUCAGCCUCAUUAUAUCUUCCUCAAAACAGCCACCAUACCUACCUAUUAUGGCAUUUCCAUAGCCAUUCUGAGAUAUAUUGCCAUGCAACUUCCAUCAUCAUCAUAUACAUGACUUGAGCAUUUAUUGUCAUAUUGCUUUGCAUUAUCGUAAGAUAGCUAGCAUGAUGUUUUCAUGGCUUGUCCGUUUUUGAUGUCAUUGCUACGCUAGAUCAUUGCACAUCCCGGUACACCGCCGGAAGCAUUCAUAUAGAGUCAUAUCUUUGUUCUAGUAUCGAGUUGUAAUAUUGGGUUGUAAGUAAAUAAAAGUGUGAUGAUCAUCAUUAUAGAGCAUUGCCCCAUGAAAAAAGAAAAAAAAAAGAAAAAGAAAAAAAGGGGGCCAAAGAAGCCCACCGAAAAAGAAAAAAAAGAAAAAAAGAAAGAAAAGAAAAGGGGCAAUGUUACUAUCCUUUUUCCACACUUGUGCUUCAGAGUAGCACCAUGUUCUUCAUAUAGAGAGUCUCCUAUGUUGUCACUUUCAUAUACUAGUGGGAAUUUUUCAUUAUAGAACUUGGCUUGUAUAUUCCAACGAUGGGCUUCCUCAAAUGCCCUAGGUCUUCAUGAGCAAGCAAGUUGGAUGCACACCCACUUAGUUUCUUUUGUCGAGCUUUCAUACAUUGAUAGCUCUUAGUGCAUCCGUUGCAUGGCAAUCCCUACUCCUCACAUUGACAUCAAUUGAUGGGCAUCUCCAUAGCCCGUUGAUUAGCCGCGUCGAUGUGAGACUUUCUCCCUUUUUUGUCUUCUCCAUAUAAACCUCCACCAUCAUGUUCUAUUCCACCUAUAGUGCUAUAUCCAUGGCUUGCGCUCAUGUAUUUCGUGAGGGUUGAAAAAGCUGAAGCGCGUUAAAAAGUAUGAACCAAUUGCUCGGCUUGUCAUCGGGGUUGUGCAUGAUGGGGGCAUUUUGUGUGACGAAAAUGAAGCAUGGCCAAACUAUAUGAUUUUGUAGGGAUAAGAUCUCUUUGGCCUUGUUGUUUUGAAAACACAUGAUUGCUUUAUUGGUACGCUCGAAGUAUUAUUGUUUUUAUGUCAAAUGAUAGACUAUUGCUUUGAAUCACUCGUGUCUUAAUAUUCAUGCCAUGAUUAGACAUAUGAUCAAGAUUAUGCUAGGUAGCAUUCCACAUCAAAAAUUAUCUUUUUUAUCAUUUACCUACUCGAGGACGAGCAAGAAUUAAGCUUGGGGAUGUUGAUACGUCUCCGUCGUAUCUAUAAUUUUUGAUUGUUCCAUGCCAAUAUUAUUCAAUUUCAUAUACUUUUGGCAACUUUUUAUACUAUUUUUUGGGACUAACAUAUUGAUCCAGUGCCCAGUGCCAGUUCUUGUUUCUUGCAUGUUUUAUGUUUCGCAGAAACCUCAUAUCAAACGGAGUCCAAACGGGAUAAAAACGGACGGAGAAUUAUUUUGGAAUAUUUGUGAUUUUUGGGAGGAAGAGUCAAUGCGAGACGAUGCCCGAGGUGGCCACGAGAUAGGGGCCCACGCCCACUUAAAGUGGGUGCGCCCCCACCCUCGCGGGCCACCCAUAAGGCAGUUGACACUCUUCUUUUGCCGCAAGAAAGCUAAUUUUAUGAGAAAAAUCUGGAUGAAAGAUUCACCCCAAUCGGAGUUACGGAUCUCCAGAUAUAAAGGAAACGGUGAAGGGGCAGAAUCCGAGAACGCAGAAACAGAGAGAUAGAUCCAAUCUCGGAGGGGCUCUCGCCCCUCCCAUGCCAUGGGAGCCAAGUACCAGAGGGGAAAACCUUAUCCCAUCUAGGGAGAAGGUUGAGGAAGAAGAAGAAGAAGAAGGGGGGCUCUCUUCCCCUUGCUUCCAUUGGCGCCGGGACACCACCGGGGGCCAUCAUCAUCACCGCGAUCUUCACCAACACCUCCGCCAUCUUCACCAACAUCUCCAUCACCUUCCCCAAUCUAUAUUCAGCGGUCCACUCUCCCGCAACCCGUUGUACCCUCUACUUGAACAUGGUGCUUUAUGCUUCAUAUUAUUAUCCAAUGAUGUGUUGCCAUCCUAUGAUGUCUGAGUAGAUUUUCGUUGUCCUAUCGGUGAUUGAUGAAUUGCUAUGAUUGGUUUGAGUUGCAUGAUUUAUUAUUGGUGCUGUCUUAUGGUGCCCUCCGUGUCGCGCAAGCGUGAGGGAUUCCCGCUGUAGGGUGUUGCAAUGCGUUCAUGAUUCGCUUAUAGUGGGUUGCAUGAGUGGCUGAAACACAAACCCGAGUAAGGGGAUUGUUGCGUAUGGGAUAAAGGGGACUUCAUGCUUUAAUGCUAUGGUUGGGUUUUACCUUAAUGAAUCUUUAGUAGUUGCGGAUGCUUUCUAGAGUUCCAAUCAUACGUGCAUAUGAUCCAAGAAGAGAAAGUAUGUUAGCUUAUGCCUCUCCCUCAAAUAGAAUUGCAAUAGUGAUUACCGGUCUAGUAACAUAGUCAAUGGCUUAGGGACAAUUUUACAACUCCUACCACCACUUUUCCACACUCGCUAUAUUUACUUUAUUGUUUAUUUAUCUAAACAGCACCUACUUUUUAUUUACGUGUUCUUUAUUAUCUUGCAAACCUAUCCUAUCACACCUACAAAGUACUUCUAGUUUCAUACUUGUUCUAGCUAAAGCGAACACUAAGCAUGCGUAGAGUCGUAUCAGUGGCCGAUAGGACUUGAGAGAGUAUUUGUUCUACCUUUAGCUCCUCGUUGGGUUUGACACUCUUACUUAUCGAAAGAGGCUACAACUAUCCCGUAUACUUGCGAGUUAUCACCUCACUUUUCUAUCUCAGAGAUGCAUGCGUAAUAUGUUCGCAUAAGAAACGAAAAAACACACACUCUCUCUAAUUUAUCGUUUGUUGUCACUUUCUCUUUCACACACAUACUCUUUUUGCACACUUACUCAUUCUCCUUCACACGCACUGGAUUUAUCUCGACUUAGGCACUCUCCUCGGUCCAUAGCAUAUAGAUUUAUUGAAAAGUCAAACAUCACAAAGUUUGACCAUGUACGUGGAGAAAAACAAUUACAUCUAGUACGGCAAACAUAUACCAUUAGAUUCACCAUGAGAUGUAGUUUUGUAUGAUGUAUCUUUGGUAUUGUAGAUAUAAAUAACAUUUGCGUAAACCUGAUCAAAGUUUCCAAAGUUUGACUUCUAAAAAAUUUACAUGCACUGCAUUAUCGAGCGGAUGGAAUAUCUCUUUCCCCCGCUCAGCUAUCUGACGCACCACUCAGCCUUAUCGGGGCUCCUCAAUCUCUCUCAAACUUUAUUGGUCAGUUUGGUUCGUGACCUGACCCUCAUGCCUUGAUGGCCAGUACUGCCUAGUGUGGACGUGAGAUGUAAAAUAUUUCUGCCUGGCUAGGCUUGUGUGGUGUUGAAGCGUUUGGUCCAUGCCUAGGCCAGGCAAAGCAUCAACGUCCCAUCAAUCAAUCCAUGCAGCAAUUAUUUAAUGCUAAUAUCCAUCCAUGUUGCUGUUAGCCUCGUGGCCGCACGAUCAGGCACGGCCAGGCAUUCAAAAUCGGUCGCCUGGGCCAGGCGACUUGCAGUGUCUGGAGUCCAGCCAAGUUACUUAAAGUGCAAGGGAACCCAGGCCAGGCGGGCUUUCUUUUUCACAUGGUAGCAACCAAACAAGCGUGCAUGAAAUCCAUCUACUACCCCAGGCAAGGCAAAGGAUGCUCAUGACGCAAGCCAAACUGACCUUAUAUCUCCCUGGUUCACACAUACACAUGUCUCGCUCGCGCUAUACAUAUAGACCCAUCCAACACUCUCCGCCCUUGUUCUCUCUCCAUGUGACACGCACCCCCCUAAGUACCAUAAUCCCUCACUCCAUCAUAGGCGCAAGCACUCCCCCCUCCUAAGUAUGAUUAUCUCUUACUAGCCAUCAGGAACACACGUAUUGUCUCCUUCCAUCCAUACGUCUAUCUCGAUAUCUCUCGAGGCAUCUUCUAUCGCGCACACCUUGUCACUCGAUCUCCCACCCAUCUAGUCCCAUCACGAUCUCCAGGGGAUCUCUCUAUGACAAACAUACACUCUCUCCUCCCCAUGUCUGCAUUUUCUCCGUACGUCUCUCUCGACCUCUCUCCCUUGUUUGUCAGACCCCUCUUGGCCACGUUCUAGGGGUCUUGCUGUCUCGGUUCCAAACAACCACACACUAUCUCCUCACCUUGCCUCCGUUGUCGAAGAUGCAUGUGUGAUAUGUUUGCAUAAGACACACACGCUUUUUCUCUACUUUUAUCAUGUGUUGUCCAUGUCUCUUUCACACACACACACACAAACACACUUUUCACUCACUCUUUCUAUCUCUCUCUCUCUCUCUAGUUAGGGACUCUAUCACGUCCAUAAGCAUAUGGAUGUUUUGAAAAGUCAAACCUCAGAAAAGUUUGACUAGGUAUAUGUGGAGAAAAACAUUUACAUCUAGAACGAUCAUUAGAUUCAUCACAACAUGUUCUUACUUCAUACUAUCAUUUAUGUUUGGUAUUGUAGAUAUAAGUAAUUUCUUUAUAAACUUGGUCAAAGUUUCAAAAGUUUGACUUUAAAAAAAAUGUUGGAACUACAUUAUCGAACGGAGGGAGUAGCUCUUUCUCUCUCUCUAUCUGCUAUCUCUCACGGGCCUCCCCUCUCACUCCAACUCUCUAUACCGACGGAUUAUACGCUCACUCUGUCAGCGUAUAACUUCGUAUAUUGUUUAGUUGACCGGUCAACCAAUCCACAUGCUGCCUUGUCAGCUCGUGUUCUGUAUCUUCGUGUGCUAGCCCAUGUGGCAGUGGGUGAAAAUAAGUAAACUAGAGGCUCAUCUGACACGCGGUGAAGUAAACAAAGUUGAAACCACUCGGGGUAGCACCCCACUCACUAGUAAAUUGAGGGCGCAUUGAGGACACACUUCUUGCGCGUGAAGGCCGCACUCGAGCACAACUCACCACUGCCUGGCGACGUGCACAGAAGGACACACUCGCGCACACCCAGCACACAACACACACCAGCACACGUGUACACCACCCUCGCCGCCUGUUGAGAUGGAUGGCGAGGCAGCCAACAAGCGGAGGCGGCUUGAGCCAAAACCGCAUCCGGCGAGCCUGGACUUCAUCAGCAGCCUCCCCAACGACAUGCUGCUUGUCAUCAUCGGCCUCCUCCCCACCAAAUCUGCCGUGCGGACCGCCCUGCUCUCCCGACGGUGGCGCCCCCUCUGGAGCUGCAUCCCCCUCAACCUCACCGUUGACAGCUGCCUCUGCGACGGGGAUUGCAAGUGCAUGGCCGCAGUCUCCAAGAUCCUUUCAUCGCACCCUGGGCCAGCCAGACGCCUUGACAUCCGCAUGUUCAGUACCAACUGCAAGGUCCAACCCAAGUUCGACGAGUGGUUCUUAUCCCCCGCCCUAGAUCAGCUCGAGGAGCUCAGCUUUGAAGCUGGACGAUGUCGCUCUCUCCCGCUGUCCGCGCUCCGCCUCACGCCAACGCUGCAUCGCGCCAGCUUCAACUCCUGCUAUCUUCCCCAGAUUAAUGCCGCGCCCGCCCUUCUUCUCCCUCAACUCAAGCAGCUCGACCUCUUCGACAUUGUCAUCUCGAAGAAGGCUAUGUUGCACCUGCUCCGCAGUUGUACUGCGCUCGAGUACCUUCGUCUUGAGCAGAUCCACAGGUUCAUUAGCCUCCACAUCGCCUCGACGAAUCUCCGAUGGAUUUAUGUAUCUUGCUGGCCCCGCAACAAGACAUCAAUUGGGAAGAGAUCACUCCAGCUGUUCCACUUUAUGGUCAUCGAGAAGGCGCCUUUCCUUGAGAGAUUGCUUGUAUCGGAUCUAGAAGGUCCAACAAAAAUCAGGGUCAUUGACGCGCCGAAAUUGACAGCGUUGGUGUACUCAUCUGCCAAAUUCUCCGAACUCUUUAUUGGAUCCGUAAUCGUUUAGGUACAACACUCAUCUUCUUCUACGUCUUCUUGAAAUUCACAUUUUUAAAUUUCUUCUUGAUGUAUUUAACAGACAAAAUGUUAAUGCAUGUCCCUAAAAACUAUAUCAUUGGAUUCGUAUUUGAACAUAAUUUCAAAUGGUGUAAUUUUUAUUGACAUGCAUUGGCAUUUUCUUAGGUAAAUCUGUGGUCAAAAUUUUAUACUAAAUACGAGGUAGUAUUCCCUCCGUCCCAAAAUUCUUGUCUUACAUUUGUUUAGAUACAGAUGUAUCUAACACUAAAAUGUAACUAGAUACAUCCGUAUUUAGACAAACUUAAGACAAGAAUUUUGGGACGGAGGGAGUACAAAAGUGGGCUAUGUAGGCCAAAACACGUGCCAAAUUCACUUGUGAUGCAUUUGGCAUCGAUGCCCCUCCAUUGCUCACCUGGUGCCCCAAUCUGGAUCACCUACUUUGCUCCGGUGCCAAAUUAACUCACGCAAUGAAAAAACACUGCGUGGGAGAGAGAGAGGACUGAGGCAAUAAAAAACACUUGUUUGGGAGAGUGAGAGGCUGGUGUAGUUGGUUUGAUUGAUUUGUUUAUACAUGUGGGUCUGUGUGCACAGUGGUGCCAACUCUCUCACAUCACGAGAGCGGUGCCAAAAUCUUUUGAUUUGACAUCGAUGCGUAUUAUGUGGCAUACUUUUGCGAAAUAUGGCAUCGGCCACAUAGUGGAAGGCAACAAAUGCCCAAGCUCUUCACGUGCUCCUAGUUAAAUGAGAGGAAACAGAAAGAGAGAGAGAGAGAGAGAGAGAAAGUAUUACUAGCCAGCCAACCCUAUCAUAUGAGCGAAUGAUAUUGGUACCUCUUGAUGACACGGCAAUCUUAUACAGCCAGCUGCUCUAAUAUGUUCUCUUCUUUUGCAGAUAAAAAAAGACUCGAAAGUGAAAAAUGUGCUACACUAUAACAAUCUCAUCGAAUGCCUUGAUCUCCAUCUUACAGAAAUUGAUUUGAUCGACAACCGAGGCAGCACAUCUGAGAUUAAAUUCGCUAGGUUCUUUGUUUUGGAGGCAAGUGUGCUCAAGGUAAUGAGGUUUGGCGUUCUCUGGCGCAACAAUGAAUGGCGUGCUAAUCACAGCAAGUGUCUAAGCCUAAAUGACAAAGUCUCCGUAGAAGUUGAAUUUGUUUUUGAAACAUCAAGUGGACAGAGACUGGAAAACUUAUUUGCCCAUUAGUGACUUGUCAGGGCGGUGGAUUUUAGUUUGUACGAUAAUGCUGCAUCCACCUAAAGUAAUGAAAGUUCUUACGUAAACUUCCUAGUAAUUCCCUCUUUGUAGGUGCAACAUUACUCCUAACAUUUGUAAUAUCAGUUUGAAACUAAUAUUGAUGUGUCCUAUUCCUGCAUUUUCAAAAUCCCGUGAAUCAAACAGGUCCUGAGUUGGUGAUGAUGUUGUGCCUCCCAUCUUUCACCAAUAGCCGUUGGAUCUAGAUCUGACGCAUACAAACCAAGCUUCUCCAUUUUUGCAAAAAGAUGCCCGCACUUGUUCCCUAUUUACAAACAACUCCUUGUCUCUCACAAUCAGCCUUAUCUCCUCCCCACCACAUCUAUAAGGCCGUGGAAAAACCUAGCGUGAUGGUCGCUGCCGGCGCUAUCCACCCCCAGUCUUGGUGUUCCGUGCAAUGCACGUGCAUCUAUGCAUGGGAAAUUAUGUCGAACAGGGCUAGUUGCAAGCAGGCUAGCUCUAUAACCAUGAUGAUAGUGACUGCAGAUGGUGAGGCUGACUACGAUAUGCCGAACACGGCGCCUAUACUCAGGUGUCAUCUCCGCCGCAGGGUCUUGUCACUUCACUGUGAGGAGCAGCACGUAAUAAUUUGACCAACCGGUAGUACAGUGCUAGUACUCCUACUACAUUGGUAGUACUACUACUAGUACUAGUAGCACCAUCGUCUGGAUUUAGGAGUACUACCACAUCCAUCUGGAUUUUAGUAUUUGACUAGCAAUAUCUAGUAAUGCAUGUCACAAAAAAUGUACUACUCCCUUUGUAAAUAAAUACAUGGUGUUUUAUUCCUAUAGGCGAGAGAACUUAAUGUCUUUUUGCUAACUAGAGUAAUAGGAUUACAUGCAAUGAACUAAACACUGCAUGUCAUGUUUGGUAGUCUCAAGUCAUUGAAAGCAUGCACGACCCACAUCUCUCAUUGGUUGAUAUGUCACGAAAUAAGAAACAAGGUGGGAGUUAAUGCACCGUGCCUAAGUGUUUUGGGAUUAUUUGGUUUUCGUAAGGUGACUUACACAACAUUUUUGUUUACAUGCAUUAACAUUUUAUUAGUUAAAUCAAAGGUCAAAACUUGGCGCAAAAUGCAAAGGGGACCAAUAAACCAGUAAACAUCAAACUUCUCUCGUUUGGCCCCAACUAGAGGUCCGGUGAGAUGACUAUACUGCACCGGCACGGAGGGGGACGCAGCUUCAUUGACUUACUGCAACUGCCUUUAGGUGAAUGACACGUGGGCCCAAGGCUUGGCUGGCCCACCUAUCAUACAGCCAAAGGCAGGUGCAGUAGAGGGCCGAGGAGUAGUAUGAAGUACGAAAUCCUAAGCACCUAUGCACGCUAACCAAGGGCAAGAGUGAUCACUCGGAUCGCAAGAUCAGUUGACUAGAAUCUAAGCUAGACCCAUGGAGGCGAUGAGCGCGAGCAUUAACCGGCUAUGCCAGAUGGUCCACGACGCCGGCCUGCGGCCCGGCACCAAGGAACGCCUCCAGGUAUUGCUUGAGGCCGCCAGGGCAAGGGGCCGCUUGGACGACAACUUCGUCUCCUUAUUCGAUGAGGUCCUCAUUGGUUUCCUCGACAAGUUCACCAUCGUCAAGAAGCUCACGGACGACUUUGACGUGUGCCUCCAGUUGACGCGCCCAGGCUCUGCGAUGCCCACCACCCUCAAUGGCCACUAUGGUGACAACCUCUUCGACGCACUGUUGGCCUUGCGACUGCCCACCGUCGCGCCGGAGAAUGUCCACCUCGAGGUCGCGCUCGCUGCGCAGCGCCUAGCACAACAAGACACCAUCAACAUAAUCACCCACGUCUAUGCGCAAAUCGUCCACAAGGACUAGUACAUGCAAGAGGAGGACGAUAGGAUGCUGGCCUUCUUGGACCGCAGGGCAACCUUGGACGGCAUUGUUCAGAAGCACGUUGAGCUCACCGCCGCUGCUCCUCACACGUCGGUUGGUGACCCGGCGCACUAGGGCAUGAGGAUGUCGUUGAUUGAUCCGUAUGUAUUUUUAUCUUUCCGUCAAAUCCAUGUAGUAGUAUAUGGUACUACUAGUAAUUAUCUUACCUUUCGCAUCAACUUCAUAAUUUUCGUAUGUACUCCAUGCAUGAACGGCGCCAGAACCAAACUUCUCAUUACUCUAGGCAAAAUCGUUAUUUUCUAUCUAUCGGUCGCGCCAUGGAGCAGAACCAAAUUUUACAAGUUACGAGUUCAAAAGGAAAAGCCUGCCGUGUUCGUGUCGCACCCCCACACGGUUGGUCCGGCACACUGCUCAAGGGGGAAUGCGUGCGGUGCUGCAUUUUCACUUACAAGUGGGACCAUAGUUGAGCAAACCGACUAUCGGCAAACCCCCACCCCGCCCACCGCGCGAUGGCUGAGAAAACAGGAGGGAGAAGAGAUGGCUGUAGCACGGACUCCAAGAAAAUUGGUGUCAGAUGGGACUCAUGUGGGUGGCGUGUGUCGUACUGCUAGACGUGAAUGCUAGUUAUGGCACCCCACUAUAUGGAGGUACGUAGAACAAAUUUCCUGGAGUCCGUGCUCAGCCCUCCUCUAUCUCUCUUCUCAGCCAGCCAGUGGACGUGCGGAGCCCAUCGUCUUUUUGCUCACAUGCGGUCCCACAUGUCAGUGAAAACGCAAGAUGACCCACUGAACCUGCACAUCUUUCACCUCGAUUUGCUGGUGAUAAAAAACAAAUCCAAUAAAGAUCUUCGGUGGCCGCUUUUGGAGUUACUCAAGAGUAGUAAGAUUCUAUUUACAGUUUAACCCAAGAUGCACAUCACGUGGCUUCAACUACCACUCUAUUUUCUUGCAUGACACGACCUGGAUGCUGGAUGUCCCAUGUGUCGGCAAAAGGAGGAAGAACCCGACCAAAUCUUCGGUUGUGCUAUCGGAUUAGACUAGUUGUGCUAACUUAAAAAUUUUAUUGUGUACUCCCUCCGUUCCAAAAUACUUGACUUCCAUUUGUCCAAAAGUGGAUGUACCUAUAUACUGAAACAUGUCUAGAUACAUCUAUAUUUUGACAAAUAGAAGGCAUGUAUUGUGGAAUGGAGGGAGUAGAAUGGAUGCAAGUUUUGGUAUUGGGAAGAAGAGUACAUCGAUAUAUUGAUAGAGCGCAAUCUUGUAGAUGUUCUAGCACUUUUAGCUAGCAUAGAUGCUAGAGAUGAGACUAGUGCACUUGUUGAUACUCCUACUAGAAUAGAGGCUAGACAUGAGACUAGAUGCGAGGAAGCAACAUCUACUUAUUUACACUCGAAGAAGAAAGAAGCACGCAAGAUCGAGCCUCUGCAGAUCAACAAUGAAUGCAUCGAGAAGGCACUAAUCCAACUUACAGGAGCAGUUAUGGAAGUUGGAUAUCUUCUAGAGUAGUAAAAUGUAUUCUUGUGGUUCUUGUUUUCUUUGGUCUUGCUUUUCUAGUCAAAAUUAUCGUUGGAGUUCGUGCAAAACGGAGGUCUGUUUGGGGUCGUGCGUUGUAGUUGGCCUUACAAGUGGGACCGCAGUUGAGGAAACUGACUAUCGGCAAACCCCCACCUCGCCCAUCGCGCGAUGGCUGAAGUUAGAGAAACAACGAGGUUGAAGAGAUUGCUCUAGCACGGACUCCAAGAAAUAAUAUGGUGUCAGAUGGAUGCACUACAAAAGAAAUAAACUUCUGUGAUGAUACAUGUUUGUCACAGUAGGCCGCGGUUUUUGUCAUGCAUGUUCAUCCAUGACAAAUUUAUGACAGAAUCAAGAUAGUCAUACAUGUGCUGUCGUAGAAGUGUUCCAUGACAUUACCAAAAUUAUCAUCACGGAAGUGUCCACUUCCAUGACGAUAAAUCGCGCGUCACAGAAGUGCUUUCGUCAAGGGUGACCGACACGUGGCAUCCAUCGUAACGGGACGCCGUUAAGCUACCGGGUCGGGUUUUGGAUCCGAUAACCCGUUAACAGCCCCGACCAAUGGGGAUUUUCCACGUGUAAAAUCAUCAUUGGCUGGAGGAAACACGUGUCGGCUCACCGUUGGGACAGAUGUCAUCCACUCAUUGGACGGAAGACGCCUAUGGUACGUCGACACGUGGCACGACCCAACAGAGGCCCAUUCCUGUGAAAAGGCCGGCCCAAUAAAAAUUAGCAAGCCAGCCCAUAUAAGGCCUACUUAUGUCAGGUCCAUUUAAGCCCACGACCCAUACGAGAUGAGCCAAUUCGGCCCGUCAACGGCCCAUUAAAGAUUUGACACCAUUGCAGCCCAUCGUCAGUUCGAGCCCGUUAACAGCCCGCUAUAUAUCUAGGCUCAAUAUUGGCCCGAUGAGAUUUCGGCCUGUUAACGACCCGUUUAAUGGAUGGGCCAAUUUUCAGGACGUACAUCUUUUGGCCUUUUAGCGACCCAUUUAAAUGUUGGGCUAGUUUCCGGCCCGGUGUGUCUUUUAGUCUGUUGACGGCCCAUAAAUCUGAUGGGCCAUUUGUUGUCGGACCUGAGUUUCGGCCUUUUAGCGGCCCAUUUAAGUGUUGGGCCAAUUUUCUGGUCCGGUGUCACUUUCAGCCUGUUGACGGCCCAUAAAUCAGUUGGGCCAUUUUUAGUCGGACCUGAGUUUUGGCCUUUUAGCGACCCAUUUAAGUGUUGGGCCAAUUCCCGGCCCUGUGUGACUUUCGGCCUGUUAACGGACCAUAAAUGAGUUGGGCCAUUUGUAGUCAGACCUUAGUUUUGGCCCUUUAACGGCCCAUGCCCUUCAUGGUCCAAUACCAGCCCGGUUUCUCUUUCGGCCUACUAAAGGCCCACAACACAGUUGGGCCAUUUACAAUACGACCUGACUUUCGGCCUCUUAGCGGCCCAUGGUCUUCAUGGUCCAGUACAAGCCCGCUGUCUCUUUCGGCCUGCUAAAGGCCUACAGUAUAGUUGGGCCAUAUGUAGCCCAAACUUAGUAAUGGCCUGUUAACGACCCGUGAAAUAAACUGGGGCCACCUGUUGCCCGCUUCGAUGUCGGCCUGUUAACGACCCGGGAGGUAAGAGGGCCGACCAUUAAAUUUCGGCCUAGUAACGGCCCAUUAACUUAAUGGGCCCACUAAAGUUCGUACAUGUCUUUAGGCCAAAUUAGAUAAUUUGAGCCCAUUACAACGAGCAAUUAUGCACAGGACCAAAACCGAUCACGCAAAGGUACGACAUACAGGGUAUAACGUUGCACAUCCAACAUAUAUCACAGGAAAUUACAUCCACUGGGCAAUCAAAGAUUGAUGGCAGUGUAAAUAAAUGAGCAGAACCUAACCAUCUACAACGUCACAAUCUGCAACCUCAGCACAAAUGACACCCAUAAGCAUGUGGGCAAGUUCUUUCUGCUUUGCUACACUGCCUCUGAAAACAUUGAUCAGUUGUUGUGUCGCACGACUCUGCACCUCUGAUUCAUCCACCAUUUCCAUCAUUGCUUCAGCCAUUAAUUGGUUCACAAACAUACAUUUAUUCCGUGGCAUUCGAGAGAGAGGAUACUGAACAGAUUCAGAUGGCGAUUUUUGCAGGCUUGUAUUAUUGAUAAUGGAGAGUGUCUUGACCACUGCAUCAUAACAUAAAUUAGAACGAGAACCAAACAGAUUAAUCAUGAGUUAUUGCCAUAUUACCUGGCCUAGAUUUACUGGAAAGAAACAAUUGGGUUGCCUUGCUGUUUUUAGAGUUUGUCUUCUUAUCUUCAGCAGCCUGCACAAAAUUAACACACUAGCAUUGCUAUCAUUGGCCAAGUCAGAUAAUAGGAAAGCAACAUUGACACAACGAACGUUUGGGCAAGUAGCCUACACCAAAUUAACACAAUAUGGCACAACUAUCAUCAGCCAGGUAAGGUAGUACGAAAGCAACAUUGACACAAUGAAUGAAUGGGCAACCAGAGAAGCACUACAAUUCAGUAAUGUGCAUGAUAUGAGAUAGUACAUUCAUGCAGCUCAGUAUGCAAAACUACCAGGCAGUUUUCCUUACAAAAAUCAACAUUGGCGCCUUUAACAUUUGCUACAACUAAUUUUAGAUCAGAUAAAGGUUAGAUUCAUGCCGAUUAACAAAAUACAUGUUGAUGUAAAAAUAUAGUGAUAUACAACAGGUACUUACAUCAGCAUUGGAGCAUAGAGAAUUCCCGCAAGAUAUUUUCCUCGAAUACGAUCCCAAUGGAGGAAGUCUUCUAUCGUUUAACCUUAUUUUCUAAAAGAGAGAUGGGUAAGAAACAUGUAGAAAAUAUGAUCAGAAUGCUAUAAAAUUUCAUGAUGCGAGGAUACGCACACGCUUCUUAGAAUGGAGUUGACAUUCUUUUGCUGGACUGGAGCGGACUAGUUCUUUGGCCACUGGAAUCUGCUUAUUAUCAGUGGGAGUUGGGUUUCUCUGUGCUGGAGCAGUAUCUAUGAAAAAUGGAGUUGGUUUAUUAUCUCCCGGCGUUUGGAUCUUUUGCAAAGUCCUGGUUUGUAACCCUUCAGAUUUUAACAGAGCCGUCUUCCCCUUGCAUGCCUUAUAUAGAAGAAUGGUGAUUCAGUUAUAAAACAUGCUACAACAGAGAUGGAAUAGGUACUGAAGAAUAGAAAGGCAUGACAUAUUGACAUGUAUUCCCUCCAUCCGGAAAUAAAUGGAUGGGUCUAGGCGUAUUUCAGUUCUAGAUACAUCCAAUUUUAUCCAUUUCUGCGACAUUUAAUCCGGACGGAGGGAGUAUGAUGUAAGAGUUAGGGAUACGACAGGACAACACAGUAAAAAAAACUGAAAAACCCACUGCAGAACCAAAGUAUUCAAACCCACUGAUAUGAGAUAGUACACUCAUGCAGCUCAAGAUGCAAAACUACCAGGAAGUUUUCCUUACAAAAAUCAACAUUGUGGCCUUUAAUCAUACAUUUUGCUACAACUAAAUUUAGAUCAGAUAAAGGUUGGAUUCACGCCGAUUAACAAAAUACAUGCUGAUGUAAAAAUAUAGUGAUAUACAAUAGGUACUUACAUCUACAUUGGAGCAUAGAGAAUUCCUGCAAGAAUCUUUCCUCACAAACGAUACCAUUGCAGAAAUUCUUCUAUCUGUUAAGCUUAUUUUCUAAAAUAGAGAUGGGUAAGAAACAUGUAGAAAACUAGAUGAUUCCCCACGCGUUGCUGCGGGAAUCUAUGGUCAAAAAAUAAACAUUGACGAUUAUGUAGAAUGAUGAUUUUGAUUAUCAGAUUACUCUUUCAGUCACAUGGAAUAUUGUUAUGAGUUCAAGGGGAAAGAGAAAUUGUCCAGUACAAUUCUAUGUGUAGAUGCUAAUAACGGGAAUUUUGCACCAACCAAAAUUUGAAAGUACAUUAUCAAAGACUUGGUCAUUACAUACUUCCCAAAUGCACCAAGUCUAUGAAUAGCAAUUUCCAUGGCAAAUAGUUUGUUUAUCUAUUCUUUAACAAUCUCUAUCUCUCCAAUAAUUUGGUUGCCUGUUCUCCAUUAGCAUUGCAAGGCAAAAGAAAAUUCCAAGGAAAAUACAACUAUAUUCCUUGACAUGAGUACUUGAGCCGGCAGAACAUUUCCAAAGAAAAUUGAAAUGGAAUAAAAGAUCCCUCAACUUUUAAUAUGCCCGCCAAAAGACUAAGGCACACCAUGGAAUCAGGAGCCCUGCUGGAUUACUAACGCUGGAUGUCAAUAAGGAAGCUCGUAGUUAUACAAAAUAGCAAUAGAUGUAUUACUGUUCCCAACAAAAAGAUUGAUCACAUGACGUCAUGACAUGGGAGGAUAAAAGACAGAUGCAUCAAGUAGUAGAACGGAGCAAGAACACAACCCACUUUUAUUUUUUUUGCAUUUAUUCUCAGCAUAGAUGAAUUGUACAAUUAGAAAAACAAUAAUGCCAUGAGACCAUACAUAAAAGAUCCCUUGCCAGACCACAAGUGAAAGGCAACAAAAUCGUAAGCGAGAGUAAUAAACAUGGUCAAAAACUGAUGGCACCUCGAUUGGUAAUGGCCAAUUAGCAAAGGAGAACGCCCUCAAUGUUGUGGUUCUCUACAAUAUAUUCCAUGAAGAUUUGCCCCAUGUUACUCACAAUAAGAAGGGAACAUUACUUGGAGAUGCCAAAUCAUUUUAAAGCAACCGAAAGAUGAAGAUUUGAGCACCCACUUCACUACUCCUUUGGCAAAUUUUGGGUCAUCCCCACAAUCAAAUUGACAAAAAUGGAAUAAUCCAAUGAGUCUGCACCACCAACAAAAAUAAAAUCAUGUACAUUUCAUAUUAAUAUAACAACAAAGUUCAACGACUUGAUAUACUGAACCCUUUACAAACUGGUGAUGCACAAAUAUUGAAUCAUACAUAACUGGUGAUUAUUUGCUAGAUUUAGGUGGCAAUGAUUACCAUGAAGGUCACGAUAAUGGGAAUGAAGAAAGCAUUGUGAAUGAAAAAUCAGAAUAUAAUUUGGAAUCUCAUACGUUCAAAAGAACUCUAGUGCUGCAAAAAUAAAAUAGUGUUGGAACUAUGAAGUUUCCUUAGAGGAAGACAAAACAUAUCUUACCAUCAUAGUGCAGCGAUGAAGUGUUUUUCAAGCAUAAAAAAAUCAUUGGUUGUCAAUGAUAUACCAGACAUAUGGUGUUGAAUGAUAGAACAUUGAUGCACUUUUAAUAUGUAGUCCAUGUCUUCAUCUGUUGGGAUGACAAUAUAGAUCUCAAAGUUUUCCGUACAGUGCCGAAACAUGAGUGGUAUGCCAUCAACUUCACUGAUUUAUAUCUUCCAUAUUUCAAAUGAAAGUUGUCAUGUGGCCAAAGCCCCCAGCCAACUUCAUGAAAAAGAGAACGGACCUAUGAUGACAAAUAAAUAAUCACAAUGGUAUGCAUCAGUAAUCCUAUAAUUAUGAUAUAAUACAUGUUCUUUUGAGAUCAAUACAGUGCAAGAGGGAACGUCGGAUUAACUUUGCAUGACCUGGCAGUCAUGAGACAAUUUUGGAGCAAAGGUGCAGACACCAACCUGAUGUUCAAAACUAUGGGAGCGAUGCCGCUCCACUAUCUGAAGUGUUUUUUUUGCGGGGGCACGACAAGUCGAUUGUUGAGAGGCGGCAGCAUCGUCACUUCCGUGCAGCAGGGAGGUGGCGGAGGUCGUGCUUCAGGAGGUAGAGUCAUCGAGGUGGCCGGGGUUGGGCGCCUCAAGUCUGCGGCAUGGUAGUUUUGCACCGGAUCUCCCUCCCCCUCUCCCUACCUCCGCCGCCCCCACCCAUCACCAUCUCUCCCCGGAUUAGAUCGAGACGCAGGUGAGGCGGCGGCCAGAUCGAUGUCGCGAUGGAGGUGGCUUCAUCGAGGUCCUCGCACGCCAGGAAAAGGAGAUGAGGAUGCGGAGGCAUGGGGUGCCUGUGCUCGCCCGCGUGGAAGAACGCCGGAGUGGUCGGCUGCAGGGCAUCGAUGGUGCGUGGGUAGUGAAUGGUAUCAUCGCCUGCUGCCAGGGAUAAGAAGAUAUCGACCGAUGGGCUUCUCUCGGGCUUCUCUUGAUUGAUAUUACGCCACCUCAUCAGUUACGAAAGCCCAAAGAGGCUCGCUUAUGAUUUUGUUACCCCUGAAACAAAAAACAAAAUGACUUGUUGAUACUGAUCUCGCGAGCAAUAAUAUUCUGUGAUGGGUAAAAAAAUUAAUUAACAAAAUAAAUGAUGAUGUGGCAGUUAGUGGGUUACUCCUAUUUAUUAUUGAUGAUGUGGCAUGGUGAUGAUGUGGAUAGUGUGCAUGUUGAAAGAAUAGGUAGAAGUGGGGAGCAACUUCUUAAGAAUGUUAGAUAUGAUCAACAUGCUAUAAAUUUUCAUGAUGCAAGGAUACGCACACGCUUCUUAGAAUUGAGUUGACAUAUUUUUGCUCGACUGGAGCGGACUAGUUCUUUGGCCACUGGAAUCUGCUUAUUAUCAGUAGGAGUUGGGUUUCUCUGUGCUGGAGCAGUAUCUAUAAAAACUGGAGUUGGUUUAUUAUCUCCUGGCGUUUGGAUCUUUUGCAAAGGCCUUGUUUGUAACCCUUCAGAUUCUAACAUAGUCGUCUUCCCCUUGCAUGCCUUGUAUAGAAGAAUGGUGCUUUAAUUAUAAAACAUGCGACAACAGAGAGAUGUAAUAGGUACUGAAGAAUAGAAAGGCAUGACAUAUUGACAUGUAUUUGAAGGAAAUGUGCCCUAGAGGCAAUAAUAAAGUUAUUAUUUAUUUCCUUAUAUCAUGAUAAAUGUUUAUUAUUCAUGCUAGAAUUGUAUUAACCGGAAACAUGAUACAUGUGUGAAUACAUAGACAAACAUAUAGUCACUAGUAUGCCUCUACUUGACUAGCUCAUUAAUCAAAGAUGGUUAUGUUUCCUAACCAUAGACAUGUGUUGUCAUUUGAUUAAUGGGAUCACAUCAUUAGGAGAAUGAUGUGAUUGACAUGAACCAUUCCGUUAGCCUAGCACUUGAUCGUUUAGUAUAUUGCUAUUGAUUUCUUCAUGACUUAUACAUGUUCCUGUAACUAUGAGAUUAUGCAACUCCCGUUUACCGGAGGAACACUUUGGGUGCUACCAAACGUCACAACGUAACUGGGUGAUUAUAAAGGAGUACUAUAGGUGUCUCCAAAGGUACAUGUUGGGUUGGAGUAUUUCGAGAUUAAGUUUUGUCACUCCGAUUGUCGGAGAGGUAUCUCUAGGCCCUCUCGGUAAUGCACAUCACUAUAAGCCUUGCAAGCAAUGUAGCUAAUGAGUUAGUUACGGAAUGAUGCAUUACAUAACGAGUAAAGAAACUUGCCAGUAACGAGAUUGAACUAGGUAUUGGAUACCGACGAUCGAAUCUUGGGCAAGUAACAUACCGAUGACAAAGGGAACAACGUAUGUUGUUAUGCGGUUUGACCGAUAAAGAUCUUCACAGAAUAUGUAGGAGCCAAGAUGAGCAUCCAGGUUCCACUAUUUGUUAUUGACCGAGAAGAGUUCUAUGUCAUGUCUACAUAGUUCUCGAACCCGUAGGGUCCGCACGCUUAACGUUACGAUGACAAUUUUAUUAUGAGUUUAUAAGUUUUGAUGUACCGAAGGUUGUUCGGAGUCCCGGAUGUGAUCACGGACAUGACGAGGAGUGUCGAAAUGGUCGAAACAUAAAGAUUGAUAUAUUGGAAGCCUAUGUUUGGACAUUGGAAGUGUUCCGGGUGAAAUCGGCAUUUUACCGGAGUACCGGGAGGUUAUCGGAACCCCCCGGUGACCUAAUGGUCCUUAUUGGGCCUAGUGGAGGAAGAGGAGAGGAGGCCUAGGGGCAGCCACGCGCCCCUCCCCCCCAAGUCCGAAUAGAACAAGGAGGGGGGGCGGCGCCCCCCCUUUCCUUCCCCCCCUCUCCUCCUUCCCCCCAAGUCCUAGUCCAACUAGGGAAAGGGGGGAGUCCUACUCCCGGUGGGAGUAGGACUCCUCCGGCGCGCCUCCUCCUAGGGCCGGCCGCACCCCCCUUGCUCCUUUAUAUACGGGGGCAGGGGGGCACCCUAGAACACAGAAGUUGAUCUACGUGAUCGGUCCUUAGCCGUGUGCGGUGCCCCCCUCCACCAUAUUCCACCUCGGUCAUAUCGUCGCGGAGUUUAGGCGAAGCCCUGCACCGGUAGAACAUCAUCAUCAUCACCACGCCGUCGUGCUGACAAAACUCAUCCCCGACACUUUGCUGGAUCGGAGUCCGGGGAUCGUCAUCGAGCUGAACGUGUGCUGAACUCGGAGAUGCCGUACGUUCGGUACUUGGAUCGGUCGGAUCGUGAAGACGUACGACUACAUCAACCGCGUUGUCAUAACGCUUCCGCUUACGGUCUACGAGGGUACGUGGACAUUACUCUCCCCUCUCAUUGCUAUGCAUCACCAUGAUCUUGCGUGUGCGUAGGAAUUUUUUUGAAAUUACUACAUUCCCCAACAGUAUUCCCUCCAUCCGGAAAAAAUGGAUGGGUCUAGGCGUAUUUCAGUUCUAGAUACAUCCCUUUUUAUCCAUUUCGGCAACAUGUAAUCCGGACAGAGGGAGUAUGGUGUAAGAGCUAGGGAUACGACAGGACAAAAAAAUAGUUGAAUGUAAAACUAUAUGCUAGCGGAAUACAUACAGAAAUAACCAAGGCAACAUACACGUGUAUGAUUGGGAAAAUAAGAUGGCAUUGCAGCAGAGCACUAGAACAACACUUCAAUGUAAAAAAACAUGGUAUGGCAGACAGAUGAAGUACAUACUGAUGAAUAACAAUGCAUAAGAUAUUCAGAAGCAUGAUGUCCAAAUUAAGCAGAUGGCAUUGCGAUAGAGUAGAAUGACAGUACUUGAAUUUGAAAACAUGUUAUCAUGAAUGGAAUAGGUACUGAAAAACAGGAAGGCAUGACAUAUUUACAUGCAUGAUCAGCAUGCUAAGCACAUGGCAUUGCAACAGAGUAGAUACACUCCAGGACAUUAUAUGCAUGUUGUACCCAUAUCAUAGGCCAAGUUAGAGCAAGGACCUUGUGGGGUGAAGAGGAUUCAUCAUCUUUCUGCAAGUCUUCUGAAGAACUGCCUUUACAUGUUCCAUCAUAUUGGGUAUCAUUGACAUCAAGUUUAUUGGCCUUUACAUUGCUCCGUGAGGUUCUUGUGGAUAUAUCAGUGUGUGCAAUUAUAUCUGACAUGCAUGGAAGACAACUAGUAGUUAGAUUUAUGUAAAUGAGUGCCUGUAGGAGACGACAUAAAUAGUAGGACUGGGGUUAACUAGCAGCAACAGGUCUCAUAAACUAAAGGGAGAACACAGAUGAAAGCUACAGAAUAUGUAUCGUUUGUACUCGAGAUUAACUAGAUGGCACACAAAAGUAUUAAAGAAUAACAUAGGUAAUACUAGAAGUGGUAUAAUACUAUGAUCACUAGCCUGUGGGAUAGCAUUGGCUGAUGGAUGAUAACUAUGGAACAGCGUUACCUAAAGAACAAGUAUCUUAGCUGAACUAUGGAACAGUGUGAACUCCUGAACAAGACCCAUAAGAGAUCAGCAUGAAUAUACAGUGAAAUGUGAUGAUCUAUUUUCCAUACUUAGAUGAAUAACAAAGCCAUAAAUGUUGCACACAAGUAAGAUGAGGGUACAACCUAUCUGGCUGCCAUCCAUAGGAGUGAGCAUCAUGUGCUGACUUGUCGAUGGCCCUACAGUUGUUGUGGCUGUCCAUGUCGGGCACGCGCAUUCGAGGCAGGGAACCGUUGACUGGGGACUGUAGCUCCCUUCUGGUGUAUGCUUCCCUUGUUGGAGCAGCUGCGGUGAGUCGGAAGACGGUGUGUCUGAAGAUGCAGAUAACGCAUAAAGUUAAGAAUGACAUAUCUCUUUGAUCCGAAGAAAUACACUAAGAGAUCAACAGCAAGGUACGAGAGUGGUCACACGUCUGUUGACUGAAGACUAAAUUGGGGUCACAUGAUUUUAUUUUAUUAUGGUACUGUCCGAUCUACGCCGGAUGGCUUGAUGGCCGUCUUGGGCCUCCCGGCUGACACUAUUCGGAAUCUUCCCCGAAGAGCCAGCGACCAACAACAGAGCAGUCUGCCUCCGCCGUCCGUGGCCCCGUCCAAAACCCCGCUCCCCGCCCCACCGCACUGCCGUGGUUGCGCCGCCCCCGGGCCAAUCCACAAAGACUCCCCGUCAUCCAGAUCCGGCGGUGGCAAUACCUUCAACCCACACAACUCUAAAAGAUAGCCAUCUAAGCGCUGCUUCCGCGGCGAACUUGCGGUCCCGCACCCUUACGUUAGACACCAGCCAACCGACAGCCUAGGAGCUCCGCCGCGUCGAGGGGUGCUGCUUCCCAUUGGGAAUCGAUUGGCCCAGAAUAAAAAUUCAGACAACUGCCGCCUAAAUAAAGUGAUUUCAGAUGAGGGUGCGACCUAUCUGGCGGCAUGGUGAAGUAGGCAGGUCCAGCUGCCGAGUCGGUGAGGCCGGCGCGGUUGCGGUGGUGACCGGCGGCAGGGAAAGAGCAAUGUCGAGACGGUCGACGGCUACGGGAAAGCAGCGCCAGGACUCUGGACGGAUCCGAAGUUGGAGCCGCUCUGGCACCGUGAACAACGGCGGGGUGAAUCGGCUCCGGUAUGGUUCACGCGGCCGUCGUCGAGGCAGCACCAGCAGCACGGAGUAAGAGGCACAUGGCCCAGUGCACGACGGCAAUUGGACAGCGUCUCCGACAUUAGGGAGGAGGGCGGCUGUGAAAUUGGUGCGGUGGGGGGCGCCAUGGAGGUGGGGCUGAGGUUUCGCAGCUCGAGAGAAGGGAGCUUCUCGGGGAGAAGGUGAUUUGGCGCCCACGAGGUAUGAAUGNNNNNNNNNNNNNNNNNNNNNNNNNNNNNNNNNNNNNNNNNNNNNNNNNNNNNNNNNNNNNNNNNNNNNNNNNNNNNNNNNNNNNNNNNNNNNNNNNNNNNNNNNNNNNNNNNNNNNNNNNNNNNNNNNNNNNNNNNNNNNNNNNNNNNNNNNNNNNNNNNNNNNNNNNNNNNNNNNNNNNNNNNNNNNNNNNNNNNNNNNNNNNNNNNNNNNNNNNNNNNNNNNNNNNNNNNNNNNNNNNNNNNNNNNNNNNNNNNNNNNNNNNNNNNNNNNNNNNNNNNNNNNNNNNNNNNNNNNNNNNNNNNNNNNNNNNNNNNNNNNNNNNNNNNNNNNNGUGAGGGGGAGUUACAGUUCUACCCUUGCCUAUAGGCUUCUCGGCUUGGGUCUAUGUACUUAGGGUCGGGGAUAGUAGAGUAACUUUGCUUCUCCCCAAAUAGUGGGCAGGAGCAAUUUCGGGCGAGGAGGGCGUGUUUUGAACUAUAGUGGGCUAGCGAAUUCGGGCGAGGAGAGCGUGUUUUGAAAUAGUGGGCGCGAGCUAUUUCGGGCGAGGAGAGCGUGUUUUGCCGACCAUGGUUUAUGAAUUAUUCGGCACAUGUCAUUUCGGCCGAGGAGAAGGCGCGCUUGGAUGAAGUUACGAACCUACCCUUGAUGUACAACGGGCAAAUGAUGCGUGUCCCACAUAGGACAGUAAUUUCGUGUCUCUCAUUUAUUUGCUCGGGCGAAUUCCACUGAGCAGAGAGGAUGUUUAAUGGUUCGUUCAAAUUUUUGGAGAACGAGCAUCCAUGUCUACCUUACCAAGUCGAUUCGAAUCAAAUUUUGAAAUGUUAGCUCGCCACUUCUUUUUUAGAUGGAGAGAUGAGGCUCGGGAGUAAUGUGUUUUUACAUGCUCGUUGCUAGCGAUUUACUAUAUGACAAAUAGUUGACCCACUCAAAAACGCGAAUCAAACCCAAAAUGAAAUAUCUCGAUUCAAUGAACUAGCUCAUUCAGUAGGUCAAAAUAGUGAACUAAAUCCAAAAUCAAACACCUCAAUCGAGUAGCAUGUUGUACAGUAUUAUAGUACUCCAUGAACAUCUUGAAAGUCAAAUUAAUGAACUUGUUUGAUAUACGCAUAUAUCCGUUCAUGUGUGGAUUGUAGACAACAUGGUUUCCAAUUUAAAUAUUUGAAUGCAAGUUUAUAUCAGUCUUUGAUGCAUAAAACAUGACCUCCCCCUCUCCCGGACUCCUGUUCUCUCUCUCUCUCACUCUCUCGCCGACAAUCUUCAAUUCUGUUGCACGCAUCCGACACAAAAACCUUGUUGGUCCCUCUCCCUUUCUCUCUCUCUCUAUGUGUGUGUGUGGGCGGGGUCUUUCUAGUCCGCAUUCAUAUAUACACUAUCUAUAGGUCUCUCUCGCACACUAUGUAUGAUACUCUAGCUAGUCCAAGCUAGAUAUCGUGGGUGCACUCAUCGUACGCACACAAAUUCCUUGGCUCUUUGCCCGUAACUCUCUCACGCACCACUAUGUCAUCUCGGAGCUCUUCCCCCCCUCUCUCAAACUCUCCAUCCACCUGGGUCACACGUACACAUGCAUAUCUCACUCACACUCGAUAGGCCCAUCUAAAACUCUAUCUCUCUCCAUCGUUCUCUCUCCAUAUCACACGCACACACACACACACAAUCUUAUGCCCAGCUAGCCAAGUAUGAUGGUCUCUCACUUAAUUGUAGGCACACGCAGUCCCCCGUAUAUGUAUAUGACUAGCUAAUCUUAGUCUCCAUAACAAACAUGUGCAUGGUCUAUCUCGAUUUCUCUCAGGGCAUCUUUCUAUCGCGCACGCACUCCCUCGAUCUCCCACCCAUAUCGUCCCCUCAUGAUCUUGAGGGGAUCUCUCUAUCACAAACACACCCUCUCUCCCUCCCCAUGCGUCCAUGCCAUCCAUGUGCCCCUCUCGACCUUUUUUCCUUGUUGGCCAGACCUCUAUUGGACAUGUGCUACAGGGGUGUCUCUCUCCGUUGCAAACAAUCACACACUAGAUAUCUUCGUGUAUCUCCUCGCCUCGCUUUUCCAUCUCGGAGAUGCAUGCGUGAUAUGUUCGCAUAAGAAACGAAAAAACACACACUCUCUCUAAUUUAUCGUUUGUUGUCACUUUCUCUUUCACACACAUACUAUUUUUGCACACUUACUCAUUCUCCUUCACACGCACUUGAUCUGUCUCGACUGAGGCACUCACCUCCGUCCAUAGCACAAAUUUAUUGAAAAGUCAAACAUCACAAAGUUUGACCAUGUACGUGGAGAAUAAGAAUUACAUCUAGUACGGCAAACAUAAACCAUUAGAUUCACCAUGAGAUGUAGUUUUGUAUGAUGUAUCUUUGGUAUUGUAGAUAUAAAUACCAUUUGCGUAAACCGGAUCAAAGUUUCCAAAGUUUGACUUCUUAAAAAUUUACAUGCACUGCAUUAUCGAGCGGAUGGAAUAUCUCUUUCCCCCUCUCAGCUAUCUGACGCACCACUCAGCCUUAUCGGGGCUCCUCAAUCUCUCUCAAACUUUAUUGGUCAGUUUGGUUCGUGACCUGACUCUCAUGCCUUGAUGGUCGGUACUGCCUGGUGUGGACGUGAGAUGUAAAAUAUUUCUGCCUGGCCAGGCUUGUGUGGUGCUGAAGCAUUUGGUUCAUGCCUGGGCCAGGCAAAGCAUCAACGUCCCAUCAAUCAAUCCAUGCAUCAAUUAUUUAAUGCUAAUAUCCAUCCAUGUUCCUGUUAGCCUCGUGGCCGCACGACCAGGCACGGCCAGGCGUUCAGAAUCGGUCGCUUGGGCCAGGCUACUUGCAGUGUCUGGAGUUCAGCCAGGCUAAUUAAAGUGCAAGGGAACCCAGCCCAGGCGGGCUUUCUUUUUCACAGGGUAGCAACCAAACAAGCGUGCAUGAAAUCCAGCCACAACCCCAGGCCACGCAAAAGAUGCUCACGACACAAGCCAAACGGGCCUUAUAUCUCCUUGGUUCACACAUACACAUGUCUCGCUCGCGCUAUACAUAUAUACCCAUCCAACACUCUCCGCCCUUGUUCUCUCUCCAUGUGACACGCACCCCCCUAAGUACCAUAAUCCCUCACUCCAUCAUAGGCUCUGUUUGGAUCCAUGGGUUAGAGUUAGUUUGGGUUAGUUUGGAGUCAACUAACCCAAAAAGAUCCAAACAGGAGGGUUAGUUUAGGUUAGAUGCAUCUAACCCAUCCAAAAAAACUAACCCAUCCAAGAGGUGCUUAUUUGGGUUAGUUCUUCUCGGGACCACUAAUAAACACUUUUUUCUCUCGCUCUCCCCGCAGCAGAUCCCUCCCCACUUCCUCGAAGCUUCUCGUCCUCUCCCUCCCUCCCUCUCGCACCGCCCGUGAAGGUGCCUCGCCGUAUCCGUGCUCCAUCUAACCCUGCCAUCCAAACACCUCUUUACUUAGAGUUAGUUCAGGGUUAGAAUCUAACUCUAACCUCUAACUGAGUUAGAGUAUCCAAACAGGGCCAUAGGCGCAAGCACUCCCCCCUCCUAAGUAUGAUUAUCUCUUACUAGCCAUCAGGAACACACGUAUUGUCUCCUUCCAUCCAUACGUCUAUCUCGAUAUCUCUCGGGGCAUCUUCUAUCGCGCACACACCUUGUCACUCGAUCUCCCACCCAUGUAGUCCCAUCACGAUCUCUAGGGGAUCUCUCUAUGAAAAACAUACACUCUCUCCUCCCCAUGUCCGCAUUUUCUCCGUACGUCUCUCUCGACCUCUCUCCCUUGUUUGUCAGACCCCUCUUAGCCACGUGCUAGGGGUCUUCCUCUCUCGGUUCCAAACAACCACACACUAUCUCCUCACCUUGCCUCCGUUGUCGAAGAUGCAUGUGUGAUAUGUUUGCAUAAGACACGCACGAUUUUUCUCCACUUUUAUCGUGUGUUGUCCAUGUCUCUUUCACACACGCACACACACUUUUUUCACUCUCUCUCUCUCUCUCUCUCGUCAGGGACUCUGUCACGUCCAUAAGCAUAUGGAUGUUUUGAAAAGUCAAACCUCAGAAAAGUUUGACUAGGUAUAUGUGGAGAAAAACAUUUACAUCUGGAACAAUCAUUAGAUUCAUCACAACAUGUACUUACUUCAUAAUAUCAUUUAUAUUUGGUAUUGCCGAUAUAAGUAAUUUCUUUAUAAACUUGGUCAAAGUUUCAAAAGUUUGACUUUAAAAAAAUGUUGUAACUACAUUAUCGAACGGAGGGAGUAGCUCUUUCUCUCUCUCUCUCUGCUAUCUCUCACGGGCCUCCCCUCUCACUAGAACUCUCUAUACCGACGGAUUAUACGCUCACUAUGUCAGCGUAUAGCUCUGUUAUUGUUUAGUUGACCGGUCAACCAAUCCACAUGCUACAUUGUCAGCUUGUGUUCUGUAUCUUGGUGUGCUGGCCCAUGUGGCAGUGGGUGAAAAUAAGUAAACUAGAGGCCCAUCUGACACGCGGUGAAGGAAACAAAGUUGAAACCACUCGGGGUAGCACCCCGCACGCUAGUAAAUUGAGGGCGCAUUGAGGACAAACUUCUUGUGCGCGAAGCACACACUCGCGCACAAUUCACCACUACGCGGCGGCAUGCACAGAAGGACGCACUCGCGCACACCCAGCACACAACACACACCAGCACAUGUGUACACUGGCAUCACCACCGGUUGAGAUGGACGGCGAGGCAGCCAACAAGCAGAGGCCGCUCGAGCCAAAACCGCAUCCGGCGAGCUUGGACUUCACCAGAAGCCUUCCCGACGGCAUGCUGCUCGUCAUCAUCGGCCUCCUCCCCACCAAAUCUGUCGUGCGGACCGCCCUGCUCUCCCGGCAGUGGCGCCCCCUCUGGCGCUGCGUCCCCCUCAACCUCACCAUCCACAGCUGCCUCUGCGACGGGGAUUGCAAAUGCAUGGCCGCAGUCUCCAAGAUCCUUUCAUCGCACCCUGGGCCUGCUAGACGCCUUGACAUCCGCAUGUUCAGUACCAACUGCAAGGUCCAACCCAAGUUCGACGAGUGGUUCUUAUCCCCCGCCCUAGAUUAGCUCGAGGAGCUCAGCUUAGAAGCUAGACGAUGUCGCUCUCUGCCGUCGUCCGCGCUCCGCCUCAUGCCAACGCUGCGCCGCACCAGCUUCAGCUCCUGCUAUCUUCCCCAGAUUAAUGCUGCGCCCGCCCUUCUUCUCCCUCAACUCAAGCAGCUCGACCUCUUCAACGUUGUCAUCUCGAAGAAGGCUAUGGAGCACCUGCUCCGCAGCUGUACUGUGCUCGAGUACCUUCGUCUUGAGCAGAUCCACGGGUUCAUUAGCCUCCACAUCGCCUCGACGAAUCUCCGAUGGAUUUAUGUGUCUUGCUGGCCCCGCAACAAGACAUCAAUUGGGAAGAGAUCACUCCAGUUGUUCCACGUUAUGGUCAUUGAGAAUGCGCCUUUCCUUGAGAGAUUGCUUGUAUCGGAUCUAGAAGGUCCAACAAAAAUCAGGGUCAUUGACGUGCCGAAAUUGACAGUGUUGGUGUACUCGUCUGCCAAAUUCUCCGAACUCUUUAUUGGAUCCGUAAUCGUUCAGGUACAACACUCAUCUUCUUCUCCGUCUUCUUGAAAUUCACAUUUUUAAAUUUCUUCUUGAUGUAUUUACGACCGUCUUCCAGAAAAUGAUUCCCACAAGCUUGACCCAGUCCAUGCGCACAGUGAAGAUCUUAGCACUAAAAUCUAUCGGCCCCAAUCUGGAUCAACUUGUUGGAUUCCUUACAAGCUUUCCAUGCACGGAGAAGCUACUCAUCAAGGUGAAACUUCUUUCCUAUUAUUAAACAAUAAUCACAACAUAGCUCAAUUUUUUCGUAAUUUUCCCAAAUUACGAUGACAAGUGUAGUGUUCAAAACUACAUCUACGCACUGCACCGAAAGAAAUGUUUUUAGUAUUUUUUCUCACGUGAUCACCUGCAUCAUUUUUAUGCUGUACUACUAUAGUAGCCUAGGCUAGUCAUAGUGGAAAGUAACUUAGACUACUCCAGUAACUCUAUGGUUACCCUAAGGGCAAGUACUACCGCCGUCCUGGUUUACUCUUCCAAUUUUGUAGUAUCAAAAUUUGACCAUAGAUUUAACUGACAAAAUGUUAAUGCAUGUCACUAAGAACUAUAUCAUUGGAUUCGUAUUUGAACAUAAUUUCAAAUGGUGUAAUUUUUAGUGACAUGCAUUGGCAUUUUCUUAGGUAAAUCCGUGGUCAAAAUUUUAUACUAAAUACGAGGUAGUAUUCCCUCCGUCCCAAAAUUCUUAUCUUACAUUUGUUUAGAUACGGAUGUAUCUAACACUAAAAUGUAACUAGAUACAUCCGUAUUAAGACAAAUUUAAGACAAGAAUUUUGGGACGGAGGGAGUACAAAAGUGGGCCAUGUAGGCCAAAACACGUGCCAAAUUCACUUGUGAUGCAUUUGGCAUCGAUGCCCCUCCAUUGCUCACCUGGUGCCCCAAUCUGGAGCACCUACUUUGCUCCGGUGCCAAAUUAACUCACGCAAUGAAAAAACACUGCGUGGGAGAGAGAGAGGACUGAUGCAAUAAAAACCACUUGUUUGGGAGAGUGAGAGGCUAGUGUAGUUGGUUUGAUUGAUUUGUUUAUACAUGUGGGUCUAUGUGCACAGCGGUGCCAACUCUCUCACAUCGCGAGAGCGGUGCCAAAAUCUUUUGAUUUGACAUCGAUGUGUUUUAUGUGGCAUACUUUUGCGAAAUAUGGCAUCAGCCACAUAGUGGAAGGCAACAAAUGCCCAAGCUCUUCACGUGCUCCUAGUUAAAUGAGAGGAAACAGAAACACACAGAGAGAGAGGGAGAGAGAGAGAGAGUGAAAAAUAUCACUAGCCAGCCAACCCUAUCGUAUGAGCGAAUGAUAUUGGUACCUCUUGAUGACACGACAAUCUUAUGCAGCCAGCUGCUCUAAUAUGUUCUCUUCUUUUAUAGAUAAAAAAGACCCGAAAGUGAAAAAUGUGUUGCACUAUAACAAUCUCAUCAAAUGCCUUGAUCUCCAUCUUACAGAAAUUGAUUUGAUCGACUACCAAGGCAUCACAUCUGAGAUUAAAUUGGCCAGGUUCUUUGUUCUGGAGGCAAGUGUGCUCAAGGGGUUUGGCGUUGCACAACAAUGAAUGGCGUGCUGAUCACCGCAAGCGUCUAAGCCUAAAUGACAAAGUCUCCGCAGAAGCUGAAUUUGUUUUUGAAACAACAAGUGGCCAGAGACUCGAAAACUUAUUUGCCCAUUAGUGACUUGUCAGGUCGGUGGCUUUUAGUUUGUACGAUAACGCUGCAUCCACCUAAAGUAACGAAAGUUCUUACGUGAACUUCCUAGUAAUUCCCUCUUCCUAGGUGCAACAUUACUCCUAACAUUUGUAAUAUCAGUUUGAAACUUGUAAUAUUGCCAUGUCCUAUUCCCGCAUUUUCAAAAUCCUGCGAAUCAACAGGUCCUGAGUUGGUGAUGAUGUUGUGCCUCCCAUCUUUCACCAGUAGCCGCCGGAUCUAGAUCUGACACAUACAAACCAAGCUUCUCCAUUUUUGCAAAAAGAUGCCCGCACUUGUUCCCUAUUUACAAAAAACUCCUUGUCUCUCACAAUCAGCCUUAUCUCCUCCCCACCACAUCUAGAAGGCCGUGGAAAAAUCUGGCGCGAUGACCGCUACCAGAGCAGUCCACCCCCAAUCUUGGUGUUCCGUGCAAUGCACGGGCAUCUACGCAUGGGAAAUUAUGUCGAACAUGGCUAGUUGUAAGCAGGCUAGCUCUACAGCCAUGAUGAUAGUGACUGCAGACGGUGAGGCUGACUAUGGUAUGCCGAACACGGCGCCUAUACUCAGGUGUCAUCUCCGGCGCAGGGUCUUGUCACUUCACUAUGAUGAGCAGCACGUAAUGAUUUGACCAACGGGUAGUACAGUGCUAGUACUCCUAGGAGUACUACAUUGGUAGUACUACUACUAGUACUAGUAGCACCACCGUCUGGAUUUAGGAGUACUACAACGUCCAUCUGGAUUUGAGUAUUUGACUAGCAAUAUCUAGUAAUGCAUGUCACAAAAAAUGUACUACUCCAUCUGUAAAUAAAUACAUGGUGUUUUAUUCCUAUCGGCGAGAGAACUUAAUGUUUUCUUGCUAACUAGAGUCUUAAUAGGAUUACAUGCAAUGAACUAAACACUGCAUGUCAUGUUUGGUAGUCUCAAGUCAUUGAAAGCAUGCACGGCCCACAUCUCUCAUUGGUUGAUAUGUCACGAAAUAAGAAACCAGGAGGGAGUUAAUGCACCGCGCCUAAGUGUUUUGGGAUUAUUUGGUUUUCGUAAUGUGACUUACACAACAUUUUUGUUUACAUGCAUUAACAUUUUAUUAGUUAAAUCAAAGGUUAAAACUUGGCGCAAAAUGCAAAGGGGACCAAUAAACCAGUAAACAUCAAACUUCUCUCGUUUGGCCCCAACUAGAGGUCCGGUGAGAUGACUAUACUGCACCGGCACGGAGGGGGGCGCAGCUUCAUUGACUUACGACAACUGCCUUUGGGUGAAUGACACGUGGGCCCAGGGGGUGGCUGGCCCACCUAUCAUACAGCCAAAGGCAGGUGCAGUAGAGGGUCGAGGAGUAGUACGAAAUCCUACACACCUACGCACGCUAACCAAGGGCAAGAGUGAUCACUCGAAUCGCAAGAUCAGUUGACUAGUAGAAGCUAAGCUAGACCCAUGGAGGCGAUGAGCGCGAGCAUCAGCCGGCUGUGCCAGAUGGUCCACGAUGCCGGCCUGCGGCCCGGCAACGAGGAACGUCUCCAGGUAGUAUUGCUUGAGGCCGGCAGGGCGAGGGGCCGCUUGGACGACAACUUCGUCUCCUUGUUCGAUGAGGUCCUCGUCGGUUUCCUGGACAAGUUCACCGUCAUCAAGAAGCUCGCAGACGACUUUGAUGUAAGCCUUCAGCCGACGUGCCCAGGCUCUGCGAUGCCCGCCACCCUCAAUGGCCACUAUGGCGACAACCUCUUCGACGCACUGGUGGCCCUGCGACUGCUCGCCGUCGCGCCGGAGAAUAUCCACCAUGAGGUCGCGCUCGCCGCGCAGCGCCUGGCGCAGCAAGACACCAUGGACAUAAACACCCACGUCUACGCACAUGCAAGAGGAGGACGAUAGGACGCUGGCCUUCUUGGACUGCAGGGCAACCUUGGAUGCACUGUUCAGAAGCACGUUGAGCUCGCCGCCAACGUCGUUGCUCCUCACACGUCGGUUGGUGACCCGGCGCACUAGGGCGUGAGGAUGUCGUGGAUGGAUCCGUAUGUAUUUUUAUCUUUCCGUCAAAUCCAUGUAGUAGUAUAUGAUACUACAAUAAUUAUCUUACCUUUUGCGUCAACUUCAUAAUUUUCGUACGUACUCCAUGCAUGAACGGCGCCAAAACCAAACUUCUCAUUACUCUAGGCAAAAUCGUUAUUUUCUAUCUAUCGAUCGCGCCAUGGAGCAGAACCAAAUUUUACAAGUUACCAGUUCAAAAGGAAAAGCCUGCCGUGUUCGCGUCGCACCCCCACACGGUUGGUCCGGCACGCCGCUCAAGGGGGAAUGCGUGCGGUGUUGCAUUUUCACUUACAAGUGGGACCGUAGUUGAGCAAACCGACUAUCGGCAAACCCCCACCCCGCCCACCACGUGAUUGCUGAGAAAACAGGAGGGAGAAGAGAUGGCUGUAGCACGGACUCCAAGAAAAUUGGUGUCGGAUGGGACUCGUGUGGGUGGCGUGUGCCGUAGUGCUAGACGUGAAUGCUAGUUAUGGCCCAUGCCACCCCACUAUAUCGAGCCUAUAUCGAGGUACAGUACGUAGAACAAAUUUCCUGUAGUCCGUGCUUAGCACUCCUCCAUCUCUCUUCUCAGCCAGCCAGCGGACGCGCGGAGCCCAUCGUCUGUUUGCUCACAUGCGGUCCCACAUGUCAGUGAAAACGCAAGCGGACCCACUGAACCUGCACAUCUUUCACCUCGACGUGUUGGUGAUGAAAAACAAAUCCAAGAAAGAUCUUCGGUGGCCGCUUUUGGAGUUACUCAAGAGUAGUAAGAUUCUAUUUACACUUUAACCCAAGAUGCACAUCUCGUGGCUUCAACUUAUCAUCUACCACUCUAGUUUCUUUCAUGACACGACCUGGAUGCUAGAUGUUCCACGUGUCGGCAAAAGGAGGAAAAACCCGACCAAAUCUUCGGUUGUGCUCUCGGAUUAGACUAGUUGUGCUAACUUAAAAAUUUUAUUGUGUACUCCCUCCGUUCCAAAAUACAUGACUUCCAUUUGUCCAAAAAUGGAUGUGCCUAUAUACUAAAACAUGUCUAGAUACAUAUAUAUUUUGACAAAUAGAAGGCAUGCAUUGUGUAACGGAGGGAGUAGAAUGGAUGCAAGUUUUUGUAUUGGGAAGAAGAGUACAUCCAUAUAUUGAUCGAGCGCAAUUUAGUAGACGUUCUAUCACUUUUAGCUAGCACAGAGGCUAUAGAUGAGAUUAGUGCACUUGUUGAUACUCCUACUUGGUGUGCGUGUUGCUGCUUAGACGUAGAGAAAAACGGACCGGAGGGAGUACUAGAAUAGAGGCUAGACAUGAGACUAGAUGCGAGGAAGCAAUGUCUACUUCUUUACACUCGAAGAAGAAAGAAGCACGCAAGAUCGAGCCUCCGCAGAUCAACAAUGAAUGCAUCGAGAAGGCACUAAUCCAACUUACAGGAGUAGUAAAAUGUAUUCUUGUGGUUCUUGUUUUGUUUGGUCUUGCUUUUCUAGUCAAAAUUAUCGUUGGAGUUCGUGCAAAAUGGAGGUCCAUUUGGGGUCGUGCGUUGCAGUUGGCCUUACAAGUGGGACCGCAGUUAAGGAACCGACUAUCGGCAAACCCCCACCUCGCCCGCCGCGCGAUGGCUGAGUUAGAGAAACGAUGAGGUUGAAGAGAUUGCUCUAGCACGGACUCCAAGAAAUAUGAUGUCAGAUGGAAGUCGUGCUGGUGGCGUGUGCCGUACUCCUGGACGUGAAUGCUUGUUCUGGCCCAUGCCACCCUACUACUCCUACUAGUUAGUACUAUAUAGUACUACUAGUAUCGAGGAUUUGAGGUGCUGGUUAUGUAGUACAGUAUGGCUACAGUAAAAACACCCGCACGACGCGCAAAGCAUGUGAAGCUAGUACAAAUAGUGUACUACUAUUGUUGAUUGGCCCCAUCCGAUAACCUGUUGCAAUGCAGGUACAAUUAUGUAUUCGGAAAAUAUUUUUUUGCCUCGUCGCACCACUCACUCACAGAAGCAACUCAAAAGCCAUUCAUAAAUUUAGUAAGUUUAUCACAGGCAUAUAAUUUUAUUACAUACAACAGGUCAUCAACCCACAUCGACAACGAGGAUACAUUAUAAAUACUAAAGUUUUCACCACACAACAAAUAUCAAGCGAUGAAAUGAACUUAAAAUCAACCAUUCCUCGGCGUUGGAAAUGCUUGCUUUGAACCACAAGUGAUUCUCUGGGACGGGCCAUCCAUUGUCGAUCUCGAGACCAACGCAGGACUGAUCAUCCAGGCUGAAGCGGCCUACUAUAUCAGUACCAGGGUAGGGAACCACCCAAAUGUCCGAGGUAUAGACAUAGUUGCUUCUCAUAAAUGGUAGUAACAUUGUGUCAACAGUAGUUGGAUCGCCUUUCACCAUCAUUGGAUAGUUUUGUCCAAGGAAGAGCGAGUUUUCUCCAAGACUAUCAAUUCUGUACCAGGGAGAAGAAGUUGGCGCUAGCACACUAGUAUCCAUCCCGAAUACCAUGCAAUGGGUGUUGGAAUAGGUCCGGAGAGUGCAACCAUGGGAGACUACACCUGCUUCCUUAGCAGUAACAUCAUCAGUGGGCUGUAUACACACGAGAAGAGGUGAUCCAUCGGAAUUAGUUGCCAGGCGCCAAAUAGUAUAUGGGCGCUGCUCGUCCUCAUGCUCGUGAUCAUCACCAUCAUCACCUCCCCCUUGGUUAUAAAAAUCUUCAAGUAUAGGUGGUGGAAUGUUCACAGGACCUUGGAAACACAAGAAGAAGGUUAAUUAGUAAGGCUGGCCAUAGUGGGGGUAGCAUACUACCUCUGUCCUGGUUUAUAGGUCCCUUUUAUAGUUUGUGCCAAAUUUUGACUAAAGAUUUAACUAACAAAAUGUUAAUGCAUGUCAUGAAAAAAAUAUCUCAUUGGAUUCGUAUUUGAACAUAGUUUUGAAAAAUAUAAUGUUUGGUGACAUGCGUGAACAUUUUCUUAGUUUAAUCUAUGGUCAAAAUUUGGCACGAAAUACAAUGGGGACCAAUAAACCCGGACAGAGGUAGUAAGUAGUAUCAUGCACUUGGGACUCGCAAACAUGCUUAUGUGGCAGGCAAUUAAGGAAGAGAGAGAUGGUUAUAGUAACAUAGGUAGAUACCGUAACAUAAUAAAUGUGAUGCUACUAUGUGUCAUGCAUGGCAAUAAAUGAGACCACCUAUGAUACUAAUCUAAGGUACUAUGCACUAUAGAGGUAGUAACAUAAACUAGUAACAUAUGCAUGUUACUAGUCUAAGUUACUCCCCACUAUGACCAGCCUUGCUAACCCGCAUGCAUGUGGAUGAAACAAUUAUAAUUAUGGUGGCAGACAAAAAUACCGAAACAACGAGGAUGCCAUGCAAAAACAGUGCCACGAGUGGUGGCAGCAAACACAAGGCCCUCGUAUUGAAUUGCAUCACAAUACUCAUCCGUGUACAGAAACUGAUUUUUGAGAAAUAUCCAUCCAGUCAAACCACUGACGACGGCAACAAGCUUGUCGAAGAUAGCAACAACUUCAUAGUUGUUGUAAUUCCAAGAGCGGUUGGGGACUCGAGAAAUUGCUAUCUUCCGUAGAAGACAGUCACCAUGAUUGUAUUUGAACGUGCGUACAAUACCGGUGUGCUCAACCUCUGGGCAGUCUGCUGAGAUUUUUGGAAGUGGAACCCGGUCACGAGUGUACACAUUCACAAGUUCCCACUCGCAGUUGGACCCAAUGUAAACAACCCAAUCUCCAUUUUCGCCUGCCCAAGCCUUGCCCUCAAGCGAUGGCAUCUUAACAUCAUACGUAUCAUUAUCAAGCGGCAUCAACUUGCACAGGGCGAGGCCUCCGUCGUGACGGCGCCAGUCAUCAGGGUCACGGCGAAGAAGAUAGGGGAGAUCAAACCGCUCCUUGACUCUUGGGUUCCUUGUAAUGAUGUUAUUAGUUGAGUCGAGAAUGGGCUUGAACGAACCUGCAUGCUAGCCGAGGUGAUGACGUCGCACCGAUCAAUGAGUUCCUCCACCACGUCACCUUUCAGAUUGGGGCAAGAAUAAUGGGGUCGUUUCCGUCCUGUUCCCUCCAUGGAUAAGACGAUCGAACAAUGGCAGAAGAAAGGGUGAAGGGCUGAAGGAAAAUGGAGGAGGGAGAGGAAGAGCGUGCGACAGCAGUUCCAAAUCUAGAGGGAAAGGCGAAGAGUCGAUGGACGGUUGCCAGUUUUGCCACGGUUCACGAAGGGGCGCCCCGACCUACACGUCGGUUUUGAAAUACUCCUACUACUCGCCGUCGUCUCACUGAUAUGUGGAACGGGACCACAUGUCAACGAGACAUGGUGUGUAAUUUCUCGUGCAAAAUGCGAUCUGGCCGCGUUGGCCCGAGGUGCCGCAUUAGUUAUCGGCCUUUCUUUUUAAUGGCGCGCCAUUCAGUUUUGAAGCACGACUAACUGGUACUGUACACAGAGAAAAUAUAAACUACUCUACCACUACUCCACCUCCAGUACUAGUAGUAUAAAGAAGAUAUAUAGGCUGGAGCUUCAGUGCUUUCUUGCCAAGGGCUGCACACUUGCUUCUCACACUACCACCCUCUCUCCAGAUCUAAAAAAGACAGACCCUCUCUCCCUCCUCAGCGGUGGCCACAGAUCCGCCGGGGAAGAAAAGGACAUGCAGCGUUGACGCACUCGUCGUCGGCGAGUGAGGUCACGCACUGAUGACAAGGUCGUCCUCUCAGACCUAGCGCCCGCGCGGGAUCGCUGCCGUAGUGUGUGCGGAGGAUGACGACCACGAGCGAAGCCACUUCCCGCCGACCCUCAAGUAUGCUACCUCUUUUCGAACCAUACCCUUGUUUUAUUGCCCCAUCUGCCACGUCGUUGCAUGUGGAUCUUUUUCUACUCCACCAUCUUCCCAAUUUGCUAUCCUCUGCUCUGCUGGCCACGCAGACGAAAACCAUAAUUUGCACUAUUAAAGGAAACCCUACUUCAUGCAGACUAAUGCAUGUCUGGGUUGAAUAAGGAAAGGAAGGGAUACUGUACUGUCCAAGAGAGUAGGCAUCGAACCCGCAUCUAGGUUGAAAAGGGGAAAAUCAGUAGCUAAGGAACGAGUCUCGUGUCUCUUGGUUGAAGAAGGGUAGAAAGGCAUGACAACGCAAUAGAGAAUGACCAGGUCGAUCAGUUUGUUGUCCUCACAUAGGAAAAAGGUGGCUAAAGAGAACAAAAAUGGGAUGUAAUCCACAUAUGCUGCAUGGAUAUUCGUUGCUCUGGGCAACCAUACCUCCCUCACCACUCUGCGUUCGUGGAGGUACAUCAAACUGGUGCGCCCACUGUCCGAAUGGGCCUCCCAUGCUCUUAUUGCUACUUUUUUUGCUGUUAGUAUAACGCCAGCAGUCAAGUCAAGCAAUGCUACUGCUAAAGUGAUGCCACAUUUAACUAAUGCCGCUCUCAGUCUAAUGCCACAGAUAAAUUUAAGCAGUGCUAUUUAAUGUCACUGGAUCAUUUCAGGGUUAGCUGUUGAUUGUGGAUGUAUUAAAGAUUUUUUAGCUAAGGCAUUCUAAUGCUGUUGCACAGCUAGUAUACCAAUGAUGAAACUUGUUACUACCUUCAGAUUUUUGCACUGUUAAUGCUUAUAGAUUACAUACCUCACUUUCAUGAGAUAAGUUAAUUUUUUUUGUACAGUGUUACCAAAAUGCCAAGGCGCUGAUGCCAUUUUAUUUUGGUUAAACUACACUGACAAUUAUGAAGACAAGAGGAAAGGUCAAGAGUGGGCACCUCCUCCUCCGGCUGUUCUCUUGAUUAUCAAGAGGAAAGAUCAAGUUUUUAUGUUUGAUCAAUUAUCAAGAUUGGGAUAGAAAUUUUUAAGGUCCCCCCGAGUUCGAAAUGAUAUUUACCUUGGAGGUACAUGGUUUGCAAUUUUUUUAUACUGUCAUUAGUUAAUAAUGCUAGUUACCUUCAGACUUUUGUAUUUGGUUUAAUGCUCAUGCACAGCUAGUAUACCAAUGCUGAAACUUGUUACCUUUACAUUUUGUAUUGUUAAUUCUUAUAGAAACCUUCCGGUGCUAGAGUUUAUUGAAAUCUGUUCAGUAAAACCAUUGUACUAUACCCUGUAAUAAACUAACUACUCUACUAUUGCACUAGCCACUGGAUUAGUGUAUAUUUGUAGUAUUCGAAUGGUGUUGCAUUAGCGUAUGGACAUAAAUAAAGUGUGGCAAGCUUUCCCAGAUAUGUGCUCAAGAAAACUACUACCUGAUUUUCUAAAUACUAGACGUUUGGGUACUUUAAAUUGAACCGUGAAAACGCCUUAUAUUAAGGAACAGAGGGUGUAGAGUUCACACAAAUUAUCCUGGUAAAGCUAGUCACACCUUUGUUAAAAUUAAUGUUCAUUAUGUUAUCGGAGGAGGUCUGUAUGUUUGUCUCUAAUGCCUGUCUACUACAUACCCGACAUCAUGAUGUAAUGUUAAGUCAUUUCCUUUUGUACAGUGUAACUAAAUUGUCAAGGUGGUGAUGGCAUUUUAUUUUAGUAGAACUGCACAAAAUUUGCUUAAAAUAAGAGGAAAGGUCAGGAAUGGCUCAGUUUUUCAGAAAAAAACUAUGUAUGCCUUCCCGACAUCAGCCGCUGUUGCUUUAUUUAUUCCUUCAAACAGGUGGUUAGAAACACUCUUGCUACCUUUUCCCAUUAAGAAAUUGGAAUGCUUAUAUUUGUGAGUAUAUGCUUCAACUAGUGCCACUUCUAUAGUAAUCACACUUUCAAUAUCUAUGCAAACAGGGAUGCUCGAUUUUAGUGGAGCUGCACAAAAAGUCCAACUGGUUCAACAUUAGGAGCAUGUUUUUUUCCAAACCUUUAUAUCCAAUUGGUGGCACUAUGAGCUGUUCAUUACGAAGGUACAUGGUUUGCUACUAUCUUGCUACUCUUUUUGUACUGUCAUUAGAUAGUAGUACUAGUGGUUUGCAUGUGAAUUUAUUGGCAGGGUGGACCUACAUUGGAGGUGCAGGACAGGAUUCAAUGAUUGGAUGCUCAAUUUCGGUUGUAUCGAUUUCACCUCUUCCAUCACUGCAAACAUGGUGUGGUAUAUGUUUACUAGCUGCUUGAUAUUUGUGCAGACAGAGAUGUCUGCCCGUUGCUAUUUGGCAAACAAACAAAGUGUUCGCAAUUUUGGUUGAACUGCACAAGAGAAUAGCAUAGUCACUGCAUGCAGUGCCAUUUGAAAAUAGACACAAAGAUUGGAUAGUCACUUCAUGGACUGCAGAAAAGUAGUACUGUACUAUUUACUGGCCAACAGUUGGUGCUUCAUUGCUUUGGUCUAAUUAUACAAUGGGCAUCAUUUUCCCUAAGUUAAAGUUUGUAUUCUGAAAAUAGUCUCGCAGUGUGAUCGAGAGAAGACCAAAUCAUAUUGCAGUGGAUGUUCCUCCAUCAUGUGUGGUUCAUUAUCAUGGUUCCAGCUGUUGGUUAAACCACUUACGUUUGCAAGAGGAAUUGUAGACUUCACAAACAAAUUUGUCUUUCAAUAUGUACUGAAUGUUGGCCAAGAGAAGCAUCCAUGUUAGUAGGAAGAACAAAUAUUUUUUCUAGAUCUUUGCUUUUGGAGCUACAUAUUUGUAUAUGAUGUGUGAAUCAUUGAGAUGCAUUAACAUGUUGAUAUUAUGUAUGGGAAUCAUACUAGUUAGUUUUAGUUGCGACGCAAGAUCUGAACUGGCUGAUCUUUGCUUUUGGAGCUACAUAUUUGUAUAUGAUCUGUGAAUCAUCGAGAUGCAUUAACAGUUACUUAUUUCUGUUCGCUCAGUGUUUACAAGUUACUAAUCGAUCACUAGCUAGCCUACAAAUGCGCACCUGGCAGUUUUAUUUGCGACGCAAGAUGCGAAGUGGCAGUUUUUUGAAUAAAAACGCCUACCUCUAAAGAAACUGACUAGCUACACUAUCGAUCCUACACGGAUAAAAAUGCCUACCUCUGAAGAAACUGACAAGCUACACUAUCGAUCCUACACGGAUAAAUAGCAUAUCACGCACGUACUACCUCCUUUCCGGUUUGCAGGGCUCAAUUCAAGAAACGACCUACUCGAUCCUACACGAAUAAAUAGCGGAUCACGCACGUACUAGUACCUCCUUUCCGGAUUGCAGGGCUUAACUCAAACCUCUCACCAACCAAGGUACUCCCUCCGUCCGGGUUUAUUAGUCUCGUGAGCAAAGCAGCAAGACCAAGGCAUGGCAAUAAUUAACGGCAUGCAGAAGUUUAAGCCUAAUUAAUUCCAGCGAUUUAAGUGGCUGCAUGCGUGCCCUCGGCUGCGACUCGUUGCAUGCUGCUUCGCGUACUGCCUGCGAGCGAUUCUGAGUGCCUGCAUGCAGCCGACCAUAAUUAAGGCAGCUAACUGAUGCGAAAAAAGACAUGCUUUAAUUAUUGCGGGCUUUUUAAAUCCGUGAAAUCAUUAUUGACAAGGAGGGAGAUGAUUCGAGUGCACUCGUCUGACCGCCAUGCCAGCGUGCGACCCAGACGGGACAGGACGACACAGUCAUAAUUUCAGUUUCCCUUGUUUUCCACGGCAAGCUGGCGUGCUAAGCCAUUAUGCAUUGAAUUCCGAGGACCGUCACACUACCUUCCCCCUAUAAGUACUGUUUCCCGGCAUUCUCCAGUGCCACCGUGACCCAACUCGCCAUAUCCUCAUAAGCCCCCACCAGCCCGACGUUGCUCGUCACGUCCGCCAUGCCCCCGCCCGUCCGCGGUAGGCGACGCCGGAGGCGGUCACCGCCGGAACUAGUGUUCGGUUUUCGCCGGAAGGCAGACGGAGGGAGGAGGCAUUCUAUCUGUCUUUAGAUGGCAAUGCACAGAUCGAGGAGUUGUUGGAGCACUACCGCAUGGCAAAGGAGCAGGAGUUGUUGGAGCGCGACCUCCUGGCAGAGGAGCAGCGUAACACCGAUUUGCGCCGCCAGCGGGAUAUGGAGCAACAGCGCACCGAUGCUCUGAGUCGCGAGCAGAGCGCCCGCAACUGGGCCGACUAUGUGGAGGCCGGCGCCCGACGAAUAGCCCUGGAGGCUGUCGGGCACGCACGCGUUCACGACACCGAUUUUUACUACCAGCUCGUCAAGUGGGUUCCCCGCUUGGAAGUCGAAGCUUCGGUGGACCAUGCCGACAUGGAAAGGGCCAACGCGCGCGAGAAACACGCCAUAUCGCACCUCUGGCAAGUCCGAGGCGAGGCGCAGAACGCCGGUGCCGGUGUUUAGCGUGUACCGCCGGCAUCGUCUAGUUAUCUAAGAGUAAGUUAGUACUUGUCUAGUGGGAGUAGAUAGUUAACUUGGCUAUGAUGGUUGUCAACGUGGAAGUUCAGUACUCUAUAUGUGGAUCAGACCGGUUACUUUGCUCUGAAUGUUGAACUUUCCGUUUGAUCGUAUGGACUGGGCUGUUAUUUUUUUAAAUGGGUUGUAUUUGUCCUCCACGGGUUUAGAGGCUGACUUGUGGGCCUAGCAAGUUGACGCAUACACAACCAGGAGAUGAUUGUACGUAGAGAGGAUGACAGCAGGGACCCGCCAAGGUCAUGGCAGUACGCAAGCAAGUGCCUCCUUAUUUCAAGCCAAUAAAAAAAUGGCUCCCAGUGGAUUUCUGACAUCUGGGUCCCAUGCCAUUGUCAACGUAGUCAAUAAACGAGAGAAUUGCACAACGAGCGGCUGACACCAGGGACCCAUCAGCUCGCCCAGUUAUUUUUGUUUUGGGUUAAUUUGAUAAAUGCCUCCGAGAAAUGCCACUGCAAUUUCCAAACUUUGAAAAAUGCCAUUUCAUGCCAUUUCUAGUGGCAUUUUUUGAAGUCUGGAGUGGCAUUUUUCAAAGUUUGCAAACUGCAGUGGCAUUUUUCAAAGUUUGCAAAAAUUGCAGUGGCAUUUUUCAAAGUUUGGAAAUUGCAGUGGCAUUUUUAUGAAUCGCCAUAAUUGGAGUGGCAUUUAUCUAAUAUGUUUUUGAGACGGAAGCAGGGUGUCAACUGGGCUGUGCGGGACACUCUGGCCUGUCUAGACAGCCUUUUCUUUUAUGUUUACCACAGACCAGCCCAGUAGUUUUUUUUCUUUUUGAAAAUGGCUAGCCAAGUUUUUUUGUGAUUUGUCAAGUAAGUCACUUUAUCACGCCUGUUGGGCUAGACGAGGAGAGCUUCAUUCGGCUGGCCGAGAAAAUGGCCUAUCAGUAAUGAGAAAUGGGUUGUACAUUUUUAAAACACAUCAAACCGGCAAUUAGUUUCAAAUAUCUUUUUUUCAUUUCGAGAUUUUCAAUUGCAUUGAUUUUUAUGCAUGGACAAUUUAUUGGAUUUUAUAUUGAUAUACAUUUAUUUUUAAAAUCAGUCUGAAUGUGACUCGAAAUUUCGGGAUUAAAAACAGUUCAAACCGCACCGACAUAUGCAAAAUUUCGUAUAAUUUUUUAACCGUGGCCACAAUGUGGGCUAUAAUGCUAACAAAAAGAAUAUGGGCUAAAAAACACGUAAGAAUUAGCAAAUGGGCUGUAAACUAUUUGAAAUAAUGGCAGAUGGGCUGUAUGUUGUUUUCCACAGAUUUGAGGCUUUCCACAGAUGGCCUGUAUAAUGUUGGAUGUCCAUCCAACGGCCAUCGUGCUUCUUCAAUCUCUGCUCUUCCUGCUCUAGCCGCUCAAACAAGCGCCGGCGGGACUGCCUGCUCCCUCCUCCCCGCGGCCGGCUGUGCUGCCGCGCAGGCCUCACCGCCCCACCGUACUCCCAUCGCUGGCCUAGUUAUACCUCUACUCACCCUCAGUCCCACACAUGCUGUUAUUCUACGGCGACGGCAGAUGAACCAGUAAACCCUCGUACUCCUCCGCGUGGGAAAUAACCGUCGAGUAUUCCCUGGCUCCGUGUCGUUCCCUUCCUAGGCCUCGCCGUCGUCCACUGCCCUGGUACUCUCGGCGCGGCCUGGUCAACGUGGUCAAUGAAUGACAUCCAUCGGAAGUGGACUAUACGUGGAGAGGCUGACAGCUGGGUCCACGGCCGCAUGCAAGGAAAUGCCUCCUUAUUACGGGCAAAAUAAUGAUUCCUCCACCUGACAUCUGGGACCCACCGAAAGGGCCUCUGUAUUUCGCGAAAAAAACGUUACCGCCGCUGACAGCUCGGACCCACCAGCUAUAUCUUCGCGCGCAAGGAAGUGCCUCCUUAUUACGCCCAAAAAAAGAAUACUCCCCCUGCUAGCUGGGACCCAGUAUAGUGGGCCUACUAACUUGACGGGGACGAAGGGCUUUGUCAACUUAGUCAAUAUGCACGAUUCUAGCUCGACUAACCGUACAAUGUCCAUCCAACGGACGUAGUGCUUCUUCAACCUCUGGUCUUCUUGCUCCAGCCGCCCAAAGCAGCGCCGGUCGUGCCGCCUGCUCCUGCCUCCCGUGGCCGGCUGUGCUGCCGCGGAGGCCUCACCGCCCCCAUACUACUCCCACCGCUGGCCAGGCCAUCCCUCCACUCCACUCACCCACACCCCCUGUUAUUUUGCGGCAACGGCAGCGCAGCCGAACCAGUGAACCCUCGUACUCCUCUCCGAGUGGGCAUCCACUGCCGCAUCUUCCCCGGCUCCGUGUCGUCCCCUUCCUAGGAUUCACCAUCGUCCAUCGCCGUAGUGCUCUAGGCGCGACAUGGUCAAUGAGGUCAACGACCGAAUUCCAUCGGAAGAAUACUGUAUGUGGAGAGGCUGACAGCUGGGUCCAUGGCAGCCACAAGGAAGUGCCUCCUUAUUACGCGGAAAAUAAUUAUUCCUCCACCUGACAGCAGGGAACCACCGGACGGGCCACCAGUAUUUCACGAAAAAAACGUUUGCCCCUGACUGCUGGGACCCACCCGACGGGCCACUGUAUUUCGCGAAAAAAACGUUCCCCCUGAUAUCAGCUCGGACCCACCGGAAGUGCCUCCUUAUUACGCACAAAAAAAUGAAUACCCCCCAGCUAGCUGGGACCCACCUUGGUGGGAGGCUUACUUGUGGGCCUACUAAGUUGACGGGGACGGAGGGCUUUGUCAACUUAGUCAAUAUAAAUGAUUCUAGGUCCAGUGACCGUAUGAUGUCCAUCCAACGGCCGUAGUGCUUCUUCAACCUCUGGUCUUCUUGCUCCAGCCACCCAAAGCAGCGCCAGUCGUGCCGCAUGCUCCUGCCUCCCGUGGCCGGAUGUGCUGCCGCGGAGGCCUUACCGCCACCUACUAUUCCCACCGCUGGCCAGGCCCUACGGCGACGGCAGCGUCACACCGCAACCGAACCAGUGAAACCUCGUACUCCUCUCAGCGCGGGCUUCCACUGCCGCGUCUUCCCCGGCUCCCCGUCGUCCCCUUCCUAGGCCUUGCCGUCGUUCACCGCCCUGGUGCUCUCGGCGCGGCGUGGUCAACGUGGUCAAGGAACGAUUUCCAUCGGACGUGGACUGUAUGUGGAGAGGCUGACAGCUGGGUCCUCGGCCGCAGCAAGGAAGUGCCUCCUUAUUACGCGGAAAAUAAUUAUUCCUCCACCUGACAGCGGGGACCCACCGGACGGGCCACCGUAUUUUGCGAAAAAACGUUUCCCGCCUGACUGCUGGGACCACCAGCUACACCUUCGCACGCAAGGAAGUGCGUCCGGGCAAGUAAAAAAACGAUUCGCCCCUCUGACUGCUGGGACCCACCAGCUACAUUUUCGCACGCAAGGAAGUGCCUGACAGUCGGGACCCACCUGGUCGAAGCGUACGUAGCAUUGUCAUUCUGGUCGCGAACGUGUACGUACAUACUGGUCGUUGUAGAGGCGCGCACGUGUCAUAGUAGAGGCGCGAACGUAGCAUGUACACGUACAUACAGCGGCGAGGGUGCAAGAAAGAAAAUACGGCCAUGUAUGUGUAUAUAUGGGCGGGGUCUCGAAUGCCUAGUCGCGCAUACGUACGGCGAGGGCUCGUGUUCAUGGGGAGGCAACGAAAUGUGUCGCGUUCAUGGGGAGGCAGCGGAAUGCGUCGUGUUCAUCGGGAGGCAACGGAAUGUGUCGUGUUCAUGGGGAUGCAACAGAAUGCGUUGUGUUCAUCGGGAGGCAACGGAACGCGUGGGAGCCAACCGGCUUGGACGGAACAGGCAAUGGAAACAAGGCCUGGCGUACCGCACAACGGAGGAAACGGACCUCCUAUGGUCGAAACGGGGGUCCUGUUGAUCGGGAGGGGUGUGGCGUACUGCAAAACGGAGGAAACAGACCUCCUACGAUCGAAAAGGGGUCCUGUUGAUCGGGAGGGGUGUGGCGUACCGCAAAACGGACGAAACGGACUUGUGUUGGAGCGCUACGGUCGAAAAGGGGGUCCUGUUCAUCGGNNNNNNNNNNNNNNNNNNNNNNNNNNNNNNNNNNNNNNNNNNNNNNNNNNNNNNNNNNNNNNNNNNNNNNNNNNNNNNNNNNNNNNNNNNNNNNNNNNNNNNNNNNNNNNNNNNNNNNNNNNNNNNNNNNNNNNNNNNNNNNNNNNNNNNNNNNNNNNNNNNNNNNNNNNNNNNNNNNNNNNNNNNNNNNNNNNNNNNNNNNNNNNNNNNNNNNNNNNNNNNNNNNNNNNNNNNNNNNNNNNNNNNNNNNNNNNNNNNNNNNNNNNNNNNNNNNNNNNNNNNNNNNNNNNNNNNNNNNNNNNNNNNNNNNNCAAAACGGGACUCCACGGGAUACUGUUCAUCUCCACCGUCGACCUCCUCUAGCCUCCACGAGCUCCUGUUCAUCCAGCCUCCACCAUGCGCUACUCCACCGGCUACUGUUCAACCACCCCUCCACGACCACCCCUCCACCGUCUACUGUUCAUCCAGCCCUCCACACCACGGGGUCCUGUUCAACCACCCCUCCACGGCCACCCCUCCAUCAUCUACUAUUCAUCCAGCCCUCCACACCACGGGUUCCUGUUCAUCCAGAGGCAACGCCACCGCUCACUGUUCAUCCAACCCCUCCCCCCCGUAACACUCACUGUUCAUCCCAGAGGCAACAUCGAUCGGCUUCAGUUAGCAGCAGUAGCGAAGGAAUCGCUCCAUCGGGUUCAGUUAACAGCCAUCGAUCGAUCGCUCGGGUUCAGUAACGUGUAGCCUGCAGUGCAAUCGCUUGGGUUCAGUUAGAGACCAACUCCUCGCUCGACUUCAGUUAGAGCCAACGCCUCGCACAAACGCGCAUACGUACGAGAGAAACGCGCAUCGCUCUGCCUCCGACCUCCCACCGUAACCGGCAACUCCCCGAAAUUUUCCUCCCCCUCGCUUCUACCAUGGUUUUUUCCGUCAUGGACGGCCCAAAGAAUAUCAUGCAGCUGCGUCUCCGGCCCGCCCACGAUGAAAAGCCCAUUUUCUGUCAUGAUUUUUUGUCAUAGAAGUAGGAGCCCACCACGUCUAUGAUGAUACCGGGUUUUGUCACAAUUAUCGUCAUAGAAGUGUCAUAUGUAUGACAGAUUUUUUUUUCGUUCGGCCCAAAAUGUCACGGAUGUGUCUUUUUUUUAUAGUGAUGUCGUGGUGGUGGCAUGUGCCAUACUCCUGGACGUGAAUGCUUGUUCUGGCCCAUGCCACCCUACUACUCCUACUACUUACUAUAUAGUACUAGUAUCAAGGAUUCGAGGUGCUGGUUACAUACAGCAAACACAUUAGCAUAUGGCUACAGUAAAAACACCCGCCCAAUGCGCGAAGCAUGUGAAGCUAGUACAAAUAGUGUACUACUAUUGUUGAUUGGCCUCACCCAAUAACCUGUUGCAAUGCACAUACAAUUAUGUAUUCGUAAAAUAUUUUUUUGCCUCGUCCCACCACUCACUCAGAGAAGCGACUUGAAAGCCAUUCAUAAAUUUAGUAAGUUUAUCACAGGCAUAUCAUUUUAUUACAUACAACAGGUCAUCAACCCACAUCGACAACGAGGAUACAUUAUAAAUACUAAAGUUUUCAUCACACAACAAAUAACAAGCGAUGAAAUGAACUUCAACUCAACCAUUCCUCGGUGUCGGAAAUGCUUGCUUUGAACCACAAGUGAUUCUCUGGGACGGGCCAUCCAUUGUCGAUCUCGAGACCAACAAAGGACUGAACAUCCAGGCUGAAGCGGCCUACUAUAUCAGUACCAGGGUAGGGAACCACCCAAAUGUCCGAGGGAUAGACACAGUUGCUUCUCAUAAAUGGUAGUAACAUUGUGUCAACAGUAGUUGGAUCGCCUUUCACCAUCAUUGGAUAGUUUUGUCCAAGGAAGAGCGAGUUUUCUCCAAGACUAUCAAUUAUGUACCAGGGAGAAGGAGUUGGCGCUAGCACACUAGUAUCCAUCCCGAAUACCAUGCAACGGGUGUUGGAAUAGGUCCGGAGAGUGCGACCAUGGGAGACUACACCUGCUUCCUUAGUAGUAACAUCAUCAGUGGGUUGUAUACAGACAAGAAGAGGUGAUCUAUUGGAAUUAGUUGCCAGGCGCCACAGAGUAUAUGGGCGCUGUUCGUCCUCAUGCUCGUGAUCAUCACCAUCGUCAUCUCCCCCUUGGUUAUAAUUUUUUUCAAGUAUAGGUGGUGGAAUGUUCAUAGGACCUUGGAAACACAAGAAGAAGGUUAAUUAGUAACGGGAAACUUGCUAACCCGCAUGCAUGUGGAUGAAACAAUUAUAAUUACGGUGGAAGACAAACGUACCGAAAGCAUAAGGAUUCCAUGCAAAAAUAGUGCCACGAGUGGUGGCAGCAAACACAAGGCCCUCGUAUUGAAUUGCAUCACAAUACUCAUCCGUGUACAUAAACUAAUUUUUGAGGAAUAUCCAUCCAGUCGAACCACGAAGGACGGCAUCAAGCUUGUCGAAGAUAGCAACAACUUCAUAGUUGUUGUAAUUCCAAGAGCGGUUGGGAACUCGACAAAUUGCUAUCUUCCAUAGAAGAAAAUCACCAUGAUCGUAUUUGAACGUGCGUACAAUACCGCUGUGCUGAACCUCUGGGCAGUCUGCUGAGAUUUUUGGAAGUGGAACCUGGUCACGAGUGUACACAUUCACAAGUUCCCACUCGCAGUUGGACCCAAUGUAAAUAAUUCAAUCUCCAUUUGCGCCUGCCCAAGCCUUACCCUCAAGCGAUGGCAACUUAACAUCAUACGUAUCAUUAUCAAGCGACAUCAACUUGCACAAGGCGAGGCCUCCCUCGUCCUCGCGCCAGUUAUCAGGGUCACGACGAAGAAGAUAGGGGAGAUCAAACCGCUCCUUGACUCUUGGGUUCCUUGUAAUGAUGUUAUUAGUUGAGUCGAGAAUGGGCUUGAACGAACCUACCAUGCUAGCCGAGGUGAUGACGUCGCACCAAUCAAUGAGUUCCUCCACCGCGUCAUCUUUCAGAUCGGGGCAAGAAUAACGGGGUCGUUUCUGACCUGCUCCCUCCAUGGAGAAGAGGAUCGAACAAUGGCAGAAGGAAGUGUGAAGGGCUGAAGGAAAAUGGAGGUGGGAGAGGAAGAGCGUGCGGCAUUAGUUUCAAAUCGAGAGGGAAAGGUGAAGAGUCGGUGGACGGUUGCCAGUUUGCCACGGUUCAUGAAGAGGCGCCCCGCCCACACGUCCGUUCGGAAAUUCUAGUAGAAAAGGACUCGCCGUCGUGUCACUGAUAUGUUGGAACGAGACCACAUGUCAACGAAACAUGGUGUGUAAUUUCUCGUGCAAAAUGCGAUCUGGCCGCGUUGGCCCGUGGUGCCGCAUUAGUUAUCGACCUUUAUUUUUUUAAUGGAGUGCCGUUCAGUUUUGAAGCACGAGUAAAUGGUACUGUACGCAGAGAACAUAUAAACUACUCUACCACUACUCCAGCUCCAGUACUAGUAGUAUAAAAAAGAUAUAUAGACUGGAGCUUCAACGCUUUCUUACUAAGGGCCGCCCACUUGCUUCUCACACUAUCACCCUCUAUCCAUAUCUAAAAAACACUGCCUCUCUUUCCCUCCUCACUGGUGGUCAUAGAUACGCCGGGUAAGAAAAGGACAUGCAGCGUUGACGCACUCGUCACCGGCGAGCAAGGUCACGCACUGAUGACAAGGCCGUCCUCUCAGACCUAGCGCCUGCGCGGGAUCGCUGCCGUAGUGUGUGCGGAGGAUGACGACCACGAGCGAAGCCACUUCCCGCCGACCCUCAAGUAUGCUACCUCUUUUCGAACCAUACCCUUGUUCUAUUGCCCCAUCUGCCACGUUGUUGCAUGUGGAUCUUUUUCCACUCCACCAUCUUCCCAAUUUGCUAUCCUCUGCUCUGCUGGCUACGCAGACGAAAACCAUAAUUUGCACUAUUAAAGGAAACCCUACUUCAUGCAGACUAAUCCAUGUCUGGGUUGAAUAAGGAAAGGAAGGGAGACUGUACUAUCCAAGAGAGAAGGCAUCAAACCCGCAUCUAGGUUGAAAAGGGGAAAUCAGUAGCUAAGGAACGAGUCUCGUGUCUCUUGGUUGAAGAAGGGUAGAAAGGCAUGACAACGCAAUAGAGAAUGACCAGGUCGAUCGGUUUGUUGUCCUCACAUAGGAAAAAGGUGGCUAAAGAGAACAAAAAUGGGACAUAAUCCACAUAUGCUGCCUGGAUAUUUGUUGCUCUGGGCAACCAUAUGUUGGGGAACGUAGCAGAAAUUCAAAAUUAUCCUACGAAUCAUCAAGAUGUAUCUAUGGAGAAACCAACAACGAGGGGAAGGAGAGUGCAUCUACAUACCCUUGUAGAUCGCUAAGCGGAAGCGUUCAAGAAAACGGGGUUGAAGGAGUCGUACUCGUCGUGAUCCAAAUCACCGGAGAUCCUAGUGCCGAACGGACGACACCUCCGCGUUCAACACACGUACAGCCCGGUGACGUCUCCCAUGCCUUGAUCCAGCAAGGAGAGAGGGAGAGGUUGAGGAAGACUCCAUCCAGCAGCAGCACAACGGCGUGGUGGUGGUGGAGGAGCGUGGUGAUCCAGUAGGGCUUCGCCAAGCACCGCGAGAUAUGAGGAGAAAGAGAGGUAGGGCUGCGCCAACAUGAGAAGAACCUUGUGUCUUGGGCUGCCCCUUUGCCUCCACUAUAUAUAGGGGGAGAGGGGGGGCUGCGCCCCCACCUAGGGUUCCACCCUAGGGGCGGCGGGCAGCCCAAGAUCCCAUCUGGGGCGCGGCCAAGGGGGGGGGGGAGAGGGGAAACUUGCCCCCCAAGUCAGGUGGGUGCGCCCUCUCCCCAAACCCUAGGCACCUUGGGCCCUGGGGGGGGGGGGCGCACCAGCCCACCUGGGCCUGGCCCCCUCCCACACUUGGCCCAUGCCGCCCUCCGGGGAUGGUGGCCCCACUUGGUGGACCCCCGGGACUCUCCCGGCGGUCCCGGUACGUUAUCGAUAAAACCCGAAACUUUUCCGGUGACCAAAAUAGGACUUCCCAUAUAUAAAUCUUUACCUCCGGACCAUUCCGGAACUCCUCGUGACGUCCGGGAUCUCAUCCGGGACUCCGAACAACAUUCGGUAACCACAUACAAACUUCCUUUAUAACCCUAGCGUUAUCGAACCUUAAGUGUGUAGACCCUACGGGUUCGGGAACCAUGCAGACAUGACUGAGACGUUCUCCGGUCAAUAACCAACAGCGGGAUCUGGAUACCCAUGUUGGCUCCCACAUGUUCCACGAUGAUCUCAUCGGAUGAACCACGAUGUCAAGGACUCAAUCGAUCCCGUAUACAAUUCCCUUUAUCUAGCGGUAUUGUACUUGCCCGAGAUUCGAUCGUCGGUAUCCCGAUACCUUGUUCAAUCUCGUUACUGGCAAGUCUCUUUACUCGUUCCGUAACACAUCAUCCCAUGAUCAACCCCUUGGUCACAUUGUGCACAUUAUGAUGAUGUCCUACCGAGUGGGCCCAGAGAUACCUCUCCAUCACACGGAGUGACAAAUCCCAGUCUCGAUUCGUGCCAACCCAACAGACACUUUCGGAGAUACCUAUAGUGCACCUUUAUAGCCACCCAGUUACGUUGUGACGUUUGGUACACCCAAAGCAUUCCUACGGUAUCCGGUAGUUGCACAAUCUCAUGGUCUAAGGAAAUGAUACUUGACAUUAGAAAAGCUUUAGCAUACGAACUACACGAUCUUUGUGCUAGGCUUAGGAUUGGGUUUUGUCCAUCACAUCAUUCUCCUAAUGAUGUGAUCCCGUUAUCAACGACAUCCAAUGUCCAUGGUCAGGAAACCGUAACCAUCUAUUGAUUAACGAGCUAGUCAACUAGAGGCUUACUAGGGACAUGGUGUUGUCUAUGUACCCACACAUGUAUCUGAGUUUCCUAUCAAUACAAUUAUAGCAUGGAUAAUAAACGAUUAUCAUGAACAAGGAAAUAUAAUAAUAAUAAAUAAUUUAUUAUUGUCUCUAGGGCAUAUUUCCAACAGUCUCCCACUUGCACUAGAGUCAGUAAUCUAGUUCACAUCGCCAUGUGAUUAACACUGAUAGGUCACAUCGCCAUGUGACCAACAUCCAAAGAGUUUACUAGUGUCACUAAACUAGUUGACAUCACCAUGUGAUUAAGACUCAAUGAGUUCUGGGGUUUGAUCAAGUUUUGCUUGUGAGAGAGGUUUUAGUCAAUGGGUCUGCAGUAUCCAGAUCCGUAUGUACUUCGCAAUUCUCUAUGUCAUAUUGUAAAUGCUGCUUCCACGCUCCACUUGGAGUUAUUCCAAAUGGUUGCUUUACUAUGUGUAUCCGAUUUGCUACUCAGAGUCAUUCGGAUAGGUGUUAAAGCUUGCAUCAACGUAACCCUUUACGCCGAACUCUUUAUCACCUCCAUAAUCGAGAAACAUGUCCUUAUUUACUCCAAGGACAAUUUUUGACCGCUCUCCAAUAAUCCCCAUUCCUGGAUCAUUAUUGUACCCCUUGACUGACUCAUGGCAAGGCACACUUCCGGUGUGGUACAUAGCAUAGCAUACUAUAGAGCCUACGUCUGAAACAUAGGGGACGACCUUCGUCCUUUGUCUCUCUUCUGUCGUGGUCGAGCUUUAACUCUUAACUUCAUACCUUACAACUCAGGCAAGAACUCCUUCUUUGACUGAUCCAUCUUGAACACCUUCAAGAUCAUGUCAAGGUAUGUGCUCAUUUGAAAGUACUAUUAAGCAUUUUGAUCUAUCUUAUAGAUCUUGAUGCUUAUUGUUCAAGUAGCAUAAUUCCAGGUUUUCCAUUGAAAAACACUUUUCAAAUAACCCUAUAUGCUUUCCCGAAAUUCUACAUCAUUUCUGAUCAACAAUAUGUCAACAACAUAUACUAAUCAGAAAUUCUAUAGUGCUCCCACUCACUUCUUUGGAAAUACAAGUUUCUCAUAAACUUUGUAUAAACCCAAAAUCUUUGAUCAUCUCAUCAAAGCGUACAUUCCAACUCUGAGAUGCUUACUCCAGUCCUAAGAAGGAUUGCUGGAGCUUUGCAUACUUAUUAGCGUCUUUCAGGAUUGACAAAACCUUCUGGUUGUAUCACAUAUAACCUUUCCUCAAGUAUCACAUCGAGGAAACAAUGUUUUUUGACAUCCUAUCUGCAAGAUUUCAUAAAUCAUGCAGUAAUUGCUAAUAUAAUCCCAACAAAUUCUUAGCAUCCCUACGAAUGAGAAAGUCUCAUCGUAGUCAACUCCUUGAACUUGUCGGAAAACAUCUUAACGACAAGUCGAGCUUUCUUAAUGGUGAUACUUACCAUCAUUAUCUGUCUUUCUUUUAAAAUCCAUCUGUACCCAAUGGCCUUACGACCAUCAAGUAUUUCUUCCAAAGUCAUGGAUCCUCUCUCGGAUUUUAUGGCCUCGAGCCAUUUGUCGGAACCUGGGCCCACCAUCGCUUCUCCAUAGCUCGUAGGUUCAUUGUUGUCUAGCAACAUGAACCCCAAGACAGGAUUACGUACCACUCUGAAGCAGUACGCAUCCUUGUCGACCUACGAGGUUUGGUAGUGACUUGAUCCGAAGCUUCAUGAUCACUAUCAUAAGCUUCUACUUCAAUUGGUGUAGGUGCUACAGGAACAACUUCCUGUGUCCUGCUACACACUAGUUGAAGUGAUGAUUCAACAACCUCAUCAAGUCUCCACCAUCCUCCCACUCAAUUCUUUCGACAGAAACUUUUCCUCGAGAAAGGACCCGUUUCUAGAAACAAUCACUUUUGCUUCCGGAUCUGAAUUAGGAGGUAUACCCAACCAUUUUGGGUAUCCUAUGAAGAUGCAUUUAUCCGUUUUAGGUUCGAGCUUAUCACGAUGAAACUUUUUCACAUAAGCGUCGCAGCCCCAAACUUUCAAGAAACGACAGCUUAGGUUUCUCUAAACCAUAGUUCUCACGAUGUCAUCUCAACGGAAUUACGUGGUGCCCUAUUAAAGUGAGUGCGGUUGUCUCUAAUGCCUAACCCAUGAAUGAUAGUGGUAAUUCGAUAAGAGACAUCAUGGUACGCAUCAUAUCCAAUAGGGUGCAACUAUGAUGUUCGGAAACACCAUCACACUAUGGUUUUCCAGGCGGUAUUUAUUGUGAAACAAUUUCCACAAUGUCUUAAUUGCGUGCCAAAGCUCAUAACUCAGAUACUCAUCUCUAUGAUCAUAUCAUAGACAUUUUAUCCUCUUGUCACAAUGAUCUUCAAUUUCACUCUGAAAUUACUUGAACCAUUCAAUAAUUCAGACUUGUGUUUCAUCAAGUAAAUAUACAACAUCUACUCGAAUCAUCUGUGAAGUAAGAACAUAAUGAUAUUCACUGCAUGCCUCAGCACUCAUUGGACUGCACGCAUCAAAAUGUGUUACUUCCAACAAGUUGCUAUCUUGUUCCAUCUUACUGAAAACGAGGCUUUUCAGUCAUCUUGCCCAUGUGGUAUGAUUUGCAUAUCUCAAGUGAUUCAAAAUCAAGUGAGUCCAAAUGAUCCAUCUGCAUGGAGUUUCUUCAUGCGUAUACACCAAUAGACAUGGUUCACAUGUCUGAAUCUUUUCAAAAACGAGUGAGUCCAAAGAUCCAUCAACAUGGAGCUUCUUCAUGCGUUUUAUACCAAUAUGACUUACAUGGCAGUGCCACAAGUAAGUGGUACUAUCAUUACUAUCUUAUAUCUUUUGGCAUGAAAAUGUGUAUCACUACGAUCGAGAUUCAAUAAACCAUUCCUUUAGGUGCAAGACCAUUGAAGGUAUUAUUCAAAUAAAUAGAGUAACCAUUAUUCUCCUUAAAUGAAUAACCGUAUUGCGAUAGACAUAAUCCAAUCAUGUCUAUGCUCAACGCAAACACCAAAUGACAAUUAUUCAGGUUUAAUACUAAUCUUGAUGGUAGAGGGAGCGUGCGAUGUUUGAUCACAUCAAACUUGGAAACACUUCCAACACAUAUCGUCAUCUCACCUUUGGCUAGUCUUUGUUUAUUUCGUAGCUCUUUUAUUUCGAGUUACUAACACUUAGCAACCGAACCGAUAUCUUCAUACCCUAGUGCUACUAGGAGUACUAGUAAAGUACACAUUAACACAAUCUAUAUCCAAUAUACUUCUAUCGACCUUGCCAGCCUUCUCAUCUACCAAGUAUCUAGGGUAAUUCUGCUCCAGUGGCUGUUCCCCUUAUUACAGAAGCACUUAGUCUCAGGUUUGGGUUCAACCUUGGGUUUCUUCACUAGAGCAGCAGCUGAUUUGCCGUUUCAUGAAGUAUCCCUUCUUGCCCUUGCCCUUCUUGAAACUAGUGGUUUCACCAACCAUCAACAAUUGAUGCUCCUUCUUGAUUUCUACUUUGGCGGUGUCAAACAUCACGAAUACCUCAAGGAUCAUCAUAUCUAUCCCUGAUAUGUUAUAGUUCAUCAUGAAGCUCUAGCAGCUUGGUGGCAAUGACUUUGGAGAAACAUCACUAUCUCAUCUGGAAGAUCAACUCCCACUCGAUUCAAGUGAUUGUUGCACUCAGACAAUCUGAGCACAAGCUCAACGAUUGAGCUUUUCUCCCUUAGUUUGCAGGCUAAGAAAAUCGUCGGAGGUCUUAUACCUCUUGACGUGGGCACGAGCCUGAAAUCCCAAUUUCAGCCCUCAAAACAUCUCAUAUGUUCCGCGAUGUUUCGAAAACGUCUUUGGUGCCUCAACUCUAAACCGUUUAACUGAACUAUCACAUAGUUAUCAAAACAUGUAUGUCCGAUGUUCGAAACAUCCACAGACGACGCUUGGGGUUCAGCACAUUGAGCGGUGCAUUAAGGACAUAAGCUUUCUACUGUCCGCAUAAUCGCUACUGUCAACUUUCAACUAUAUUUUCUCUAGGAACAUAUCUAAACAGUGGAACUAAAGCGCGAGCUUACAACAUAAUUUGCAAAGAUCUUUUGACUAUGUUCAGGAUAAUUAAGUUCAUCUCAUGAAGUCCCACUCAGAUAGACAUCCCUCUAGUCAUCUAAGUGAUUACAUGAUCCGAGUCAACUAGGCCGUGUCCGAUCAUCAUGUGAGACGGACUAGUCAUCAUCGGUGAACAUCUUCAUGUUGAUCGUAUCCUCCAUACGACUCAUGCUCGACCUUUCUGUCUCUUGUGUUCCGAGGCCAUGUCUGUACAUGCUAGGCUCGUCAAGUUAACCUAAGUGUUUCUCGUGUGUAAAUCUGGCUUACACCCGUUGUAUGUGAACGUAAGAAUCUAUCACACCCGAUCAUCACGUGGUGCUUCGAAACGACGAACUUUCACAACGGUGCACAGUUAGGGGGAACACUUUCUUGAAAUUUUAUUGAGGGAUCAUCUUAUUUACUACCGUCGUUUUAAGCAAAUAAGAUGUAUAAACAUGAUAAACAUCACAUGCAAUCAAAAAGUGACAUGAUAUGGCCAAUAUCAUUUUGCUCCUUUUGAUCUCCAUCUUCGGGGCUCCAUGAUCAUCAUCGUCACCGGCAUGACACCAUGAUCUCCAUCAUCAUGAUCUCCAUCAUCAUGAUCUCCAUCAUCGUGUCUCCAUGAAGUUGUCUCACCAACUUAUUACUUCUACUACUAUGGCUACCGGUUAGCAAUAAAGUAAAGUAAUUACAUGGCGUUGUUCAAUGACACGCAGGUCAUACAAUAAAUUAAGACAACUCCUAUGGCUCCUGCCGGUUGUCAUACUCAUCGACAUGCAAGUCGUGAUUCCUAUUACAAGAACAUGAUCAAUCUCAUACAUCACAUAUCAUUCAUCACAUUCUUUUUGGCCAUAUCACAUCACAUAGCAUACCCUGCAAAAACAAGUUAGACGUCCUCUAAUUGUUGUUUGCAUGUUUUACGUGGCUGUUAUGGGUUUCUAGCAAGAACGUUUCUUACCUACACAAAAACCACAACGUGAUAUGUCAAUUGCUAUUUACCCUUCAUAAGGACCCUUUUCAUCGAAUCUGAUCCGACUAAAGUGGGAGAGACUGGCACCCGCUAGCCACCUUAUGCAACAAGUGCAUGUCAGUCGGUGGAACCUGUCUCACGUAAGUGUACGUGUAAGGUCGGUCUGGGCUGCUUCAUCCCACAAUACUGUUGAAACAAGAUUGGACUAGUAAUGGUAAGCAUAUUGAACAAAAUCAACACCCACAACUACUUUGUGUUCUACUCGUGCAAAGAAUCUACGCAAUAGACCUAGCUCAUGAUGCCACUGUUGGGGAACAUAGCAGAAAUUUAAAAUUUUCCUGCGAAUCACCAAGAUCUAUCUAUGGAGAAACCAGCAACGAGGGGAAGGAGAGUGCAUCUACAUACCCUUGUAGAUUGCUAAGCGGAAGCGUUCAAGAAAACGGGGUUGUAACGCCCCGGAUCCGAUGCGCCAGGUGUCCGCCAGUUAUUCGUCGUUGUUGCCAUGAUAUUUGCUUGCGUGUUGCAUUUUAUCAUGUCAUCAUGUGCAUUUCAUUUUGCAUACGUGUUCGUCUCAUGCAUCCGAGCCUUUUCCCCGUUGUCCAUUUUGCAAUCCGGCACUCCUAUGCCCUCCGGCGUUCCCUUUUCGUCUCUCGUUGUGAGCGGGUAUUAAACUUUCUCGGAAUGGCCCGAGGUUUGUCAAGUGGCCUUUGUAUAGCAUCAGUAGACCGCCUGUCAAGUUUUCUGCCAUUUGGAGGUCAUUUGGUACUCCAACGGUUAACCGCGUAGCCCGAAGCCUCUCUCUCUUUGCAGCCCAACACCCCUUUCAAAACUGGCCCAAAACCCAUCUAACUCCCCUCCAUGCUCUCGGUCGUUCGAUCACGAUCGUGCGGGCAAAAACCGCUCCUCAUUUGGACUCUCCUAGCUCCCUCUACCUAUAAAACUAGCCCCUCCCCCGAAAUUCGCGGAUGAAUCCCCCCGAAACCCUAAAAAAUCGUCCUCCGCCGCGCCGGACACGUCCGUGCCGCGCCGGACAUGUCUGCGCCGCCGCCCCGUCGAAUCGCAGUGCGCCNNNNNNNNNNNNNNNNNNNNNNNNNNNNNNNNNNNNNNNNNNNNNNNNNNNNNNNNNNNNNNNNNNNNNNNNNNNNNNNNNNNNNNNNNNNNNNNNNNNNNNNNNNNNNNNNNNNNNNNNNNNNNNNNNNNNNNNNNNNNNNNNNNNNNNNNNNNNNNNNNNNNNNNNNNNNNNNNNNNNNNNNNNNNNNNNNNNNNNNNNNNNNNNNNNNNNNNNNNNNNNNNNNNNNNNNNNNNNNNNNNNNNNNNNNNNNNNNNNNNNNNNNNNNNNNNNNNNNNNNNNNNNNNNNNNNNNNNNNNNNNNNNNNNNNNNNNNNNNNNNNNNNNNNNNNNNNNNNNNNNNNNNNNNNNNNNNNNNNNNNNNNNNNNNNNNNNNNNNNNNNNNNNNNNNNNNNNNNNNNNNNNNNNNNNNNNNNNNNNNNNNNNNNNNNNNNNNNNNNNNNNNNNNNNNNNNNNNNNNNNNNNNNNNNNNNNNNNNNNNNNNNNNNNNNNNNNNNNNNNNNNNNNNNNNNNNNNNNNNNNNNNNNNNNNNNNNNNNNNNNNNNNNNNNNNNNNNNNNNNNNNNNNNNNNNNNNNNNNNNNNNNNNNNNNNNNNNNNNNNNNNNNNNNNNNNNNNNNNNNNNNNNNNNNNNNNNNNNNNNNNNNNNNNNNNNNGGUCUCUCCUCCGACCUCGCCGGCCUUCGCGCCCGGGCCCCGCCGCCUCAGCCUCCCUCCGGCCGGAUCCGCCUCCUCCCGGCCUCCCCGACCUCUCCCGCAGCUCCGGCCACCUUCCCCUUCAACUCCGGCGAAGUUCCGGCGAGAUCCGCCGCCGCAUCAAAAACCGUGCAGAUCUGGAAGUUGCCCCGAAAUUCCACUAAGUCCCCAGUUUUUGUAAUUUUCAUGCCAUGUUUGACCUGUUGUAACUCUGCAUCCGUAGCUCCGUUUCGUGCGUGUAAUAUGUCAAAUUGUUCGUCUCAACACGUACAUCAUUUCAUUCCAUUGAAUCAUAUUCAUUUGAGGUCAUAUAGAUGCCCGAAUCAUCGUUAUAAGAGUGCUUCAUGAUGUUUUCUGCUGUCUGUUAUCAGAACGAGCUCUUUUGUCAUUUUUGCCAUGAUUGAUGUGUGCAUCCUAUGAGGUUGAUGUCUAUAUGUGUUUUGAACUAUGCUAUGUCUUCUUUACAGAGGUUCUUACCAUGUAUUUUUGUGAUCAAUGUGGUGACUAGCACAAGCAUGCAAACUAGGCAUCGUGAUGUUGCUGAUUUUAGUUCCUGUUCUGCUGUAAUUUUGAUGCCAUGUAAACUUGAUGCUACAGAGAGAUCCAUGCAUAUUUUGAGAUACUUCAGCAAGGGUGUUUUGAACAUGUGGUUAUUGUCUAUCCAUUCAUGCCCUUUGUUGCAAUUAUGGAGUAGUCUAGCAUGUCAUUUGAGUGCUCUACUUUUGCUUCAAAAUGUUUCCUGGCAGAUUGUUUACAUGUUAUACAAUUUGGCCAAGCUUGCUAUAGUUGAUCCUUGCAUGCUAUGGACUUGUUCUUGACUUGGUUUGUUUCACAAACAUGUCUUCUUGAUGAUGCUAUGCUUAUCUUGUCAUGCAAUGACUUGUGGUGAGUGUAUCGAGCUUGUUAAGUAGGGUUCAUGAUGUUGUUGUUUUGCUAGGCUGAAUCUGUUAUUUCGCGAUGCUAUAUAAACAUGUUGCUUCUAAUCAUUCUAUGCAUAAUAUGGAGAUGUUCUAUAAACAUGUUUUGAUCUACAUGUCAUCCUCUAUCCAUCCAAGCCCUUGGUUGCAUUUAUAGGUUGCUGUAGCUUGUUCAUAUCUUGCUCCAAAGUUGCUUCAUAAUGUUGCUGUCAGCCUGUUUACAUUAAGUUCACUUGUUCCCAUGUGUUUUGCUAGUGAUCCAUGCACCCUAUGACCUUGCUAUUGACAUGCUUAGCUUCACAAAUAUGCAUUCUUACUGUUGGGUGCCUUGCUAUGCCAUGUAAUGAUCUGUAGUGAGUUGCACAAGCUCAUCUACAUGCCUUCAUAAUUAUGUUUCUGCCAUGUUUGAAUCUGUAUAAUCACUUGCUAUGUUUACGUGGGUGCCAUCAUAUUUUCUGCUCCUUUUUGGCUUAUGGUCAGUAAGGGACUUUUGAUCUAUGCAUUUAGUAGAUUCAUGCCAUGCCUUUGUUUUCCAUUAUAAGUUCCUGUAACAUGUUGUUUGAUAGCUCUAAACAUUGCAUCGUGAUGUUAUUUUCUGCAAAGUCUGAAAUUGUUAUAACUUGCAAUCUUACCAUGUUUGUUUGAGCAUGUUCUAGUGAUUUCUGGAGAUAGCUCAGUGUUCAUGUUUUGUAAUGCUUUACCUGUACAUCAUGCCCAUGCCUUUUUUUCUUGUUGUGGUGCUGUAGCAUAUUGUUUUGAUGCUUGCAAUAUGCCUAGUCGCUGUUUUGGACAGCUUGUCCUUUAAACUUGUAUAGAGUGCAUGUGUUGAACCGUUGCUCCGUUUUGAGUGUGCUCUAUAUGAAACUUGCUUGAUUUUGCAUGUAGUUUCAUAUUAUCAUGUUGCAUCCUUGUUUUGAGAUGUUUUCUUGAUGUUUGGGUGCGUUUUGCAUCAAUGCCAUGUUUAACUUGGUUUGCUCAUAUCUUCUAGGCCGUAGCUCCGAACUAAAUGAACUUUAUAUGUAACUUGACUAGAAUCUCAUGUAGAUCAUCGUUGUGCAUUUUAACUUGAUGUUUAACUACUUGAACAUAAUGUUUAUUCAGAUCUGGACCAAUUUCGAAAUAUGCAUAUGAGGACUUACCGGAAUUGUUAUAUGUUGUCCCCGGCCUCAUUUAAACUUGCCUUGAUGUGUUGUUCUUGUUUGCAUCAUCUCUUGUUAUGAGUAGCCUUCAUGUAGCCUUGUCAUGCAUCAUGCUUGUCGAGCAUCAUGUCUUGUUCAUGUGUGGUGUGUUUACUAUGUUGUGUGCUUCUUCUUGUUAGUUCUUGUUUCAUUGCGAUCGUGAGGAUUCGUUCAUCUACGAUUGGUUCGGCUUCAUCCGUUCGUCUUCUUCAUGGACUCGUUCUUCUUCCUUGCGGGAUUUCAGGCAAGAUGACCGCUACCCUGGAUCUCAAUACUAUCAUUGCUAUGCUAGUUGCUUCGUUCUAUCGCUAUGUUGCGCUACCUAUCACCUGUUUAUCAAGCCAUCCCAUAUUGCCAUGAACCUCUAACCUUUGACACCUUUCCUAUGCAAACCAUUGUUUGGCUAUGUUACCGCUUUUGCUCAGCCCCUCUUAUAGCGUUGCUAGUUGCAGGUGAAGUUGAAGAUUGCUCCAUGGUGGACAGGAUUUUGGUUGGGAUAUCACAAUAUCUCUUAUAUUAUUAAUGCAUCUAUAUACUUGGUAAAGGGUGGAAGACUCGGCCUUUUGCCUGGUGUUUUGUUCCACUCUUGCCGCCCUAGUUUCCGUCAUACCGGUGUUAUGUUCCCGGAUUUUGCGUUCCUUACGCGGUCGGGUGAUUUAUGGGACCCCCUUGACAGUUCGCUUUGAAUAAAACUCCUCCAGCAAGGCCCAACCUUGGUUUUACCAUUUGCCUCACCACCACCUACCCCUUUCCCUUGGGUCGGCCAACCAGACGGUCAUCUUUAUUUUAGCCCCCCCGGGCCAGUGCUUUUCUAAGUGUUGGUCCGAACCAGAGCCACUUGCAGCGCCACCUCGGGGAAACUUGAGGGUUGGUUUUAGUUGUACGUAGUGUUCAUCCGGUGUUGCCCUAAGAACGAGAUAUGUGCAGCUCCUAUCGAGAUUGUCGGCGCAUCAGGCGGCUUUGCUAGUCUUGUUUUACCAUUGUUGAAAUGUCUUGUAAACCGGGAUUCCGAGUCUGAUCGGGUCUUCCUGGGAGAAGGUCUAUUCCUUCGUUGAUCGCGAGAGCUUGUCAUGGGCUAAGUUGGGACACCCCUGCAGGGUAUAAUCUUUUGAAAGCCGUGCCUGCGGUUAUAGGCAGAUGGGAAUUUGUUAAUGUCCGGUUGUAGACAACUUGACACCAGAUCCGAAUUAAAAUGCAUCAACCGCGUGUGUAGACGUGAUGGUCUCUUCUCGGCGGAAUCCGGGAAGUGAACACAGUUUCUGGGUUAUGUUUGACGUUAGUAGGAGUUCAGGAUCACUUCUUGAUCAUUGCUAGUUGACGACCGUUCCGCUUGCUCUCUUCUCGCUCUUAUUUGCGUAUGUUAGCCACCAUAUAUGCUUAGUCGCUGCUGCAGCCUCACCACUUUACCCCUUCCUUUCCCUUUAAGCUUUGCUAGUCUUGAUACCCAUGGUAAUGGGAUUGCUGAGUCCUCGUGGCUCACAGAUUACUACAACAACAGUUGCAGGUACAAGUUUUGCGAUGAUCAUGACGCGAGAGCGAUGCUUGCUUGUGUUGAGUUCUUCUUCUGCUUCUUCGAUCAGGGGAUAGGUUCCAGGUCGGCAGCCUGGGCUAGCAGGGUGGAUGUCGUUUGAGUUUCUGUUUGUGAUUCAUCCGUAGUCGGAUGAUGCUCUUAUGUUUUGUGAUGUUGUAUUCAUGUGGCAUUGUAUGCCUUAUGUAUGUAUCCCCAUCUAUUAUGUAAUGUUGAUGUAAUGAUAUCCACCUUGCAAAAGCGUUUCAAUAUGCGGGUCUAUCCUUGGUGGGACCUUCGAGUUCCUUUUGGAUAGGGUCGCAUAUUGGGCGGGACAGGGGUUGACGGAGUCGUACUCGUCGUGAUCCAAAUCACUGGAGAUCCUAGUGCCAAACGGACGGCACCUCCGCGUUCAACACACGUACAGCCCGGUGAUGUCUCCCAUGCCUUGAUCCAGCAAGGAGAGAGGGAGAGGUUGAGGAAGACUCCAUCCAAUAGCAGCACAACGGCGUGGUGGUGGUGGAGGAGCGUGGUGAUCCAGCAGGGCUUCGCCAAGCACCGCGAGAUAUGAGGAGAAAGAGAGGUAGGGUUGCGCCAACAUGAGAAGAACCUCGUGUCUUGGGCUGCCCCUUUGCCUCCACUAUAUAUAGGGGGAGAGGGGGGAUGUGCCCCCACCUAGGGUUCCACCCUAGGGGUGGCGGCUAGCCCAAGAUCCCAUCUGGGGGNNNNNNNNNNNNNNNNNNNNNNNNNNNNNNNNNNNNNNNNNNNNNNNNNNNNNNNNNNNNNNNNNNNNNNNNNNNNNNNNNNNNNNNNNNNNNNNNNNNNNNNNNNNNNNNNNNNNNNNNNNNNNNNNNNNNNNNNNNNNNNNNNNNNNNNNNNNNNNNNNNNNNNNNNNNNNNNNNNNNNNNNNNNNNNNNNNNNNNNNNNNNNNNNNNNNNNNNNNNNNNNNNNNNNNNNNNNNNNNNNNNNNNNNNNNNNNNNNNNNNNNNNNNNNNNNNNNNNNNNNNNNNNNNNNNNNNNNNNNNNNNNNNNNNNNNNNNNNNNGCCCCCUCCCACACUUGGCCCAUGCCGCCCUCCGGGGAUGGUGGCCCCACUUGGUGGACCCCCGGGACCCUCCCGGUGGUCCCUGUACGUUACCGAUAAAACCCGAAACUUUUCCGGUGACCAAAACAGGACUUCCCAUAUAUAAAUCUUUACCUCCGGACCAUUCCGGAACUCCUCGUGACGUCCAGGAUCUCAUCCGGGACUCCGAACAACAUUCGGUAACAACAUACAAACUUCCUUUAUAACCCUAGCGUCAUCGAACCUUAAGUGUGUAGACCCUACGGGUUCGGGAACCAUGCAGACAUGACCGAGACGUUCUCCGGUCAAUAACCAACAGCGGGAUCUGGAUACCCAUGUUGGCUCCCACAUGUUCCACGAUGAUCUCAUCGGAUGAACCACGAUGUCAAGGACUCAAUCGAUCCCGUAUACAAUUCCCUUUGUCUAGCGGUAUUUUACUUGCCCGAGAUUCGAUCAUCGGUAUCCUGAUACCUUGUUCAAUCUCGUUACAGGCAAGUCUCUUUACUCGUUCCGUAACACAUCAUCCCGUGAUCAACCCCUUGGUCACAUUGUGCACAUUAUGAUGAUGUCCUAUCGAGUGGGCCCAGAGAUACCUCUCCGCCACACGGAGUGACAAAUCCCAGUCUCGAUUCGUGCCAACCCAAUAGACACUUUCGGAGAUACCUGUAGUGCACCUUUAUAGCCACCCAGUUACGUUGUGACGUUUGGUACACCCAAAGCAUUCCUACGGUAUCCGGGAGUUGCACAAUCUCAUGGUCUAAGGAAAUGAUACUUGACAUUAGAAAAGCUUUAGCAUACGAACUACACGAUCUUUGUGCUAGGCUUAGAUUGGGUCUUGUCCAUCACAUCAUUCUCCUAAUCAUGUGAUCCUGUUAUCAAUGACAUCCAAUGUCCAUGGUCAGGAAACCGUAACCAUCUAUUGAUUAACGAGCUAGUCAACUAGAGGCUUACUAGGGACAUGGUGUUGUCUAUGUACCCACACAUGUAUCUGAGUUUCCUAUCAAUACAAUUAUAGCAUGGAUAAUAAACGAUUAUCAUGAACAAGGAAAUAUAAUAAUAAUAACUAAUUUAUUAUUGUCUCUAAGGCAUAUUUCCAAUAGCAUGCCUCCCUCACCACUCUGCGUCCGUGGAGGUACAUCAUACUGGUGCACCCACUGUCCGAAUGGGCCUCCCAUGCUCUUAUUGCCACUUUUUUGCUGUUAGUAUAACGCCAGUUAUCAAGUCAAGCAAUGCUACUGCUAAAGUGAUGCCACAUUUAACUAAUGUCGCUCUCAGUCUAAUGCCACCGAUAAAUUUAAGCAACACCAUUUAAUGUCACUGGAUUAUUUCGGGGUUAGCUGUUGAUUGUGGAUGUAUUAAAGAUUUUUCAGCUAAGGCAUUCUAAUGCUGUUGCACAACCAGUAUACCAACGAUGAAACUUGUUACUACCUUCAGAUUUUUGCACUGUUAAUGCUUAUAGAUUACAUACCUCACUUUCAUGAGAUAAGUUAAUAUUUUUGUACAGUGUCACCAAAAUGCCAAGGCGCUGAUGUCAUUUUAUUUUGGUUAAACUGCACAAAAAAUUAUGAAGACAAGAGGAAAGGUCAAGAGUGGGCACCUCCUCCUCCGGCUGUUCUCUUGAUUCGUUCGAUCAAGUUUUUAUGUUUGAUCGAUUAUCAAGAUUGGGAUAGCAUUUUUAAGGCCCCCCCCCCCGAGUUCGAAAUGAUAUUUACCUUGGAGGUACAUGGUUUGCAAUUUUUUUAUACUGUGAUUAGUUAAUAAUGCUAGUUACCUUCAGACUUUUGUAUUUGGUUUAAUGCUCAUGCACAUCUAGUAUACCAAUGCUGAAACUUGUUAGCUUUACAUUUUGUAUUGUUAAUUCUUAUAGAAAUCUUCCAGUGAAGAGUUUAUUGAAAUCUAUAUAGGAAAACCAUUGUACUGUACCCUGUAAUAAACUAACUACUCUACUGUUGCACUAGCCACUGGAUUAGUGUAUAUUUGUAGUAUUCGAAUGGUGUUGCAUUAGCAUAUGGACAUAAAUAAAGUGUGGCAAGAUUUCCCAGAUAUGUGCUCAAGAAAACUACUACCUGUUUUUCUAAAUACUAGACAUUUGGGUAAUUUAAAUUGAACCGCGAAAACGUCUUAUAUUAAGGAACAAAGGGUGUAGAGUUCACUCAAAUUAUCCCGGUAAAGCUAGUCACACCUUUGUUAAAAUUAAUGUUCAUUAUGUUAUUGGAGGAGGUCUGUAUGUUUGUCUCUAAUGCCUGUCGACUACAUACCUGACAUCAUGUUGUAAUGUUAAGUCAUUUCCUUUUGUACAGUGUCACUGAAUUGUCAAGGCGGUGAUGACAUUUUAUUUUAGUUGAACUGCACAAAAUAUGCUUAGAAGAAGAGGAAAGGUCAGGAAUGGCUCAAUUUUUCAGAAAAAACUAUGUAUGCCUUCCUAACAUCAGUCGUUGUUGCUUUAUUUAUUCCUUCAAACAGGUGGUUAGAAACAGUCUUGCUACCUUUUCCCAUUAAGAAAUUGGAAUGCUUAUAUUUGUGAGUCUAUGCUUCAACUAGUGCCACUUUUAUAGUAAUCACACUUUCAAUAUCUAUGCAAACAGGAAUGCUCGAUUUUAGUGGAACUGCACAAAAAGUCCAACUGGUUCAACAUUAGGAGCAUGUUUUUUUCCAAACCUUUAUAUCCAAUUGGUGGCACUAUGAGCUGUUCAUUACGAAGGUACAUGGUUUGCUACUAUCUUGCUACUCUUUUUGUACUGUCAUUAGAUAGUAAUACUAGUGGUUUGCAUGUGAAUUUAUUGGCAGGGUGGACCUACAUUGGAGGUGCAGGACAAGAUUCAAUGAUUGGAUGCUCAAUUUCGGUUGUAUCAAUUUCACCUAUUCCAUCACUACGAACAUGGAUAUCCUUGGUCUGAUGAAGAAUAGGCGCUAUAUUUCUGCUCUGACCAGCAAAUCAAUUCAGUAUGAAAUUGUCCAGGGCAAAACAUAACUAUAUCAGAUUGUCCAGUGCAGAACAUGAUAGAUGCUAAGCGGAAGAGACAUGUUUAAACCGAAAAUACAUGGUGUGGUAUAUGUUUACUAGCUGCGUGAUAUUUGUGCAGACAGAGAUGUCUGCUCGUUGCUAUUUGGCAAACAAACAAAGUGUCCGCAAUUUUGGUUGAACUGCACAAGAGAAUAGUAUAGUCACUGCAUGCAGUGUCAUUUGAACACAGAAAGAUUGGAUAGUCACUUCAUGGACUGCAGAAAAGUAGUAUUGUACUAUUUAUUGGCCAACACUAGGUGCUUCAUUGCUUUGGUCUAAUUAUACAAUGGGCAUCAUUUUGCCUAAGUUAAAGUUUGUAUUCCGAAAAUAGUCUCGCGGUGUGAUCGAGAGAAGACCAAAUCAUAUUGCAGUGGAUGUUCCUCCAUCAUGUGUGGUUCAUUCUCAUGGUUCCAGAUAUUGGUGAAACCACUUACGUUUGCAAGAGGAAUUGUAGACUUCACAAACAAAUUUGUCUUUUAGUCUGUACUGAAUGUUGGCCAAGAGAAGCAUCCAUGUUAGUAGGAAGAACAUAUGUUUUUUCUAGAUCUUUGCUUUUGGAGCUACAUAUUUGUAUAUGAUCUGUGAAUCAUUGAGAUGCAUUAACAUGCUGAUCUUAUGUAUGGGAAUCGUACUAGUUAGUUUUAGUUGCGACGCAAGAUCCGAAGUGGCUGGUCUUUGCUUUUGGAGCUACAUAUUUGUAUAUGAUUUGUGAAUCAUUGAGAUGCAUUAACAAUUACUUAUUUCUGUGUGCUCUGUGUUUACAAGUUACUGAUCGGUCACUAGCUAGCCUACUAAUGUGCUCCUGGCAGUUUUAUUUGUGACGCAAGAUCCAAAGUGGCGGUUUUUUGAAUAAAAAUGCCUACCUCUGAAGAAACUGACAAGCUACACUAUCCUACCUACUCGAUCCUACACGGAUAAAUAGCGGAUCAUGCACGUACUACCAUGCUUCAUGCUAGUGCGACUUCUUCAUGUCAGGAUGAUGCAGAGCAUCCUUCGGUCAUCCCCAUGGACCUUCCAUCGUCUCACCAGGCACCAAGAGGACCCAUGGCUAGAGCACGAGCCAGAGCUCUCGAGACCGAGGUGACUUCUCUCCUUUGUGAUAUCUCCUUUCCGGUUUGCAGGGCUCAAUUCAAGAAACGACCUACUCGAUCCUACACGAAUAAAUAGCGGAUCACGCACGUACUAGUACCUCCUUUCCGGUUUGCAGGGCUUAAUUAAAACCUCUCACCAACCAAGGUACUCCCUCCGUCCGGGUUUAUUAGUCCUGUGAGCAAAGCAACAAGACCAAGGCAUGGCAAUAAUUAAGGGCAUGCAGACGUUUAAGCCUAAUUAAUUCCAGCGAUUUAAGUGGCUGCAUGCGUGCCCUCGACUGUGACUCGUUGCAUGCUGCUCCGCGUACUGGCUGCGAGCGAUUCUGAGUGCCUACAUGCAGCCGGCCGUAAUUAAGGCAGCUAACUGAUGCGAAAAAAGAUGCGCUUUAAUUGUUGCGGGCUUUUUAAAUCCGUGGAAUCCUUAUUGACAAGGAGGGAGAUGAUUCGAGUGCACUCGUUUGACCGCCAUGCCGGUGUGCGACCCAGACGGGACGGGAUGGCACAGUCAUAAUUUCAGUUUCUCUAGUUUUCCAUGGCAAGUUGGCGCGCUAAGCCAUUAUGCAUUGAAUUCCAAUGACCGUCGCGCUACCUUCCGCCUAUAAGUACUGUUUCUCGGCCUUCUCCGGUGGCACCGAGACCCAACUCGCCAUAUCCUCAUAAGCCCCCACCGGCCCAACGUUGCUCGCCACAUCCACCAUGCACCCGCCCGUCCAUGGUAGGCGACGCCGGAGGCGGUCACCACCGGAACUAGUGUUCGGUUUUUCACCGGAAGGCAGAUGGAGGGAGGAGGCAUUCUAUCUGUCUUUAGAUGGCAAUGUGGAGAUCGAGGAGUUGUUGGAGCGCGACCGCCUGGCGGAGGAGAAGGAGUUGUUGGAGCGCAACCGCCUGGUGGAGGAGCAACGUAUCGCUGAUUUGCGCCGCCAUCGGGACAUGGAGAAGCAGCGCACCGACGCUCUGAGUUGCGAGCAGAGCGCCCGCAACUGGGCCGACUACGUAGGCCAGCGCCCGGCAAAUAGCACUGGAGGCUGUCGGGCACGCACGCGUUCACGACGCCGAUUUUUACUACCAGCUCAUCAAGUGGGUUUCCCGCUUGGAAGCCGAAGCUUCGGUGGACCACGCCGGCAUGGAAAGGGCCAACUCGCGCAAGAAACGCGCCCUAUCGCACCUCUUGCAAGUCCGAUGCGAGGCGCAGGACGCCGGUGCCGGCAUUUAGCGUGUACCACAGAUGGCGGCCGUCAUCGUCUAGUUAGCUAAGAUUAAGUUAGUACUUGUACGCUACUAGAGCAUUAGUGGGAGUAGAUAGUUAACUUGGCUAUGAUGGUGGUCAACGUGGAAGUUCAGUACUCUAUAUGUGGAUCAGACCUGUUACUUUGCUCUGAAUGUUGAACUUUCUGUUUGAACAUAUGGAAUGGGCUGUUAUUUUUUAAAUGGGUUGUAUUUGUCCUCCACGGGUUUAGAGGCUGACUUGUGGGCCUAUCAAGUUGAUGCGUACACAAUCAGGAGAUGAUUUUACAUGGAGAGGAUGACAACAGGGAUCCGCCAAGGUCAUGGCAGUACGCAAGAAAGUGCCUCCUUAUUUCAAGCCAAUAAAAAAUGGCUCCUCCUAGUGGAUUUAUGACAUCUGGGUCCCAUGCCAUUGUCAACAUAGUCAAUAAACGAGAGAAUUGCACAAUGAGCGGCUGACACCAGGGACCCAGCAGCUCGCCCAGUUAUUUUUGUUUUGGGUUAAUUUGAUAAAUGCCACUCCAAAUCUGGUGUUUCCGAGAAAUGCCACUGCAAUUUCCAAACUUUGAAAAAUGCCAUUUCAUGCCAUUUCUAGUGGCAUUUUUCGAAGUCUAGAGUGGCAUUUUUCAAAGUUUGCAAACUGUAGUGGCAUUUUUCAAAGUUUGCAAAAAUUGAAGUGGCAUUUUUCAAAGUUUGGAAAUUGCACUGGCAUUUUUAUGAAUCGCCAUAAUUGGAGUGGCAUUUAUAUAAUUUGUUUUUGAGACGGAAGCAGGGUGUCAACUGGGCUGUGCGGGACACUCUGGCCUGUCUAGACAGCCUUUUCUUUUUAUGUUUACCCCAGGCCAGCCCAGUAGUUUUUUUUCUUUCUAAAAAUGGCUAACCCAGUUUUUUUUGAUUUGUCAAGUAAGUCGCUUUAUCUGGCCUUUUGGGCUGUAAAUCUUUCAAGACGAGGAGAGCUUCAUUCGGCUGGCCGAGAAAAUGGCCUAUCAGUAGUGAGAAAUGGGUUGUACAUUUUUAAAACACAUCAAUCGGCAAUUAGUUUCAAAUAUCUUUUUUUCAUUUUGAGAUUUUAAAUUGCAUUGAUUUUUAUGCGUGCACAAUUUAUUGGAUUUUAUAGUGAUAUACAUUUAUUUUUAAAAGCAGCCUGAAUGUGACUCGAAAUUUUGGGAUUAAAAACAGUUCAGACCGCGCCGACAUAUGCAAAAUUUCAUAUAAUUGUUUAACCGUGGCCACAAUAUGGGCUGUAAUGCUAACAAAAAGAAUAUGGGCUCAAAAAAACCCGUAAGAAUUAGCAAAUGGGCUGUAAAUUAUUUGAAAUAAUGGCACAUGGCCUGUAUGCUGUUUUCCACAAAUUUGAGGCUUUCCUAAAAAAGGUUGACGCACAAGCAGUGACUGUUGGAUGUCCAUCCAACGGCCGUCGUGCCUCUUCAAUCUCUACUCUUCCUGCUCCAGUCGCUCAAACAAGCGCCGGCGGGACUGCCUGCUCCCUCCUCCCCGCGGCCGGCUGUGCUGCCGCGCAGGCCUCAUCGCCCCACCGUACUCCCAUCGCUGGCCUAGCCAUCCCUCUACUCACCCACACCUGUUGUUAUUCUCUGGCGAUGGCAGACGAAUCAGUAAACCCUCGUACAGUCGUACUCCCCUCCGUGUGGAAAACAACUGCCGAGUCUUCCCUGGCUCCAUGUCGUUCCCAUCCUAGGCCUCGCCGUUGUCCACCGCCCUGGUGCUCUAGGCGUGGCGUGGUCAACAUGCUCAACGACCGAUAUGCAUCUGAAGUGGACUGUACGUGGAGAGGCUGACAUCUGGGUCCACGGCCGCAUGCAAGGAAAUGCCUCCUUUUUACGCGUAAAAUAAUGAUUCCUCCACCUGACAUCUGGGAACCACCGAAAGGGCCUCUAUAUUUCGCGAAAAAACAUUACCGCCGCUCAUAGCUUGGACCUACCAGCUAUAUCUUCGCACGCAAGGAAGUGCCUCCUUAUUACGCACAAAAAAAAUGAAUACUCCCCCUGCUAGCUGGGACCCAGUAUAGUGGGCCUACUAAGUUGACGGGGACGGAGGGCUUUGUCAACUUAGUCAAUAUGCACGAUUCUAGCUCGACUGGCCGUACGAUGUCCAUCCAACGAUGGUAGUGCUUCUUCAACCACUGGUCUUCUUGCUCCAGCCGCCCAAAGCAGCACCGGUCGUGCCGCCUGCUCCUGCCUCCCGUGGCCGGCUGUGCUGCCACGGAGGCCUCAUCACCCCCAUACUACUCCCACCGCUGGCCAGGCCAUCCCUCCACUCCACUCACCCACACCCCCUGUUAUUCUGCAGCGACGACAGUGCAGCCGAACCAGUGAACCCUCGUACUCCUCUCCGCAUGGGCAUCCACUGUCGCGUCUUCCCCGGCUCCGCGUCGUCCCCUUCCUAGGCCUCGCCGUCAUCUACCGCCUUGGUGCUCUUGGCGCGGCGUGGUCAAUGUGGUUAACGACCGAAUUCCAUCGGAAGAGUAUUGUACAUGGAGAGGCUGACAACUGGGUCCACGGCAGCCGCAAGGAAUUGCCUCCUUAUUACGCAGAAAAUAAUUAUUCCUCCACCUGACAGCAGGGACCCACUGGACGGGCCACCGGUAUUUCGCGAAAAAAAUGUUUCCCCCCUGAUUGCUAGGACCCACCGGACGGGCCACCGUAUUUAGCGAAAAAAAUGUUUCCCCCUGACUGCUGGGACCCACCGGACGGACCACCGUAUUUCACGAAAAAAACGUUCCCCCCGCUGUCAGCUCGGACCCACUGGAAGUGCCUCCUUAUUAUGCACAAAAAAUGAAUACUCCCCCUGCUAGCUGGGACCCACCAUGGUGGGAGGCUGACUUGUGGGCCUACUAAGUUGACUGGGACAAGGGCCUUUGUCAACUUUAGUCAAUAUGAAUGAUUCUAGCUCCAGUGACCGUAUGAUGUCCAUCCAACGGCCGUAGUGCUUCUUCAACCUCUAGCCUUCUUGCUCCAGCCGCCCAAAGCAGCGCCGGUCGUGCCGCAUGCUCCUACCUCCCAUGGCCGGCUGUGAUGCCGCGGAGGCCUCACCGCCUCCUACUACUCCCACAGCUGGCCAGGCCAUCCCUCUACUCAACCACACCCCUGUUAUUCUAUGGCGACGACAGCCUCACACUGCAGCCGGACCAGUGGACCCUCGUACUCCUCUCCACGUGGGCAUCCACUGCCGCGUCUUCCCCGGCUCCAUGUCGUCCCCUUCCUAGGCCUUGCCGUCGUCCACCGCCCUGGUGCUCUCGGCGCAGCAUGGUCAACAUGGUCAAGGAACGACUUCCAUCGGACGUGGACUGUACGUGGAGAGGCUGACAGCUGGGUCCACGGCCACAGCAAGGAAGUGCCUCCUUAUUACGCGGAAAAUAAUGAUACCUCCACCUGAUAGCAGGGACCCACCAGACGGGACACUGUAUUUCGCGAAAAAAUGUUUCCCCCUUGACUGCUGGGACCAACCAGCUACAUCUUCGCAUGAAAGGAAGUGCGUCCGAAAAAAACGAUUCGCCCCCCUGACUGUUGGGACCCACCAGCUACAUCUUCACAUGCUAGGAAGUGCCUGACAGUCGGGACCCACCUGGUCGAAGCGUACGUAGCAUUGUCAUUCUGGUCGCGAACGUGUAUGUAAAUACUGGUGUAUGUAGAGGCACGCACGUGACGUAGUAGAGGCGCGCACGUGUCAUACUAGAGGCGCGUACGUGUCGUAGUAGAGGCGCGCACGUAGCAUGUACACGUGUGUACAACGACCAGUGUGCAAGAAAGAAAAUACAGCCAUGUAUGUGUACAUAUGGGCGGGGUCUCAAACGCCUGCUCGCGCAUACGUAUGGCCAGGGCUCAUGUACAUGGCUGGGUCGGAACGGAGAAACAACGUCGUCGUCGUGUUCAUGGGGAGACAACUGGCUGGGUCGGAAUGGAAUGCGUCGUCGUGUUCAUCGGGAGGGCUUGGACGGAAUAGGCGAUGGAAACGAGGCCUGGCAUACCGCAGAACGGAGGAAACGUCCUUGUGUUCGACUAGCCAUGUUCGAAACGGGAUCCUGUUCAUUGGGAGGGGUCUGGCGUACCACAAAAUGGAGGAAACGGACCUCCUAUGGUCGAAAUGGGGGUCCUGUUGAUCGGGAGGGGCGUGGCGUACCGCAAAACGGACGAAACGGACUUGUGUUGGAGCGCUACAGUCGAAACGGGCAUCCUGUUCAUCGGGAGGGGUGUGGCGUACCGCAAAACGGGACUCCACGGGAUACUGUUCAUCUCCACCAUCGACCUCCUCCAGCCUCCACGGGCUACCGUCGACCUCCUCCAGCCUCCACGGGCUCCUGUUCAUCCAGCCUCCACCGCGCGCUACUCCACCGGCUACUGUUCAACCACCCCACCACAGGCACCCCUCCAUCGUCUACUGUUCAUCCAGCCCUCCACGGGGUCAUCCUGUUCAUCCAGCCCUCCACGGGGUCCUGUUCAUCCAGCCCCAACCGGCUCGAUCGAUCGGGGUCCUGUUCAUUGAUACGUCUCCAACGUAUCUAUAAUUUUUUAUUGUUCCAUGCUAUUAUAUUACCCCUUUUGGAUGUUUAUGGGCUUUAUUUUACACAUUUAUAUCAUUUUUGGGACUAACCUACUAACCGGAGGCCCAGCCCAUAUUGUUGUUUUUUUUGCCUAUUUCAGUAUUUCGAAGAAAAGGAAUAUCAAACGGAGUCCAAACGGAAUAAAACCUUCGAGAGCGUGAUUUUUGGAGCGAACGUGAUCCGGAGAGCUUGGAGUGCAAGUCAAGAAGCUGUCGAGGAAGCCACGAGAUAGGAGGCCGCCCCCCUGUAGGGCAUGCCCCCUGUCUCAUGGGCCCCUCGGGCGUCCACCAACGUACUUCUUCCUCCUAUAUAUACCUACAUACCUCAAAAACAUCCAGGAGCACCACGAAACACAAUUUCCACCGCCGCAACCUUCUGUAUCUACGAGAUCUCAUCUUGGAGCCUUCGCUGGCACUCUGCCGGAGGGGGAAUCGACAAUGGAGGGCUUCUACAUCAACAUCCUUGCCCCUCUGAUGAGUUGUGAGUAGUUUACCACAGACCUACGGGUCCAUAGUUAUUAGCUAGAUGGCUUAUUCUCUCUUUUUGGAUCUCAAUACAAUGUUCUCCCCCUCUCUUGUGGAUAUCUAUUCGAUGUAAACUCUUUUUGCGGUGUGUUUGUCGAGAUCCGAUGAAUUGUGGGUUUAUGAUCAAGUUUAUCUAUGAAUAAUAUUUGAAUCUUCUCUGAAUUCUUUUAUGUAUGAUUGAGUUAUCUUUGCAAGUCUCUUCGAAUUAUCGGUUUGCUUUGGCCUACUAGAUUGAUCUUUCUUGCCAUGGGAGAAGUGCUUAGCUUUGGGUUCAAUCUUGCGGUGUUCUUACCUAGUGACAGAAAGGGUUGCAGGACACGUAUUGAAUUGUUGCCAUCGAGGAUAACAAGAUGGGGUUUAUAUCAUAUUGCAUGAGUUUAUCCCUCUACAUCAUGUCAUCUUGCUUAAUGUGUUACUCUGUUCUUAUGAACUUAAUACUCUAGAUGCAGGCAGGAGUCGGUCGAUGUGUGGAGUAAUAGUAGUAGAUGCAGGCAGGAGUCGGUCUACUUGUUAUGGACGUGAUGCCUAUAUACAUGAUCAUGCCUAGAUAAUCUCAUAACUAUGCGCUUUUCUAUCAAUUGCUCGACAGUAAUUUGUUCACCCACCAUAAUACUUAUGCUAUCUUGAGAGAAGCCUCUAGUGAAACCUAUGGCCCCCGGGUCUAUCUCUUAUCAUAUUUGCUUUCAAUCUACUUUUAUUUGCAUCUUUACUUUUUGCAUCUAUAUUAUAAAAUACCAACAAUAUAUUUAUCUUAUCAUACUAUCUCUAUCAGAUCUCACUUUCGCAAGUGGCCAUGAAGGGAUUGACAACCCCUUUAUUGCGUUGGUUGCGAGUUCUCAGUUUGUUUGUGUAGGUGUGUGGGACUUUUGAGGAGCCUCCUACUGGAUUGAUACCUUGGUUCUCAAAACUGAGGGAAAUACUUACGCUACACUUGCUGCAUCACCCUCUCCUCUUCGAGGAAAACCAACGCAAGCUCAAGACGUAGCAAGAAGGAUUUCUGGCGCCGUUGCCGGGGAGGUCUUCGCUCAAGUCAAGACAUACCAAGUACCCAUCACAAACCCAUCUCCCUCGCAUUUACAUUAUUUGCCAUUUGCCUCUCGUUUUCCUCUCCCCCACUUCACCCUUGCCGUUUUAUUCUCCCUCUCUUUCCCAAUCUCCUCCUCUCUUUUUCGCUCGCUUUCUUCCGCCUUGCUUUCGUUUGCCGCUAUGUCUGAAAUUGGGGAGAUUAUCAUCGAUAUGGACAAUAAUGAUAACAUAGAAAAUCCCGAGGCUCCGGCCGAUGAACCCCCUAUUUUGCAUACUAAAAAGUUUCGAAUCGGUAGUGGUAACAUCAUUGGCAAAGGUGUUAUUCAAGAUUUCUUUACUUGUGCCGGUGCUUUACCUUCCAUGGGUUGUUCUAUUCUUCAUAGAACUAGUAGUCUUGCGGAUGCUAUCGCUAUGCUUGUAGUUGAACUUGAAAGACAAUUUAUGCAUAUGCAUCCUUGCAUACAAAGAAUUUUGCUAGAAUUCUCUAAUAUUGAGCAUUCUUCUGUUAAGCGCGCUGUUACUAUCUUUUUGGCUCAUGAGUUUAGAUUUAUCAUAAGAGAGGCCAAAGAAAUCUUUGCGCACUAUAGGGUGGACGCCGGUCGUCCUCCCAUAGAGGCGAUCCUAUAUGAUCAAGAGGAAUUUAGACGUUUUCAAUCUCCUGACUAUGUCGCUUUUAAUGAAAACCUUAGAAAAAAGGUUCCAACCAAUGUCUUGAUUGAUUGCAUUAACGAACUUAAUAAUGUUUUUGCUCUUCGAAACAAUGAGCUAGGAAACUAUCUUGAGUAUAGGCUCACAAGAUUUUGCCAAAAGAAUGCUUUGAGUGAUGAAAUAGUUGUGCACUAUGAAGGGCCGAAGGAGGAACCCGUUCCUCCAUUGAUUGAUCUUGGGGACCUUUUGUUGGAAAUAUGCCCUAGAGGCAAUAAUAAAAGUGUUAUUAUUAUAUUUCUUUGUUCAUGAUAAUAGUCUUUUAUUCAUGCUAUAACUGUAUUAUCCGAAAAUCGUAAUACACGUGUGAAUACAUAGACCACAAUAUGUCCCUAGUGAGCCUCUAGUUGACUAGCUCGUUGUGAUCAAUAGAUAGUCAUGGUUUCCUGGCUAUGGACAUUGGAUGUCGUUGAUAACGGGAUCACAUCAUUAGGAGAAUGAUGUGAUGGACAAGACCCAAUCCUAAGACUAGCACAAAAGAUCGUGUAGUUCAUUUGCUAGAGCUUUGCCAAUGUCAAGUAUCUCCUCCUUUGACCAUGAGAUCGUGUAACUCCUGGAUACCGUAGGAGUGCUUUGGGUGUAUCAAACGUCACAACGUAACUGGGUGACUAUAAAGGUGCACUACAGGUAUCUCCGAAAGUAUCUAUUGUUUUAUGCGGAUCGAGACUGGGAUUUGUCACUCCGUGUAAACGGAGAGGUAUCUCUGGGCCCACUCGGUAGGACAUCAUCAUAUGCGCAAUGUGACCAAGGAGUUGAUCACGGGAUGAUGUGUUACGGAACGAGUAAAGUGACUUGCCGGUAACGAGAUUGAACAAGGUAUUGGAUACCGACGAUCGAAUCUCGGGCAAGUAAAAUACCGCUAGACAAAGGGAAUUGUAUACGGGAUCGAUUGAGUCCUUGACAUCAUGGUUCAUCCGAUGAGAUCAUCGUGGAACAUGUGGGAGCCAACAUGGGUAUCCAGAUCCCGCUGUUGGUUAUUGACCGGAGAACGUCUCGGUCAUGUCUGCAUGUCUCCCGAACCCGUAGGGUCUACACACUUAAGGUUCGAUGACGCUAGGGUUAUAAAGGAAGCUUGUAUGUGGUUACCGAAUGUUGUUCGGAGUCCCGGAUGAGAUCCCGGACGUCACGAGGAGUUCCGGAAUGGUCCGGAGGUAAAGAUUUAUAUAUGGGAAGUCCUGUUUUGGUCACCGGAAAAGUUUUGGGCGAUAUCGGUAUUGUACCGGGACCACCGGGAGGGUCCCGGGGUCCACCAAGUGGGGCCACCUGCCCCAGAAGGCUGCGUGGGCCAAGUGUGGGAGGGGACCAGCCCCUAGGAGGGCUGGUGCGCCCCCCACAAGGAGUCCAAGGCGCAAGAGAGAGUGGGAGGGGGCAAACCCUAGUCCAGAUGGGCCUUAAGGCCCAUAUUGGUGCGCCUCCCUCUCCUCUCCCCCCUUGGCCGCCUCCCCUUUGCCAUCUAGGGCUGGCCGCACCCCUUGGGGGUGGGAAACCCUAAAGGGGGCGCAUCCCCCCCUUCCCCCUAUAUAUAGUUGAGGUUUGGGGCUGCCAUACACAUGAGUUCUCUCCCUCUUGGUGCAGCCCUGCCUCUCUUCCUCCUCUUCUCCUGUGGUGCUUGGUGAAGCCCUGCAGGAUAGCCACGCCCUCCACCACCACCACGCCGUUGUGCUGCUGCUGGAUGGAGUCUUCCUCAACCUCUCCCUCUCUCCUUGCUGGAUCAAGGCGUGGGAGACGUCACCGGGCUGUACGUGUGUUGAACGCGGAGGUGCCGUCCGUUCGGCACUUGAUCAUCGGUGAUCUGAAUCACGACGAGUACGACUCCAUCAACCCCAUUCACUUGAACGCUUCCGCUUAGCGAUCUACAAGGGUAUGUAGAUGCACUCUCCUUCUACUCGUAGCUGGUUUCUCCAUAGAUAGAUCUUGGUGACGCGUAGGAAAAUUUUGAAUUUCUGCUACGUUCCCCAACAGUGGCAUCAUGAGCUAGGUCUAUUGCGUAGAUUCUUUGCACGAGUAGAACACAAAGUAGUUGUGGGCGUUGAUGUUGUUCAAUAUGCUUACCGUUACUAGUCCAAUCUUGUUUCGAUGGUAUUGUGGGAUGAAGCGGCCCGGACCGACCUUACACGUACUCUUACGUGAGACAGGUUCCACCGAUUGACAUGCACUUGGUGCAUAAGGUGGCUAGCGGGUGCCGGUCUCUCCCACUUUAGUCGGAACAGAUUCGAUGAAAAGGGUCCUUAUGAAGGGUAAAUAGCAAUUGGCAUAUCACGUUGUGGUCUUGCGUAGGUAAGAAAUGUUCUUGCUAGAAACCCAUAGCAGCCACGUAAAACAUGCAAACAACAAUUAGAGGACGUCUAACUUGUUUUUGCAGGGUAUGCUAUGUGAUGUGAUAUGGCCAAAAGGAUGUGAUGAAUGAUAUAUGUGAUGUAUGAGAUUGAUCAUGUUCUUGUAAUAGGAUUCACGACUUGCAUGUCGAUGAGUAUGACAACCGGUAGGAGCCAUAGGAGUUGUCUUUAUUUAUUGUAUGACCUGCGUGUCAUUGAAGAACGCCAUGUAAACUACUUUACUUUAUUGCUAAACGCGUUAGUCAUAGAAGUAGAAGUAGUCGUUGGCGUGACAACUUCAUGAAGACAUGAUGAUGGAGAUCAUGAUGAUGGAGAUCAUGGUGUCAAGCCGGUGACAAGAUGAUCAUGGAGCCCCGAAGAUGGAGAUCAAUGGAGCUAUAUGAUAUUGGCCAUAUCAUGUCACAACUAUAUAAUUGCAUGUGAUGUUUAUUAUGUUUAUGCAUCUUGUUUACUUAGGACGACGGUAGUAAAUAAGAUGAUCCCUUACAAAAUUUCAAGAAGUCUUCUCCCCUAACUGUGCACCGUUGCUACAGUUCGUCGCUUCUAAGCACCACGUGAUGAUCGGGUGUGAUGGAUUCUUACGUUCACAUACAACGGGUGUAAGACAGUUUUACACAGCGAAAACACUUAGGGUUAACUUGACGAGCCUAGCAUGUGCAGACAUGGCCUCGGAACACGGAGACCGAAAGGUCGAGCAUGAGUCGUAUAGUAGAUACGAUCAACAUGAAGAUGUUCACCGAUGAUGACUAGUCCGUCUCACGUGAUGAUCGGACACGGCCUAGUUGACUUGGAUCAUGUAAUCACUUAGAUGACCAGAGGGAUGUCUAUCUGAGUGGGAGUUCAUAAGAUGAACUUAAUUAUCCUGAACAUAGUCAAAAGACCUUUUGCAAAUUAUGUCGCAGCUCGCGCUAUAGUUCUACAGUUUAGAUAUGUUCCUAGAGAAAAUUAUAGUUGAAAGUUGAUAAUAGCGAUUAUGCGAUCAGUAGAAAGCUUAUGUCCUCAAUGCACCGCUCAGUGUGCUGAACCCCAAUCGUCGUCUGUGGAUGUUGCGAACAUCGGACAUACAUGUCUUGAUAACUACGUGAUAGUUCAGUUAAACGGUUUAGAGUUGAGGCACGAAAGACGUUUUCGAAACAUCGCGAAACAUAUGAGAUGCUUCGAGGGCUGAAAUUGGGAUUUCAGGCUCGUGCCCAUGUCAAGAGGUAUGAGACCUCCGACGAUUUUCUUAGCCUGCAAAGUAAGGGAGAAAAGCUCAAUCGUUGAGCUUGUGCUCAAAUUGUCUGAGUGCAACAAUCACUUGAAUCGAGUGGGAGUUGAUCUUCCAGAUGAGAUAGUGACGUUUCCCCAAAAGUCAUUGCCACCAAGCUGCUAGAGCUUCGUGAUGAACUAUAACAUAUCAAGGAUAGAGAUGAUGAUCCUUGAGGUAUUCACGUUGUUUGACAUCGCGAAAGUAGAAAUCAAGAAGGAGCAUCAAUUGUUGAUGGUUGAUGAAACCACUAGUUUCAAGAAGGGCAAGGGAACGAAGGGAUACUUCAUGAAACGGCAAAUCAGCUGCUGCUCUAGUGAAGAAACCCAAGGUUGAACCCAAACCCGAGACUAAGUGCUUCUGUAAUAAGGGGAACAGUCACUAGAGCGGAAUUACCCUAGAUACUUGGUAGAUGAGAAGGCUGGCAAGGUCGAUAGAAGUAUAUUGGAUAUACAUUAUGUUAAUGUGUACUUUACUAGUACUCCUAGUAGCACCAGGGUAUUAGAUACCGGUUCGGUUGCUAAGUGUUAGUAACUCGAAAUAAAAGCUACGGAAUAAAACGGAGACUGGCUAAAGGUGAGCUGACGAUAUGUGUUGGAAGUGUUUCCAAGUUUGAUGUGAUCUAACAUCGCACGCUCCCUCUACCAUCAAGAUUAGUAUUAAACCUGAAUAAGUGCUCUUGCACCUAAAGGAAUGGUUUAUUGAAUCUUGGUCGUAGUGAUACACAUUUUCAUGCCAAAAGAUAUAAGAUAGUAAUGAUAGUACCACUUGUGGCACUGCCAUAUAAGUCAUAAUGGUAUAAAACGCAUGAAGAAGCUCCAUGUUGAUGGAUCUUUGGACUCACUCAUUUUUGAAAAGUUUGAGACAUGCGAACCAUGUCUAUUGGUGUAUAUGCAUGAAGAAACUCCAUGCAAAUGGAUCGUUCGGACUCACUUGAUUUUGAAUCACUUGAGAUAUGCAAAUCAUACCACAUGGGCAAGAUGACUGAAAAGCCUCAUUUUCAGUAAGAUGGAACAAGAUAGCAACUUGUUGGAAGUAACACAUUUUGAUGUGUGCAGUCGAAUGAGUGCUGAGGCAUGCAGUGAAUAUCAUUAUGUUCUUACUUCACAGAUGAUUCGAGUAAAUGUUGAGAAUAUUUACUUGAUAAAACACAAGUCUGAAUUAUUGAAUGGUUCAAGUAAUUUCAGAGUGAAGUAGAAGAUCAUUGUGACAAGAGGAUAAAAUGUCUAUGAUAUGAUCAUAGAGAUGAGUAUCUGAGUUACGAGUUUUGGCACACAAUUAAGACAUUGUGGAAAUUGUUUCGCAAUUAAUACCGCCUGGAACACCAUAAUGUGAUGGUGUGUCCGAACAUCAUAGUUGCACCCUAUUGGAUAUGGUGCGUACCAUGAUGUCUCUUAUCGAAUUACCACUAUCGUUCAUGGGUUAGGCAUUAGAGACAACCACAUUCACUUUAAAUAGGGCACCACGUAAUUCCGAUGAGAUGACACUGUAUGAAUUAUGGUUUAGAGAAACCUAAGUUGUCGUUUCUUAAAAGUUUGGGGCUGCGACGCUUAUAUGAAAAAGUUUCAGGUUGAUAAGCUCGAACCCAAAGCGGGUAAAAUGCAUCUUCAUAGGAAACCCAAAACAGUUGGGUAUACCUCCUAAUUCAGAUCCGAAAGCAAUAUGGAUUGUUUCUAGAAUCGGGUCCUUUCUCGAGGAAAAGUUUCUCUCGAAAAAAUUGAGUGGGAGGAUGGUGGAGACUUGAUGAGGUUAUUGAACCGUCUCUUCAACUAGUGUGUGACAGGGCACAGGGAGUUGUUCCUGUGGCACCUACACCAAUUGAAGUGGAAGCUUAUGAUAUUGAUCAUGAAACUUCGGAUCAAGUCACUACCGAACCUCGUAGGACGACAAGGACACGUACUACUUCGGAGUGGUAAGGUGAUCAUGUCUUGAAGGUCAUGUUGCUAGACAACAAUGAACCUACGAGCUAUGGAGAAGCGAUGGUGGGCCCGAAUUCCGACAAAUGGUUAGAAGCCAUGAAAUCCGAGAUAGUAUCCAUAUAUCAGAACAAAGCAUGGACUUUGAUGGACUUGCCCGAUGAUCGGCAAUCCAUUGAGAUAAAUGGAUCUUUUAAGAAGAAGACGGACGUGGAUGGUAAUGUCACCAUCUAUGAAGCUCGACUUGUGGCGAAGUGUUUUCCGACAAGUUCAAGGAGUUGACUACGAUGAGAUUUUCUCACUCGUAGCGAUGCUUAAAGUCCGUCGGAAUCAUGUUAGCAUUAGCUGCAUUUAUGAAAUCUGGCAGAUGGAUGUCAAGACAAGUUUCCUUACUAGUUUUCGUAAGGAAAGGUUGUAUGCAAUACAAUCAGAAAAGUUUUGUCGAUCCUAAGGAUGCUAAAAGGUAUGCUAGCUCCAGCGAUCCUUCUAAGGACUGGAGUAAGCAUCUCGGAGUUGGAAUGUACACUUUGAUGAGAUGAUCAAAGAUUUUGGAUUUAUACAAAGUUUAUGAGAAACUUGUAUUUCCAAAGAAGUGAGUGGGAGCACUAUAGAAUUUCUGAUGAGUAUAUGUUGUUGACAUAUUGAUGAUCAGAGAUGAUGUAGAAUUUCUAGAAAGCAUAUAGGGUUAUUUGAAAGGUGUUUUUCAAUAGAAAACCUGGAUUAAGCUACUUGAACAUUGAGCAUCAAGAUCUAUAAGGAUAGAUCAAAAUGCUUAAUAAUACUUUCAAAUGAGCACAUACCUUGACAUGAUCUUGAAGGUGUUCAAGAUGGACCAGUCAAAGAAGGAGUUCUUGCCUGAGUUGUAAGGUAUGAAGUUAAGACUUAAAGCUCGACCACGGCAGAAUAGAGAGAAAGGACGAAGGUCGUCCCCUAUGCUUAAGACGUAGGCUCUUCAGUAUGCUAUGCUGUGUACCGCACCUGAAGUGUGCCUUGCCAUGAGUCAGUCAAGGGGUACAAGAGUGAUCCAAGAAUGGCUCACAGGACAGCGGUCAAAGUUAUCCUUAGUAACUAGUGGACUAAGGAAUUUUCUCGAUUAUGGAGGUGGUAAAAGAGUUCGUCGUAAAGGUUACAUCGAUGCAAGCUUAACACCUAUCCGGAUAGCUCUGAGUAGAGAGACCGGAUACAUAUAAUGGAGCAAUAAUUUAGAAUAGCUCAAAGUAGAACAGUUGUUUGGAAUAGCUCCAAAUAGAGCGUGGUAGCUGCAUCUAGGAGAUGACAUGGAGAUUUGUAAAGCACACACGGAUCUGAAAGGUUCAGACCCGUUGACUAAAACCUCUCUCACAAGCAACAUGAUCAAACAUAAAUCUCAUUGAGUGUUAAUCACAUAGUGAUGUGAACUAGACUACUGACUCUAGUAAACUCUUGGGUAUUAGUCACAUGGCGAUGUGACCUGUGAGUGUUAAUCACAUGGUGAUGUGAACUAGAUUAUUGACUCUAGUGCAAGUGGGAGACUGUUGGAAAUAUGCCCUAGAGGCAAUAAUAAAAGUGUUAUUAUUAUAUUUCUUUGUUCAUGAUAAUAGUCUUUUAUUCAUGCUAUAACUGUAUUAUCCGAAAAUCGUAAUACACGUGUGAAUACAUAGACCACAAUAUGUCCCUAGUGAGCCUCUAGUUGACUAGCUCGUUGUGAUCAAUAGAUAGUCAUGGUUUCCUGGCUACGGACAUUGGAUGUCGUUGAUAACGGGAUCACAUCAUCAGGAGAAUGAUGUGAUGGACAAGACCCAAUCCUAAGACUAGCACAAAAGAUCGUGUAGUUCAUUUGCUAGAGCUUUGCCAAUGUCAAGUAUCUCUUCCUUUGACCAUGAGAUCGUGUAACUCCUGGAUACCGUAGGAGUGCUUUGGGUGUAUCAAACGUCACAACGUAACUGGGUGACUAUAAAGGUGCACUACAGGUAUCUCCGAAAGUAUCUAUUGUUUUAUGCGGAUCGAGACUGGGAUUUGUCACUCCGUGUAAACGGAGAGGUAUCUCUGGGCCCACUCGGUAGGACAUCAUCAUAUGCGCAAUGUGACCAAGGAGUUGAUCACGGGAUGAUGUGUUACGGAACGAGUAAAGUGACUUGCCGGUAACGAGAUUGAACAAGGUAUUGGAUACCGACGAUCGAAUCUCGGGCAAGUAAAAUACCGCUAGACAAAGGGAAUUGUAUACGGGAUCGAUUGAGUCCUUGACAUCGUGGUUCAUCCGAUGAGAUCAUCAUGGAACAUGUGGGAGCCAACAUGGGUAUCCAGAUCCCGCUGUUGGUUAUUGACCGGAGAACGUCUCGGUCAUGUCUGCAUGUCCCCCGAACCCGUAGGGUCUACACACUUAAGGUUCGAUGACGCUAGGGUUAUAAAGGAAGCUUGUAUGUGGUUACCGAAUGUUGUUCGGAGUCCCGGAUGAGAUCCCGGACGUCACGAGGAGUUCCGGAAUGGUCCGGAGGUAAAGAUUUAUAUAUGGGAAGUCCUGUUUUGGUCACCGGAAAAGUUUCGGGCGAUAUCGGUAUUGUACCGGGACCACCGGGAGGGUCCCGGGGUCCACCAAGUGGGGCCACCUGCCCCAGAAGGCUGUGUGGGCCAAGUGUGGGAGGGGACCAGCCCCUAGGAGGGCUGGUGCGCCCCCCACAAGGAGUCCAAGGCGCAAGAGAGAGUGGGAGGGGGCAAACCCUAGUCCAGAUGGGCCUUAAGGCCCAUAUUGGUGCGCCUCCCUCUCCUCUCCCCCCUUGGCCGCCUCCCCUUUGCCAUCUAGGGCUGGCCGCACCCCUUGGGGGUGGGAAACCCUAAAGGGGGCGCAGCCCCCCCUUCCCCCUAUAUAUAGUUGAGGUUUGGGGCUGCCAUACACAUGAGUUCUCUCCCUCUUGGUGCAGCCCUGCCUCUCUUCCUCCUCCUCUUCUCCUGUGGUGCUUGGCGAAGCCCUGCAGGAUAGCCAUGCCCUCCACCACCACCACGCCGUUGUGAUGCUGCUGGAUGGAGUCUUCCUCAACCUCUCCCUCUCUCCUUGCUGGAUCAAGGCGUGGGAGACGUCACCGGGCUGUACGUGUGUUGAACGCGGAGGUGCCGUCCGUUCGGCACUUGAUCAUCGGUGAUCUGAAUCAUGACGAGUACGACUCCAUCAACCCCAUUCACUUGAACGCUUCCGCUUAGCGAUCUACAAGGGUAUGUAGAUGCACUCUCCUUCUACUCGUAGCUGGUUUCUCCAUAGAUAGAUCUUGGUGACGCGUAGGAAAAUUUUGAAUUUCUGCUACGUUCCCCAACAGUGGCAUCAUGAGCUAGGUCUAUUGCGUAGAUUCUUUGCACGAGUAGAACACAAAGUAGUUGUGGGCGUUGAUGUUGUUCAAUAUGCUUACCGUUCCUAGUCCAAUCUUGUUUCGAUGGUAUUGUGGGAUGAAGCGGCUCGGACCGACCUUACACGUACUCUUACGUGAGACAGGUUCCACCGAUUGACAUGCACUUGGUGCAUAAGGUGGCUAGCGGGUGCCGGUCUCUCCCACUUUAGUCGGAACAGAUUCGAUGAAAAGGGUCCUUAUGAAGGGUAAAUAGCAAUUGGCAUAUCACGUUGUGGUCUUGCGUAGGUAAGAAACGUUCUUGCUAGAAACCCAUAGCAGCCACGUAAAACAUGCAAACAACAAUUAGAGGACGUCUAACUUGUUUUUGCAGGGUAUGCUAUGUGAUGUGAUAUGGCCAAAAGGAUGUGAUGAAUGAUAUAUGUGAUGUAUGAGAUUGAUCAUGUUCUUGUAAUAGGAUUCACGACUUGCAUGUCGAUGAGUAUGACAACCGGCAGGAGCCAUAGGAGUUGUCUUUAUUUAUUGUAUGACCUGCGUGUCAUUGCAGAACGCCAUGUAAACUACUUUACUUUAUUGCUAAACGCGUUAGUCAUAGAAGUAGAAGUAGUCGUUGGCGUGAAAACUUCAUGAAGACACGAUGAUGGAGAUCAUGAUGAUGGAGAUCAUGGUGUCAAGCCGGUGACAAGAUGAUCAUGGAGCCCCGAAGAUGGAGAUCAAUGGAGCUAUAUGAUAUUGGCCAUAUCAUGUCACAACUAUAUAAUUGCAUGUGAUGUUUAUUAUGUUUAUGCAUCUUGUUUACUUAGGACGACGGUAGUAAAUAAGAUGAUCCCUUACAAAAUUUCAAGAAGUCUUCUCCCCUAACUGUGCACCGUUGCUACAGUUCGUCGCUUCUAAGCACCACGUGAUGAUCGGGUGUGAUGGAUUCUUACGUUCACAUACAACGGGUGUAAGACAGUUUUACACAGCGAAAACACUUAGGGUUAACUUGACGAGCCUAGCAUGUGCAGACAUGGCCUCGGAACACGGAGACCGAAAGGUCGAGCAUGAGUCGUAUAGUAGAUACGAUCAACAUGAAGAUGUUCACCGAUGAUGACUAGUCCGUCUCACGUGAUGAUCGGACACGGCCUAGUUGACUUGGAUCAUGUAAUCACUUAGAUGACCAGAGGGAUGUCUAUCUGAGUGGGAGUUCAUAAGAUGAACUUAAUUAUCCUGAACAUAGUCAAAAGACCUUUUGCAAAUUAUGUCGCAGCUCGCGCUAUAGUUCUACAGUUUAGAUAUGUUCCUAGAGAAAAUUAUAGUUGAAAGUUGAUAAUAGCGAUUAUGCGAUCAGUAGAAAGCUUAUGUCCUCAAUGCACCGCUCAGUGUGCUGAACCCCAAUCGUCGUCUGUGGAUGUUGCGAACAUCGGACAUACAUGUCUUGAUAACUACGUGAUAGUUCAGUUAAACGGUUUAGAGUUGAGGCACGAAAGACGUUUUCGAAACAUCGCGAAACAUAUGAGAUGCUUCGAGGGCUGAAAUUGGGAUUUCAGGCUCGUGCCCAUGUCAAGAGGUAUGAGACCUCCGACGAUUUUCUUAGCCUGCAAAGUAAGGGAGAAAAGCUCAAUCGUUGAGCUUGUGCUCAAAUUGUCUGAGUGCAACAAUCACUUGAAUCGAGUGGGAGUUGAUCUUCUAGAUGAGAUAGUGACGUUUCCCCAAAAGUCAUUGCCACCAAGCUGCUAGAGCUUCGUGAUGAACUAUAACAUAUCAAGGAUAGAGAUGAUGAUCCUUGAGGUAUUCGCGUUGUUUGACAUCGCGAAAGUAGAAAUCAAGAAGGAGCAUCAAUUGUUGAUGGUUGAUGAAACCACUAGUUUCAAGAAGGGCAAGGGAACGAAGGGACACUUCAUGAAACGGCAAAUCAGCUGCUGAUCUAGUGAAGAAACCCAAGGUUGAACCCAAACCCGAGACUAAGUGCUUCUGUAAUAAGGGGAACAGUCACUAGAGCGGAAUUACCCUAGAUACUUGGUAGAUGAGAAGGCUGGCAAGGUCGAUAGAAGUAUAUUGGAUAUACAUUAUGUUAAUGUGUACUUUACUAGUACUCCUAGUAGCACCAGGGUAUUAGAUACCGGUUCGGUUGCUAAGUGUUAGUAACUCGAAAUAAAAGCUACGGAAUAAAACGGAGACUGGCUAAAGGUGAGCUGACGAUAUGUGUUGGAAGUGUUUCCAAGUUUGAUGUGAUCUAACAUCGCACGCUCCCUCUACCAUCAAGAUUAGUAUUAAACCUGAAUAAGUGCUCUUGCACCUAAAGGAAUGGUUUAUUGAAUCUUGGUCGUAGUGAUACACAUUUUCAUGCCAAAAGAUAUAAGAUAGUAAUGAUAGUACCACUUACUUGUGGCACUGCCAUAUAAGUCAUAAUGGUAUAAAACGCAUGAAGAAGCUCCAUGUUGAUGGAUCUUUGGACUCACUCAUUUUUGAAAAGUUUGAGACAUGCGAACCAUGUCUAUUGGUGUAUAUGCAUGAAGAAACUCCAUGCAAAUGGAUCGUUCGGACUCACUUGAUUUUGAAUCACUUGAGAUAUGCAAAUCAUACCACAUGGGCAAGAUGACUGAAAAGCCUCAUUUUCAGUAAGAUGGAACAAGAUAGCAACUUGUUGGAAGUAACACAUUUUGAUGUGUGCAGUCGAAUGAGUGCUGAGGCAUGCAGUGAAUAUCAUUAUGUUCUUACUUCACAGAUGAUUCGAGUAAAUGUUGAGAAUAUUUACUUGAUGAAACACAAGUCUGAAUUAUUGAAUGGUUCAAGUAAUUUCAGAGUGAAGUAGAAGAUCAUUGUGACAAGAGGAUAAAAUGUCUAUGAUAUGAUCAUAGAGAUGAGUAUCUGAGUUACGAGUUUUGGCACACAAUUAAGACAUUGUGGAAAUUGUUUCGCAAUUAAUACCGCCUGGAACACCAUAAUGUGAUGGUGUGUCCGAACAUCAUAGUUGCACCCUAUUGGAUAUGGUGCGUACCAUGAUGUCUCUUAUCGAAUUACCACUAUCGUUCAUGGGUUAGGCAUUAGAGACAACCACAUUCACUUUAAAUAGGGCACCACGUAAUUCCGAUGAGAUGACACUGUAUGAAUUAUGGUUUAGAGAAACCUAAGUUGUCGUUUCUUAAAAGUUUGGGGCUGCGACGCUUAUAUGAAAAAGUUUCAGGUUGAUAAGCUCGAACCCAAAGCGGGUAAAAUGCAUCUUCAUAGGAAACCCAAAACAGUUGGGUAUACCUCCUAAUUCAGAUCCGAAAGCAAUAUGGAUUGUUUCUAGAAUCGGGUCCUUUCUCGAGGAAAAGUUUCUCUCGAAAAAAUUGAGUGGGAGGAUGGUGGAGACUUGAUGAGGUUAUUGAACCGUCUCUUCAACUAGUGUGUGACAGGGCACAGGGAGUUGUUCCUGUGGCACCUACACCAAUUGAAGUGGAAGCUUAUGAUAUUGAUCAUGAAACUUCGGAUCAAGUCACUACCGAACCUCGUAGGACGACAAGGACACGUACUACUUCGGAGUGGUAAGGUGAUCAUGUCUUGAAGGUCAUGUUGCUAGACAACAAUGAACCUACGAGCUAUGGAGAAGCGAUGGUGGGCCCGAAUUCCGACAAAUGGUUAGAAGCCAUGAAAUCCGAGAUAGUAUCCAUAUAUCAGAACAAAGCAUGGACUUUGAUGGACUUGCCCGAUGAUCGGCAAUCCAUUGAGAUAAAUGGAUCUUUUAAGAAGAAGACGGACGUGGAUGGUAAUGUCACCAUCUAUGAAGCUCGACUUGUGGCGAAGUGUUUUCCGACAAGUUCAAGGAGUUGACUACGAUGAGAUUUUCUCACUCGUAGCGAUGCUUAAAGUCCGUCGGAAUCAUGUUAGCAUUAGCUGCAUUUAUGAAAUCUGGCAGAUGGAUGUCAAGACAAGUUUCCUUACUAGUUUUCGUAAGGAAAGGUUGUAUGCAAUACAAUCAGAAAAGUUUUGUCGAUCCUAAGGAUGCUAAAAGGUAUGCUAGCUCCAGCGAUCCUUCUAAGGACUGGAGUAAGCAUCUCGGAGUUGGAAUGUACACUUUGAUGAGAUGAUCAAAGAUUUUGGAUUUAUACAAAGUUUAUGAGAAACUUGUAUUUCCAAAGAAGUGAGUGGGAGCACUAUAGAAUUUCUGAUGAGUAUAUGUUGUUGACAUAUUGAUGAUCAGAGAUGAUGUAGAAUUUCUAGAAAGCAUAUAGGGUUAUUUGAAAGGUGUUUUUCAAUAGAAAACCUGGAUUAAGCUACUUGAACAUUGAGCAUCAAGAUCUAUAAGGAUAGAUCAAAAUGCUUAAUAAUACUUUCAAAUGAGCACAUACCUUGACAUGAUCUUGAAGGUGUUCAAGAUGGACCAGUCAAAGAAGGAGUUCUUGCCUGAGUUGUAAGGUAUGAAGUUAAGACUUAAAGCUCGACCACGGCAGAAUAGAGAGAAAGGACGAAGGUCGUCCCCUAUGCUUAAGACGUAGGCUCUUCAGUAUGCUAUGCUGUGUACCGCACCUGAAGUGUGCCUUGCCAUGAGUCAGUCAAGGGGUACAAGAGUGAUCCAAGAAUGGCUCACAGGACAGCGGUCAAAGUUAUCCUUAGUAACUAGUGGACUAAGGAAUUUUCUCGAUUAUGGAGGUGGUAAAAGAGUUCGUCGUAAAGGUUACAUCGAUGCAAGCUUAACACCUAUCCGGAUAGCUCUGAGUAGAGAGACCGGAUACAUAUAAUGGAGCAAUAAUUUAGAAUAGCUCAAAGUAGAACAGUUGUUUGGAAUAGCUCCAAAUAGAGCGUGGUAGCUGCAUCUAGGAGAUGACAUGGAGAUUUGUAAAGCACACACGGAUCUGAAAGGUUCAGACCCGUUGACUAAAACCUCUCUCACAAGCAACAUGAUCAAACAUAAAUCUCAUUGAGUGUUAAUCACAUAGUGAUGUGAACUAGACUACUGACUCUAGUAAACUCUUGGGUAUUAGUCACAUGGCGAUGUGACCUGUGAGUGUUAAUCACAUGGCGAUGUGAACUAGAUUAUUGACUCUAGUGCAAGUGGGAGACUAUUGGAAAUAUGCCCUAGAGGCAAUAAUAAAAGUGUUAUUAUUAUAUUUCUUUGUUCAUGAUAAUAGUCUUUUAUUCAUGCUAUAACUGUAUUAUCCGAAAAUCGUAAUACACGUGUGAAUACAUAGACCACAAUAUGUCCCUAGUGAGCCUCUAGUUGACUAGCUCGUUGUGAUCAACAGAUAGUCAUGGUUUCCUGGCUAUGGACAUUGGAUGUCGUUGAUAACGGGAUCACAUCAUUAGGAGAAUGAUAUGAUGGACAAGACCCAAUCCUAAGACUAGCACAAAAGAUCGUGUAGUUCAUUUGCUAGAGCUUUGCCAAUGUCAAGUAUCUCUUCCUUUGACCAUGAGAUCGUGUAACUCCUGGAUACCGUAGGAGUGCUUUGGGUGUAUCAAACGUCACAACGUAACUGGGUGACUAUAAAGUGUUGGAAAUAUGCCCUAGAGGCAAUAAUAAAUUGAUUAUUAUUAUAUUUCCUUGUUCAUGAUAAUCGUUUAUUAUCCAUGCUAGAAUUGUAUUGAUAGGAAACUCAGAUACAUGUGUGGAUACAUAGACAACACCAUGUCCCUAGUAAGCCUCUAGUUGACUAGCUCGUUAAUCAAUAGAUGGUUACGGUUUCCUGACCAUGGACAUUGGAUGUCGUUGAUAACGGGAUCACAUCAUUAGGAGAAUGAUGUGAUGGACAAGACCCAAUCCUAAGCCUAGCACAAGAUCAUGUAGUUCGUAUGCUAAAGCUUUUCUAAUGUCAAGUAUCAUUUCCUUAGACCAUGAGAUUGUGCAACUCCCGGAUACCGUAGGAGUGCUUUGGGUGUACCAAACGUCACAACGUAACUGGGUGGCUAUAAAGGUACACUACGGGUAUCUCUGAAAGUGUCUGUUGGGUUGGCACGAAUCGAGAUUGGGAUUUGUCACUCCGUGUAAACGGAGAGGUAUCUCUGGGCCCACUCGGUAGGACAUCAUCAUAAUGUGCACAAUGUGACCAAGGGGUUGAUCACGGGAUGAUGUGUUACGGAACGAGUAAAGAGACUUGCCGGUAACGAGAUUGAACAAGGUAUCGGUAUACCGACGAUCGAAUCUCGGGCAAGUACCAUACCGCUAGACAAAGGGAAUUGUAUACGGGAUUGAUUAAGUCCUUGACAUCGUGGUUCAUCCAAUGAGAUCAUCGUGGAACAUGUGGGAGCCAUCAUGGGUAUCCAGAUCCCGCUGUUGGUUAUUGACCGGAGAACGUCUCGGUCAUGUCUGCAUGUCUCUCGAACCCGUAGGGUCUACACACUUAAGGUUCGAUGACGCUAGGGUUAUAAAGGAAGUUUGUAUGUGGUUACCGAAUGUUGUUCGGAGUCCCGGAUGAGAUCCCGGACGUCACGAGGAGUUCCGGAAUGGUCCGGAGGUAAAGAUUUAUAUAUAGGAAGUCCUGUUUCGGCCAUCGGGACAAGUUUCGGGGUCAUCGGUAUUGUACCGGGACCACCGGAAGGGUCCCGGGGGCCCACCGGGUGGGGCCACCUGCCCCGGGGGGCCACAUGGGCUGUAGGGGGUGCGCCUUGGCCUACAUGGGCCAAGGGCACCAGCCCCUAGAGGCCCAUGCGCCAAGAUAUAGGAAAAAGGGGAGAGUCCUAAAGGGGGAAGGCACCUCCGAGGUGCCUUGGGGAGGAUGGACUCCUCCCCCCCCUCUUAGCCGCACCCCUUCCUUGGAGGAAGGGGCAAGGCUGCGCCUCCCCCCUCUCCCCUGCCCCUAUAUAUAGUGGAGGGGAGGGAGGGCAUCCAUACAUGAGCCCUUGGCGCCUCCCUCCCUCCCGUGACACCUCCUCCUCUCCCGUAGGUGCUUGGCGAAGCCCUGCAGGAUUGCCACGCUCCUCCAUCACCACCACGCCGUUGUGCUGCUGCUGGAUGGAGUCUUCCUCAACCUCUCCCUCUCUCCUUGCUGGAUCAAGGCGUGGGAGACAUCGUCGAGCUAUACGUGUGUUGAACGCGGAGGUGCUGUCCGUUCGGCACUAGAUCAUCGGUGAUUUGAAUCACGACGAGUACGACUCCAUCAACCCCGUUCACUUGAACGCUUCCGCUUAGCGAUCUACAAGGGUAUGUAGAUGCACUCUCCUUUCUACUCGUUGCUGGUUUCUCCAUAGAUAGAUCUUGGUGACACGUAGGAAAAUUUUGAAUUUCUGCUACGUUCCCCAACAGUGGCAUCAUGAGCUAGGUCUAUUGCGUAGAUUCUUUGCACGAGUAGAACACAAAGUAGUUGUGGGCGUCGAUAUUGUUCAAUAUGCUUGCCGUUACUAGUCUUAUCUUGAUUCGGCGGCAUCGUGGGAUGAAGCGGCCCGGACCAACCUUACACGUACGCUUACGUGAGACCGGUUCCACCGACAAACAUGCACUAGUUGCAUAAGGUGGCUGGCGGGUGUCUGUCUCUCCCACUUUAGUCGGAUCGGAUUCGAUGAAAAGGGUCCUUAUGAAGGGCAAAUAGCAAUUGGCAUAUCACGUUGUGGUUCAUGCGUAGGUAAGAAACGUUCUUGCUAGAAACCCAUAGCAGCCACGUAAAACAUGCAAACAACAAUUAGAGGACGUCUAACUUGUUUUUGCAGGGUAUGCUAUGUGAUGUGAUAUGGCCAAAAAGGAUGUGAUGAAUGAUAUAUGUGAUGUAUGAGAUUGAUGAUGUUCUUGUAAUAGGAAUCACGACUUGCAUGUCGAUGAGUAUGACAACCGGCAGGAGCCAUAGGAGUUGUCUUUAUUUAUUUGUGACCUGCGUGUCAACUUAAACGUCAUGUAAUUACUUUACUUUAUUGCUAACCAUUAGCCAUAGUAGUAGAAGUAAUAGUUGGCGAGGCAACUUCAUGAAGACACGAUGAUGGAGAUCAUGAUGAUGGAGAUCAUGGUGUCAUGCCGGUGACGAUGAUGAUCAUGGAGCCCCGAAGAUGGAGAUCAAAAGGAGCAAAAUGAUAUUGGCCAUAUCAUGUCACUAUUUGAUUGCAUGUGAUGUUUAUCAUGUUUAUACAUCUUAUUUGCUUAGAACGACGGUAGUAAAUAAGAUGAUCCCUUACAACAAUUUCAAGAAGUGUUCUCCCCUAACUGUGCACCGUUGCGACAGUUCGUGUUUCGAAGCACCACGUGAUGAUCGGGUGUUAGAUUCUAACGUUCACAUACAACGGGUGUAAGACAGAUUUACACACGCGAAACACUUAGGGUUAACUUGAUGAGCCUAGCAUGUACAGACAUGGCCUCGGAACACGGAGACCGAAAGGUCGAGCAUGAGUCGUAUAGAAGAUACGAUCAACAUGAAGAUGUUCACCGAUGAUGACUAGUCCGUCUCACGUGAUGAUCGGACACGGCCUAAAUUGACUCGGAUCAUGUAAUCACUUAGAUGACUAGAGGGAUGUCUAUCUGAGUGGGAGUUCAUAAGAUGAACUUAAUUAUCCUGAACAUAGUCAAAAGGAUUUUGCAAAUUAUGUCGUAGCUCACGCUAUAGUUCUACUGUUUAGAUAUGUUCCUAGAGAAAAAUUAGAUGAAAGUUGAUAGUAGCAAUUAUGCGGACUAGGUCCGUAAACUAAGGAUUGUCCUCAUUGCUUCAUAGAAGGCUUAUGUCCUUAAUGCACUGCUCAGUGUGCUGAACCUCGAACGUUGUCUGUGGUUGUUGCGAACAUCUGACAUACACGUUUUGAUAACUACGUGAUAGUUCAGUUAAACGGUUUAGAGUUGAGGCACCAAAGACAUUUUUGAAACGUCGCGAAACAUAUGAGAUGUUUUGAGGGCUGAAAUUGGGAUUUCAGGCUCGUGCCCAUGUCAAGAGGUAUAAGACCUCCGAUGACUUUCUUAACCUGCAAACUAAGGAGAAAAGCUCAAUUGUUGAGCUUGUGCUCAGAUUGUCUGAGUACAACAAUCAUUUGAAUCGAGUGGGAGUUGAUCUUCCAGAUAAGACAGUGAUGGUUCUCCAAAGUCAUUGCCACCAAGCUAUUAGAGCUUCAUGAUGAACUAUAACAUAUCAGGGAUAGAUAUGAUAAUCCUUGAGGUAUUCGCGAUGUUUGACACCGCGAAAGUAGAAAUCAAGAAGGAGCAUCAAUUGUUGAUGGUUGGUGAAACCACUAGUUUCAAGAAGGGCAAGGGCAAGAAGGGAUACUUCAUGAAACGGCAAAUCAGCUGCUGCUCUAGUGAAGAAACCCAAGGUAAAACCCAAACCCGAGACUAAGUGCUUCUGUAAUAAGGGGAACAACCACUAGAGCAGAAUUACCCUAGAUACUUGGUAGAUAAGAAGGCUGGCAAGGUCGAUAGAAGUAUAUUGGAUAUACAUUGUGUUAAUGUGUACUUUGCUAGUACUCCUAGUAGCACCAGGGUAUUAGAUACCGGUUCGGUUGCUAAGUGUUAGUAACUCGAAACAAAAGGCUACGGAAUAAACGGAGACUAGCAAAAGGUGAGCUGACGAUAUGUGUUGGAAGUUUUCCAAGCCUGAUAUGAUCAAGCAUCGCACGCUCCCUCUACCAAAGAGAUUGGUGUUAAACCUAAAUAAUUGUUAUUUGGUGUUUGCGUUGAGCAUAGACAUGAUUGGAUUACGUCUAUCGCAAUACGGUUAUUCAUUUAAGGAGAAUAAUGGUUACUCUGUUUAUUUGAAUAAUACCUUCAAUGGUCUUACACCUAAAAUGAAUGGUUUAUUAAAACUCGAUCAUAGUAAUACACAUGUUCAUGCCAAAAGAUAGUAAUGAUAGUACCACCUACUUGUGGCACUGCCACGUAAGUCAUAUCGGUAUAAAACGCAUGAAGAAGCUCCAUAUUGAUGGAUCUUUGGGCUCACUCGUUUUUGAAAAGUUUCAGACUUGUGUGCAGUCCAAUGAGUGCUGAGGCAUGCAGUGAAUAUCGUUAUGUUCUUACUUCACAGAUGAUUCGAGUAGAUGUUGAGUAUAUUUACUUGAUGAAUCACGAGUCUGAAUUAUUGAAAGGUUCAAGUAAUUUCAGUGUGAAGUUGAAAGAUCGUCGUGACAAGAGGAUAAAAUAUCUAUGAUAUGAUCAUAGAGAUGAAUAUCUGAAUCACGAGUUUGGCACAGAAUUAAGACAUUGUGGAAAUUGUUUCACAACUGAUACAGCCUGGAACACCAUAGUGUGAUGGUGUGUCCAAACGUCAUAGUUGCACCCUAUUGGAUAUGGUGCAUACCAUGAUGUCUCUUCUCGAGUUACCACUAUCGUUCAUGGGUUAGGCAUUAGAGACAACCACAUUCACUUUAAAUAGGGCACCACAUAAUUUCGUUGAGACGACACCGUAUGAACUAUGGUUUGGAGAAACCUAAGUUGUCGUUUCUUGAAAGUUUGGGGCUGCGACGCUUAUGUGAAAAGGUUUCGGGUUGAUAAGCUCGAACCCAAAGCAGAUAAAAUGCAUCUUCAUAGGACACCCAAAAACAGUUGGGUAUACCUCCUAAUUCAGAUCCGAAAGCAAUAGGGAUUGUUUCUUGAAUCGGGUCCUUUUUCGAGGAAAGGUUUCUCUCGAAAGAAUUGAGUGGGAGGAUGGUGGAGACUUGAUGAGGUUAUUGAACCGUCACUUCAACAAGUGUGUAGCAGGGCACAGGAAGUUGUUCCUGUGGCACGUACACCAACUGAAGUGGAAGCUUAUGAUAGUGAUCAUGAAACUUCGGAUCGAGUCACUACCAAACCUCGUGGGAUGACAAGGAUGCGUACUACUUCAGAGUGGUACAGUAAUCCUGUCUUGGAAGUCAUGUUGCUAGACAACAAUGAACCUACGAGCUAUGGAGAAGCGAUGGUGGGCCCGGAUUCCGAUAAAUGGCUCAAGGCCAUAAAACCCGAGAGAGGAUCCAUGUAUGAAAACAAAGUGUAGACUUUGGAAGAACUACUUGAUGGUCGUAAGGCUGUUAGGUACAUAUGGAUUUUGAAAGGAAGACAGACAAUGAUGGUAAGUGUCACCAUUGAGAAAGCUCGACUUGUCGUUAAGAUGUUUUUCGACAAGUUCAAGGAGUUGACUACGAUGAGACCUUCUCACUCGUAGCGAUGCUAAGAGUCUGUUGGAAUUAUAUUAGCAAUUACUGCAUUAUUUAUGAAAUCUUGCAGAUAGGAUGUCAAAACAUUGUUUCCUCGACGAUUCUUGAGGAAAGGUUGUAUGUGAUACAACCAGAAGGUUUUGUCUAUCCUGAAAUAUGCUAAUAAGUAUGCAAAGCUCCAGCAAUCCUUCUGAGGACUGGAGUGAGCAUCUCGGAGUUGGAAUGUAUGCUUUGAUGAUGAUCAAAGAUUUUGGGUGUAUACAAAGUUUAUGAGAAACUUGUAUUUCCAAAGAAGUGAGUGGGAACACUAUAGAAUUUCUGAUGAGUAUAUGUUGUUGACAUAUUAAUGAUCAGAAAUGACGUAGAAUUUCUGGAAAGCAUAUAGGGUUAUUUGGAAAGUGUUUUCAAUGGAAAACCUGGAUUAAGCUACUUGAACAUUGAGCAUCAAGAUCUAUAAGGAUAGAUCAAAAUGCUUAAUAAUACUUUCAAAUGAGCACAUGCCUUGACGUGAUCUUGAAGGUGUUCAAGAUGGAUCAGUCAAAGAAGGAGUUAUUGCCUGAGUUGUAAGGUAUGAAGUUAAGACUUAAAGCUCGACCAUGGCAGAAUAGAGAGAAAGGAACAAAGGUCGUCCCCUAUGCUUAAGACAUAGGCUCUACAGUAUGCUAUGCUGUGUACCGCACCUGAAGUGUGCUUUACCAUGAGUCAGUCAAGGGGUACAAGAGUGAUCCAAGAAUGGAUCACAGGACAGCGGUCAAAGUUAUCCUUAGUAACUAGUGGACUAAGGAAUUUUCUCAAUUAUGGAGGUGGUAAAAGAGUUUGUCGUAAAGGGUUACGUCGAUGCAAGCUUAACACCUAUCCGGAUAGCUCUGAGUAGAGAUACCGGAUACGUAUAAUGGAACAACAAUUUAGAAUAGCUCCAAGUAGAACAGUUAUUUGGAAUAGCUCCAAAUAGAACGUGGUAGCUGCAUCUAGGAGAUGACAUAGAGAUUUGUAAAGCACACACGGAUCUAAAAGGUUCAGACCCGUUGACUAUAACCUCUCUCACAAGCAUAACAUGAUCAAACCCAGAACUCAUCGAGUGUUAAUCACAUGGUAAAUGUGAACUAGAUUAUUGACUCUAGUAAACUCUUUGGGUGUUAGUCACAUGGGGAUGUGACCUUGAGUGUUAAUCACAUAUCGAUGUGAACUAGAUUAUUGACUCUAGUGCAAGUGGGAGACUGUUGGAAAUAUGCCCUAGAGGCAAUAAUAAAUUGAUUAUUAUUAUAUUUCCUUGUUCAUGAUAAUCGUUUAUUAUCCAUGCUAGAAUUGUAUUGAUAGGAAACUCAGAUACAUGUGUGGAUACAUAGACAACACCAUGUCCCUAGUAAGCCUCUAGUUGACUAGCUCGUUAAGCAAUAGAUGGUUACGGUUUCCUGACCAUGGACAUUGGAUGUCGUUGAUAACGGGAUCACAUCAUUAGGAGAAUGAUGUGAUGGACAAGACCCAAUCCUAAGCCUAGCACAAGAUCAUGUAGUUCGUAUGCUAAAGCUUUUCUAAUGUCAAGUAUCAUUUCCUUAGACCAUGAGAUUGUGCAACUCCCGGAUACCGUAGGAGUGCUUUGGGUGUACCAAACGUCACAACGUAACUGGGUGGCUAUAAAGGUACACUACGGGUAUCUCUGAAAGUGUCUGUUGGGUUGGCACGAAUCGAGAUUAGGAUUUGUCACUCCGUGUAAACGGAGAGGUAUCUCUGGGCCCACUCGGUAGGACAUCAUCAUAAUGUGCACAAUGUGACCAAGGGGUUGAUCACGGGAUGAUGUGUUACGGAACGAGUAAAGAGACUUGCCGGUAACGAGAUUGAACAAGGUAUCGGUAUACCGACGAUCGAAUCUCGGGCAAGUACCAUACCGCUAGACAAAGGGAAUUGUAUACGGGAUUGAUUAAGUCCUUGACAUCGUGGUUCAUCCGAUGAGAUCAUCGUGGAACAUGUGGGAGCCAUCAUGGGUAUCCAGAUCCCGCUGUUGGUUAUUGACCGGAGAACGUCUCGGUCGUGUCUGCAUGUCUCUCGAACCCGUAGGGUCUACACACUUAAGGUUCGAUGACGCUAGGGUUAUAAAGGAAGUUUGUAUGUGGUUACCGAAUGUUGUUCGGAGUCCCGGAUGAGAUCCCGGACGUCACGAGGAGUUCCGGAAUGGUCCGGAGGUAAAGAUUUAUAUAUAGGAAGUCCUGUUUCGGCCAUCGGGACAAGUUUCGGGGUCAUCGGUAUUUUACCGGGACCACCGGAAGGGUCCCGGGGGCCCACCGGGUGGGGCCACCUGCCCCGAGGGGGCACAUGGGCUGUAGGGGGUGCGCCUUGGCCUACAUGGGCCAAGGGCACCAGCCCCUAGAGGCCCAUGCGCCAAGAUAUAGGAAAAAGGGGAGAGUCCUAAAGGGGGAAGGCACCUCCGAGGUGCCUUGGGGAGGAUGGACUCCUCCCCCCCCCCUCUUAGCCGCACCCCUUCCUUGGAGGAAGGGGCAAGGCUGCGCCUCCCCCCUCUCCCCUGCCCCUAUAUAUAGUGGAGGGGAGGGAGGGCAUCCAUACCUGAGCCCUUGGCGCCUCCCUCCCUCCCGUGACACCUCCUCCUCUCCCGUAGGUGCUUGGCGAAGCCCUGCAGGAUUGCCACGCUCCUCCAUCACCACCACGCCGUUGUGCUGCUGCUGGAUGGAGUCUUCCUCAACCUCUCCCUCUCUCCUUGCUGGAUCAAGGCGUGGGAGACAUCGUCGAGCUAUACGUGUGUUGAACGCGGAGGUGCUGUCCGUUCGGCACUAGAUCAUCGGUGAUUUGAAUCACGACGAGUACGACUCCAUCAACCCCGUUCACUUGAACGCUUCCGCUUAGCGAUCUACAAGGGUAUGUAGAUGCACUCUCCUUUCUACUCGUUGCUGGUUUCUCCAUAGAUAGAUCUUGGUGACACGUAGGAAAAUUUUGAAUUUCUGCUACGUUCCCCAACAUAAAGGUGCACUACAGGUAUCUCCGAAAGUAUCUAUUGUUUUAUGCGGAUCGAGACUGGGAUUUGUCACUCCGUGUAAACGGAGAGGUAUCUCUGGGCCCACUCGGUAGGACAUCAUCAUAUGCACAAUGUGACCAAGGAGUUGAUCACGGGAUGAUGUGUUACGGAACGAGUAAAGUGACUUGCCGGUAACGAGAUUGAACAAGGUAUUGGAUACCGACGAUCGAAUCUCGGGCAAGUAAAAUACCGCUAGACAAAGGGGAUUGUAUACGGGAUCGAUUGAGUCCUUGACAUCGUGGUUCAUCCGAUGAGAUCAUCGUGGAACAUGUGGGAGCCAACAUGGGUAUCCAGAUCCCGCUGUUGGUUAUUGACCGGAGAACAUCUCGGUCAUGUCUGCAUGUCCCCCGAACCCGUAGGGUCUACACACUUAUGGUUCGAUGACGCUAGGGUUAUAAAGGAAGCUUGUAUGUGGUUACCGAAUGUUGUUCGGAGUCCCGGAUGAGAUCCCGGACGUCACGAGGAGUUCCGGAAUGGUCCGGAGGUAAAGAUUUAUAUAUGGGAAGUCCUGUUUUGGUCACCGGAAAAGUUUCGGGCGAUAUCGGUAUUGUACCGGGACCACCGGGAGGGUCCCGGGGUCCACCAAGUGGGGACACCUGCCCCAGAAGGCUGCGUGGGCCAAGUGUGGGAGGGGACCAGCCCCUAGGAGGGCUGGUGCGCCCCCCACAAGGAGUCCAAGGUGCAAGAGAGAGUGGGAGGGGGCAAACCCUAGUCCAGAUGGGCCUUAAGGCCCAUAUUGGUGCGCCUCCCUCUCCUCUCCCCCCUUGGCCGCCUCCCCUUUGCCAUCUAGGGCUGGCCGCACCCCUUGGGGGUGGGAAACCCUAAAGGGGGCGCAGCCCCCCCUUCCCCCUAUAUAUAGUUGAGGUUUGGGGCUGCCGUACACAUGAGUUCUCUCCCUCUUGGUGCAGCCCUGCCUCUCUUCCUCCUCCUGUUCUCCUGUGGUGCUCGGCGAAGCCCUGCAGGAUAGCCACGCUCCUCCACCACCACCACGCCGUUGUGCUGCUGCUGGAUGGAGUCUUCCUCAACCUCUCCCUCUCUCCUUGCUGGAUCAAGGCGUGGGAGACGUCACCGGGCUGUACGUGUGUUGAACGCGGAGGUGCCGUCCGUUCGGCACUUGAUCAUCGGUGAUCUGAAUCACGACGAGUACGACUCCAUCAACCCCGUUCACUUGAACGCUUCCGCUUAGUGAUCUACAAGGGUAUGUAGAUGCACUCUCCUUCUACUCGUAGCUGGUUUCUCCAUAGAUAGAUCUUGGUGACGCGUAGGAAAAUUUUGAAUUUCUGCUACGUUCCCCAACACCUUUGUCCCACUAAAUUUAGCCCUUUUGAUUACUUUUUCUUGCCUCAGAGAAAACUUGCUGCCGAACAUAGAGAAUAUGAGAUGAGCUUUCAAGAUCUAUCUUAUUAUUAUGGCACUCGUUAGAUCUAUGUUUGCUUUUAUGCCUAGCUAGGGGCGUUAAACGAUAGCGCUAGUUGGGAGGCAACCCAAUUUUCUUUAUGUUUUUUUGUUUUUGCUCCUGUUUAGUAAUAAAUCUUGCAUCGACUCUCUGCUUAGAUGUGUUUUUAUCUUUUAAUUAGUGUUUGUGCCAAGUAGAACCUAUAGGAUAACCUACGAUGGUAGUUGAUUUGAUUCUGCUGAAAAACAGAAACUUUGCGCUCACGAGAAAAAAUUCAAUAAAUUACAGAAACAUGAUUUUGCAUUGAUUCUUUUUGCUGAUGAUCAAUAGACAAAUUUUCCAGUACGUCCUAUUUUGUUAGGAUUUUUAGAGUUCCAGAAGUUUGCGUUAGUUACAGAUUGCUACAGACUGUUCUGUUUUUGACAGAUUCUGUUUUUCGUGUGUUGUUUGCUUAUUUCAAUGCAUCUAUGGCUAGUAAACUAGUUUAUAAACCAUAAGGAAGUUGGAAUACAGUAGGUUUAACACCAAAAUAAAUAAAGAAUGAGUUCAUUGCAGUACCUUAUGUGGUGGUUUUGUUUUCUUUCACUGACGAAGCUUAUAAGAUUUCCUAUUGAGUUUUGUGUUGUGAAGUUUUCAAGUUUUGGGUAAAGCUUUUAUGGACUAUGGAAUAAGGAGUGGCAAGAUCCUAAGCUUGGGGAUGCCCAAGGCACCCCAAGAUAUUCAAGUAUAGCCAAAAGCCUAAGCUUGGGGAUGCCCCGGGAAGGCAUCCCCUCUUUCGUCUUCGUUCAUUGGUAACUUUACUUGGAGCUAUAUUUUUAUUCACCACAUGAUAUGUGUUUUGCUUGGAGCGUUGUGUAUUAUAUUAGUCUUUGCUCUUUAGUUUACCACAAUCAUCCUUGCUGUACACACCUUUUUGGAUAAGCCUAUUUUAUUAGAAUUUGCUAGAAUACUCUAUGUGCUUCACUUAUAUCUUUUGAGCUUGAUAGUUUUUGCUCUAGUACUUCACUUAUAUCUUUUAGAGCAUGGUGGUGGCUUGAUUUUAUAGAAAUUGCUAGUCUCUCAUGCUUCACUCAUAUUAUUUUGAGAGUCUUUUAGAACAGCAUGGUAUUUGCUUUGGUUAAAAAUUUGGCCCUAGAAUGAUGAUCAUCCAAGUUGGGUAUAAUAAAAACUAUCAUAGAAAUUGAAUUGGAUGCUAUGAUCAAUUUGUUGCUUGAUAAUUGUUUUGAGAUAUAAAGGUAGUAAUGUUAGGGUCAUGCUAGUGGAUAAUUAUGAAACUGAGAAAUACUUUUGUUGAAGUUGGCAAGUCCCGUAGCAUGCACGUAUCGUAAAAGUUGUGUGACAAAUUUGUUGCAUGAGGUGCUCUUUUGAGUGUCUUUCUUAUGAGUGGCAGCCGGGGACAAGCAAUGGAAUUUUUUCCUACCAAUCUAUCUCUCUUGGGGCAUGCGUAGUAGUACUUUGCUUCGAGGGCUAAGUAGACUUUUGCAAUAAGUAUAUGAGUUCUUUAUAACUAAUGUGAGUCCAUGGAUAUACGCACACUCAUCCUUCCACUUUGCUAGCUUCGCGCAACUCUCGUCGGUAUUGAACCCAUUAUUUACCUUCCUCAAAACAGCCACCAUACCUACCUAUUAUGGCAUUUCCAUAGCCAUUCUGAGAUAUAUUGCCAUGCAACUUUCCACCGUUUAGUUUAUUAUGACACGUUUCAUCAUUGUCAUAUUGCUCUUUGCAUGAUCAUGUAGUUGACAUCGUAUUUGUGGCAAAGCCACCUUCAUAAUCUUCAUACAUGUCGCUCUUGAUUCAUUGCAUACCCCGGUACACCACCGGAGGCAUUCACAUAGAGUCAUAUCUUGUUCUAGAUAUGAGUUGUAGUUUUUGAGUUGUAAAUCCAUAAAAGUGUGAUGAUCUUCAUUAUUAGAGCAUUGUUCUAGUGAGGAAAGGAUGAUGAAGACUAUGAUUCCCCCAGAAGUCGGGAUGAGGCUUCGGACUUUAUAAAAAUAAAAGAGGCCAAAGAAACCCACCAAAAAGAAAAAAAAGAAAAAAAGAAAAAAAAGGAAAAAAAGGAAAAAAAGAAGAAGAAAUAAAGAGAAAUAAAAAGAGAGAAAAAGAGAGAAGGGACAAUUGCUACUAUCUCUUUUUCCACACUUGUGCUUCAAAAUAGCACCAUGAUCUUCAUGAUAGAGAGUCUCAUAUGUUGUCACUUUCAUAUACUAGUGGGAAUUAUUUCAUUAUAGAACUUGGCUUGUAUAUUCCAAUGAUGGGCUUCCUCAAAGUGCCCUAGGUCUUCGUGAGCAAGCAAGUUGGAUGCACACCCACUUAGUUUCUUUUGUUGAGCUUUCAUAUAUUUAUAGCUCUAGUGCAUCCGUUGCAUGGCAAUCCCUACUCACUCACAUUGAUAUCUAUUUAUGGGCAUCUCCAUAACCCGUUGAUACACCUAGUUGAUGUGAGACUAUCUUCUCCCACUUUUUGUCCUUACAACCACCACCAUUUACCACCAUAGUGCUAUGUCCAUGGCUUGCGCUCAUGUAUUGCGUAAGAGUUGAAAAGCUGAAGUGCAUUAAAAAGUAUGAACCAAUUGCUCGGCUCGUCAUCGGGGUUGUACAUGAUGGGAGUAUUUUGUGUAAUGAAAAUGAAGCAUGGCCUAACUAUAUGAUUUUGUAGGGAUAAGCUUUCUUUGGCUAUGCUAUUUUGAUAGGACAUGAUUAUUUGUUAGUAUGCUUUGAAGCAUUAUUAUUUUUAUGUUUUAUAAGCUUUUAUCUUGAAUCAUUUGGAUCUGAACAUUCAUGCCACAUUAAAGAAAAUUACAUUGAGAAUUAUGAUAGGUAGCAUUCCACAUCAAAAAUUUCUUUUAUAUCAUUUACCUACUCGAGGACGAGUAGGAAUUAAGCUUGGGGAUGCUUGAUACGUCUCCAACGUAUCUAUAAUUUUUGAUUGUUCCAUGCUAUUAUAUUACCCCUUUUGGAUGCUUAUGGGCUUUAUUUUACACAUUUAUAUCAUUUUUGGGACUAACCUACUAACCGGAGGCCCAACCCAUAUUGUUUUUUUGCCUAUUUCAGUAUUUCGAAGAAAAGGAAUAUCAAACGGAGUCCAAACGGAAUGAAACCUUCGGGAGCGUGAUUUUUGGAACGAACGUGAUCCAGAGAGCUUGGAGUGCAAGUCAAGAAGCUGCCGAGGAAGCCACGAGAUAGGAGCCCCCCCCCCUGUAGGGCGCGCCCCCCUGUCUUGUGGGCUCCUCGGGCAUCCACCGAUGUACUUCUUCCUCCUAUAUAUACCUACGUGCCCCGAAAACAUCCAGGAGCACCAUGAAACACAAUUUCCACCGCCGCAACCUUCUGUAUCCAUGAGAUCUCAUCUUGGAGCCUUCGCCGGCACUUUGCCAGACGGGGAAUCGACCAUGGAGGGCUUCUACAUCAACAUCCUUGCCCCUCCGAUGAGUUGUGAGUAGUUUACCACAUACCUACGAGUCCAUAGUUAUUAGCUAGAUGGCUUCUUCUCUCUUUUUGGAUCUCAAUACAAUGUUCUCCCCCUCUCUUGUGGAGAUCUAUUCGAUGUAAACUCUUUUUGCGGUGUGUUUGUCGAGAUCAGAUGAAUUGUGGGUUUAUGAUCAAGUUUAUCUAUGAAUAAUAUUUGAAUCUUCUCUGAAUUCUUUUAUGUAUGAUUGAGUUAUCUUUGCAAGUCUCUUCGAAUUAUCGGUUUGGUUUGGCCUGCUAGAUUGAUCUUUCUUGCCAUGGGAGAAGUGCUUAGCUUUGGGUUCAAUCUUGCGGUGUUCUUACCCAGUGACAGAAAGGGUUGCAAGACACAUAUUGUAUCGUUGCCAUCGAGGAUAACAAGAUGGGGUUUAUAUCAUAUUGCAUGAGUUUAUCCCUCUACAUCAUGUCAUCUUGCUUAAUGUGUUACUCUGAUCUUAUGAACUUAAUACUCUAGAUGCAGGCAGGAGUCGGUCGACGUGUGGAGUAAUAGUAGUAGAUGAAGGCAGGAGUCGGUCUACUUGUUAUGGAUGUGAUGCCUAUAUACAUGAUCAUGCCUAGAUAAUCUCAUAACUAUGCGCUUUUCUAUCAAUUGCUCGACAGUAAUUUGUUCACCCACCGUAAUACUUAUGCUAUCUUGAGAGAAGCCUCUAGUGAAACCUAUGGCCCCCGGGUCUAUCUCUUAUCAUAUUUGCUUUCAAUCUACUUUUAUUUGCAUCUUUACUUUUUGCAUCUAUAUUAUAAAAAACCAAAAAUAUAAUUAUCUUAUCAUACUAUCUCUAUCAGAUCUCACUUUCGCAAGUGGCCGUGAAGGGAUUCACAACCCCUUCAUUGCGUUGGUUGCGAGUUCUCAGUUUGUUUGUGUAGGUGUGUGGGACUUUUGAGGAGCCUCCUACUGGAUUGAUGCCUUGGUUCUCAAAACUGAGGGAAAUAGUUACACUAUACNNNNNNNNNNNNNNNNNNNNNNNNNNNNNNNNNNNNNNNNNNNNNNNNNNNNNNNNNNNNNNNNNNNNNNNNNNNNNNNNNNNNNNNNNNNNNNNNNNNNNNNNNNNNNNNNNNNNNNNNNNNNNNNNNNNNNNNNNNNNNNNNNNNNNNNNNNNNNNNNNNNNNNNNNNNNNNNNNNNNNNNNNNNNNNNNNNNNNNNNNNNNNNNNNNNNNNNNNNNNNNNNNNNNNNNNNNNNNNNNNNNNNNNNNNNNNNNNNNNNNNNNNNNNNNNNNNNNNNNNNNNNNNNNNNNNNNNNNNNNNNNNNNNNNNNNNNNNNNNNNNNNNNNNNNNNNNGCUCACUGUUCAUCCCAGAGGCAGCAUCGAUCAGCUUCAGUUAGCAGCAGUAGCAAAGGAAUCGCUCGAUCGAGUUCAGUUAACAGCCAUCGAUUGAUUGCUCAGGUUCAGUAACGUGUAGCCUGCAGUGCAAUCACUCGGGUUGAGUUAGAGCCCAACGCCUCGCUCGGGUUCAGUUAGAGCCAACGCCUCGCACACACGCGCGUACGUGUACGAGAGAAACGUGCAUCGCUCCACCUCCAACCAUCCACCGUAAUCGGGAACUCCCCGAAAUUUUCCUCGCCCUUGCUUCUACCACGGUUUUUUCCGUCAUGGAAGACCCAAAGAAUGUCAUGCAGCUGCUUCUCCAGCCCGCCUAGGACGAAAAGCCCAUUUUCUGUCAUGACUUUUUGUCAUAGAAGUAGGAGCCCACCACAUCUAUGAUGAUACCGGGUUUUGUCACAAUUAUCGUCAUAGAAGUGUCAUAUGUAUGACAGGAAAAAAAUUCGUUCGGCCCAAAAUGUCACGGAUGUGUCCUUUUUUGUAGUGAAAGUCGGAGAUUGAAGAUAGGGGAUGCAAUGGAUAGGAUCAACAAAUGGCUCAAAAUCCAUCCACAAACUCCCCUUCACAUAGAGGGGAGAUAGGGCUUUGGGAGAGGUGGUAAGAGGCUCAAAAUGGUGUUAGGAAAGUGUAUGAACAACCCCCCCCCCCCCAACCGGUGGGAGGAAGGAGCCCUUAAAUAGCCAAAACCCAAAACUAGUUGUUGUGACUCAACGGGCAGUUCCUGGACACCCCGUGCACAUGGGGAUUUAGACCCCAUGCCCACGGUACAAGCCCGUGUGCACGGGGCCUCAUGCCCACGAGGGUCAAAACCCCCGUGUCCACGGGGUACCCAGAACAGCAUGUAGCACCCCACUAAGACAGUGAUAACUUUGGCAUACAGACUCCGAAUUCGAUGAUCUUGGGUUCGUUUUGAAGCAAGGGAAAAGCCCAAGGUCCUCACAUAGAGAACCACCCAAUAUCAACAAGAAAUAAUGAUGCAAUUAAUGCAAAGGUUUGGUCUCUCUACAUGCGACGUGAUCAAGCUACUCGCCCGAAAGUCCCUCUUGAUAGUACGGCUAUCAAACCUAUAAUACGGUCUUCCUCUAAGCACCAUGAGACAGGCAAAACUAGGAAAACCUAGCUAAGGUAUACCUUUGCCUUGCACAUUCAACUUGAGCUUGGUGAUGACUUUGAUGCUUGCCUCAAGUUGGAAUCUUUUUCUUGUCCACAAUCACUUGGUGAACAUACUCGAAAUGCUUCCUCAUAUUGCAAUGAGGAAGCCUUAACUUAAGCCCAUCUUCACAUGCACAUUAUCAUGAUGUGGACCGCAAGCUUCAAAGCAUAUAAACUUUGGCUUCUCAUCUUGCACUUGGACGCCUUGAACCCGAUGACCAUCACCACUUGAUGUCAUCGACACAUAGGCUACUUGAAAUCUCUCUUUUGAUGCAAGCCCAUGAGAAACACCUAACCCACAUAGACAUAGAAAGCACAUAGCAUGGGUCAGGUAGCAAAGCACAAUUCAGAAUUACUUACCAUACCACUAGAUCACUUGAUCCCACGUAGUACAAAGAUUGCACUUUGAGAGUUAACCAUCUAAAUGAUCUUCGAGUUUCAUCUUGGUCACCCAACAUCUUUACUUCAAGUCCCAUCUUGGUUUCUUGAAAGCCACAAUGAACUCUUAAUUUCCCUUCAUCGCUUCAAGAAAGAGACCACCAAAGACUCUUUCAUGACCAUAUGAAGCUCCACUAUGAAUAUCAUAUUGGUCACCAUUUGCUCUUCUAAAAACUCCGUCAUAAUCUCUUGAGAGGCACAAUGAAUUCUCCACUCUAAUUGCUUGCUUCAAGAGUUAAUCAACCAAAAACCCAACACAUGAGCUUACCAUGAUCUUGUCUUGAAACCAUAACUUGAAUUCUUCUAUUUGUUUAUAUUCUCAAGCUCUUGAUCCUUAAAAGCCCACAUAUGUCAAUCUUUGAGAUCCUCUAACGAACUCCACCUUGAAUAUAUUUGGUUAGACAUUAAAAUCAAUCUUGAUGGCUUCAACAUAAAUCCCCCAAAGACCAACUUGAAGCCUCACUGGAUAUGGUAUCUCGAAUGCCAAAACCUAGGCCCCGUGUGCACGUGGGUCAGGGACCCCGUGCGCACGGGGUAUCCAGAGAGUUGACACUCGACCCCGUGCGCACGAGGGUCAGGAGGCCCGUGCGCACGGGGUAUCCAGAGAGGAAUACCAUGAGGACUUCUUUGAAUGUUUUGAAGGCAUUCUUCUCACAUAAAUCCAACAUGCUUCAUGCAUCACUAUGGAACAUUUCUUCAUUAGGAUCCAAUGCACUCGAUGCUCCAUAGGAAUUUGUCAAUUAAUGCCAAAGCUUAGAGCAAACAUAUCUUCAUAUAUAUGGACUUUAUCCUUGAUUCCAUGUAAUAUCCUUGAUGCACCAUCUAUGGACAAUUCCUUCACAUGUAUCUCAAUGAAAACAUUAGUCCAUAGAGAUUGUCAUUAAUUACCAAAACCACACUUAGGGGCUACAUGCCCUUUCAACCGGGUAUUCAUCGGAUCACCGGAAGGGGUUCCAGGGGGCCCCCGGAGGUCUAUGGGCCUAAUGGGCCAAGGGGAGGCACACACCAGCCCACAAGGGGGCUGGCACGCCCUCUCCCUGGCCGUCCGCCCUUGAGAAGGAAAGGGUGGAGGGCUAUCCCCUCCUGCCUUCCCCUCCUCAUGGGAGAAAGGAAAGGGGGGGCACCGCCUCCUCUUGCCUUCUCCCUGACGCCAUACAAGGAGGGGUGCGCUAGAGGGCAGGAGCCCACGGGGGCCGGUCGGCCAUCCUUGGGGCGCCUCCUCGCUCUGUCCCCUCCCCCACUAUAUAUAUAUAUAUGAGGGAGGGGGCGCCACAAAACCCACAACAACUCUUAGCCGUGUGCGGCACCCCUCUCCACAGUUUAGUCCUCCAUCCAGUUUCUCCACAGUGCUUGAUACGUCUUCAACGUAUCUAUAAUUUUUUAUUGUUCCAUGCUAUUCUAUUAUCUGUUUUGGAUGUUUUAUAUGCAUUAAUAUGCUCUUUUAUAUUAUUUUUGGGACUAACCUAUUAACCUAGAGCCCAGUGCCAGUUCCUGUUUUUUCCCUGUUUUAGAGUUUCGCACAAAAGGAAUACCAAACGGAGUCCAAACGGAAUAAAACUUUCGUGAUGAUUUUUCUUGGACCAAAAGACAACCAGGAGACUUGGAGAUGUAAGUUAUAGGAGCCACAAGGCGGCCACAAGUACGGAGGGAACGCCCAGGGGGUAGGGCGCGCCUCCCACCCUUGUGGGCCCCUUGUGCACCUCCUGGCCUAAUUCUUUUGCCUAUAUAUUCCCAUAUAUACCAAACCAACAGAAGCAUCCACGGAAACACUUUUCCGCCACCGCAACCUUUUGUACCCAUGGAAUCCCAUCUAGGGGCCUUUUCCGGCGUCCUGUCGGAGGGGGAUUUGACCAUGGAGGGCUUCUACAUCAACACUAUUGCCCUUCCGAUAAAGCGUGAGUAGUUUACCAAAGACCUACGGGUCCAUAGCUAGUAGCUAGAUGGCUUCUUCUCUCUCUUUGAUUCUCAAUACCAUGUUCUCCUCGAUGUUCUUGGAGAUCUAUUCGAUGCAAUACUUUUUUGCGGUGUGUUUGCCGAGAUCCGAUGAAUUGUGGAUUUAUGAUCAGCUUAUCUAUGAAUAUUAUCUGAAUCUUCUCUGAAUUCUUAUAUGCAUGAUUUGAUAUCUUUGCAAGUCUCUUCGAAUUAUCCGUUUGGUUUGGCCAACUAGAUUGGUUCUUCGUGCAAUGGGAGAAGUGCUUAGCUUUGGGUUCAAUCUUGCGGUGUCCUUUCCUAGUGACAUUAGGGGCAGUAAGGCACGUAUUGUAUUGUUUCCAUCAAGGAUAAAAAUAUGGGGUUUUCAUCAUAUUGCUUGAGUUAAUUCCUCUACAUCAUGUCAUAUUACUUAAUGUGUUACUCCAUUCUUUAUGAACUUAAUACUCUAGAUGCCUGAUGGAUAGCGGGCGAUGUGUGGAGUAAUAGUAGUAGAUGCAGGCAGGAGUCGGUCUACUUGACACGGACGUGAUGCCUGCAUUCAUGAUCAUUGCCUUAGAUAUCGUCAUAACUUUGCGCUUUUCUAUCAAUUGCUCGACAGUAAUUUGUCCACCCACUGUAUUAUUUUCUAUCUUGAGAGAAGCCUCUAGUGAAACCUAUGGCCCCCGGGUCUAUUUUCCAUCAUAUUAGUUUCUGAUCUACUAUACUUGCAAUCUUUACUUUCCAAUCUAUAAACCAAAAAUACCAAAAACAUUUACUUCAUCAUUUAUCUAUCUCUAUCAGAUCCAACUUUUGCAAGUAACCUUGAAGGUAUUGAAAACCCCUUUAUCGCGUUGGGUGCAAGUUUGUUUGAUUGUUUGUGCAGGUAUUCAGUGAUUUGUGUGUUGUCUCCUACUGGAUUGAUACCUUGGUUCUCAAACUGAGGGAAAUACUUAUCUCUACUUUGUUGCAUCAUCCUUUCCUCUUCAAGGGAAAAACCAACGCAAGCUCAAGAAGUAGCAGGAAAAAUUUCUGGCGCUGUUGCCGGGGAAUUCUACACCAAGUCAAGACAUGCCAAGUACCCAUCACAAACUCUCAUCUCUUGCAUUACAUUAUUCGCCGUUUGCCUCUCGUUUUCCUCUCCCCCACUUCUAAAACGAUUUUCGAAAACAUUUGCCUUUUCUUUACCCCUCUUUUGCCAUCUUCUUUGCUUGAUUUUUGGUGUGCUUGUUUGUUGGUUUGGUUUGUUUCCAUCAUGUUUGAAUCUGGGGAGGUUAUCAUUGAAAAUCUUGAGGAGAAAUUUGAAUCUUGUUCUUUGGGUAAUGAAACUGCAAAUCCUCUCCUAAUUACAAAGCAAAAACUUUUCAUGUGGGUGACGGUAAUAUUAUUGGAAAAAGUGUUAUUCAAGAGUUCUUUGUUUGUACAUGAUCUAUGCCUAUUAAUAAAAGAUAUAUUCCUCUCGAUACAAAUUGUCAUGCGGAUGCCUUUGUUAUGUUUGUUGAGAAACUAGAAAGAAAAUUUGUGCACCUCCACCCCGCUUUGCAAAAAGUGUUUUACGAACUUCCUAACAUUAAUCAUCCUAUAGCUAAAAAGAUUGCAACUAUCAUUCUUAUGCGUGAAUUUGAUUUUAUACUACAAGAAGCUAGGGAUACUUUUGCUUUCUAUAAAAAGGAUGUUGAACACCCUCCAAUUGAGGAUAUCCUCCAUGACAAAGAAACUAUGCGUAGUUUGGAAUCUAGGGAUUAUCAAUCUUAUAGUGAAAACCUUAGGAGGAGAGUUCCCUAUGCAUAAAUCUCUCAAUCUUUGUACCUUGAGGCCUAUGAGGACUUCGAUUGGAUUGCGAGGGGUAUUCAUGUAGGAUUCAAUAGAGAUUGGUUGAAUAAAAUGAUGAAGGGACCCGUUAGAAACGAGAUACAUGUUCUUUAUGAUGAUAUUUAUGGUGAUGAUCCCGAUUACGGGUUUAUGAAUGUCAAAAUAACCAAUCAAAGUCCUUUUCAUGAUUUGAGUUCAUCUAAUAGAAGGGAAAUAAAGGAAAGGAUAGAUUUCUUAAGACGAGUUUUGGAGGAUUUGAUGAGAAAAGAAAUGCAUACCAAAGAUGACAAUACCUAGAUCUAUUCUUGUUUUAUGCCUAGCUAAGGGCGUUAAACAAUAGGGCUUCUUAGGAGGCAACGCAAUUUUAUUUUUGUUCUUUGCUUUUUGUUCCUGUUUUACUUUGAAUAAUUCAUCUAGCCUCUGGUUAGAUGUGGUUUUGUGUUUUAUAGUGUUUGUGCCAAGUAAGACCUUUGGGAUAGCUUACGGUGAUAGCUGUUUUGACUGAAAAACAGAAAUUUUUGCGCCCAGUAAAUAAUUUCCUAGAUUUUAUUGAAACAUGCUUUUGAUUUGAUUCUUUUUGCUCUAGAUUGGUACACAAAUUUCCCAGGUUUUCCUAAAUUUUCAGAAUUUUUGGAGUUACAGAAGUAUUCGAGAGUUACAGAUUGCUAUAGACUAUUCUGUUUUUGACAUAUUCUGUUUUCUAUGGGUUGUUUGCUUAUUUUGAUGAAUCUAUGGGCAGUAUAGGGGGUAUGAACCAUGUAAAAGUUGGAAUACAGUAGAUAUUACACCAAUAUAAAUAAAUAAUGAGUUUUCAACAGUGGGAGACUGAAGGAAAUAUGCCCUAGAGGCAAUAAUAAAGUUAUUAUUUAUUUCCUCAUAUCAUGAUAAAUGUUUAUUAUUCAUGCUAGAAUUGUAUUAACCGGAAACAUGAUACAUGUGUGAAUACAUAGACAAACAUAUAGUCACUAGUAUGCCUCUACUUGACUAGCUCAUUAAUCAAAGAUGGUUAUGUUUCCUAACCAUAGACAUGUGUUGUCAUUUGAUUAGUGGGAUCACAUCAUUAGAAGAAUGAUGUGAUUGACAUGACCCAUUCCGUUAGCCUAGCACUUGAUCGUUUAGUAUACUGCUAUUGCUUUCUUCAUGACUUAUACAUGUUCCUGUAACUAUGAGAAUUAUGCAACUCCCAUUUACCGGAGGAACACUUUGGGUACUACCAAACGUCACAACGUAACUGGGUGAUUAUAAAGGAGUACUACAGGUGUCUCCGAAGGUACAUGUUGAGUUGGCGUAUUUCGAGAUUAGGUUUUGUCACUCUGAUUGUCGGAGAGGUAUCUCUGGGUCCUCUCGGUAAUGCACAUCACUAUAAGCCUUGCAAGCAGUGUAGCUAAUGAGUUAGUUACGGAAUGAUGUAUUACAUAACGAGUAAAGAGACUUGCCGGUAACGAGAUUGAACUAGGUAUUGGAUACCGACGAUCAAAUCUCGGGCAAGUAACAUACCGAUGACAAAGGGAACAAUGUAUGUUGUUAUGCGGUUUGACCGAUAAAGAUCUUCGUAGAAUAUGUGGGAGCCAAUAUGGGCAUCCAGGUCCCGCUAUUGGUUAUUGACCGGAAACAAGUUCUAGGUCAUGUCUACAUAGUUCUCGAACCCGUAGGGUCCGCACGCUUAACGUUUUGUUGACGAUAUAGUAUUAUAUGAGUUAUGUAUGUUGGUAACCGAAUGUUGUUCGCAGUCCCAGAUGAGAUCAUGGACAUGACGAGGAACUAUGGAAUGGUCCGGAGAUAAAGUUUGAUAUAUGGGAUAAUAGUGUUUGAUCUCCGGAAGAGUUCCGGAAUUCACCGGAAGGGGUUCCGGAUGUUUCCCGAAAUGUUUGGGAACGAGAACACGUUAUUUGGGCCAAAGGGGAAACACAAGGUUUUUGGAAAGCGCAAAAAGAAGUUUUGCGGAGUCCAGGGGCCAGACGCCAGGGUCCCUGGUGUCUGGGUCCAGACGCCGGAAACCCUGGGGUCUGGCCCUGCAGUCCGAGAAGGACUCUUGCCUUUCUGGUGAAACUGACUUUGUGGAGGCUUUUACUCCAAGUUUCGACCCCAAGGCUCAACAUAUAAAUAGAGGGGUAGGGCUAGCACCAAAGAGACAUCAAGAAACACCAAGCCGUGUGCCGGCAACCCCGUCCCCUCUAGUUUAUCCUCCGUCAUAGUUUCCAUAGAGCUUAGGCGAAACCCUGCGGAGAUUGUUCUUCACCAACACCGUCACCACGCCGUCGUGCUGCCGGAACUCAUCUACUACUUCGCUCGUCUUGCUGGAUCGAGAAGGCGAGGACGUCAUCUAGUUGAACGUGUGCAGAACUCGGAGGUGCCGUGCGUUCGGUACUUGGAUCGGUCGGAUCGUGAAGACGUACGACUACAUCAACCGCGUUGAUAAACGCUUCCGCUUAGCGAUCUUCAAGGGUAUGAAGAUACACUCCCCCUCUCGUUGUUAUACAUCACCAUGAUCUUGCAUGUGUGUAGGAAUUUUUUUUGAAAUUACUACGUUCCCCAACAGUGGCAUCCAAGCCUAGGUUUUAUGCGUUGAUGUUAUAUGCACGAGUAGAACACAAGUGAGUUGCGGGCGAUACAAGUCAUACUGCUUACCAGCAUGUCAUACUUUGGUUCGGCGGUAUUGUGAGAUGAAGCGGCCCGGACCGACAUUACGCGUACACUUACGCGAGACUGGUUUCACCGUUACGAGCACUCGUGCUUAAAGGUGGCUGGCAGGUGUCUGUCUCUCUCACUUUAGCUGAAUCGAGUGUGGCUACGCCCGGUCCUUGCGAAGGUUAAAACAGCACUAACUUGACGAACUAUCGUUGUGGUUUUUGAUGCGUAGGUAAGAACGGUUCUUGCUAAGCCCGUAGCAGCCACGUAAAAUUUGCAACAACAAAGUAGAGGAUGUCUAACUUGUUUUUGCAGGGCAUGUUGUGAUGUGAUAUGGUCAAGACGUGAUGCUAUAUUUUAUUGUAUGAGAUGAUCAUGUUUUGCAACCGAAGUUAUCGGCAACUAGCAGGAGCCAUAUGGUUGUCUCAUUAUUGUAUGAAAUGCAAACGCCCUGUAAUUGCUUUACUUUAUCACUAAGCGGUAGCGAUAGUCGUAGAAGCAAUAGAUGGCGUAACGACAAAGAUGCUACGAUGGAGAUCAAGGUGUCGCGCCGGUGACGAUGGUGAUCAUGUCGGUGCUUCGAAGAUGGAGAUCACAAGCACAAGAUGAUGAUGGCCAUAUCAUAUCACUUAUAUUGAUUGCAUCUGAUGUUUAUCCUUUAUGCAUCUUAUCUUGCUUUGAUUGACGGUAGCAUUUUAAGAUGAUCUCUCACUAAUUAUCAAGAAGUGUUCUCCCCGAGUAUGCACCAUUGCAAAAGUUCUUCGUGCUGAGACACCACGGGAUGAUCGGGUGUGAUAGGCUCUACGUUCAAAUACAACGGGUGCAAAACAGUUGCACACGCGGAAUACUCAGGUUAUACUUGACGAGCCUAGCAUAUACAGAUAUGGCCUCGGAACACGGAGACCGAAAGGUCGAACGUGAAUCAUAUAGUAGAUAUGAUCAACAUACUGAUGUUCACCAUUGAAACUACUCCAUCUCACGUGAUGAUCGGACAUGGUUUAGUUGAUUUGGAUCACGUGAUCACUUAGAUGACUAGAGAGAUGUCUGUCUAAGUGGGAGUUCUUAAGUAAUAUGAUUAAUUGAACUUAAAUUUAUCAUGAACUUAGUACCUGAUAGUAUUUUGAUUGUCUAAGUUUGUUUGUAGAUAGAUGGCUCGUGUUGUUGUUUCAUUGAAUUUUAAUGCAUUCCUUGAGAAAGCAAAGUUGAAAGAUGAUGGUAGCAAUUACACGGACUGGGUCCGUAACCUGAGGAUUAUCCUCAUUGCUGCACAGAAAAGUUACGUCCUGGAAGCACCGCUAGGUGCCAGGCCUGCUGCUGAUGCAACUGACGACGUUAAGAACGUCUGGCAGAGCAAAGCUGAUGACUACUCGAUAGUUCAGUGUGCCAUGCUUUACGGCUUAGAACCGGGUCUUCAACGACGUUUUGAAUGUCAUGGAGCAUAUGAGAUGUUCCAGGAGUUGAAGUUAAUAUUUCAAGCAAAUGCCCAGAUUGAGAGAUAUGAAGUCUCUAAUAAGUUCUACAGCUGCAAGAUGGAGGAGAAUAGUUCUGUCAAUGAACACAUACUCAAAAUGUCUGGGUAUAAUAAUCACUUGAUUCAACUGGGAGUUAAUCUUCCUGAUGAUAGUGUCAUUGACAGAAUUCUCCAAUCACUGCCACCAAGCUACAAGAGCUUCGUGAUGAACUAUAAUAUGCAAGGGAUGAACAAGACUAUUCCCGAGCUCUUCGCAUUGCUAAAAGCCGCGGAGGUAGAAAUCAAGAAGGAGCAUCAAGUGUUGAUGGUUAAAAAAACCACCAGUUUCAAGAAGAAGGGCAAAGGGAAGAAGAAGGGGAACUUCAAAAAGAACAGCAAGCAAGUUGCUGCUCAAGAGAAGAGACCUAAGUCUGGACCUAAGCCUGAAACUGAGUGCUACUACUGCAAGCAGACUGGACACUGGAAGCGGAACUGCCCCAAGUAUUUGGCGGAUAAGAAGGAUGGCAAAGUGAACAAAGGUAUAUGUGACAUACAUGUUAUUGAUGUGUACCUUACUAAUGCUCGCAGUAGCACCUGGGUAUUUGAUACUAGUUCUGUUGCUAAUAUUUGCAACUCGAAACAGGGACUACAGAUUAAGCGAAGAUUGGCUAAGGAGGUGACAAUGCGCGUGGGAAAUGGUUCCAAAGUCGAUGUGAUCGCGGUCGGCACGCUACCUCUACAUCUACCAUCGGGAUUAGUUUUAGACCUAAAUAAUUGUUAUUUGGUGCCAGCGUUGAGCAUGAACAUUAUAUCUGGAUCUUGUUUGAUGCGAGAUGGUUAUUCAUUUAAAUCAGAGAAUAAUGGUUGUUCGAUUUAUAUGAGUAAUAUCUUUUAUGGUCACGCACCCUUGAAGAGUGGUCUAUUUUUGUUGAAUCUCGAUAGUAGUGAUACACAUGUUCAUAGUGUUGAAACCAAAAGAUGCAGAGUUGAUAACGAUAGUGCAACUUAUUUGUGGCACUGCCGUUUAGGUCAUAUCGGUGUAAAGCGCAUGAGGAAACUCCAUACUGAUGGGCUUUUGGAAUCACUUGAUUAUGAAUCACUUGGUACUUGCGAACCGUGCCUCAUGGGCAAGAUGACUAAAACGCCAUUCUCCGGAACUGUGGAGCGAGCAACUGAUUUGUUGGAAAUCAUACAUACUGAUGUUUGUGGUCCAAUGAAUGUUGAGGCUCGCGGCGGGUAUCGUUAUUUUCUCACCUUCACAGAUGAUUUGAGCAGAUAUGGGUAUAUCUACUUGAUGAAACACAAGUCUGAAACAUUUGAAAAGUUCAAAGAAUUUCAGAGUGAAGUGGAAAAUCAUCGUAACAAGAAAAUAAAAUUUCUACGAUCUGAUCGUGGAGGAGAAUAUUUGAGUUACGAGUUUGGUCUACACUUGAAACAAUGCGGAAUAGUUUCGCAACUCACGCCACCCGGAACACCACAACGAAAUGGUGUGUCCGAACGUCGUAAUCGUACUUUACUAGAUAUGGUGCGAUCUAUGAUGUCUCUUACUGAUUUACCGCUAUUGUUUUGGGGUUAUGCUUUAGAGACGGCCGCAUUCACGUUAAAUAGGGCACCAUCAAAAUCCGUUGAGACGACGCCUUAUGAACUGUGGUUUGGCAAGAAACCAAAGUUGUCGUUUCUUAAAGUUUGGGGUUGCGAUGCUUAUGUGAAGAAACUUCAACCAGAUAAGCUUGAACCCAAAUCGGAGAAAUGUGUCUUCAUAGGAUACCCAAAAGAAACUAUUGGGUACACCUUCUAUCACAUAUCUGAAGGCAAGAUUUUCGUUGCUAAAAUCGGAUCCUUUCUAGUGAAGGAGUUUCUCUCAAAAGAAGUGAGUGGGAGGAAAGUAGAACUUGAUGAGAUAACUGUAUCUACUCCCUUAUUGGAAAGUAGUUCAUCACAAGAACCGGUUCCUAUGACAACUACACCAAUCAGUGAGGAAGCUAAUGAUAUUGAUCAUGAAACUUCAGAUCAAGUUUCUGCUGAACUUCGUAGGUCUACCAGAGUAAGAUCCGCACCAGAGUGGUAUGGUAAUCCUAUUCUGGAAGUCAUGUUACUUGACCAUGAUGAACCUACGAACUAUGAGGAAGCGAUGAUGAGCCCAGAUUCUGCAAAAUGGCUAGAGGCCAUGAAAUCUGAGAUGGGAUCCAUGUAUGAAAACAAAGUAUGGACUUUGGUUGACUUGCUCGAUGAUCGGCAAGCAAUUGAGAAUAAAUGGAUCUUUAAGAAGAAGACUAACGCUGAUGGUAAUGUAACUAUCUAUAAAGCUCGACUUGUUGCGAAAGGUUUUCGACAAGUUCAAGGUGUUUACUACGAUGAGACUUUCUCACCCGUAGCGAUGCUUAAGUCUGUCCGAAUCAUGUUAGCUAUUGAUGCAUUUCAUGAUUAUGAAAUUUGGCAAAUGGAUGUCAAAACUGCAUUCUUGAAUGGAUUUCUGGAAGAAGAGUUGUAUAUGAUGCAGCCAGAAGGUUUUGUUGAUCCAAAAGGUGCUAACAAAGUGUGCAAGCUCCAGCGUUCCAUUUAUGGACUGGUGCAAGCAUCUCGGAGUUGGAAUAAACGCUUUGAUAGUGUGAUCAAAGCAUAUGGUUUUAUACAGACUUUUGGAGAAGCAUGUAUUUACAAGAAAGUGAGUGGGAGCUCUGUAGCAUUUCUGAUAUUAUAUGUAGAUGAUAUAUUAUUAAUUGGAAAUGAUAUAGAAUUUCUGGAUAGCAUAAAGGGAUACUUGGAUAAAAGUUUUUCAAUGAAAGACCUCGGUGAAGCUGCUUACAUAUUGGGCAUCAAGAUCUAUAGAGAUAGAUCAAGACGCUUGAUAGGACUUUCACAAAGCACAUACCUUGAUAAAAUUUUGAAAAAGUUCAAAAUGGAUCAGGCAAAGAAAGGGUUCUUGCCCGUACUACAAGGUGUGAAGUUGAGUCAAACUCAAUGCCCGACCACAACAGAAGAUAGAGAGAAAAUGAAAGAUGUUCCCUAUGCUUCAGCCAUAGGCUCUAUCAUGUAUGCAAUGUUGUGUACCAGACCUGACGUAUGCUUAGCAAUAAGCUUGGCAGGAAGGUACCAAAGUAAUCCAGGAGUGGAUCACUGGACAGCGGUCAAGAACAUCCUGAAAUACCUGAAAAUGACUAAGGAUAUGUUUCCCGUAUAUGGAGGUGACAAAGAGCUAGUCGUAAAUGGUUACGUCGAUGCAAGCUUUGACACUGAUCCGGACGAUUCUAAAUCGCAAACCGGAUACGUGUUUUUAUUAAACGGUGGAGCUGUAAGUUGGUGCAGUUCUAAACAAAGCGUCGUGGCGGGAUCUACAUGUGAAGCGGAGUACAUAGCUGCUUCGGAAGAAGCAAAUGAAGGAGUCUGGAUGAAGGAGUUCAUUUCCGAUCUAGGUGUCAUACCUAGUGCAUCGGGACCAAUGAAAAUCUUCUGUGACAAUACUGGUGCAAUUGCCUUGGCAAAGGAAUCCAGAUUUCACAAGAGGACCAAGCACAUCAAGAGACGCUUCAAUUACAUUCGGGACCAAGUCCAAGUGGGAGACAUAGAGAUUUGCAAGAUACAUACGGAUCUGAAUGUUGCAGACCCGUUGACUAAGCCUCUCUCACGAGCAAAACAUGAUCAGCACCAAGACUCCAUGGGUGUUAGAAUCAUUACUAUGUAAUCUAGAUUAUUGACUCUAGUGCAAGUGGGAGACUGAAGGAAAUAUGCCCUAGAGGCAAUAAUAAAGUUAUUAUUUAUUUCCUCAUAUCAUGAUAAAUGUUUAUUAUUCAUGCUAGAAUUGUAUUAACCGGAAACAUGAUACAUGUGUGAAUACAUAGACAAACAUAUAGUCACUAGUAUGCCUCUACUUGACUAGCUCAUUAAUCAAAGAUGGUUAUGUUUCCUAACCAUAGGCAUGUGUUGUCAUUUGAUUAGUGGGAUCACAUCAUUAGAAGAAUGAUGUGAUUGACAUGACCCAUUCCGUUAGCCUAGCACUUGAUCGUUUAGUAUACUGCUAUUGCUUUCUUCAUGACUUAUACAUGUUCCUGUAACUAUGAGAAUUAUGCAACUCCCGUUUACCGGAGGAACACUUUGGGUACUACCAAACGUCACAACGUAACUGGGUGAUUAUAAAGGAGUACUACAGGUGUCUCCGAAGGUACAUGUUGAGUUGGCGUAUUUCGAGAUUAGGUUUUGUCACUCCGAUUGUCGGAGAGGUAUCUCUGGGCCCUCUCGGUAGUGCACAUCACUAUAAGCCUUGCAAGCAGUGUAGCUAAUGAGUUAGUUACGGAAUGAUGUAUUACAUAACGAGUAAAGAGACUUGCCGGUAACAAGAUUGAACUAGGUAUUGGAUACCGACGAUCAAAUCUCGGGCAAGUAACAUACUGAUGACAAAGGGAACAACGUAUGUUGUUAUGCGGUUUGACCGAUAAAGAUCUUCGCAGAAUAUGUGGGAGCCAAUAUGGGCAUCCAGGUCCCGCUAUUGGUUAUUGACCGGAAACAAGUUCUAGGUCAUGUCUACAUAGUUCUCGAACCCGUAGGGUCCGCAUGCUUAAUGUUUCGUUGACGAUAUAGUAUUAUAUGAGUUAUGUAUGUUGGUAACCGAAUGUUGUUCGGAGUCCCAGAUGAGAUCAUGGACAUGACGAGGAACUCUGGAAUGGUCUGGAGAUAAAGUUUGAUAUAUGGGAUAAUAGUGUUUGAUCUCCGGAAGAGUUCCGGAAUUCACCGGAAGGGGUUCCGGAUGUUUCCCGAAAUGUUUGGGAACGAGAAAACAUUAUUUGGGCCAAAGGGGAAAGCCCACAAGGUUUUUGGAAAGCGCAAAAGGAAGUUUUGCGGAGUCCAGGGGCCAGACGCCAGGGUCCCUGGCAUCUGUGUCCAGACGCCAGAAACCCUGGCGUCUGGCCUUGGAGUCCGAGAAGGACUCUUGCCUUUCGGGUGAAACCGACUUUGUGGAGGCUUUUACUCCAAGUUUCGACCCCAAGGCUCAACAUAUAAAUAGAGGGGUAGGGCUAGCACCAAAGAGACAUCAAGAAACACCAAGCCGUGUGCCAGCAACCCCGUCCCCUCUAGUUUAUCCUCCGUCAUAGUUUCCGUAGUGCUUAGGCGAAGCCCUGCGGAGAUUGUUCUUCACCAACACCGUCACCACGCCGUCGUGCUGCCGGAACUCAUCUACUACUUCGCCCGUCUUGCUGGAUCGAGAAGGCGAGGACAUCAUCUAGCUGAACGUGUGCAGAACUCGGAGGUGCCGUGCGUUCGGUACUUGGAUCGGUCGGAUCGUGAAGACGUACGACUACAUCAACCGCGUUGAUAAACGCUUCCGCUUAGCGAUCUUCAAGGGUAUGAAGAUACACUCCCCCUCUCGUUGUUAUACAUCACCAUGAUCUUGCGUGUGCGUAGGAAUUUUUUUUGAAAUUACUACGUUCCCCAACACAUGUCACUCUUGAUUCAUUGCACAUCCAGGUACCCCGCCGGAGGUAUUCAUAUAGAGUAAUAUUUUGUUCUAAGUAUCGAGUUGUAAUUCUUGAGUUGUAAGUAAAUAAAAGUGUAAUGGUCAUCAUUAUUACAGCAUUGUCCAGUGAGGAAAUGAUGAUGGAGACUAUGAUUCCCCCACAAGUCGGGAUGAGACUCUGGACAAAAAAAAAGAGGCCAAAAAAAAGAGAAAGACACAAACAAAAAAGAAUGAGAGAAAAAGAGAGAAGGGGCAAUGUUACUAUCCUUUUUACACACUUGUGCUUCAAAGUAGCACCAUGAUAUUCAUGAUAGAAAGUCUCCUAUGAUAUCACUUUCAUAUACUAGUGGGAAUUUUUCAUUAUAGAACUUGGCUUGUAUAUUCCAAUGACGGGCUUCCACAAAUUGCCAUAGGUCUUCGUGAGCAAGCGAGUUGGAUGCACACCCACUUAGUUUUCUUUUGGGCUUUCAUAAACGUAUAGCUCUAGUGCAUCCGUUGCAUGGCAAUCCCUACUCACUUACAUUGAUAUCUAUUGAUGGGCAUCUCCAUAGCCCGUUGAUACGCCUAGUUGAUGUGAGACUAUCUCCACCUUUUUGUCUUCUCCACAACCAUUGUAUUCUAUUCCACCUAUAGUGCUAUGUCCAUGGCUCACGCUCAUGUAUUGCGUGAAAGUUGAAAAAGUUUGAGAACAUCAAAAGUAUGAAAAAAUUUCAUGCAUGAUUUAAAUAUUUUGUGUGGUGAAGAUGAAGCAUAGCCAGACUAUAUGAUUUUGUAGGGAUAAGCUUUCUUUGGCCAUGUUAUUUUGAGAAGACAUAAUUGCUUUAUUAGUAUGCUUGAAGUAUUAUCGUUUUUAUGUCAAUAUUGAACUUUUGUUUUGAAUUUUACAGAUAUGAACAUUCAUGCCACAAUAAAGAAAAUUACAAGGACAAAUAUGUUAGGUAGCAUUCCACAUCAAAAACUCUAUUUUUAUGAUUUACCUACUCGAGGGCGAGCAGGAAUUAAGCUUGGGGAUGCUUGAUACGUCUCCAACGUAUCUAUAAUUUUUUAUUGUUCCAUGCUAUUAUAUUAUCUGUUUUGGAUGUUUUUAUGCAUUAAUAUGUUAUUCUAUAUUAUUUUUGGGACUAUCCUAUUAACCUAGAGCCUAGUGCCAGUUCCUAUUUUUUCCCCGUUUUUGAGUUUCGUAGAAAAGGAAUACCAAACAGAGUCCAAACGGAAUAAAACUUUCGCGAUGAAGACAACCAGGAGACUUGGAGAUGAAGUUGGAGGAGCCACGAGGUGGCCACAAGGACGGAGGGUGCGCCCCCACUCUUGUGGGCCCCUCGUGCACCUCCUGGCCUAAUUAUUUCACCUAUAUAUUACCAUAUAUCCCCAAACCAAUAGAAGCAUCCACAAAAACACUUUUCCGCCGCCGCAACCUUCUGUACCCGUGGGAUUCCAUCUAGGGGAUUUUUCCGUCGUCCUGCCGGAGGGAGAUUCGACCACGAAGGGCUUUUACAUCAACACCAUUGCCCUUCGGAUGAAGUGUGAGUAGUUUACCACAGACCACGGGUCCAUAGCUAGUAGCUAGAUGGCUUCUUCUCUAUCUUUGAUUCUCAAUACCAUGUUCUCCUCGAUGUUCUUGGAGAUCUAUUCGAUGUAAUACUUUUUUGCGGUGUGUUUGCCAAGAUCCGAUGAAUUGCGGAUUUAUGAUUAGCUUAUCUAUGAAUAUUAUUUGAAUCUUCUCCGAAUUCUUAUAUGCAUGAUUUGAUAUCUUUGCAAGGCUCUUCGAGUUAUCGGUUUGGUUUGGCCAACUAGAUUGGUUCUUCUUGCAAUGGGAGAAGUGCUUAGAUUUGGGUUCAAUCUUGCGGUGUCCUUUCCCAGUGACAGUAGGGGUAGCAAGGAACGUAUUGUAUUGUUUCCAUCAAGGAUAAACAGAUGGGGUUUUCAUCAUAUUGCUUGAGUUAAUUCCUCUACAUCAUGUCAUCUUACUUAAUGUGUUACUUCGUUCUUCAUGAACUUAAUACUCUUGAUGCAUGAUGGAUAGCGGUCGAUGUGUGGAGUAAUAGUAGUAGAUGCAGGCAGGAGUCGGUCUACUUGCACACGGAUGUGAUGCCUAUAUUCAUGAUCAUUGCCUUAGAUAUCGUCAUAACUUUGCGCUUUUCUAUCAAUUGCUCCACAGUAAUUUGUUCACCCACCGUAUUAUUUUCUAUCUUGAGAGAAGCCUCUAGUGAAACCUAUGGCCCGCGAGUCUAUUUUCCAUCAUAUUAGUUUCCGAUCUAAUAUUCUUGCAAUAUAUUACUUUCUGAUCUAUAAACAAAAAAAUACCAAAAAUAUUUACUUUAUCAUUUAUCUAUCUCUAUCAGAUCUCACUUUUGCAAGUAAGAGUGAAGGGAUUGACAACCCCUUUAUCGCGUUGGGUGCAAGUUUGUUUGAUUGCUUGUGCAGGUAUUCGGUGAUCUGUGCAUUAUCUCCUACUGGAUUGAUACCUUGGUUCUAAAACUGAGGGAAAUACUUAUCUCUACUUUGCUGCAUCACCAUUUCCUCUUCAAGGGAAAAACCAAUGCAAGCUCAAGAAGUAGCAGUGCUCAGCGAAGCCCUCCGGGAACGUGUUCACCAUUACCGUCAUCACGCCGUCGUGCUGUCAGAACUCAUCUACUAAUUCACCCAUCUUGCUGGAUCAAGAAGGCGAGGACGUCAUCGAGCUAAACGUGUGCUGAACAUGGAGGUGUCGUAUGUUCGGUACUUGCUUGGUUGGAUCGCGAAGAAGUUUGACUACAUCAACCACGUUAAUGAACGCUUCCGCUUUACGAUUUACAAGGGUAUGUAGACACACUCUCCCCUCUUGUUGCUAUGCAUCUCAUUAAAUAGAUAUUACGUGUGCGUAGAAUUUUUUUUGUCUUCCAUGCAACGUUCCCCAACAGUGGCAUCAUGAGCCAGGUCUAUGCAUAGAUGAUAUGCACGAGUAGAACACAAAGAGGUUGUGGGCGAUGAUAGUCAUACAACUUACCACCAACGUCUUAUUUUGAUUCGACAGUAUUGUGGGAUGAAGCGGAACGGACCAACCUUACAUGUCCACGCACAUGACACCGGUUCCACUGACUGACAUGCAACUUUUUUUGCAUAAAGGUGGCUGGUGGGUGUUUGUUUCUCCUACUUUCGUUGAAUGGAAUUUGACUACGGGAGGUCCUGGAAGAAGGCUAAAACAGCAAACUUGAUAAAUCACCAUUGUGGUUUUUGCGUAGUUAAGAACGGUUCUUUCUAGAAGCCCAUAGCAACCACGUAAAACUUGCAAUAACAAAGUAGAGGAUGUCUAACUUGUUUUUGCAGGGCAUGUUGUGAUGUGAUAUGGUCCAGACGUGUUGUGAUAUACGUUGUUGUAUGAGAUGAUCAUGUUUUGUCAUAUCGACAACCUGCAGGAGCCUUAGGGUUGUCUCUUAAUUAUUGUAUGAAAUGCAACCGCCAUGUAGUAGAUUUACUUUUAUCACUAUGCGUUAGCAAUAUUUGUAGAAGCAAUAGUUGGCGAGACGAGCCUGACGCAACGAUGGAGAUCAAGGUGUCGAGCCAGUGACGAUGGAGAUCAUGACGAUGGUUUGGAGAUGGAGAUCAAAAUCACAAGAUGAUGAUGGCCAUAUCAUGUCACAUAUUUUGAUUGCAUGUGACGUUUAUCCUUUAUGCAUCUUAUUUUGCUUAGAACGGUGGUAGCAUUGUAAGAUGAUCCCUUCACUAAAUUUCAAGAUAAAAGUGUUCUCCAGGAGUAUGCACCAUUGCCAAAGUUCGUCGUUUUGAAGCACCUCGUGAUGAUCGGGUGUGAUAGACUCUACGUUCACAUACAACGGGUGUAAGACAGUUUUGCACAUGCAGAAUAGUUGGGUUAAACUUAACAAGCCUAGCAUGUACAGACAUGGUCUCGGAACACUGGAGACCGAAAGGUCGAACAUGAGUCAUAUAGUAGAUCUGAUCCACAUAGAGAUGUUCACCAUUGAUGACUUCCCCAUCUCACGUGAUGAUCGGACAUGGGUUAGUUGAUUUGGAUCAUGUAUCACUUAGAUAACUUGAGGGAUGUUUAUUUAAGUGGGAGUUCAUUAGUAAUUUGAUUAAUUGAACUUAAUUUACCAUGAACUUAGUCUUAAUAGUUUUUGCAUAUCUAUGUUGUAGAUCAUGGCCCGAGCUACCGUUCCCCUGAAUUUUAAUGCGUUCCUAGAGAAAGCUAAGUUGAAAGAUGAUGGUAGCAACUACACAGACUGGGUCCGUAACUUGAGAAUUAUCCUCAUUGCUGCACAAAAGAAUUAUGUCCUUGAUGCACCGCUAUGUGACAGACCUGCUGCAGGAGCUACUACAUAUGUUAUGAACGUCUGGCAGACUCGGUUUGAUGACUACUCGAUAGUUCAGUGUGCCAUGCUUUAUAGCCUAGAACCGGGACUUCAAAGACGUUUUGAACAUCAUAGAGCAUAUGAGAUGUUCCAAGAGCUGAAGUUGAUAUUUCAAGCUAAUGCCCAGGUUGAGAGAUAUGAAGUCUCCAACAAGUUCUACAGCUACAAGAUGGAGGAAAAUAAUUCUGUCAAUGAACACAUACUCAAAAUAUUUGGGUAUCAUAACCACUUGACUCAGCUGGGAAUUGAUCUUCCAGUUGAGAGUGUUAUUGACAGAGUUCUUCAGUCACUGCCACCAAGCUACAAAGGCUUCAUGAUGAACUAUAAUAUGCAAGGGAUGACGAAAAUGAUUGUCGAGCUCUUCGCAAUGCUUAAGGCCGCAGAGGUAGAUAUCAAGAAGGAGCGUCAAGUGUUGAUGGUUAACAAAACCACUAGUUUCAAGAAAAAGGGCAAGGGAAAGAAAGAGAAUUUCGAGAAGAAUGGCAAGCAAGUUGCCACUCCCGUGAAGAAGCCCAAAGAUGGAAGCAAGCCUGAAACUGAGUGCUUCUACUGCAAAGGAAAUGGUCACUGGAAGCGGAACUGCCCCAAAUACUUGGCUGAUAAGAAGGAUGGCACAGUCAACAAAGGUAUAUUUGAUAUACAUGUUAUUGAUGUGUACCUUACUAAUGCUCGUCGUAGAGCCAAGGUAUUUGAUACUGGUUCGGUUGCUCAUAUUUGUUACUCGAAAUAGGAUCUAUGGAAUAAACAAAGAUUGGCUAAGGACAAGGUGACAAUGCGCAUCGGAAAUGGUUCCAAGGUCGAUGUGAUCGUCGUCGACACGCUACCUCUACAUCUACCUUCGGGGUUAGUUUUAGACCUCAAUAAUUGUUAUUUGGUGCCAGCGUUGAGCAUGAACAUUAUAUUUGGAUUUUGUUUAUUACGAGACGGUUGUUCAUUUAAAUCAGAGAAUAAUGGUUGUUCUAUUUAUAUGAGUAAUAUCUUUUAUGGUCAUGCACCCUUGAUGAAUGGUCUAUUCUUGUUGAAUCUCGAUCAUAGUGAUACACAUAUAAUAUUGAUGCCAAAAGAUGCAAAGUUGAUAAUGAUAGUGCAAAAUAUUUGUGGCACUGCCAUUUAGGUCAUAUUGGUGUAAAGCGCAUGAAGAAACUCCAUAUAGAUGGAAUUUUGGAAUCACUUGAUUAUGAAUCAUUUGAUACUUACGAACCAUGCCUCAUGGGCAAGAUGACUAAAACUCCGUUCUCCAGAACAAUGGAGCGAGCUAAUGACUUACUGGAAAUAAUACAUACCGAUGUAUGCAGUCCGAUGAGUGUUGAGGCACGCGGCGGGUAUCGUUAUUUUCUGACCUUCACGGAUGAUUUGAGUAGGUAUGGAUAUAUCUACUUGAUGAAACACGUCUGAAACAUUUGAAAACUUCAAGGAAUUUCGGAGUGAAGUAGAGAAUCAUCGUAAGAAGAAGAUAAAAUUUCUACGAUCUGAUCAUGGAGGUGAACAUUUGAGUUACGAGUUUGGCCUUCAUAUAAAAUAACAUGGAAUUGUUUCACAACUCAUGCCACCUCGAACACCACAACGUAAUGGUGUGUCCAAACAUCGUAACCGCAUUUUAUUAGAUAUGGGGCAUUCUAUGGUGUCUCUUACCGAUUUACCACUAUUUUUUGGGUUAUGCAUUAGAGACAGCCGCAUUCAUGUUAAAUAGGACACCGUCUAAAUCCGUUGAGACGACACUGUAUGAACUAUGGUUUCGCAAGAAACCUAAGUUGUCGUUUCUUAAAGUUUGGGGAUGCGACACUUAUGUCAAAAGGCUUCAGCCUGAUAAGCUCGAACCCAAAUUGGAGAAUUGCGUCUUCAUAGGAUACCCUAAGGAAACUAUCGGUACACCUUCUACCAUAGAUCCAAAGGCAAGAUCUUUGUUGCUAAGAAUGGGUCCUUUUUAGAGAAGGAGCUUCUAUCGACAGAAGUGAGUGAGAGGAAAGUAGAACUUGAUGAGGUAAUUAUACCUUAUCUUGAAUUGGAAAGUAGCAUAUCAGAGAAAACCGUUCCCAUGAUGCCUACACCAACUAGAGAGGAAGAUAAUGAUGAUGAUCAUGAAACUUUGGAUCAAGUUACUACUGGACCUUGUAGGUCGACCAGAGCAUGUUCCGCACUAGAUUGGUACGUACUCCUAUCCUGGAAGUCAUGUUAUUAGACCAUGGCGAACCUACGAACUAUAAAGAAGCUAUGAUGAGCCCAGUUUCCGAUAAAUGGCUUGAGGCCAUGAAAUCUGAGAUAGGAUCCAUGUAUGAGAACAAAGUAUGGACUUUGGUGGACUAGCUCGAUGAUCGGCAAGCCAUUGAGAAUAAAUGGAACUUCAAAAAUAAGACGGAUGCUGAUGGUAAUGUCACUGUCUACAAAGCUCAACUUGUCAGAAAAUGUUUCCGACAAGUUCAAGGGGUUGACUACGAUGAGACUUUCUCGCCCGUAGCGAUGCUUAAAUCUGUCCGAAUCAUGUUAACAAUUGCAGCAUUUUAUAAUUAUGAAAUCUUGCAAAUGGACGUCAAAACUGCAUUCCUUAAUGGAUUUCUUAAAGAGAGUUGUAUAUGAUGCAACUAGAAGGUUUUGUCGAUCCUAAAGGUGCUAACAAAGUGUGCAAGCUGCAAAGAUCCAUCUAUGGACAGGUGCAAGCAUCUCGGAGUUCGAAUAUAUGCUUUGAUGAGGUGAUUAAAGCAUAUGGUUUUAUACAGACUUACAGUGAAGUCUAUAUUUACAACAAAGUGAGUGGGAGCUCUGUAGCAUUUCUGAUAUUAUAUGUGGAUGACAUAUUUGUUGAUUGGAAAUGAUAUAGAAUUUCUGGAUAGCAUAAAAGUAUAGUUGAAUAAGAAUUCUUUAAUGAAAGACCCCGGUGAAGCUGCUUAUAUAUUGGGCAUCAAGAUCUAUGGGGAUAGAUCAAGAUGCUUAAUAGGACUUUAACAAAACACAUACCUUGACAAAGUUUUGAAGAAGUACAAAAUUGAUCAGUCAAAGAAAGGGUUCUUGCCUAUGUUACAAGGUAUGAAAUUGAGUCAGACUCAAAGCCUGACUACUGCAAAAGAUAGAGAUAAAAUGAAAGUCAUCCCCCCUGCCUCAGCCAUAGGUUCUAUCAUGUAUGAUAUGCUAUGUACCAGACCUGAUGUGUGCCUAGCCAUAAGUUUGGCAGGUGUCGGUGUCAAAACCGGCGGAUCUCGGGUAGGGGGUCCCGAACUAUGCAUAUAAGGCUAAUGGUAACAGGAGGCGGGGGACACAAUGUUUACCCAGGUUUGGGCCCUCUCGAUGGACGUAAUACCCUACUUCCUGCUUGAUUGAUCUUGAUGAUAUGAGUAUUACAAGAGUUGAUCUACCAUGAGAUCAAAGAGGCUAAACCCUAGAAGCUAGCCUAUGGUUAUGAUUGUUCUCCUCCUAUGGACUAAACCCUCCGGUUUAUAUAGACACUGGAGGGGGCUAGGGGUUACACAGAGUUGGUUACAAAGAAAGGAAUCUUCAUAUCCAAAUCGCCAAGCUUGCCUUCCACGCAAAGGAGAGUCCCAUCCGGACACGGGAUGAAGUCUUCUAUCUUCUAUCUUCAUAUCCCAAUAGCCCGGCAUACACAUAUAGUCCGGUUGUCCAAGGACCCCUUAAUCCAGGACUCCCUCAGUAGCCCCUGAAGCAGGCUUCAAUGACGAUGAGUCCUGCGCGCAGAUUGUCUUCGGCAUUGCAAGGCGGGUUCCUUCUCCGAAUAGUCCAAAGUAGAUCUUGACCAAAAGAAUCGUGUCCGGCUCUGCAAAAAAAAUUCCACAUACCAUGUUAGAGAGUACAGUAUCCCAUGAGUCCAAUCUGAUGACAGCUCAUAGUGUGACAUCACGCCGCGGCCCGGUCUUUAUUCGAACCAUUUUUAUCCUUCCCCUCCGUAUUUCGAGGCGCGGUUUCAUUGGCCUGUCUUGUCGAAGCAGAGAUCAUGUCCCCUUAUCACGGGAUUCUCACCAAUGCGGGCGUGGGUAACCCAACCAUGCCAUCAGCACGACCCUUAGGAAAUAAGCAAGUUUUAGGGCGUACGGGGAGGCGCACGAUUUUUACUGCCUUUAUAAGGGGAUAAGGAUUCCCCUCUUUCACCCACGCCCUCUUCUUCCUCUGCUCAUUCAUCCUCGAGCUCCAACGCCCAAGCACCCAUCUCUUCCGCCCCCAAAAGCACUCCCAUCAUGUCCGAAUCCGGAGCUGGAGGCAAGUGGAUGGCCUCCUCCGUCAAGAAGGAGGACAUCAAGAAGCUCCGGGAGGCCGGGUACUUGUCCAAAGACAUCGCUCAUUGGCUUCCGGCCAAAGGGCAGAUCAUCCCUACCCCGGAGCCCCAAGAAAGGGUGGUAUUUCUUUCCCACUUUGUUCGCGGGUUGGGGUUCCCUCUCCACCCGUUCGUACAUGGACUGAUGUUCUACUACGGGCUAGACUUCCACGACUUGGCCCCCAACUCCAUCCUCAACAUUUUGGCAUUCAUUGUCGUGUGUGAGGCCUUCCCCCGCAUCCCACCUCACUUCGGCCUAUGGCUGAAGACCUUCAAUGUGAAGCCCAAGAUUGUGAGUGGCGAACAAGCAGGAGUGCGGAGGCGAUAUGGUGGGCAAUAUGCCCAAUGUCACCUGGUCCGAAGGCUCCUUUGUAGAGACCAUAAAGGGGUGGCAAUCAGGGUGGUUCUACAUUACCGAACCGUGCGACGCCAACUGGGCGGCGACCACCGAAUUCUGAUCCGGACUCCCCAUGCGGCUCACCUCUUGGCAAGAGAACGGUUUAGCCUCGGGCUCAGCGGAAGAAGUGACUGGGCUCCAGACAUGUGUCCAGAACAUGAUUGACAAGAAAAUCAAGCUUGUGAACAUGAUCCAGGUCAUGCUCUUCCGCCGGAUUCUUCCGUGCCAGAGCCGGACUUGUAAUUUGUGGGAGUUCGACCCGGCCAAGCACCAGACACUGCUGGAGCUCUUCGAUACGACACACGAAGACAUCUGGAAGGUGCUUUUUAAGGCCGGUGAGGUUCCACCGCCCACGUUCGAAGACCGCGGGCUUAGCGCAAGACGCCGGGAUAAUCCGGUAAGUUCUUUUAUGUUUGCAAGAUAUAUCUUUUUGCCGGCAUAUCCGUGGGAGGAACCUAAGCCUCCAUGCCAAUCUCUUAGGCCUGGGUAACGAUCGCGGAGCAGAUCGAAUGUCCGGCUCCGCUGCCCGAAGAUCAAGAAACGCCUCUUCUGACGAAGUUGCUAUUUCCGGCGCCUUAUGAGGUGCCGGAGAAGAAAACCAAGAAGGCGGCCAAGGGGACCAGAGGUGGUCUCCGACGCAAGGGUGUUUCAGACGUGACGUCCGAAGAUGCCGAGGCGCACUCCUCUGCCGAAGACGACGGGGAGGAGGAGGCCCAUCCCCCCCCCCCAUUGGGGGGAAAUAAGAGGAAGGCCUCCACAUAUGGGGAGGCCGAGGCGCCCAAGAAGGGAAAAAUCUCCCUUCCGGACUACUCCGCCGCAGCCACCAACAGCAGCGAGGAGUGGGGGCCCAGGGUCAAGCCCCUAGCCAAAUCGUAAGUAUCCGAACACGAUAAUAUUUCCGAGUUUUUUCACCUUAUCGUUUUUAAUGUGUUAGACCAUGCAUCUGCAGUCCAGCCCAAUCCAACAUCGAGCUCUCCUCCUCUUCGAAGGGGUCGCUGGAUCCGUCAGUGAUGAACAGCGAGUCCCUUCCAACGGCCACCUCCCAUAAGGCCGCGGACAACACCGAGGUGUUGUCCCGAAGGAUACCGUGCCAAGAGGAGGCUGUUUCGGUGAUGCCAGAGGAAAGAAGUCUGGUCGCCGAGCACAUGGGGGGAAAGACCCCUAGACCCCGACGAUGAGGGCCGAGUCCAGUUUGGUCCUCAGUCGGAUACAGCUCCGGAGACCCAAGUGGCUCCAAAUUUGGGCAGGCAGCCUCUCCCUAACGAGGGGGGCAAGCCGCCUCCGCCGGUGACCUCUGUCCGCCCAAAGGCACCGGACAGAUUGUUGGAAGCGCUACAAGGCGUUUCCAUUAUGGAAGAACACUGUACUCUUAUGAGUAUGGUGAUUGUGAAAGUUCAGUCCGCCAAAAACAGACUGACCGAAACCUGCCUUAGCCUUCUAACAGGCUUUGAGGUAAGUAAUGUAGUUGUAAAAGAAUAUCACCUUGUAGACAGUAGCCCCUGAUGCUCUGUUCGGUGUUCGAAAAGAAAAAGCAAACGGAGGAUCAAAAUAAUUUUCGCAGGAGUCUAACAUAGCAUGUCUAUGUGAACAAGCAGGCAUCGCUGCUACCCGUUGCCGCUCAUACUGCGGAGGUCUCCGGCUUGACGCAGAAUCUGGAGCGGGCCAAGGAAGAACUCGUCCUCGUGAAGAAGCAACUGGAGGACAACCAAGGUAUACACUAACUGGUGCUUUAUAUUUGGGAAGGAUGAAAAGUUCAUACUGACUGAAGUGUCAUGAACUUUAUUAGGGGUCACGAUCGAAGUAGCGGCCCUCAAGAAGGUGUUGGCCUAGGCCGAGGACAAAGCGUCUAAGGAACGCACCGCGCGCGAGAAGCAGGAGGCCCGGGUCGGCGAGGUCCAGCAAGAGCUUCAGGACGCUGUCAAAAAGUACGAGUCAUUGGAGCGUAAUUCAAAGACUCAAGAGUCCGAACUUGCCAAGGCCCGCCAGGGCGCGCAAGAUGCCCGAGCCGAAGCCCAGAGCGCCCUCCGAGAAAUCCAGGUGGCCCAGGAGAUCACGGCGGGUAAAGCUUUUAUUAUGCAAAGCAAGUGUGUGAAUGAAACGUUCCCUUUACUUACCCGGAUUUGGAGUUCUACAGGAGCGUUUGCGGAUCUACCGUGCAGUAUAUCAGAUGCUGCCGAAUUCUUUCGAUCCGAAGAAGGGAGCUCUACGGAGAAGUUGUUCUGGUCUCAAUACCUUGGAUCAGAACAUCCGGUGCCCCUUAGCGACCAGCUAAAACAGUUGGUCGAGCUGCACAAGGGAGCCGAACUGGCAAUCAUAGUAGUUCUCCCUUUACUACCCUAGCCGAUAUAACGGAACAUAGGGUAGCAAGCACAGGAGCCGGGCAACCCAACUAUUGACCAAAGACAUGAUUCAGAGCCGAUGCAUAUAAUGCUAUAAGUUCGGGGUUCCGAACUAUACUAUAAACGUGUUCGGACUUUCUUGUCGUGUUAUGGGGUACAAUGACGCCCCUGGCGAAUUAAGGCGUACCAUAAUGUACGGGUGCAAUUGAAAAUAAAUGGACAAGAAAAAAUUGAAGUAAUGGGUAAACACUGCAGAUUAUUUUUCAUUGUAAGUUGAUUGAUACGUCAAGGCGUAUCUAUACAAAGUAGUGCAAUAAGCAAAUAAGGCUAUUUAACAUGCCACGACCAAGAGCGAGUUGCGUGCGGGUAUUUAAAACAGGUAUGACGAUCAUUAGCAAAGACCACCUGGGUAUUCCCUUGUACGUCCGAGCCCCUAGCUUUCUUGGCGUAUCCGUCCCGCUACGGCUCCGAUGAACACAUUUAUCAAAAAAGGCCUUGAGAGGUGAAAAAACUUGAAAGAAAGAGAAAAACUGAAGGUAUGCAGAUCCAGGAGCGGGUGAGCCGCAUUGUGGGCUGCAAUCUUAGUUGUGCCUCCGUCCAUGCCCAUGGUAUUUUAAGUGCGUGGUUGUGUACGCGCGGCAUGAAUUUCGCCGCUUUAUUGGGGCUAGGAUGAAGGCCAGAUUGCUAGCUGAGUUGUGGACGAGCCGGAUGGUCCUGUUGCGGAGUAGCACGGACCCGCUUAACGAUGUCCGAGGGCUUUAUUGCCGAAUUGAGGUUUUGCCUAAGGAGGCUAUUCUAUACUUAUGCUGCAAGGGCCGCGGUAUGCUCCUCGGUACGGAGGGAGCGCUCUGUAUUUCCAUUGACUGUUAUAACACCGCGGGGUCCGGGCAUCUUGAGCUUAAGGUAGGCAUAGUGCGGCACCGCAUUGAAACGGGAAAAUGCGGUUCGUCCGAGCAGUGCGUGAUAACCACUGUGGAAGGGGACAAUAUCGAAGAGUAGCUCUUCGCUUUGGAAAUUAUCCGGGGAUCCGAAGACCACUUCCAGUGUGAUUGAGCCCGUGCAGCAGGCCUCUACACCUGGUAUGACACCUUUAAAGGUGGUUUUGGUGGGCAUGAUCCUUGAGGGAUCAAUACCCAUUUUGUGUGUUGUAUCCUAGUAAAGCAGGUUCAAGCUGCUACCACCGUCCAUGAGGACACGUGUGAGCUAGAAUCUGUCAAUGAUAGGGUCAAGCACCAGUGCGGUUGAACCGCCGUGACGGAUACUGGUCGGAUGGUCCCUUCGAUCGAAGAUGAUCGAACAGGAGGACCAUGGCUUGUAUUUUGGGGCGACUGGCUCCAUCGUGUAGACGUCCCUUAGUGCGCGCUUCCGCUCCCUUUUGGGGAUAUGGGUAGCAUAUAUCAUGUUCACCGUUUUCACUUGGGGGAGGGGACUUCUUCUGUCCCAUGUGUUCUGCGGUCGGGGUUCCUCGUCGUCGUCACUUUGCAAUCCCUUUUCCUUGUUUUCAGCAUUUAACUUGCCGGCCUGUUUAAAGACCCAACAUUCUCUGUUGGUGUGAUUGGCUGGUUUAUCAGGGGUGCCGUGGAUUUGACAUGGACGAUCGAGUAUGCGGUCCAGACUGGACGGGCCCAGAUUGUUUCUUUUAAAUGGAUUUUUCCGCUGAUUGGACUUAGAGCCACUGAAUCCGGCAUUGAUGGUCGUGUCUUCGGUGUUAUCGCCAUUAUUUCAACGCUUGUGUCUGUUGCGUCGGGGCUUGCCAUUGCUAUCUUUGGCUUUGGAAGUGCCAGGUUUGCUUGAGGUGAUGUUGCUACGAGCUAGCCAGCUAUCCUCACCCGCACAAAAGCGAGUCAUGAGCGUCAUGAGGGCUGCCGUGGACUUCGGCUUCUCUUGGUCGAGGUGUCGGGUGAGCCACUCGUCGCGGAUGUUAUGCUUAAAGGCCGCUAGGGCUUCGACAUCUGGACAGUCGACGAUUUGGUUCUUUUAGUUAAGAACCGAGUCCAGAAUUUCCUGGCUAACUCUCCAGGAUGUUGGAUUAUAUGACUUAAGUCAUCGGCAUCCGGAGGUUAGACAUAAGUGCCCUGGAAGUUGUCAAGGAAUGCGUCUUCCAGGUUCUCCCAACUGCGAAUAGAGUUUCCUAGCAGACUGUUCAACCAGUGCCUAGCUGUCCCUUUGAGUUUUAGCGGGAGAUACUUGAUGGCAUGGAGAUCAUCGCCGCGGGCCAUAUGUAUAUGGAUAAGGAAGUCCUCGGUCCAUACCGCAGGAUCUGCUGUUCCAUCAUAUGAUUCAAUGUUUACGGGUUUAAACCCUUCUAGGAAUUCAUGCUCCAUUACUUCGUCAGUGAAGCAGAGGGGGUGUGCGGCACCUCUGUGUCGGGCUAUGCCCGAACGUAGCUCAAAUGGAGCCCGUCUGCGGUAUUCGGCCCGGACAGGUUUGUGCUUGUUAUAUCCGGCUUGGCGGCCGUCAUUGCACGUUGGGGCGCACCCCCGUGAUCCGUAGAUCGAUCUGGUUUGUCCUGCUCUGUUUUCCAAAUCGUACCGCAGGUCAUGUGUGUAUCCCUGAGCUGUUGUGUUUGUAUUUGUUCGAGGCAGUGCCGGCUGGUGCUCGUGCUGAAUUGCCGUUUUAUCUCAGCCACGUGGUGGACGAUCAGCCGCAUUAUGCGCCGGUAGUGCCAGCUCUGGUGCCUCGUCAUCGAAUUGAGGUAGCAAUUUGUGCUUUUGGUAACUUUUUGUUGGGCGUUCGAGUCCGUAUUCCUCGGCUGCCAGGACCUCAGUCCAUCUAUCAGUGAGCAGAUCUUGAUCAGCUCGAAGAUGCUGCUGCUUCUUCUUCAGGCUUUUUGCAGUGGCUAUAAGUCGGCGCUUGAAAUGCUCCUGCUCAACGGGAUCCUCAGGGACGAUAAAUUCUUCGUCGCCGAGGCUCACCUCGUCCUCGGAGAGGGGCAUGUAAUUGCUGUCUUCCGAGUCGUCAUUCACGGCCUGGUCGUCGGGGUUAGCUCGCCCAUCUUCCCGUCCGGCCUCUUCAAAACUUGGCUUGGCGGGGUCUUUGUUGUCUUCAGCAUCGUCCGGAGUGCUAUUCUCUCUUGUGCCGGUAUCGCUAUUUUUACCAUGGCGUGACUUAGAGCGGCGCCGCUGACGUCGGCACUUAGACUGCUUCUCAGGAAGUUUAUCCUCAACUGGAUCUUUUAUGUCAUCGCCAUUGUCUUCUUUGGGUGUAUCCACCAUGUAUAUAUCGUAUGAGGAGGUGGCUAUCCAGCUCCCUAUUGGCGGUGGUUCUUGUUCUUCUCCGGCAUCGUCGUCCAUACCGUCGAUGUCUUCGGAGUCGAAAUCAAGCAUGUCGGUCAAAUCGUCAACAAUGGCUAUCAAGUGGGUGGUGGGUGGGUAACGAAGUUCUUCGUCGCCCGCUUCCCACUCAAGCCGGACAUAGUUCGGCCAAGGAUCUCCUGACAAAGAGAGAGACUUUAAUGAGUUUAACACAUCGCCUAAGGGCGAGUGUUGGAAGAUGUCCGCGGAGCUGAACUCUAAGAUCGGCGCCUGGUCAGAUUCGAUGGGUGCAGAUACGCGGGGUUCGGAACCUAUGGCUGGAGAUGAGUCCGAGGCUCCGAUGACACAGGCCUUGUUGGAGGUCAUAUCUGUGUCCGGUUCUAGCGUCGUUGAGUUCGCGGCUUCCGUGGCGAGGUUGAGCCUCCCGUCCCCGGAUGGCGCGCUCUGCUCUGGAUCUAGGGCUAGUGCAGUUACAUGCGCAAUCUCCCGCACACCAUCUGAUGACAGAUUUAGGUCAUCUUCAUCGUGGCGGCAGGGCGCGGCUGUCAGGGGCUCGAAUACGUCAAAGAUCAAGUCUCCGUGAAUAUCGGCGGUGUAGUUCAAGCUUCCAAACCUGACCUGAUGGCCAGGGGCGUAGCUGUCGAUCUGCUCUAGAUGGCCAAGCGAGUUGGCCCGCAGUGCGAAGCCGCCGAAUAUGAAGAUCUGUCCGGGGAGAAAAACUUCACCCUUGACGACAUUGUUGUGGAUGAUUGAAGGAGCCAUCAAGUCUUAUGGUGGCGACACAGUGGAACUCUCAAUGAAAGCACCAAUGUCGGUGUCAAACCCGGCGGAUCUCGGGUAGGGGGUCCCGAACUAUGUGUCUAAGGCUAAUGGUAAUAGGAGGCGGGGGGACACAAUGUUUACCCAGGUUCGGGCCCCCUCGAUGGAGGUAAUACCCUACUUCCUGCUUGAUUGAUCUUGAUGAUAUGAGUAUUACAAAAGUUGAUCUACCAUGAGAUCGAAGAGGCUAAACCCUAGAAGCUAGCCUAUGGUUAUGAUUGUUCUCCUCCUACGGGCUAAACCCUCCGGUUUAUAUAGACACCGGAGGGGGCUAGGGUUACACAGAGUCGGUUACAGAGAAAGCAAUCUUCAUAUCCGAAUCGACAAGCUUGCCUUCCAUGCAAAGGAGAGUCCCAUCCGGACAUGGGACGAAGUCUUCUAUCUUGUAUCUUCAUAUCCCAACAGUCCGGCAUAUGCAUAUAGUCCGGCUGUCCGAGGACCCCUUAAUCCAGGACUCCCUCAGCAAGGAGGUACCAAAGUAAUCUAGGAGUGGAUCACUAGACAAAAUUCAAGAACAUCCUAGUACCUAAAAAGGACCAAGGAAAUUUUUCUCGGUUAUGGAGGUGAUAAAGAGCUUGUCAUAAAUGGUUAUGUCGAUGCUAGCUGUCAGUUGAAUGGUGGAGCUGUCAGUUGGUGCAGUUCCAAGCAGAGUGUUGUGGCGGGAUCUACGUGUGAAGCCGAGUACAUAGCUGCUUUGGAAGCAGCGCAUGAAGGAGUCUGGAUGAAGGAGUUCAUAUCCAAUCUGGGUGUAAUACCCAGUGCAUUGGGUUCAACGAAAAUCCUUUGUGACAACACUGGAGAAAUUGCCUUAGUGAAGGAAUACAGGUUUCACAAGAGGACCAAACACAUCAAGUGACACUUCAACUCCAUUUGUGAAAAGGUCAAGGAUGGAGACAUAGAAAUUUGCAAAAUACAUACGGGUCUGAAUGUAGCAGACCCGUUGACUAAGCCUCUUCCGCGAGCAAAACAUGAUCAACACCAAGACUCCAUGGGUGUUAGAUUGAUUAUAAUGUAAUCUAGAUUAUUGACUCCAGUGCAAGUGGGAGACUGAUGGAAAUAUGCCCUAGAGGCAAUAAUAAAGUUGUUAUUAUUAUAUUUCCUUAUUCAUGAUAAAGGUUUAUUAUUCAUGCUAGAAUUUUAUUGACUGGAAACUUAAAUACAUGUGUGGAUACAUAAACAAAUACUGUGUCCCUAGUGAGACUCUACUAGACUAGCACGUUGAUAAAAAGAUGGUUAAGGUUUCCUAACCAUAGACAUGUUUUGUCACUUGAUAACGGGAUCACAUCAGAAUGAUGUGAUGGACAAGACCCAUCUGUUAGCUUAGCAUAUGAUCGUUCAGUUUAUUGCUAUUGCUUUCUAAUGUCAAAUACAUAUUCCUUUGACUAUGAGAUCAUGAAACUCCCGGAUACCGGAGGAAUAUCUUGUGUGCUAUCAACCAUCAUCACAUAACUGGGUGAUCAUAAAGAUUCUCUACAGGUAUUUCCGAAUGUGUCUGUUGAGUUGGCAUGGAUUGAGAUUAGGAUUUGUCACUCCGUGUAUCGGAGAGGUAUCUCUGGGCCCUCUCGGUAAUACACAUCACAAGUAGCUUUCAAGCAAAGUGACUAAGGAGUUAGUUACGAGAUGAUGUAUCACUACUAGGGAAAAGCCUAUACAUAGGAUCUUACCAGCAGCGAGUUUUAAAAUAAGGCGCUGCUGCAAUUUAUCAGUAGCGCGCUCCACCAGAACUCGCUGCUGAAAUAGAAGUAGCAGUAGCGCGCCUCCACUAAGCCACGCUACUGCUACAAUUCACACGACCCCGCCACAAAGCUAGUUAUAGCAGCAACGUGUUAAUUAGAAGGGCGCUACUACUAGGUAGUUUAGUAGUAGCGCCUUUACCUAUACUGCGCUACUGCUAAAACUAGCUACCUUCCACCACCCAUGCUCUCCUCUAUCCAAAUCCACACUCACACUCACACUCACUCGACCUCCCGNNNNNNNNNNNNNNNNNNNNNNNNNNNNNNNNNNNNNNNNNNNNNNNNNNNNNNNNNNNNNNNNNNNNNNNNNNNNNNNNNNNNNNNNNNNNNNNNNNNNNNNNNNNNNNNNNNNNNNNNNNNNNNNNNNNNNNNNNNNNNNNNNNNNNNNNNNNNNNNNNNNNNNNNNNNNNNNNNNNNNNNNNNNNNNNNNNNNNNNNNNNNNNNNNNNNNNNNNNNNNNNNNNNNNNNNNNNNNNNNNNNNNNNNNNNNNNNNNNNNNNNNNNNNNNNNNNNNNNNNNNNNNNNNNNNNCCGUCGUCACCUCCUCCUCCUUGCUGGACUCGGUACCGCCCUCCUCCUCCUCCGUCCUUCCUCGAAUCGCCGCCGGCCGGCCCCUCCUCGCUCCGCCAUUCCUCCUCCAUCCUACUCUCUCCUUCCUCCUCCAGUCACCCCUCCUUCUCCCACCUCCCUCCUCUAUCCACAAACCCUCCUCCCUACUACAUUUUUAUUUAGUAGGCUAGUUCAUAUGCAACAUUUUGAUUUAGUUCAUAUGAUUUAGUUGAUUUAGUAGGCUAGUUGAUUUAGAACAUUUUGAUUUUGUUGAUUUAGUAGGCAAGUUGAUCUAGUAGGCUAGUUGAUUUAGCUGAUUUAUAGAACAUUUUGAUUUAGUUGAUUUAGUAGGCAAGUUGAUUUAAUAGGCUAGUUGAUUUAGUUGAUUUAUAGAACAUUUUGAUUUAGUUGAUUUAGUAUGCUAGUUGAUAGCUCAGAAGAUUUGGCACUUGGCAGUUGGUUCUAUUCUAGAAGGUGCUAGUAAACUAUGAAUAUAACUGAAGAAGAACCAAAAAAUCACAUGCUACUGUUUUUAUUUCGUGUGAAGUGGAUUGUUAAUCCUUUGCUCAUAUUGCUUUAGGAAAAUGGCGCCGCCACCACUACCACCAUGUCAAUUGUGCAAGUCAAGAUGCGCCAGCAGCCUUGCAACUGGCAAGCUGCUCGGCAUCUGCUUCCAGCCGAGUUUUCGUCAUGCGGCGGUAAGAAAUUAUAUGAAAUGUAACAACUAUUUUAUUUUUAAUGUUGGCAUUACUGCAUUGUGUCAUUUUGCUUUUUUUACACAGAUCGUCCCAUGCAAUGUGAGGUUGAAAUUCAAUAAGCUGACAUGAGACAUUGUGACAUUUGAGGCUCCUGGGGACUGUACACUAUAGAGGUCGAGAAAGGAUGAAAUAUUUCGCAGAUUGGAGGAGAUGGAUGGGCCCGUUUCCUCGCCCGCAUGCGUCUUACUGGUGGUGAGUUUAUCAGCUUCUCCUUCAGAGCAGAAAGACCCAAGCUGGUUGUCAUUUAUAUCAACCUGGUGGAAGAUGAUGAAGAUGACGAAGAUGAUGAAGAUAAUGAGGACCCACUCGAUGAAGAUGAUGAGGACCCACUUCAUGAAGCCAUCAUAGCUCAAAGAAUGAGGUUGAGUGACAAGGAGGUGUGCAACCUAUGGGACAUAAUUCCACCACGUGCUAACUUUGUCGGGGUGCCAUUCGUGACCCGCCUGACAAGUACCAUGGUCGAUCGACAUGAUAUGGUAUAUUAUACUUACAAAUGCAAAUUAUCUGAUGAUAUGAUUAGUGUGGAGUCCAAUGAUAUGUUGUGUGGAAUCUAGUCGAUGAUAUGCUUUAGUGUAGAGUUCAAUCACAUGCUUAUUAGUGUAGAAUCUAAGGAACUAUUAAUAGUGUAGGUAAUCCAUAUAUACUUAUUUGCAAGAGUAUGUGUGAGGCUAUUUAUUAAUUGACAUGUUUUUCUUAUUUGGAAAUUGGCAAAGAGCCUAUCUGUGAGUUAUGGUAUCGAGCCUGAUGAAGAAGGCUCAGCUGGACUACGCCUUACCGCAAGGGGCUCCGUCACAACCUGUAUUUACCGCGUGGACACGGACAGUCGCACACACUUAAACUCGGUUGGGUGGAAGAGAUUCCUCGAUGGCAAGAAUCUUCAUGUUGGACAGGCCAUCCUAAUUACUAUCAGGAACUGUUGGGGAACAUAGUAAUUUCAAAAAAAAAUCCUACGCACACGCAAGAUCAUGGUGAUGCAUAGCAACGAGAGGGGAGAGUAUUAUCCACGUACCCUCGUAGAUCGAUAGCGGAAGCGUUAUGACAACGCGGUUGAUGUAGUCGUACGUCUUCACGAUCCGACCGAUCCAAGUACCGAACGUACGGCACCUCCGAGUUCAGCACACGUUCAGCUCGAUGACGAUCCCCGGACUCCGAUCCAGCAGGGUGUCGGGGAUCAGUUCCGUCAGCACGAUGGCAUGGUGACGAUGAUGAUGUUCUACCGACGCAGGGCUUCACCUAAGCACCGCAACGAUAUGACCGAGGUGGAAUAUGGUGGAGGGGGGCACCGCACACGGCUAAGGAACGAUCACAAAGAUCAAUUUGUGUGUCUUGGGGUGCCCCCUGCCCCUGUAUAUAAAGGAGCAAGGGGGAAGGCCGGCCGGCCCUUGCGGCGCGCCAAGGAGGGGGGGAGUCCUCCUCCUAGUAGGAGUAGGACUCCCCCUUUCCUAGUCCAACUAGGAAGGGGGAAGGGGGAAGGAAAGAGGAGGGAGAGGGAGAGGGAAAGAGGGGCCGCGCCCCCUUCCCCUAGUCCAAUUCGGACUCCCCAUGGGGGGCGCCACCUCCUGGGCUGCUGCCCUCUCUCUCCCCUCAGGCCCACUAAGGCCCAAUACUUCCCCGGGGGGUUCCGGUAACCCCUCCGGCACUCCGGUUUUCUCCGAAACCACCCGGAACACUUCCAGUGUCCGAAUAUAGUCGUCCAAUAUAUCAAUCUUUAUGUAUCAGCCAUUUCGAGACUCCUCGUCAUGUCCGUGAUCACAUCCGGGACUCCGAACAACCUUUGGUACAUCAAAAACUUAUAAACUCAUAAUAAAACUGUCAUCGUAACGUUAAGCGUGCGGACCCUACAGGAUCGAGAACUAUGUAGACAUGACCUAGAACUAUUUCCAGUCAAUAACCAAUAGCGGAACCUGGAUGCUCAUAUUGGCUCCUACAUAUUCUACGAAGAUCUUUAUCGGUCAAACCGCAUAACAACAUACGGUGUUCCCUUUGUCAUCGGUACGUUACUUGCCUGAGAUUCGAUCGUCGGUAUCCAAUACCUAGUUCAAUCUCGUUACUGGCAAGUCUCUUUACUCGUUUUGUAAUGCAUCAUCUUACAACUAACUCAUUAGUUGAAAUGCUUGCAAGGCUUAAGUGAUGUGCAUUACCGAGAGGGCCCAGAGAUACCUCUCCGACAAUCGGAGUGACAAAUCCUAAUCUUGAAAUACGCCAACCCAACAAGUACCUUCGGAGACACCUGUAGAGCACAUUUAUAAUCACCCAGUUACGUUGUGACGUUUGGUAGCACAUAAAGUGUUCCUCCGAUAAACGGGAGUUGCAUAAUCUCAUAGUCAUAGGAACAUGUAUAAGUCAUGAAGAAAGCAAUAGCAGAAAACUAAACGAUCAAGUGUUAAGCUAACGGAAUGGGUCAAGUCAAUCACAUCAUUCUCCUAAUGAUGUGAUCCCAUUAAUUAAAUGACAACACAUGUCUAUGGUCAGGAAACAUAACCAUCUUUGAUCAAUGAGCUAGUCAAGUAGAGGCAUACUAGUGACACUCUGUUUGUCUAUGUAUUCACACAAGUAUUAUGUUUCCGAUUAAUACAAUUCUAGCAUGAAUAAUAAACAUUUGUCAUGAUAUAAGGAAAUAAAUAAUAACUUUAUUAUUGCCUCUAGGGCAUAUUUCCUUCAGUCUCCCACUUGCACUAGAGUCAAUAAUCUAGAUUACACAGUAAUGAUUCUAACACCCAUGGAGUCUUGGUGUUGAUCAUGUUUUGCUCGUGGAAGAGGCUUAGUCAGCGGGUCUGCGAUAUUCAGAUCCGUAUGUAUCUUGCAAAUUUCUAUGUCUCCCACCUGGACUAGAUCUCGGAUGGAAUUGAAGCGUCUCUUGAUGUGCUUGGUUCUCUUGUGAAAUCUGGAUUCCUUCGCCAAGGCAAUUGCACCAGUAUUGUCACAAAAGAUUUUCAUUGGACCCGAUGCACUAGGUAUGACACCUAAAUCGGAUAUGAACUCCUUCAUCCAUACUCCUUCAUUUGCUGCUUCCGAAGCAGCUAUGUACUCCGCUUCACAUGUAGAUCCCAUCACGACGCUUUGUUUAGAACUGCUCCAACUGACAUCUCCACCGUUCAAUGUAAACACGUAUCCGGUUUGCGAUUUAGAAUCAUCCGGAUCAGUGUCAAAGCUUGCAUCAACGUAACCAUUUACAAUGAGUUCUUUGUCACCUCCAUAAACGAGAAACAUACCCUUAGCCUUUUCAGGUAUUUCAGGAUGUUCUUGACCGAUGUCCAGUGAUACACUCCUGGAUUACUUUGGUACCUGUCGGGGAUAUACCCCGCUGUAUGACCCGGCCGGAAGUAUGACCCGGCCGGACUUGGCGCUUCACUGUGACCCUCCGGAGGACUGGCGACUCACGGGUCUGGCGGCUCACUGGUCAGACGACUCACGAGCCUGACGACUCAUGGAUGACCCCGACGGCGGGUCAGAUAGAAGACUAGGCCCAAGGCCCAGAAGGCCGGCUCAUGUUAAGGUGGGCCGGCUUAAGAGGAAAGGGAUGACGAAUAUUUCCUUUAUGCGGAAGCAAGACCCGGAGUUGUAUUCAACUUGUAAGAAAAGAUAGACUAGCCCUAGUCCUACUAGGACUCCAUAUGUAACCCGCCCCUCCAACUUAUAUAAGGAGGGGGCAGGGCUCCCCAAAGAGGGACAAACAAGAAACAAUCUCUAGGGAUAGACACAACUAGAGGAGAACCGGUUUACGGUGACACCCUCGUGAUGAUAAUGAGAUCUAGCCUCAAACAGCAUGUAGGGUUGUUACCGGAUGAUGUUUUCCGGGACCCAAAGCUGCCUAAACCCUUAUCUUGUGUUCUGUCUCUCGAUUUCGCUCAACCCCUCUCAAGCUACCACAUAGAUGCGUUGGCCUCGCGAUUAAGUUCUUCCACUAAGACAUCUGACGUGACAAUUCCACGACAGUUGGCGCCCACCGUGGGGCUUGCGCACGAUGAUGUUGAGUUUUUGGAGGGAUCUCUACCGAGGAUUGAAAAGUUUGCACUUUUAAGGGUGAAGAAAAAUUCAGCGUGGAAGAAUUCACGUCAACUACAAAUUCACCAAGAUCAGAAGAAGUUUUCAGCAGCGACAUGGACAAGAUUAUUAUCAAGAGAGAGCCAGGGCUGCAUCAGCUCCGCCGCUACCGUCCAGAAAAAUCGUCGAGACCAAGAUUAAGCCUUUCUGCUGCGUUUUCCUUUCUCGGAUUAAGGGACGUGUGCUCAGAGGCCGACGCGAAGUCAUCUUGUGUUGUGGUCAAGUCGCCGUAGUCGUUGUUUUCCUCCAGUCGAUCAAACUAGGCACAAGCACAUGCAAGAGAUCAGACCAGCUGCCGUGUCUUCACGUGAAACCUGCAAAACAACGGAAAGACACCUCUGAUUAUACGAGACAAUAGUAGCAAUCCGACUACAAUUAGUACUAUGCUACUCCCUCCGUUCGGAAUUACUUGUCGCAGAAAUGGGUGUAUCUAGAUGUAUUUUAGUUCUAGAUACAUCCAUUUUCGAGACAAGUAAUUUCGAACGGAGGGAGUACGUGAUAGACUGAUGGUUAAAAAAAGAGCAGGGAGCAACGAUCUGGAAACGGAGCCAGUCACGAUCUGAACUCCUGCGCCUGCCCGCGUGACGCCCGGUGGCCAGAUCUGCCUGUCCUCGCUGAGACAUCACGCGACGAGCCGCUGCGAUGCCUCCGUGACCUGUGCCACCGUCACGCGGCCUGCAUCGCCUGUUACCUUCACCACCUUGGCUCGCGUAACCCGCCUAGGCUGAUUCGCUUCGCCUCUGCCGCUGUGGUCGCGGGCGCGGCCUAAGUCCGUCGGCUGCCUUCGAGUCAACCCGCCACUGAACUCUUGUCGCGGCUGAGUCGCCUUCGGACCUUGCCGCGCCUGAGCCGCCCUGGCUACAAGUCUCCGCCUCUGCUGCGGCCCGGCCCUGCGACGCUUCCACCAGAACGGCCACGAGCCGCCCUCGGAUUCAUCUAUGCCGAGCCGUUUCCGUCUUCGCCGCGGACAGUGACCAUGGGCACUAGUGUUUUGAGAUAGUGCAAAAGGCUCUUUCAUUAGAGUUCCGUGCGUUACUCUGGCAAUCCAUCAAAUCAUCAUUUAUGGUUAUCUCUUUGAUACCAUCGCGGCAGUGCGCGUGUACAUAAGCUAGUGAGCGAUACAAAACGUGAAGCUGGAGCAUCAGGAACCUUGUGGCUCCACGCGCUACGCCCAGCUGCUCGUUUUUUCUGCCCGUGCACGCCGUCCAGGGUCAAACCUCGAAGAGAGGAGCGCAGCAGUGCUUCCCGUGUGCACGACAGGGUGCUACAUGCCCUCAGGGCCGGGCCCACAGUUGUACAAACUGUGCGGCCCGCACAGGGCCCCCAAAUUUUUAAAUAAGCCUAGUAUGUAUUUCCAAAAAAAAAAGCUCCUAAAGGAUGGGCCUCUGAUGGGGCUGGGCCGCUCCCGCUAGCGCGUCCGCGAAUCUCCUGAUCGAUCGAUCGUAAACAGGAUCGUAGGUGCCCUAAAAAAGAGGAAACGGGAUCAUCGGAAGUAAUCGGAUCGAUCUCAAAAGGCAAAAUCACAAAGGCAGUCGCGUGUGCGUCGCUACAGCCUACGGGAAACGGGAUCGUCGCGUCGUCGGCGACGCUCCUCAGGCCGCCGCUGGAUUGAAAAUGGGAUCGUCGGAUCAAUCAGCGACCAUGAUAGUUCCAACAAGAGGAGGACAUCACGAUUUGGUCAUUCCCAACAAAUUUCUCCUCAAGUUUCAAUAAUAGGUAAAAUCAUCUUUCUAUAAUCCCCGGGUUAAUCUAUUUUUCUUCAGUCUUCUUAUAAUCCUAUUCUCCAUAAACUUGAAGGGAAAAGGGAGAUCUAGGGGUCCAAAGACAACAGGAUUACCUAGCAGCAGAGUGGUUCAAGGGCAAAGUCAGCAAGGGGAUCGCACGCCUAACUCAAUCCUUCAGGUUAUUUUGUUUCAAUUUAAUGCCAUAAUUCGUGUGUUGUUUGUGUGAUAAGAUUUCAUCUAGAAAAAUAGUUAAGCUUUGUUUGAACACUGAUUUGAAGAUUGCUUACCGCCCCUGCUGCGCGGUAGAAAAGUAGUUUAAGCUGAAAACAAGUUUUUCAAUGAAUAAGUGUGAUUCUUGAUAUAUUAUAUUCCUAUGUAACAUAUUAUAGCCUAUAUAUUACUACUAUAGGUCUAUUUUUCUAGUGCGGUAGGCCUUGUUUUAGAGUUUGGCACAGGGCCCCAUAUUUUGUCGGCCCGGCCCUGCAUGCCCUUUGUCCUAUCCGUACAACCCAUGAGCCGCCAGAACAAAAAUUGCGCAGGGAUUAAAGCAAUGCAUUUAUUGUUUUUUUUGGCGGGAUAAAGGAAGAUUUCAUUAACUCAAUGAGGCUUCUCGGCCUCUGAAAGGUUUACAAUGCAGUCUAAUCCCGAUCGCAACCAAAUAGCCGUGCGCGGGGUACUACGCCCAUACGCGGCGAGCGCGUGACUGCCAUUAUUUUGUGAUCUACUAAUGUGAGAAAAGGAAAUCUCCCUUGAUUCAACAGCUACUAUUCCACGUAUUUCGUCGACUAGCGCUCGGACUUGUGAGCGAUUCGCCGACUGUGCUGACAGCAUCAAGACCGCUUCAGUACUGUCCAACUCCACCAAGAUGGGCAUGUUUGUCCGGUGCAAGGCCAGCUGCAAUCCCUCCCUGCAUGCUUCCAACUCCGCCUGGAGGCUAUUAUUACAUGUAAACAACUGCCUGCAUGCUGUGAAGAUGAGCUCUCCCUUUUUCAUUUCUCAGGACCAUACCACCACCUGCUGCACCUGUGGCCUGGACAAAAUUUCCGUCGGUGUUGAGCUUUGUCCAGCCGGGUGGAGGGGGUACCCAUUGAAGCGUUGGCUCCUUCACACCGCUUGCAUGUAUAGGCCGGCCAACUUCAUGCACAACCAUUUUGCCUUUCACCAAGUCUGCAUGUGGGAAUUGGUGGAUGCCCAGCAAAGACGUGAUGUACCCGUGAAGAAAACGCCUGGAUGCUUCUGUGGGCGGAGGAGCCUUGUCGUGGGUAAUUUCAUUGCGGAUGUACCAUGCCCGUCACAUGAUCAUGAGGAUGACCAUACGCGUCGUGUCCGACAGAGGGUUCAGAAGCAUGAAGAGCCACUCUGGCCCAUCAUUCUCUAUGGUGUCCACCUUGGGGAUCAGCCAAUCUUUCUCCAUGGCUCGCCAAAGGUCCCUGGCAAGUGGGCACCUGCACAUCGCGUGGAAGCCAUCCUCUCAUUCCACACCACAGAGGGGACAUAUGUCAGUAAGCCAGGGCCGGCCCUGGGCCAGGGCAGCGGGGGCGACGGCCUGGGGCCCAGCCAAACUAGGGGCCCCGACCCAGGCCAUAUAUAUAUAUGUGCUUGAGGUACAGCCAUACAAGUGGAGAACCAACAAGGCCUGAGAGGCCCAUCGUGAUAUGUAUGUAGAUAAGAAGCCCAAAGAAUGCACACGCUGAAUUCGUUCCGAAUAACGAUCGGUUGUAAGUAUAUGUACGUGUUUGCGCGGAGCCAUGGCUGUCAGUUUUUUUUUCCUUUUGACCUUUCCGUCGCUGUUAGUUUGAUUACUUCUUCAAUUCUCCAAACCCAAUCGAUAGCAGUAUUCACAAGCUCGGGGCCUAUGGCUUCGUUUCCCAUCAUAAACGGAGGACGGAGCGGCCCAAUGCCGUGAAACUCUGCCGCAGUCCGGAGCAUUGCAACGGCUGCCGAUUGCGCCUAGGGCGAGGAAAACCCGAACGAGUGAGGUAAUUUAUUUUAUGAAUCGUUCAGCCCUUAAUUUUAAUCUGAUGGAUGAAAAUUAAGUUGUAUUCUUGUUUUUAUAACACUUGCACUCUUUGAGGAGAUAGCUGGUCUUGGUCACGUGGUCUCAACGUUUUGUACUUGGAUAGUUGUAGAGCACACCAGUGUUGGAGCACACAUUAUUGCUGCUAAUUUACCCCAAGUUGAGGUGUUCUCCUUUUUGUUUUUACAAAUAUGUUGCCUAAAACAUUUAUCUAAUUCUGAGAAGAGAACAAGGAGAAAAUGAGCACAUCAGUUAACUAAAUUUUAGAAGGAGAUUAUGAAUAAAUUUAUUUUUUGGAAUCACACUACUUUAUAAUCUAAAGCAAUUAGAUGCCAAUAUUAUUGAAGCACCACAACCUAUUAUUAUCAUAUACUUCCUCCGUAAAGAAAUAUAAGAAUGUUUAGAUCACUACUUUAGUGAUCUAAAUGCUUCUAUAUUUCUAAGAGCGUUUAGAUCGCUAAAGUAGUGACAUAGACGCUCUUGUAUUUUUUUAUAGAGGAAGUACUAUUUACAAGGGGAAAAUAUAUCAUAGUUUAUGGCUUUACCAGAUUUUUUUCAUAUCAAAGUAUGGAAUUCUUUUUUUCCUCCACCGCGGCCGCUGGGCCCACUCAUGGAGUCCGCCCUGGGGCCCUCGAAACUCCAGGGCCGGUCCUGCAGUAAGCUCAAGGUGGCGAGAAAACUUGUUAGCCCAGGUAGCCAGCGAGUUGGUUACAAUUCUCCAUGCGAACACACGCACCUUUGGGGGAGCAGGGCACCCCCAUAUGAUCUUCCAGAUGGCGCGAUGACCAUCCGGUGCCCUGCUCAUAGCAGUUGCCAAUGGAUGUUCGCGCUCGUCCAUGGCUAGGCGGUAGGCGGAUCAAACGGUGAAGAUACCGUUCCUCUCAGGCGCCCAUGCGAUGAUGUCGUCGGUGGCGCGAGGCGAUGUGCGGAUGCUGCUGAUAGAGUCAACGUCCGGAGGGAGGAAGUGGCGGCGAAGAAGGUCCAUACGCCAGUUGCCUGCCUCGUCAAGGAGCUCGGCAACUCUCCUGAGCCGGCAGGUUCCUUGCUGGGUAAUGGGCUGGCGCGAUGGCUCGGCAGGCAGCCAGCGAUCACGCCAAAUGCGGAUGUUAUGUCCAUCACCAACACGCCACACGAUGCCCUUCUUCAAGAGCUCAAGGCCGUGUUGGAUGCCCUGCCAUGUAGGGGAGGCGUUCCCCGAGAAGACAAUAUCUUCAAGGCGACCCUCCGGAUAGUAGCGAGCCUUAAGCACCUGUGCACAUAAACUAUUAGGAUUAGUGAGUAAACGCCACGCCUGCCUGGCAAGCAGGGCCUGGUUGAACAGGCGGAAGUCUCUGAAGCCCAGACCGCCCUUCAUCUUAUGCGCCAAAAUUUUGGGCCAAGCUAGCCAAUGUGUUUUCCUCUUCCCUUCCGAAGAGCCCCACCAAAAGUUCCGCACCAUCCUAUUCAGAUCAUCACAUAGGACAUAGGAAGCUUGAAAACACCCAUGAUAUAAGUUGGGAUGGCUUGUGCAACAGCUUUUAUCAUUGUUUCCUUACCAGCAAGAGAAAGGGUAUCCCCCCAUGCGAUGAUUCUUUUCAGUAGCCUGGAUUGCAAAUUCUGAAAUUUACCUCGCGACAUACGGCCAUCAGGUGUUGGAAGGCCCAAAUACUUGUCCUCAAAGUCCAGAACAUUCACAUGCAGUACAAAGCGGACCCUUUCCUGGUCCUCCAUGGUACACGAAUUGCCAAAAAGUAUACUGCAUUUAGCUGGGUUAAUGCAUUGUCCUGUUGCCCGUUCAUACACAGUGAGAACCUCAUGUACCUUUUUUGCUUGCUCCUCCUUUGCAUUAAAAAAUAACAGGGUAUCAUCUGCAAAAAGUAAGUGUGACACGCCUGGAGCUCGUCGACACACUUUCAAAGGUGUAUAUUCCCCCUUUUCUUCAGCAUCUUUCAACAAAGCAGACAAACCAUCAGCCACCAGUAGGAACAAAAAAGGGGAGAGUGGAUCACCUUGCCGUAGCCCUCGCGACGGUGCAAACGAAUCCAAGAGGGUUCCAUUAAAUUUAACAGUGUAUCUCACCGAGGUGACGCACGUCAUAAUCCAGUCCACCCACCGGCGAGCGAACCCCAUCUUUUGCAUCAUUCGCUCCAAGAAGAUCCAGUCCACCAUGUCAUACGCUUUAGACAUAUCCAACUUGUAAGCACAAAAACUUUUGUUAGGGUCUUUUUCAUGUUGAAUAGAGUGAAAGCACUCAAAUGCUAUCAGGGCAUUAUCAGUGAUCAUCCGCCCGGGGACAAAGGCGCUCUGCUCCGGUGAAAUUAUCUCAUCCAAAAUGGACCGCAGGCGGUUAACCAGGCACUUAGAUACUACCUUAUAGAUAACAUUGCAAAGACUGAUACGCCUAAACUCCGUGAGCCUCUCUGGGUUCUCAACCUUGGGGAUGAGAACAAUGAAGGUGUUGUUCACCCCUUCCGGCAUUAUUCCCGAUCGAAAGAAUUCCUUGACCCCGGCGAUCACCUGUGUCCGCAUGCAAGACCAGUUUCUUUGAAAGAACCUGGCAGGAAAACCGUCCGGACCCGGCGCCUUCAAUGGUCCAAUCUGAAAGAGCGCAUUCGCAAUCUCCUUAUCCGAGAACUCUGCACACAGACCAUCAUUCAUUUGAUCAGUAACGCGUGUGUUAAUUAAAUUAAUCACUGGAUCCACACAAAGGGUACUAUCUGCCUUGAACAGAUUAGAGAAGUAGGACGUGACCAACUCGGCCAUAGCUGCAUGGCUCCGAUGUGUUGUGCCUGUAUCAUCCACAAGUGAUUUUAUGCGGUUUUUUCGAGCGCGCCAUACUGCUUUCCGGUGGAAGAAUUUUGUGUUCCGGUCCCCUUCACGUAACCACGCAACACGAGACCGCUGCAUCUAGAGCAUCUCCUCCCGGUACAACAGUUCGUUCAUCUUAUCAGUAGCCUCUCGGAUCUCCUUCCUAUCUGCAUUCAUCGACAAAAGCUCUUCCAGACGUGAGCGAGACUUAUUUAUUUCUUUAAUGACAUUUCCAAAAAAAAUCCGGCUCCAAUCUUGCAGUUUCUUCAUCAUAGUGCCCAAACCAGAUGCUAUAUCCCCCAGGUUCAACAUAGACCCCAAGUCAACCCAAAUAUUCAUUAUUACCUCCGGGAGGGUCGGGUCUCUCUCCCACAUUACCUCAUACUGACGGCACCUCCUACCUGACACCGGUGGCUGGUCCUCCAUGACACACUGAAGCAAAAUAGCUAGGUGGUCCGAACUAGGCAUCACAAAGUGUUCCACCUUGGCAUGUGUAAAGAUGUCACACUAAGAAUUAUUUGCAACAGCCCGGUCCAAUCUGACUUUGACAUUCGCCCGUCCUCCACGGCGAUUGUCAUAAGUGAAAGGCAGCCCUGCAAAACCAAGAUCACCCAAUCCACAAACUUCCAUAGCAUCACAAAAAUCAAUCAUCUGACCUGCCGGACGCGGUGAUUCGGAGAAGUGUUCGAAGCUCCACAUAGCCUCGUUGAAGUCUCCGACCACCACCCACGGCAUGUCGGCUUGGCGGUGGAGAUCCCGGAGGACGGACCACAUGCGAUGUCGGUCCUCCGUCCGCGGUUCUCCAUAGACGCGGGUAAGCCACCAAGGUGGCUCCCCCGUCGCAGCACUCACAUAGGCAUCAAUAUAUCGUUCAUUCAUAUCUUUUACAUCAAGUUGUACCGAUUCAUGCCAGAAAAGAGCUAAGCCACCACUAAGACCAUUGCUAUUGACUGCUUCGAAACCACUUAGACCUAAGCGGGAUCGAUAUCUUUUCAUCUUAACUUUCCUUUGCCUAGUUUCACAAAGAAAGACGAUAGUAGGAGAAUGAACCUGCACCAAGCUCACAAGAUCCCGUAUUGUACGAGAAUUUCCACACCCUCGGCAAUUCCAGCUCAGAAGAUUCAAGUUGCUAACAUGGUUUUCCAAAACUUCUGUUCGAGGCACUUGUGUCGCCGGCAUCGGAGAUCGCCGGAUGUCUCUCGGGACUGCAAUAGUUGAGGCCCUCAAUGGUGACUCCUGCCCCAUCGUCUCCCCGGCAUACAGGCUGGACGGCUUCGGGCGGGUGGCUUCCUCAAUGGAUGCCCCUUGUUCACCCCCACCGCCACCAAGGAUCACCGGGAUAGUCGUUGGGCCAGCCCUCAUGUGAAUUGAAGGAUGCGAUAUUGCAGCCAGACUGUCGCGUGCGUCGCUGCUCCAAACCCGACGAGUAGGCGAAACAACCCUAGGGUUCCUGAUUCCACCGGGAUCAAACUGCAUGCCUGUCGGCCGGGGCCUGCUGCGUCGGUUCCCUCUGAGGUUCAGGUCAUCAGCACGGCGGCCUCCCUCCGUGGGCACGCCAGGCACAGCCGCUGGGAUGUCCAUGACCAGAAGGUCUGACGAAGCAUCAAGCAUGGUGGACGGGGCCGCAGGGCCGGACGGGGCCGCACGGGCAGACGGAGCCGCAACAUAUACGCGCCGUGGACGGCAUCCACGCACGGAGCAAAGGCCAGCCUCGCUGGCGAUGGUAGCCAGUGGCUGCGGCGGUGGUGGAGGCGUGGUGUCGCCCCGCCUCCUCCAAACCCUAUUUUCCAUCACCCGGCCGAGAAACGCAAUGCACUUAUUGUUAUCCUCGUGAAGGCCAUGGUACAGGAGUACCAGUACUCAGACAACAAACUGUCUAACUACAUCCAGUAUUAUACGGUGCCAGUAUCCGUGUUCCCCCGAUAACAAAUAUCAGGUGCUAUUUUCCCUUUAUUUUUUCAUCACAUACAUUAUUUCAUCUGAAAACAAUUACUUUGUCAUGCAAUAUUUUUUUCAGGACCAUUAUUCAUUACAAAGAUGUCGCAAAGGGGUAUGCGCCAACAUUAUUUUUGGUAAUAGCACUCGCCCGUGCCGUGCUGCUCAACGGAUAUACAUGCAAGUCGCCGCCCGCUGUUCGGUUUACAUCCGUCCGUGCCAGCGGCUGACUCAUGUGUCUGCACCACCUUACAACGCCACGAACGACUCGCCCGUCCGCCCUCGCGGUCGGUUCACGUGUCCGCGCCAGCUUGCAACAUGGAGGACAGCUCGCUCAUCCGUGAUGGUUUACAACACUAUGGGUGACUUACCCGUUCGACCCCGUGGCCGACUCUCCCGUCCAUGCCGUUUUACAAUGCCACGGGCGACUCGUCUGUUGACCGGGCAAAUCAGGUGAUAUCCUUCUAAAGAUAAUUUUGGCACAUAUUCCUUUUGUCAAAGAACAAUUACUCUGGCUUGCGAUGUUUUUGAUGCAGGACAAUUGUUCACUGCAAAGCCGCGGCCUCUGCGGCCCAAUUUACAUCAACAUGACGAGGCUGAGCCACCCAUCCGCGCGGUUUUACCGCGCCUGCGAUCGACUCGCCCGUCCGCGCCGGAUUACAAUGCCGCGACCGACUCAUCUGUCUGUACCACCUCUGAUGUUACGAUCGUCUUUACCGUCUGUCUCUCGCGGCCUGGUCUAUAUCAACAUACCGGGCACCACCUGUCUGCAUGAGUUGUUUAUUGAGUACAAGCAAGUCACUACUUGGGUAGCCCGAUUUUUCUUCCAACAAAUUGGAGACAAAUUAUCAUGUAUCAUCAGCCGCCGUCUACACUGGAUGGCUCAAUGGGUAGGCGCACAAGUCGCUGCCACUACAGUUGGGUUAAACUUCAAACAGCCAGUUGGAAGUAACCAUUGGCCGAGUUGCUGACACGGCUCAUACAGGAUCAUUUAUAAACCCGCCGUAGUCACCUCAACCUUCUGUGGAUUCACAUCGCGCUAUCAACGCCAAUGAUAUACACCUUCUGCUAUAGUCAAAUAUGGAGAAUCUCAAGCCAACACCUCGAGUCGUCUUGAGAUUCGGGGGCUACAAUGGUAUGACUUGGCAGAAUUGGCCGGUUUCAAUGCAUUCAAAAACACCGGGUCAUUGGAGGGAAAAAUAACCCGGCCCUGGAGAUUAUUGCUCUAUCGAUGAAAAUUUAAAGACCGUCCGGCUUAAAAAGAAGAAUUCCGGAUUAAAAUUUGGUUCAAGGUAAAUUUGUCUCUUACAAAGCUUUGAAACUCUCAAUAUCCGGUUUAAGAAUUUCCGGUUCAAGAAUUAAUCUCUCGCAAGUUCGAGUUCUAAGAAAAAUUAAAGGUUGACAAAAAGAACUCGCUGCCAUGAUGCGCGGUUCAAACAUGAAUAUCAUGCCUUACGGCUUAUCUUAUUAUGGUCACUUGGGGGCUUCCUGCUCAUCAAGCAUAGCUGUCGGUACCCUCUUGAUUGGCGUAAUACUAAAUUUAUGGUCACUUGGGGGCUUCCUGUUCAAACAUAGGUCGUGUUCGAACCAAAAAGAACAUAGCUGUUGAUACCCUUUUGAUUGGCAUACUGCCAAACCCAUUAGGGGGCUUCUUGAUCGUAUCCGAAUCAUAGCUCAACCCCUUUGGGUCUGACGUGGAUCGUAUUCGAAUCAGCGUCAUUAAACAACUCUAAAGGUCAUUUGGGGGCUUCCUGUUCAAACAUAGGUCGUAUUCGAACCAAAGAGAACAUAGCUGUUGAUACCCUCUUGAUCGACAUCGCCAAAGCCACUGGGGGCUAUAUGAUCAUAUUCGAAUCUUAGCUUAACCCCUUUAGAACGGUUUACUGAUCGUAUCCGAAUCAGAAGCCUCAAAAAGUUUUAUUCUGUCUCUGGUAAAGUUUAUUGCAGCCACAAUUACUUAACUUGAGACCUUUUGGGGAUUAUAUCUCAAAUGUAUACAAGUGUUUUAUGCUUAACCCAGCUUGACUUUUGACUAUAAGUCGGCAGCUUAUGACAAUCAUCAUCUAUGUGGAAGCAUUGGCUUCUAAGGAUUGGGUUAUCACCCUUACUGCACAGGUCAUGUAAACCAGCAGUACAAAUUCAAUAUCACCGUGGUUAUAUGUAACGUAUUAUGACCCGCCCUGCGGUAAACUGCCAAGGGUUCUUGUGAUCCACUUGUGUGCAGGGUAAGACUACAUUUGGGUGGUUACCCGCCCUGGCUCUUGACGUUAAGUCGCCAGGGCAUAUGUUGUUUAAACUCUGUGCAGGAUUUGCAGAACUAUGACUUAUAUAAAUGCUUCAGUCCAAGCUCAUCACUGAAAUUGGUGUCUCAAAAGGGGUAUCAAUUAUUGAUUUUCUCAAGGGCUAUAGGCCACCGGGUUACAAAAAUUCUGGGUUACAAUGAAUGCGCAUUAAAUCGUCAUCGACCAAGAGCCGCUAGAUAUUUAAACUCCGGAUUUACUUGUCAACUGAUGAGGUAUUCAAAUCUUUAAUAGCAAAAACUGGCUGGAUUUUCAUGAUGAUAUUGAAUAAUUGAGGUUUUCAUACCGGAUUAUAUUAUUCAAAUCUUGAAUAGCCAACAUGGCUGGAUUUCUAUUGUGAUUAUCAAUAACCAGUGUUAUGAUUGAGGUUUUCAACGUCGCUUUAGCGCAAAGGCUAUUAUUUUUGUCAAUGGGCAUGAUUUAUUUUACAAUGGAGGAAAUAGUCCCGAGUCGCUACAGGCUUACGACCUGGCGCUUGGGGGCUACAUUGUUCAAAUCGAGAUUACAUCGAAUAUACAAGUCCCUUGAUACUACCAGCAUGCACCAUGGCACUUGGGGGCUAAUGCAAAGUCAUUUUUGCUCAACUUAUUGAAGACCCGACUCAUCACAUUUUAAAUGAGCCGGCCCUUGGGGGUUACCAAUUGCUCCUGUCAAAAAUUUAAGGUACACAAGCCUCAGUCCAUUACAUUGAAAGAUCCACUACUCAGUUGGUAGAGUACAAAGCUCUUAACCUUGUGGACGUGGGUUCAAGCCCCAGGAUGGGGGUUACAUCAUAUGAUAUUAUUUCCAAUGAAAAGUCCCAGCUCAGUAUUAUCUUACUAAUCCGGCCCUUGGGGGCUACACAUUACUGCUCAAAUUUACAUCAUCAUAUUUACAAAGUCCCUUCUCAUUAUUACAUAAUGACCCGACACUUGGGGGCUAAUGCAUAUUGCUCUUUGCUGAAGACAAUUCUAGGAUGACCCGGAUACACUACUAUGACUAUAGCCGACUCAUGGGGGCUACACAACUAGAUUUUAUUUAAAGCCAUGGUGAUAAGUCCCGGCUUAUUCAUGCUGAUUAAACCGGCCCUUGGGGUCUACAGGUAAUAUGGAUAUAAGGGAGAAAUAUCUUCAAAUUCUCAGUUUUGAGUAAAUCAGAUUGACCCGGUGUCUGCAAAAAUCAUAAACCGGUGUCGGCGACAAUUAUGACUCGGCAUCAUCUAUUUAUAACCCGGCAAUUUUGGUAAUCAUAAACUGGCAAGUUUUAUAUCUUCAAGCCGGCUGAAUAUAAGUUGAAUAUUUGAAGACCAAUAUUUUUGUCAAGUCGGAGCAUUGAAAGCCGACUCGAGUGGAUUAUCUCUUACAAUAUUUCUCAACAAGAGACCAAUGUCAGCAAAUUGACUCUGAAGCUGGCUUGUUGACCCGGAUUUUUCAAAGGAAGUAUCUGGAUUUUUUGCAUUGGCAAAAUUUGAACAUAUCUGCAAAAGAGAUUUGCUACGAGAUUAUGGAUACAUAUCAAGAAGGAGAUGACAAGGACUUAAGGAUGAUCAAGUGCCGUCUUACAAAGAAUUUUUAACCCGGAAGACAAUCUGUCAAAUUUGUUCUUGUGUUUGUUUUACAGGAUCAGUUUAACAUGGAUAAAUCCAAAUUAAACUAGGGGCUAAUAUCGGGGAUAUACCCCACGGUAUGACCCGGCCGGAAGUAUGACCCGGCCGGACUUGGCGCUUCAUCGUGACCCUCCGGAGGACUGGCGACUCACGGGUCUGGCGGCUCACUGGUCAGACGACUCACGAGCCUGACGACUCACGGAUGACCCCGACGGUGGGUCAGAUAGAAGACUAGGCCCAAGGCCCAGAAGGCCAGCUCAUGUUAUGGUGGGUCGGCUUAAGAGGAAAGGGAUGACGAAUAUUUCCUUUACACGGAAGCAAGACCCGGACUUGUAUUCAACUUGUAAGAAAAGAUAGACUAGCCCUAGUCCUACUAGGACUCCAUAUGUAACCCGCCCCUCCAACUUAUAUAAGGAGGGGUCAGGGCUCCCCAAAGAGGGACAAACAAGAAACAAUCUCUAGGGCUAGACACAACUAGAGGAGAACCGGUUUACCGCGACUCCCUCGUGAUGAUAAUGAGAUCUAGCCUCAAACAGCAUGUAGGGUUGUUACCGGAUGAUGUUUCCCGGGGCCCGAAGCUGUCUAAACCCUUAUCUUGUGUUCCGUCUCUCGAUUCCGCUCAACCCCUCUCAAGCUACCACAUAGAUGCGUUGGCCUCGCGAUUAAGUCCUUCCACUAGGACAUCUAACGUGACAAUUCCACGACAGUACCUCCCUGCUAAACUUAUAGCAAGGCACACAUCAGAUCUGGUACACAGCAUUGCAUACAUGAUAGAGCCUAUGGCUGAAGCAUAGGGAACAUCUUUCAUUUUCUCUCUAUCUUCUGCAGUGGUCGGACUUUGAGUCUUACUCAACUUCACACCUUGUAACACAGGCAAGAACCAUUUCUUUGCUUGAUCCAUUUUGAACUUCUUCAAAACUUUGUCAAGGUAUGUGCUUUGUGAAAGUCCAAUUAAGCGUCUUGAUCUAUCUCUAUAGAUCUUAAUGCCCAAUAUGUAAGCAGCUUCACCGAGGUCUUUCAUUGAAAAACUCUUAUUCAAGUAUCCCUUUAUGCUAUCCAGAAAUUCUAUAUCAUUUACAAUCAGCAAUAUGUCAUCCACAUAUAAUAUCAGAAAUGCUACAGAGCUCCCACUCACUUUCUUGUAAAUACAGGCUUCUCCAAAAGUUUGUACAAAACCAAAUGCUUUGAUCACACUAUCAAAACGUUUAUUCCAACUCCGAGAGGCUUGCACCAGUCCAUAAAUGGAUCGCUGGAGCUUGCACACUUUGUUAUCUCCCUUUGGAUCAACAAAACCUUCUGGCUGCAUCAUAUACAACUCUUCUUCCAGAAACCCGUUCAGGAAUGCAGUUUUGACAUCCAUCUGCCAUAUUUCAUAAUCAUAAAAUGUGUUAAUCGCUAACAUGAUUCGGACAGACUUAAGCAUCGCUACGGGUGAGAAGGUCUCAUCGUAGGCAAUCCCUUGAACUUGUCGAAAACCUUUUGCAACAAGUCGAGCUUUGUAGACAGUAACAUCACCGUCAGCGUCAGUCUUCUUCUUGAAGAUCCAUUUAUUUUCAAUUGCUUGCCGAUCAUUGGGCAAGUCAACCAAAGUCCACACUUUGUUCUCAUACAUGGAUCCCAUCUCAGAUUUCAUGGCCUCAAGCCAUUUUGCGGAAUCUGGGCUCACCAUCGCUUCUUCAUAGUUCGUAGGUUCAUCAUGGUCUAGUAACAUGACUUCCAGAACAGGAUUACCGUACCACUCUUGUGCGGAUUUUAUUCUGGUUGAUUUACGAGGUUCAGUAACAACUUGAUCUGAAGUUUCAUGAUCAUCAUCAUUAACUUCCUCUCUAAUUGGUGUAGGUUUCACAGGAACAGAUUUCUGUGAUGAGCUACUUUCCAAUAAGGGAGUAGGUACAGUUACCUCAUCAAGUUCUACUUUCCUCCCACUCACUUCUUUUCAGAGAAACUCCUUCUCUAGAAAGGAUCCAUUCUUAGCAACGAAUGUCUUGCCUUCGGAUCUGUGAUAGAAGGUGUACCCAACAGUUUCCUUUGGGUAUCCUACGAAGACACAUUUCUCCGAUUUGGGUUCGAGCUUAUCAGGUUGAAGUUUUUCACAUAAGCAUCGCAGCCCCAAACUUUUAGAAACGACAACUUUGGUUUCUUGCCAAACCAUAGUUCAUAAGGCGUCGUAUCAACGGAUUUUCAUGAUGCCCUAUUUAACGUGAAUGCGGCCGUCUCUAAAGCAUAACCGCAAACUGAUAGCGGUAAAUCAGUAAGAGUCAUCAUAGAUCGCACCAUAUCAAGUAAAGUACGAUUACGACAUUCGGACACACCAUUACGUUGUGGUGUUUUGGGUGGCGUGAGUUGCGAAACUAUUCCGCUUUGUUUCAAAUUUAGACCAAAAUCGUAACUCAAAUAUUCUCUUCCACGAUCAGAUUGUAGAAACUUUAUUUUCUUGUUACGAUGAUUUUCAACUUCACUCUGAAAUUCUUUGAACUUUUCAAAUGUUUCAGACUUAUGUUUCAUUAAGUAGAUAUAUCCAUAUCUGCUCAAAUCAUCUGUGAAGGUGAGAAAAUAACGAUAUCCGCCACGAGCCUCAACAUUCAUUGGACCACAUACAUCUGUAUGUAUGAUUUCCAAUAAGUCUGUUGCUCUCUCCAUUGUACCGGAGAACGGCGUUUUAGUCAUCUUGCCCAUAAGGCACGGUUCGCAAGUACCAAGUGAUUCAUAAUCAAGUGGUUUCAAAAGUCCAUCAGUAUGGAGUUUCUUCAUGCGCUUUACACUGAUAUGACCCAAACGGCAGUGCCACAAGUAAGUUGCACUAUCAUUAUCAACUCUGCAUCUUUUGGUUUCAACAUUAUGAAUAUGUGUAUCACUACUAUCGAGAUUCAUCAAAAAUAGACCACUCUACAAUGGUGCAUGACCAUAAAAGAUAUUACUCAUAUAAAUAGAACAACCAUUAUUCUCUCAUUUAAAUGAAUAACCGUCUCGCAUCAAACAAGAUCCAGAUAUAAUGUUCAUGCUCAACGCUCGCACCAAAUAACAAUUAUUUAGGUCUAAUACUAAUCCCGAAGGUAGAUGUAGAGGUAGCGUGCCGACCGCGAUCACAUCGACUUUGGAACCAUUUCCCACGCGCAUCGUCACCUCGUCCUUGGCUAGUGUUCGCUUAAUGCGUAGUCCCUGUUUCGAGUUGCAAAUAUUAGCAACAAAACCAGUAUCAAAUACCCAGGUGCUACUGCGAGCUCUAGUAAGGUACACAUCAAUAACAUGUAUAUCACAUAUACCUUUGUUCACCUUGCCAUCCUUCUUAUCCGCCAAAUACUUGGGGCAGUUCCGCUUCUAGUGACCAGUCUGCUUGCAGUAGAAGCACUCAGUUUCAGGCUUAGGUCUAGACUUGGGUUUCUUCUCUUGAGCAGCAACUUGCUUGCUGUUCUUCUUGAAGUUCCCCUUCUUCUUCCCUUUGCCCUUUUUCUUGAAACUAGUGGUAUUGUUGACCAUCAACACUUGAUGCUCCUUCUUGAUUUCUACCUCCGCAACUUUUAGCAUCGCGAAGAGCUCGGGAAUUGUCUUUUUCAUCCCUUGCAUAUUAUAGUUCAUCACAAAGCUUUUGUAGCUUGGUGGCAGUGAUUGGAGAAUUCUAUCAAUGACGCUAUCAUCCGGAAGAUUAACUCCUAGUUGAAUCAAGUGAUUAUUAUACCCAGACAGUUUGAGUAUAUGCUCACUAACAGAACUGUUCUCCUCCAUCUUGCAGCUAUAGAACUUAUUGGAGACUUCAUAUCUCUCAAUCUGGGCAUUUGCUUGAAAUAUUAACUUCAACUCCUGGAACAUCUCAUAUGCUCCAUGACGUUCAAAACGUCGUUGAAGUCCCGGUUCUAAGCCGUAAAGCAUGGCACACUGAACUAUCGAGUAGUCAUCAGCUUUGCUCUCUCAGACGUUCACAACAUCUGGUGUUGCUCCUGCAGCAGGCCUGGCACCCAGCGGUGCUUCCAGGACGUAAUUCUUCUGUGCAGCAAUGAGGAUAAUCCUCAAGUUACGGACCCAGUCCGUGUAAUUGCUACCAUCAUCUUUCAACUUUGCCUUCUCAAGGAACACAUUAAAAUUCAACGGAACAACAGCAUGGGCCAUCUAUCUACAAUCAACAUAGACAAGCAAGAUACUAUCAGGUACUAAGUUCAUGAUAAAUUUAAGUUCAAUUAAUCAUAUUACUUAAGAACUCCCACUUAGAAAGACAUCUCUCUAAUCCUAUAAGUGAUCACGUGAUCCAAAUCAACUAAACCAUAACUGAUCAUCACGUGAAAUGGAGUAGUUUUCAAUGGUGAACAUCACUAUGUUGAUCAUAUCUACUAUAUGAUUCACACUCGACCUUUCGGUCUCAGUGUUCCGAGGCCAUAUCUGCAUAUGCUAGGCUCGUCAAGUUUAACCUGAGUAUUCUACGUGUGCAAAAACUGGCUUGCACCCGUCGUAGAUGGACGUAGAGCUUAUCACACCCGAUCAUCACGUGGUGUCUGGGCACGAUGAACUUUGGCAACGGUGCAUACUCAGGGAGAACACUUUUAUCUUGAAAUUUAGUGAGAGAUCAUCUUAUAAUGCUACCGUCAAUCAAAGCAAGAUAAGAUGCAUAAAAGAUAAACAUCACAUGCAAUCAAUAUAAGUGAUAUGAUAUGGCCAUCAUCAUCUUGUGCUUGUGAUCUCCAUCUCCGAAGCACCUCCAUGAUCACCAUCAUCACCGGCGCGACACCUUGAUCUCCAUCGUAGCAUCGUUGUCGUUUACACCGUCUAUUGCUUCUACGACUAUCGCUACCGCUUAGUGAGAAAGUAAAGCAAUUACAGGGCGUUUGCAUUUCAUACAAUAAAGCGACAACCAUAUGGCUCCUGCCAGUUGCCGAUAACUUCGGUUACAAAACAUGAUCAUCUCAUACAAUAAAAUAUAGCAUCAUGUCUUGACCAUAUCACAUCACAACAUGCCCUGCAAAAACAAGUUAGACGUCCUCUACUUUGUUGUUGCAAGUUUUACGUGGCUGCUACGGGCUUAGCAAGAACCGUUCUUAUCUACGCAUCAAAACCACAACGAUAGUUUGUCAAGUUGGUGAUGUUUUAACCUUCGCAAGGACCGGGCGUAGCCACACUCGGUUCAACUAAAGUUGGAGAAACUUACACCCGCCAGCCACCUGUGUGCAAAGCAUGUCGAUAGAACCAGUCUCGCGUAAGCGUAUGCGUAAUGUCGAUCCGGGCCGCUUCAUCCAACAAUACCGCCGAACAAAAGUAUGACAUGAUGGUAAGCAGUAUAACUUGUAUCGCCCACAACUCACUUGUGUUCUACUCGUGCAUAUAACAUCAACGCAUAAAACCUAGGCUCGGAUGCCACUGUUGGGGAACGUAGUAAUUUCAAAAAAAUUCCUAUGCACACGCAAGAUCAUGGUGAUGCAUAGCAAUGAGAGGGGAGAGUAUUGUCCACGUACCCUCGUAGACCGAUAGCGGAAGCGUCAUGACAACGCGGUUGAUGUAGUCGUACGUCUUCACGAUCCGACUGAUCCAAGUACCGAACGUACGGCACCUCCGAGUUCAGCACACGUUCAGCUCGAUGACGAUCCCCGGACUCCGAUCCAGCAGGGUGUCGGGGAUGAGUUUCGUCAGCACGACGGCAUGGUGACGAUGAUGAUGUUCUAUCGACGCAAGGCUUCGCCUAAGCACCGCAACGAUAUGACCGAGGUGGAAUAUGGUGGAGGGGGGCACCGCACACGGCUAAGGAACGAUCACGAAGAUCAACUUGUGUGUCUUGGGGUGCCCCCCUGCCCGCGUAUAUAAACGAGCAAGGGGGGAGGCCGGCCGGCCCUUGGGGCGCGCCAAGGAGGGGUGAGUCCUCCUAGUAGGAGUAGGACUCCCCCUUUCCUAGUCCAACUAGGAAGGGGGAAGGGGGAAGGAAAGAGGAGGGAGAGGGAGAGGGAAAGAGGGGUCGUGCCCCCUUCCCCUAGUCCAAUUCGGACUCCCCAUGGGGGGGCACCUCCUGGGAUGCUACCCUCUCUCUCCCCUCAGGCCCACUAAGGCCCAAUACUUCCCCGGGGGGUUCCGGUAACCCCUCCGGCACUUCGGUUUUCUCCGAAACCACUCGGAACACUUCCGGUGUCCGAAUAUAGUCGUCCAAUAUAUCAAUCUUUAUGUCUCGGCCAUUUCGAGACUCCUCGUCAUGUCCGUGAUCACAUACGGGACUCCGAACAACCUUCAGUACAUCAAAACUUAUAAACUCAUAAUAAAACUGUCAUCGUAACGUUAAGUGUGCGGACCCUACGGGUUCGAGAACUAUGUAGACAUGACCUAGAACUGUUUCCAGUCAAUAACCAAUAGCGGAACCUAGAUGCUCAUAUUGGCUCCUACAUAUUCUAUGAAGAUCUUUAUCGGUCAAAUCGCAUAACAACAUACGGUGUUCCCUUUGUCAUCGGUAUGUUACUUGCCCGAGAUUCGAUCGUCGGUAUCCAAUACCUAGUUCAAUCUCAUUCCCGACAAGUCUCUUUACUCGUUUCGUAAUACAUCAUCUUACAACUAACUCAUUAGUUGCAAUGCUUGCAAGGCUUAAGUGAUGUGCAUUACCGAGAGGGCCCAGAGAUACCUCUCCGACAAUCGGAGUGACAAAUCCUAAUCUCGAAAUACGCCAACCCAACAAGUACCUUCGGAGACACCUGUAGAGCACCUUUAUAAUCACCCAGUUACAUUGUGACGUUUGGUAGCACACAAAGUGUUCCUCUGGUAAACGGGAGUUGCAUAAUCUCAUAGUCAUAGGAACAUGUAUAAGUCAUGAAGAAAGCAAUAGCAGAAAACUAAACGAUCAAGUGCUAAGCUAACGGAAUGGGUCAAGUCAAUCACAUCAUUCUCCUAAUGAUGUGAUCUCGUUAAUCAAAUGACAACACAUGUCUAUGGUCAGGAAACAUAACCAUCUUUGAUCAACGAGCUAGUCAAGUAGAGGCAUACUAGUGAUACUAUGUUUGUCUAUGUAUUCACACAAGUAUUAUAUUUCUGGUUAAUACAAUUCUAGCAUGAAUAAUAAACAUUUAUCAUGAUAUAAGGAAAUAAAUAAUAACUUUAUUAUUGCCUCUAGGGCAUAUUUCCUUCAGGAACACCAACCGCCCAGGCUUGAGGAUGAUGAUCGUCUUCGAUAUCAUCUAGAACUACAUAUGUGUGUGUGGAUAUAUCAUCUAGAACUACAUAUGAUGAUCGUCGUCGAUAUCAUCUAGAACGACAUAUGAUGAUCAUCGUCGAUAUGACCUUGUACUGCUUGAGGAUGCAUGUUGACUAUACAUGAAAUUGUUAUCCAGUACUCCCUUCGUUCCAAAUUACUCGUCGUGGUUUGAACUAAAACCACGACGAGUAAUUUGGAACAAAGGGAGUACUACCUAGUACCUAUAAUGCUUUAUGAAAUUGAUAUCUAGUAGUAACUAGUAUCUGGAUAUUGAGGUUUAUUGAAACCGAAAUGGGGUAGGAAGCGGGGGGAAAUUGAUGAAAGAUAUAGCAGUAGCGAGGGGCUAGGAAACCGCUACAGCUAACUAAUAGUAGCGCGUUCCAGAAAAGCGUUGCUGAUAUAGUCAAUAGUAGUAGCGCGGGUGCUGACCGCGCUACUACUAACAGUUAGCUGUAGCACCGUAAUAGUAGUGCGGCUGCUCGUGCUGCUGAUAGCCUCAAAACCCGUGCUACUACUAGGGUUUUCCCUAGUAGUGUAUUACAGAAUGAGUAAAGAGACUUGCCGGUAAUGAGAUUGAACUAGGUAUGAAGAUACCGACGAUUGAAUCUCGGGCAAGUAACAUACCGAUAGACAAAGGGAAUUAUGAAUGUUGUCAUUAGGUUCGAUCGAUAAAGAUCUUCAUAGAAUAUGUAGGAACCGAUAUGGGCAUCCAGGUUCCGCUAUUGGUUAUUAACCGGAGAGGCAUCUCGGUCAUGCCUACAUCAUUCUUGAACCCGUAGGGUCCGCACGCUUAACGUUCGUUGACGAUAUAGUGUUAUAUGAGUUAUGUGAUUUGGUGACCAAAUAUUGUUCAUAGUCUCGAAUGAGAUCACGGACAUGACGAGGAGCUUUGGAAUAGUCCGGAGGUAAUAUAGGACGAUGAUAUUUGGACACCAGAAAGGUUUCCAAGUGAACCGGGUAUUCAUCGGAUCACCGGAAGGGGUUCCAGGAGGCCCCGAGAGGUCUAUGGUCCUAAUGGUCCAAGGGGAGGCACAGACCAGCCCAUAAGGGGGCUGGUGUCGUGGUUCUAAGCCUGACAGUAGAGUGGGGGGUAGGUAUGGAGAGGCAAGGUCCUAGCUAUGGAGAGGUUGUAAGCACAAAGGAUGUACGAGUUCAGGCCCUUCUCGGAAGAAGUAACAGCCCUACGUCUCGGAGCCCGGAGGCGGUCGAGUGGAUUAUGAAUGUAUGGAUUACAAGGUGCCGAACCCUUCUGCCUGUGGAGGGGGUGGCUUAUAUAGAGUGCGCCAGGACCCCAGCCGGCCCACGUAGGAGAGGGUUUAAGGUGAGUUAAGUCUGGGGCGUUACUGGUAACGCCCCACAUAAAGUGCCUUUACUAUCAUAAAGUCUACUUAAUUACAGGCCGUUGCGGUGCAGAGUGCCUCUUGACCUCCUGGUGGUCGAGUGAGUCUUCGUGGUCGAGUCCUUCGGGCCAGUCGAGUGAAUCCUCGUUGGUCGACUGGAAGGCGACCUCUUCUAGGGAUGUCCUAGGGUAAGUUACUUGGAACAGGUCCAUGACCCUACCCUAGGUACAUAACCCCAUCAUUAGCCCCCGAAUGGAUUGAGGCUUCGAGUGAAGAAGGAGUUGAUGUCGUUUCCGAUUAACCUUUGCGCUCUAGUUGUGCGCUGUUCUGGAUCAAAGAAUCUCUUCGUUGACAGGGAGCAAUUUGUCUUCGGUCGACUCGAUCCAUUCUAUUUUUGCGUCGAGUGAUCUUUCGAGCUUCGACGAUCUCCGAGCGACGGAUCGCCGGAAACACCGCGUCUGACAGACUGAUUUGUUGCUCGCGGAUUCCGCGGGGUGCGAAAUUUGGGGGCGCGCGCGAAGCGGGGCAGACCGCGGCGUUCGGAUGGGACGGGGCAUAGACGUCUCGAUCUCCGCGCCGCCUUUUUCGCCACGUAUCCAGUCCUCAUAACUGCUCCCAGAUAUGAUUAGAUCGACCGGGCCCACAUGUCAGCCACUCGGAAGGGACCUUAUAAAUGUGCCCGGCGAGGAUUUCUGUGCUGCGCCUCAGCAUUCUCCCUCUCUCCCUCUGCUUCCUUCCUCCCUGCUCAGCGUGCUCGCUCUCGCCUCCGCACCACUUCCCUUCGUGCAUCUCACCGGCGACCAUGGCCAAGGAGAAGACGGCGGCGCUGGAGCGUGCCAAGAAGGCGUCGGCAUCGGAGAAGGCGAAGGGGAGAUCCACCAGCCGCAGAGGGUCCUCGUCCAGAUCCCGCCUGCCGAAAGGCUGGGUCCAAGGAGACUGGAUCCAGUCGACCAUCACGGAGAAGGACCUCCUCGACAUGGCCAACGAGGGCUUGAUCCCUCACGGAGCUGCGAGGUUGCCGGGGAAGGAGUGGCAGCCACAGCCAGAAGAGGGUGAGUGUGUGCUUCUGGCCACUCAUGUUGAUCGUGGGUUUUCCUUGCCGCCAAGCAUUUUCUUCCGUGGCUUCUUGAAUUUCUUUGGAGCGCGUGGUGCAGUUGGUUCGGGAGGGGGUGACGGGCAUGGAUCUUCUGGAGGUCUUCCUCAGGCGUCGCAUCCAACCCCUUCAAUUCCGGAGCCACUGCAUGUGGUUGUACUGUGGGCCCGAAGACGAGACUAGAGUCCAUCCAGAAGAAGUCGACGAUGCCACUCUGGAAAGAUGGAUGGUAGCCGUUACCGGAAACAGGGACAACCCGCGCGGAGCCAGAAGGAUUCCUCCACUCGACCACAACAGCGAUCCAAACAAGGUACACUUGCUCUGCUUUCCAUUGUGUCCUUGUCGUAUUCAUUUCUGCUAACCCUGCCGACUGGUCGACUGAUCCUUGUUUGGGCAUCUGCUAGGCCUUCACCGAGCUGUACUCGAUGCCCAAUGGGGCACAAGCUUCGACUGAGGAAGGCGAGGCGAGCGGGGGCGAGAGCCAGGAAGAGGAGGAAUGGGACUCGGAUGCUGCAGGGGAUGAUGACGACGAUGAUGAUGAUGAAGGUGAUGAAGAUGACAUCGAGGACGAGGAAGAAGAGGAGGAGGAGGUCGUUCCACCGCGCUCAGAAAGGCGGUCGAAGCUUGUCCACGACCCUUCGACCGAACGUGGUAAGGGGGUUGCGACCGCCACUCAGUCGACCAAGCGCCCUCGGACCACCUCUCCGGCGCCGACUGAAAAGGCGCCGAAGCAGCCCAGGGCGGCCUCAUCGAAGCCGACCAAGCUCCUGCUGAAGAUGAAGGUGUCCAUCCCCACCAUAUCAGGGUAAUUGUGUUGCUCAUAUUUUCUUAUUCUGUGCGAACUUUAUCUCUGGUCGACGCUGAGGUUAGUCGACUGAUCCUUUGGAGUUGCAGUGCUGCUACUUCCGAGACCUCGGCCCGGGCCGAUGACCACGAGAUGGAGGAUGCAGCAACUUCGAAUCCAGGUACUGUGUUCUUAAUACCAUUCUUAGUCGACCGACUCGCGAUCUCUGAUCCUGAUCCUUCUCCGCAGCUCCACCCAACACUGUUAUCGAUCUUCCUGAUGAUGAUGAGGAUGAAGAGCCGCUGAAGCACAGGAGGAGUCGGAAAGCGUCCUCCAGUAAGGUGCCUCAGGAUGUGCCGGCGCCUGAAAUUCUGACUGUGGAGGAAGAGAACACCACUCGACACACGGUGACCUUCGCGAAUCCACUGACGAGUGCUCAGCAGCCUUCCCUCUUCAUGACGCACCACGUCCCAGAGGACCAAGCUGGCGCAGCGAAGGAGGCGAUACGCCAGGCGGGACUCAUGAUGGAGCAGCUGAAGACCAUCCGGGACGCGAGCCAGGCAGCUUAUGACGCCAGUUCUGCCCUCCAAAGCAAUGUCCAGGUCAGUCGACCGCUGUUUGUUCUGUUGGAUAUGCUACCAAAAACUUUUCUUUUCCGGAAUUUAUAUUAGUCACCCACUGGGUGUGUCGAAUAAACUCCGUGUUAGCGGGGGCACGCUGAGUGCACCCGCUGGGUGUAGUCCCCAAGGCUAAGGUCGACUGCUGGCAGUCGGCCUUAGGCUUUAUGAUGUCAAUCUUUCUGUCAGUCGACUGGUCGACUGGAUUUCACAAACCGGUGGGGGCACGCUGAGUGCACCCACUGGGUGUAGUCCCCAAGGCUAAGGUCGACUGCUGGCAGUCGGCUUUAGGCUUUAUGACGUCAAUUUUUCUUUCAGUCGACUAUGUCGACUGGAUUUCACAAACCGGUGGGGGCACGCUGAGUGCACCCACUGGGUGUAGUCCCCGAGACUGUGGUCGACUGCUUGUAGUUGAUCACAGUCUUAGAGAAUGCAUCUCUCUUUUUUUUUGAGGUCGACUGGUCGACUUUGUCUUCAACAGGAUUAGUGGGGGCACGCUGAGUGCACCCACUGGGUGUAGUCCCCGAGACUACGGUCGAAUGCUUGUAUUUGGCUGUAGUCUUAGAAACGUGUGUUUAUCCCUUUUUCACUCGGAAGUGAAUUAUAUUUGACAUUUAGUCGAUUGGUUCUUCACAGAACUCCUGUGAUCUUGUGGCUCGCUACUCAGAGCUGGAACAAAAACAUACUCAAGUCGAGCUGAGCUUGAAGCUGGUUCAGGAGAAGCUGACAAAGGCAAAGGAGGAGACCGAAGGUAUGUUUGGUGAGACCCUGACGACUGCUUUUCCCCUUGCUUGUUUCAGCAUCUGAUCUUGCUGUAACUUGCAGGUAAGGUAAGGGAGGCCCAGCAGAAGAAAGACCUUGAGCUAGCUGAGAAGAUCAAGCUUGCUGACGAGAAGUUAGCUUCAGUCACCAAGCUCGAACAAGACAAUACCAAUCUGAAAACUGCUCUUGGGAUUGCCAACAAGGAGGUCAGUCGACUGAAAACUGAUAAAGCUGCCCUGACCGUCCAAGUCAGCAAAUUGACUGAGAAGAAAACUGAACUGGAGGCCUUCCUGAGUGGCCUUGCCAAGAAGCUGUUUCUUAUGCUUGAAGGUAAACCUCCAUGUUUGGCAAAUAUUUCCAAUUGUGGCUUUUUCCAUUCGACUAUCUCCUUGACUUAGUGAUCAUCCUUGCAGAAUUUUGUCAAAACUUUGAAGAAGAAACCAGCCGACUGGAGCCAAACCUCGACCCCGUCAAUUCUCCGGUGAACGACGAAGUUGCCAUGGAUGUUUUCCGACUGGAGUCUCGUGUUGCAGCUGUCGUGGACUAUCUCGCAAGGCUGAAGGCCGCCACAUCUCGCAUCGACUCGACGCUCUGGCCUGAGGAGACGCUUCAGAAUGACCUUGAAUCGUUGAUGGCCCGCUUGAACACGAUCCCUGGUCGAGUGCAGGAGUGGAAGAAGUCCUCGGCUCGGUGUGGUGCAGAUGUCGCUCUGUGUCUGGCCCGAGUCCACUGCAAAGAUGCGCGAGAAGAGAAGCUGGCGGCCCUUCGGGUGGCCAAUACCAAGAAGCACGACUUCAGGUCCUUUAUGGAGACUUUCCUUGCAGCUGCCACUCGGAUCGCCGACGGAAUUGACCUUGAUGAAUUUGUUGCACCUUCCAGCCCUCCACAGGAGGGGUAAAAAACUUCUUCUGGCUCGACGCUUUAAAUUUGCCUCGGUAUGCCGAGUGAAAUUGUAACCGACAAACCUUAACAGGCUUGACGCCUGAGCACUUUCGGUUCCUUUAGAUGUCGAUUCAAACUUGGAUUUGGUGCUUGAAUACGAUUGCCUUCGGCUCGGAAUGUCUUUUGCAGGUUCAAAGCAAGGUGCCUUAGGCGAGCGCUUGGACUGCAGCUAAGCCCCCGAGUGAGAGGGUUGCUCUUCACUCGGUAGGAUUUUUGUAACUUAGGCGAGCACAGGGCUGCAGCUAAGCCCCCGAGUGAGAGGGUUGCUCUUCACUCGGUAGGAUUUUCACAACUUAGGCGAGUGCUUGGACUGCAGCUAAGCCCCCGAGUGAGAGGGUUGCUCUUCACUCGGUAGGAUUUUUAUAACUUAGGCGAGCACGAGGCUGCAGCUAAGCCUCCGAGUGGAAGGCUGGCUUACCACUCGGUAGGAUUUUGAUAACUUAGGCGAGCACGAGGCUGCAGCUAAGCCUCCGAGUGAGAGGAUUGCUCUUCACUCGGUAGGAUUUUCACAACUUAGGCGAGCACGAGGCUGCAGCUAAGCCUCCGAGUGGAAGGCUGGCUUACCACUCGGUAGGAUUUUGAUAACUUAGGCGAGCACAAGGCUGCAGCUAAGCCUCCGAGUGGAAGGCCGGCUUACCACUCGGUAGGAUUUUGAUAACUUAGGCGAAACGGAUUCGCAGCUAAGCCUCUGAGUGGGAGUCUGGCUCACCACUCGGUAGGAUUUUUACAAACUUAGGCGAAACGGAUUCGCAACUAAGUCACCCACUGAGGGGAAUUUUAUUGGAAAAUAAAAAUAAAAAGUGACAGAUAUUGUGGAGGAACUAUGACACUAUUAUUUUGAGGUCCAUGAACUACAAAAGUACUUUAUUGCAACUCAUUUGAGUGAUAAAACUUAAGUGUAAAAUGGGCGGAGUAGCUCCGCGUUCCAAGCUCGGGGCUCGUCGAUAUUAUGCUCGACGUUGUAGAGACGGUACGCCCCGUUGUGGAGAACCUUGGUGACGAUGAAGGGGCCUUCCCAAGAAGGAGCAAGCUUGUGUGGUUUGUGCUGAUCCACUCGGAGAACCAAAUCCCCUUCCUGGAAGGCUCGACCUCUCACAUUUCGGGCGUGGAAACGGCGCAGAACUUGUUGGUAGAUGGUCGAUCGGAUCAGAGCCAUCUCCCUUUCUUCCUCUAAAAGGUCGACUGCGUCCUGCCGCGCUUGUUCAGCUUCUGCUUCGUUGUAGAUUUCAACUCGAGGAGCAUUGUGGAGAAGAUCACUCGGCAAGACUGCUUCAGCUCCAUAGACCAAGAAGAAUGGAGUUCUUCCGGUCGACCGAUUAGGCGUGGUCCGCAGUCCCCAGAGUACAGAUGGAAGUUCGUCGACCCAAGCUCCAGCCGCGUGUUUGAGAUCACGCAUCGGUCGAGGCUUCAGUCCCUUGAGAAUCAGUCCAUUAGCUCGCUCUGCUUGUCCAUUCGACUGCGGAUGGGCGACUGAUGCGUAGUCGACCCGUGUGCCCUGGGAGUCGCAGAAAGCUCUGAAUUCCUCUGAGUCAAAGUUCGACCCAUUAUCCGUGAUGAUGCUGUGCGGGACUCCAUAUCUGAAUAUUAGUUCCCUGAUGAAGCUAACAGCAGUACCGGUGUCAAGGCUCUUGAUUGGUUUAGCCUCGAUCCACUUGGUGAACUUGUCGACUGCCACCAGUACAUGCGUGAAGCCACUUCGUCCUGUUCUCAAAGGACCGAUCAUGUCCAGCCCCCAAACUGCAAAAGGCCAGACGAGUGGGAUGGUCUUCAAAGCUGACGCAGGCUUGUGCGACAUAUUCGAGUAGAACUGACAUCCCUCGCACUUAUCUACUAUCUCUUUUGCCAUCUCAUUCGCCUUGGGCCAGUAAAAUCCGGCUCGGUAUGCUUUGGCCACGAUGGUCCGAGAGGACGCAUGAUGACCACAGGUCCCCGAGUGAAUAUCAUUGAGGAUAAGUCGACCUUCUUCUGGUGUUAUGCACUUCUGACCGACUCCAGUCGCGCUUUCUCUGUAUAAUUGUCCUUUAAUUACGGUAAAGGCCUUAGAUCGACGGACGAUCUGUCGAGCCUCUUCCUCAUCCUCCGGAAGCUCUUUCCUCAAGAUAUAUGCGACAUACGGAAUCGUCCAGUCGGGAAUGACCACCAAAACCUCCAUGAUCAAGUCGACCACCGCUGGGACUUCAACUUCAGUCGGAUCUGUGGCGCUCUUGGGCUGCGGAGUUUCUUCGGUGAAAGGAUCUUCUUUGACUGACGGAGUGUGUAUAUGCUCCAAGAACACACCACUCGGAAUGGCUUCUCUCUUGGAACCUAUCUUUGCUAGAUCAUCAGCUGCUUGAUUUUUCAGUCGGGGUAUAUGAUGGAGCUCCAACCCCUCGAACUUUUUCUCCAGCUUCCUCACUGCACUGCAGUAUCCAGUCAUGGCUGGGCUUCUCACGUCCCACUCUUUCAUCACCUGAUUGACCACUAAAUCCGAGUCGCCAUAGACCAUUAGGCGACGGACGCCGAGUGAAAUGGCCAUGCGCAACCCAUAUAGGAGGGCCUCAUAUUCUGCCUCAUUGUUGGAGGAAUCAAAGUGAAUCUGGAGCACAUAUCUGAGCUUAUCUCCUCUGGGGGAAACCAGGACAACCCCAGCACCGGAACCAUUCAACAUCUUAGAACCAUCGAAAAACAUGGUCCAAUGCUCCGAGUGAACUUCAGUCGGCUGCUACUGUUCGAUCCACUCGGCGAGGAAAUCUGCUAUUGCCUGGGACUUAAUGGCUUUCUUUGCCUCAAACUUGAUAUCAAGGGGAAGAAGUUCAAUCGCCCAUUUGGCCACUCGACCAGUUGCAUCUCUGUUGUGCAAAAUCUCUGAUAGUGGAGCGUCGCUGACGACUGUGAUUGAAUGGUCAGAGAAAUAAUGAGCAACCUUCUUUGUGGUCAUGUAUAUUCCAUACACAAGCUUCUGAUAAUGAGGAUAUCUCUGCUUGGAUGGAGUCAAGACUUCAGACAAAUAAUACACUGGGCGCUGAACUUUGAGAGCUUUUCCUUCUUCUUCCCGCUCGACCGUUAGCACAGUACUGACGACUUGUCCUGUGGCUGCGAUGUAGAGCAACAGAGGCUCUUUGCUGAUUGGAGCAGCAAGCACCGGCUGGGUGGAGAGCAGAGCUUUUAGCUCGGCAAAUGCUGCAUCAGCUUCUGGGGUCCACUCGAACUUGUCAGCCUUCUUCAUGAGUCGGUAAAGAGGCAAUGCCUUUUCACCGAGUCGUGAGAUGAAUCGACUUAAUGCGGCCAAGCAUCCAGUAAGCUUCUGGACAUCGUGCACUCGCACAGGGCGUUUCAUUCGGAGAAUAGUGCCAAUCUUUUCUGGGUUGGCGUCGAUUCCCCAUUCGGAAACGAGAAAACCGAGUAACUUGCCACCAGGAACUCCAAAUGUGCACUUUGAUGGAUUGAGCUUGAUAUCAUACCUUCUGAGGUUGGCAAAUGUUUCGGCGAGGUCAGCGAGCAGGUCGGAACCUUUUCGUGACUUGACAACAAUACCAUCCAUAUAAGCUUCCACAUUCCGACUGAUUUGAGUGAGUAGACACUUCUGGAUCAUUCGCAUAAAUGUGGCUCCGGCAUUCUUGAGGCCGAAUGGCAUGGUGAUAUAGCAGAAGCACCCGAAUGGAGUGAUGAAAGCUGUUUUUACUUCAUCGGGCCUAUACAGACGGAUCUGGUGGUACCCGGAGUAAGCAUCUAAAAAAGACAACCUCUCGCAUCCCGCGGUCGAGUCAACAAUUUGAUCUAUGCGAGGGAGAGGAAAGUGAUCUUUCGGGCAGGCCCGGUUGAUGUGCUUGAAAUCAAUGCACAUUCGGAGCGACUUGUCCUUCUUAGGAACCAUGACGACAUUAGCGAGCCACUCGGAGUGGAAUAUCUCUCGGAUAAAUCCUGCCGCCAACAGUCGAGCCACUUCUUCACCGAUGGCCUUUCUCUUCUGGACGGCGGACCGCCGAAGAUGUUCUUUGACUGGCUUUGCAGACGAGUCGACUCUUAGGCGAUGCUCAGCCAGUCCCCUGGGAACACCUGGCAUGUCAGCGGGCUUCCAUGCAAAAAUGUCCCAGUUCUCACGGAGGAACUGGAUGAGCGCUUCUUCCUAUUUUGGGUUGAGUGUUGUGGAGAUGCGGGUCGGAGCUGCUUCGGGGUCGGUCGGGUGAAUGUGAACAGGCUUCGUCUCACCGGACGACUGGAAUGCAGAUUCUGUGGCGGGCUUCUUGGAUCGCAGCAAGUCACUCGGAUCUGCGUUUUGCUUGUAUUCUUCGAACUCGACCGCUGUCACUUGGGAAUCGGCAAUUUUGGAGCCCUUCUGAAAGCACUCCUCUGCCUUUUUCCUAUCACCGGUGACAGUGAUCACACCUUUGGGACCGGGCAUCUUCAAUUUGAGGUACACGUAACAUGGUCGAGCCAUGAACCGUGCAUAGGCUGGUCUCCCCAAAAUGGCAUGAUAUGCACUUUGAAAAUCCACGACCUCAAACGUCAACUUUUCUUUGCGAAAAUGCUUUGAAUCGCCAAACACUACGUCCAAAGCUAUCUGGCCGAGUGACUCGGCCUUCUUCCCUGGUAUAACUCCAUGGAAGCUCAUGUUACUAGUGCUCAGCCGGGACAUCGGAAUGCCCAUACCUUUCAACGUGUCUGCAUAUAACAGAUUACCGUCCAUCAGCACCUUUGUCAGUCGAGUGCCUUCAACAACUGGAUCGACCACCAAAGCUUGCCUCCCAGGGGUGGCAAUAUGAGUCGGGUGAUCAGAUUGGUCGAAUGUGAUGGGUGUUUGAGACCACUUCAGAUAAUUUUCCUUUGCUGGGGCAACCAUGUUAACCUCUCGGUUAAUCACUUUCAGUCGACUUCUGCUUUCCACAUCUGCGAAGAUCAUCAGAGUAGAGUUGAUAUGUGGAUAUCCUCCCUCACUGUCCUCUUUGUCUUCGGCCUUGUCCGGCUCCUUCUCCUUGUCCUUAGACUGUUUUCCCUGAAACUGCUGGAUCAGGAGUCGACAUUGGCGAGUGGUGUGCUUUGAGUAAAUGAUAUUCCCCUCUUCAUCUUUCUUCGUGUGAAUAUGACACGACAUAUCCAUCACGUCGUUCCCUUCUUUAUCCUUUACCUUCUUGGGGUUCCAGGAUCCUUUUGGUUUCCCCUUAAACUUUCCUUGAGUCACGGCCAGAGCCUCUCCAGGAGCUGCCGGUUCAGCCUUCCGCUUCUGUUUCCGACUGGUGUUUCCUUUUUCCGACUGACUCGGCUUGUGCUUGCCGCUUCGGAGUCGGUCUUCUUCUUCGCCGUUGGCGUACUUGGUAGCAAUCUCCAUCAUCCGACUCAAGGUCAUGUCACCGGUUCGACCAAAUUUCAAACUCAGUUCUCUGUUCUUGACACCAUCUUUGAAGGCGCAUACUGCCUGAUGGUCAGAGACAUUUUCCAUAGUGUGGUGCAAAGUGAUCCACCUCUGAAUAUACUCUCUGAGAGUCUCAUUGGUUUUCUGCACGCAGACUUGCAACUCUGUCAAUCCCGCUGGUCGCUUGCAAGUCCCUUCGAACGUUUUGACGAACACUCGGGAUAGAUCUUCCCAAGUGUAAAUGCUGCUAGGAGGCAAUUGAGUCAACCAUGCCCUGGCAGAACCUUCCAACAUGAGGGGCAAAUGCUUCAUGGCCACCUCGUCGUUCCCACCACCGAUCUGAACUGCCACUCGGUAGUCUUCAAGCCAAGUUUCAGGCUUAGACUCACCAGUGAACUUGCUGACUCCUGUUGCCAACCUGAAAUUGGGGGGGAUAACUGCGGCUCUGAUAGCUCUGCUGAAACAUUCAGGACCAGAAACAUGUACUCGACUGCUCGUGGGCACAUCUCUGUCGAGUGCGCCUCGAUGGGCUCUGUUCCGGUCGACCAACCCUUGCACGAUAAUGGAUCGCGCGUCGAAGCCUGGCUCUCUGGGGUCAACUGGAACCCUACGCCCUGUACUGUACUGACGCCUAUCAUCUGGCUGCCGAGGAGCGUAAGACCCACCCCUCGGAGGGGAAUAGGGCACUCGACGCCUAUCAUCUCGGUCGAGUCUGUCGCCAUAUUGAUCUCGCCGAUUCUCACGCCCUUCGCGCCGCGGAGGCGAUCUGGGGCUGUGAGCCGACUGAACCGUAUUCACAGUGACAGAUCGACUGUGAAUUCUGUUGCGCGACUGAGACACGGCUGAAUUCUGAUCUCCUGCUGCCCGGAGCAGAUCCCUGAUCUGCAGCAAACCUCUGCCAGCCUCUGACUGCGAAGGCUGAAUGGACUCUGCUAUACGGGUCGCAGCUGCUAAAUUCUGAAUUGGGGUUCGAUAUACCUGAGUCGGCGAGAAGAGUUGACGUCGACUGGUGUCGGGAACUCGUUGCCGCGCGCGCUCGUCGAGUGCUCGCUGAAGGUUCUCCAGUCGAGUGCGCUCGGCCAAAUUGGCCAGACGCGCCUCCUCCAAGGCACGAGCCUCGGGGGUUUCUCCUGCGAUGGGAAUACGCAGGGGAUCCUCGUUCCUGCGGCGAAGCUCUUCUCUUUGCAGAGAGUCGAGUGGCUCGGGCUGGUACUCUUCGUAGCCUCGUGCAGGGUCGCCGUCGUCGCCUGCUCCACCACCACGGGCGAAGCCAGGAGGACUGUGGGGCCCGUCGACCAUCAAGAUUUCCGCCACUGGAUCACUGCUUCCGCACUCGGAUGCAGUCUCUCCGGAGCCAGUCGACUGAUCGAACAAGCCGUAGAGAGAUUCGUUGGGCUCGAUUGCCGCAACUUGUGUAGUGGCCGACUAGCGAGCCACCGCGUGACUCACCCAUCGCUGAAGCCUCGACCGGCCUGAGCGCUUGCGCUGGCGGGAGACCGGGAGGGUGGAAGAUGGAGGAGCCGAUCGAUACUGGGUCGAUGGUUGCCGCAGCAGAACGCCGCGGACACAUGCGCGAAAAUGCGUCGCACCGCGGACGGGGAGCGCAUCUACGUCGAGUGGAGCCUCCUGGAGCCAUGCGGCGUCGUCGGCGAUGAAGGCGAGAGCGCCGAGACGGAUCUCUUGACCCUCGACCAAAAUUCCAGCAGACACCAUGAUGAAAGUACUCGGAAGAAUUGCAACUUCUCCACAAAAUCGCUAAAACACCUGCCCCACGGUGGGCGCCAACUGUCGUGGUUCUAAGCCUGACAGUAGAGUGGGGGGUAGGUAUGGAGAGGCAAGGUCCUAGCUAUGGAGAGGUUGUAAGCACAAAGGAUGUACGAGUUCAGGCCCUUCUCGGAAGAAGUAACAGCCCUACGUCUCGGAGCCCGGAGGCGGUCGAGUGGAUUAUGAAUGUAUGGAUUACAAGGUGCCGAACCCUUCUGCCUGUGGAGGGGGGUGGCUUAUAUAGAGUGCGCCAGGACCCCAGCCGGCCCACGUAGGAGAGGGUUUAAGGUGAGUUAAGUCUGGGGCGUUACUGGUAACGCCCCACAUAAAGUGCCUUUACUAUCAUAAAGUCUACUUAAUUACAGGCCGUUGCGGUGCAGAGUGCCUCUUGACCUCCUGGUGGUCGAGUGAGUCUUCGUGGUCGAGUCCUUCAGGCCAGUCGAGUGAAUCCUCGUUGGUCGACUGGAAGGCGACCUCUUCUAGGGAUGUCCUAGGGUAAGUUACUUGGAACAGGUCCAUGACCCUACCCUAGGUACAUAACCCCAUCAGCUGGCGCGCCCUCUCCCUGGCCGUCGGCCCUAGAGAAGGAAAGGGAGGAGGGCUAGCCCCUCCCGCCUUCCCCUCCUCAUGGGAGAAAGGAAAGGGGGGGGCCCCCUCUCACUUUCUCCCUGGUGCCAUACAAGGAAGGGGGCGCUAGAGGGCAGGAGUCCAAGGAGGCCGGCCGACCACCCUUGGGGCGCCUCCUCGCUGCCUCCCCUCCCUCCACUAUAUAUAUAUAGCCGUGUGCGACGCCCCUCUCCAUAGUUUAGUCCUCCGCCCAGUUUCUCCGCAUUGCUCGGCGAAGCCCUGCGAGAACGAGUUCAGCAUCACCAUCACCACGUCGUCGUGCUGCCGGAACUCAUCUACUACUUCGCCCGUCUUGCUGGAUCAAGAAGGCGAGGACGUCAUACGUGUGUUGAACGCGGAGGUGAUGUAUGUUCGGUACUUGAUCGGUUGGAUUGCGAAGAAGUUUGACUACAUCAACCGCGUUAAUAAACACUUCCGCUUUAUGGUCUACUAUACCUGGCCAUACCUCGGGCCGGGUCGGACUUCGGGCCGGGCCUAGCCAAGCCCGACGCAAAAAACCCAGGCCCGGGCCCGGCCCGGCCCGACCAAUGGGCCUAUUUUUGGGGCCCGAGCCCGACCCGAACACCUAAAAGCCCGUCAGGCUUCGGGCCGGCCCAGCCCGACCUUCAGGAAAGCGCAAAAAUGACAGGCCCGGGCCCGGCCCGGGCCGGCCUUCGGGCUCAAAAUCUAGGCCUGAGCCCGGCCCGGGGGUAGCGUCGGGCCGGGCCGGGUCGGGCUUUUUCGGGCCGGCCGGUCCGGGCUUCCCAUGGCCAGGUAUACGGUCUACGAGGGUACGUAGACAUACUCUCCCCUCUCGUUGCUAUGCAUCUCCUUAAAUAGAUCUUGCGUGUGCGUAGAAUUUUUUUCCCAUGCAACGUUCCCCAAUAGUCGUAUCCCACCUUGAUCACACGAGUGGGUAUGAGAGGAAGACGAGGUCGUCGGACCAUCACAACACCACACGUAGAGUAUGAUUGGACUUGUGACAUAUGCACGUGUGUCGAGCAACUAGUGCUUCUCCUAAGACAUAAAAAGUCAAUAGUUUAUUAGUAUGCAAAAUUCGCUAAUCGACUUUUCUACCCAUAUGUAAUAACUUUGUAAUGCAACAUUAUCUCAAAUUGGCGUUUUAAUCCUUCAAAUUGAGUGUGAUUAUUGAGUUGAUGUAACCAAAAAAUGAAGGUUGUGUUAUGACGACUCUAUGUUUGUGCAUAGCCAUUGCAACAUCUAACGUAUAUGGAGCACGCUCAAUAUCGCAUCGACUCUACAAGAAUUGAUCUUAGUUUAUAGUUUAAAUAAUUAUUAGUUGUUUGAUCAAUGUAAAGCCGUUGUGCAGUUCUUCUUCCGCCCAAGUUAUUAGGAAUCAAAUCGACAAAAUGACAUGUCGGUCCUACUUGCAGGGGGAAAAUGGAUGCUGCAUUACGACGACUUUGUGCUUCCACAUAGGCACGGCCCCCAUAUGCCAUAUGAUGAUUGCACUUGUGGUGACUCUGCUAGGGUCGAUCUAAGCAACGGUACCAACGGGAAAAGACAUGUUUGCCAAGGCAGGAAAUUAGUAGGUUCCCUUCAAACUAAGCCAUAAGCCAAAAUAAAAUCUCUUAAGGACCUUCGACGGCUUACAAAUAAGCUAAUAAAAAAUCUUCUGCGUCUUUGGGCAUGCAGAGAGAAACAACAAGGUUUACUAUGGAAUAACCAAGGUAUGGCCAUAUUUAAGACCUUUUUCAAAGGAAGACAUCAGAGAGAAAGAUUUGUUGCUUUCUUAGACAGGAAUGAUAGCUGGCGAACGUUUCCCGGGAGCCCAAUCCCGACGAACGCCUCCGGAACCAUCACAUUUGCAUCCAACAGUGGUAGUUUUCUGCCCAAAAAUUUAAUUUAAAUAAACUGCCAUGGCAGUUUUAUAAAAUGUCAACCUAGCCUCCCCUAAUACAUGUUCAAUUGCCACCCGGGCGUUCGCAACUGCCAUGUCCAACAUUAAAAAAUGUAAGAGAGUCAAGUUGGGGUCUAUGUUAAUAGAGCUUUUAACUAGGGACAUGAUGAGUUAUGACAUGAAAUGUCUGGUUUGUAACAAACUUUUGUACCAAAAACUAAAGACCGAAUAUGGUAAAGAAAGGGAAUUGAUAGUAAUUACUCGAUGAUUCACGAGAAGGACAAUUGUUGACUUUAAAAGGAUGAUUUAUUGAUUAUUUGUUUGGCGGAACCAAAAGUAAAAUUUGGUGUGGACAAGGAACCUGUAAAAACACCUAAUUUGUAGUAUGGAGAAAAGAGAAAUGAGGGAGGAAAUGACUACAAUUAUUAUUGUACCUAGUAGGUGUUUUUUUACUUCUUUUGCCCUUGUACAAUAGUUGUGUUACUUAAAACCAAAAAUCAAACUUAUCAAAAAAAAUGAAAUAUUUUUCGUUGAGUCUAUUAUUCAUAUUCAAUAUACAUGGUCGCAUACACUCGAUUUAUAUUAGUGAGAGGAGCAGUGCGCGUGCAAGAUCACUAACUUGAUAAAUUUAAAAAGAAACACAAAUAUUAUAGAAAUUUUAACAUGGCCCCAAACUAGCCUUCUGUAUUCUUUGGUCCAAGGGCCAUAUGAUCUUUUUUCUUACAAGAGGAAAUAUUAAUAAAAUAGGGGAAAAAGGCAUCAAUUAAUAAUAUGAAAAUAUAUUGCUAAGCGCUCUUGCAACAUCAAGUAUUAAGUUAAAUUCAGAACGGUACAUACUUUAACUUGUAGAUACGUCAACAUGUUUGCAAAGUUAAUAAAUUACUAAUUUGACAUGUGAAUGUAAUUCUACAUAGAACUUUCAAUUAUUGCAUUUCUUUUCAAUCAAAUUUUAGUUUCUUCAAAACAAAAACUAAGAAUCCGUCUAGAAUAGCUUGUUCCACAUACACAAUUAACUUAGAUUUAUUUAUUUAUCGGAUUUGGUAAGGCACACACAAUUUGUCUGAGCCACACAUUUUUUUCAAUAUGUUAGGGAUUCUCUUCUUUGUUGAGGCUUCUUGAUACGAGAAGUGAUAUUUUAUAAAUUGUUUACUCCUUGCAGUCUAGAGAUGACAUGCGAAAAUCAAAGUUUCGCCUCCAUCCCGCAGGGGAUACUCCUUCAUCAUGCCGGUUGUUCGAUGCCAUUGUCAGUCAUUGCAUUCAUGUGAUUAUCAGCAGCAGGAUCGAGCUCCCUUUUGAGGAUCAGAUUGAUUACAUCGACUUCUCACUUUCCUUCUAAGUUGAAGAAGUUCUAGAAAAAGAUUACUUGCUCAACCAACUCAGACAGAUGCCUAAAGAUAAGUGGGUUGAGAUGUGGUCAAAGCUGAAAAAUGUCUCUAGUCACUAUGAAUUCCAAUAUCCCCCCAGGAAGGAUGAUGCGGUGAACAUGAUGAGGCGGCAGGUGAGGCACAAAAUCCCCGCAGUUAACCUUGCGAUCCACAGGAGUAGGAGACUAAAAGUUCCAGACUGGUGGUGAGGAUUUGGUGAAUUGUGUACAUAUUCUCAUAUCGAUGGCGAAACCGGCAUCAUUCAUAUGGUUCAUGACGAAGCCAUGGCGGUCAUUCCUUGUGCACCAUGACACUGGAUCCAGGAAGAUGUACUGACAGACACUAACAUUUUUGACCCUUUUCGUUGAUCUUACGACACCGUAACCAUUACUCCCCCUUGAGGUCAUGAUAUAGUGAAAAUGUGUAGUUAUGUUACAGAGCUGGCUUGCCCGGCAGAAGCAUGUGCAUUAGAAACACACUUACAAAC